This 184013-nucleotide long non-coding RNA is filed under the name Citrus x clementina. Its description in RNAcentral is "Citrus clementina (C. clementina) long non-coding RNA (CCLE_LNC005175)". The stretch from base 140586 to 140692 matches the Rfam family "Plant small nucleolar RNA R71". Lineage: Eukaryota; Viridiplantae; Streptophyta; Magnoliopsida; Sapindales; Rutaceae. The record is from RNAcentral.
AUGCAAAGAUUAGAAAUCGGUCAGGUUUUUAGUCUGGACAUUAAAGAAAAACCGGUAAAGAAACUUUUUGCAAAAUCUUGCAAUUGAUAAGUCGAUUGGAAAGAGAUGUUCAUGGGGAAAUUUCUUUGGUUGAGAGCUUUGAAAGGAAGUUGGCGAUUAAUGGCUAUAACUGGAAUGGUUUGAAUCGAGGAGAUGAGUGCGAGUUUAUUUGUAGCUGGAUGGGUGAGGAAGUCUGGAAUGAGGUUUUAGUUGCCUUUUAUGUGUUGAACAGUGAAAUCAUAUUUAGCAAACCAGGUUUUGAGACUGAGUAAUUGCUUGUCAGGUAGCAAUUUGUUCUUGAAGUCAAAGAUUCGGGGAAAAGAUGAAUUAUCCAUGGUGAUAAGGAAUUUGUGGCUGAUAAGAUGGAACUCAAAUUUUUUAAUGCCAUACUUAACUGCCAAAAUCUCUUUGUAGAUCACAUGGUAGUUCUUUUCAGAGUCUUUGAACUGUCCGCUUGCAUGAGCACAGAAAUGACGCACGCCAUUGAUGUCUUCGAGGAGAAUGGCACUCCAAUAAUCAUCGCUGGCAUCAGUCUGGAGGAUGCGUUGUCCAUUUGUGGGAAUACGGAGUGAAGGAGGUGAUUGUGCUAUUACCUUUAACUGCUUGACAGCUUCGGUCUAAGUAGGGCCCCAUAGAGGGCAUUGUUUUUUGAGCAUGCGUGACAGCUGCUGGUGUGAAUUGCAACUUUGGGGAUAAAAUCACGGACAUAAUUAACAAUCCCGAGGAAUUGUUGUAUCUGCUUCCUGUUGAGAUGUGUUUCCGGAAACUUUAAUAAUUCGAUUGCAAUAUGUGGACCAGGUUGAUACUGGCCGUCUUUAAUCACCAUGCCAAGAAAGUCAAUUGAUUCAUUUCCUAUGCUGUUUUUCUUUUCGGAAAGCAUGAUGCCAUGUGCCUGCACAAUGUGAAAGAAAUCCAAAAGGAGCUUCUGGUGGCUCUCAUGGUCAGAAGAAAAUAAUAAAAUAUCAUCAAUGUAAACCAAUACAUGAUGGAGAAUAGGACUAAAGAUUUUUGUCAUGGCUUUUUGAAAUAAGGAGGGAGCGACUUUAAGACCAAAAGGCAUAACCGUCCAUUGGUAAUGGGCAUCAAGAAUGCAAAAUGCAGUUUUGUGUCGGUCAACUGGUGAAAUACAAAGUUGCCAAAAACCAGCUUUUAAAUCAAACUUAGAGAAGAUACGAGCCCCUUGAAGAUGAACAAACAGGGUCUAGAUUUUCGGAAGGGGAAACUUAUCAUCUUUAAGAAAAGAAUUGAGUGGCUGGUAAUCAAUUACUAAUCUCUUUUUUCCACGAACUAAUUCAUAUCGCUUUUCAACAUAAAAGGCUUGAAAAGCCCAAUCUGAAUCAGUAGACUCAAUAAGACCUUGUUGAAGUAACUGAGAACAUUCUUGCUUAACAAGCAAGAGAUCUGAAGGAGACAUACCCGGGUGUGAAACUUUUGUGGGGUUUAUGUCUUCGUUGAGUUUAAAAGGAAGGUGAAUGAAAAAUUGUUCAAUUUUCCAAAGAGGUGAAGGAUGAUGGAACUGUGAAUGGUUUUCUGGACAGAACUCUAAAAACUUUUGUGAGAUUUGACUGUAUGGAGAUGAUGUUUCAGAAAGUGCAUACAGACGUAGGGUAUCUGUAUAAGGUAAGAACGUCUGUUUGUAGCGAACUCCAAAACUGGUGAGGAAUAGGUUUUUAACCAGAUGAAGAAUGUCAAAAUCUAUAAGCAAAUCUUUAUCGGGGAGUUUGGAAGCUACAAUCUUUUUCCAAAUUAUGCAAUUCGAAAAAAAUUGAAUACCAAUGGGUUUUUUGGUAAUCAAGGUAGUUUCAAAAGUUUCACCAUUCACUGCUCUGAAGAGCUUGGAAUGACGUUCCCAACAGUCUGAGGGAAGACAGAAGGAUCAAUCAUACUAGUGUCUGCACCAGUGUCAAGAAACCCGAUAACAGGAACAAGUUUAUGGAAUUUGGAAGAAAUGAUGGAUAUCUUGAGAGAAGGUCUAGGAAUAGUGGAAACAUGGUUAACAGUUUGGACUGUAGAGAUGACUGAAAUAUCUUCAGAAUCUGAAGAUUCGCAAGAUUCUACGAUAAGAAAGGCAGUUUGAUCAUCUUGUGCCGACUGUUCUGAAAAAUUUGAUUCGACAUCCUCAUUCUCAGAUAACAGAGAAGAAUGUUGAAGAUGUUGCAUAAGUCAAACAACUUUGGCUGAUUUGUGAGGACAACUUCGGGCAAAGUGACCGCCUUUCUUGCAGAUGAAACAACGGUUGGAUUUUUUCUUUCGGAACUGAGAGGCAUCUUUCUUUUUGAAAUACCAGAAAGUUUUUUUAGAGGAUGUUUUUCGGUGGAAGUAUUUCCGGAAAUGGUGUUUCUUUGUGGUUGGACAAACACAUUUCUUUUCAUCCUUACACUCGAUUUUGAGAUAAGGUUUUUUACAAGCUUCAGAGAAGGGUUUCUUGUCUUCCAUGAGAUCUUUGAAGAACUCUUUUUGUUCACAGAUUUUAGCAAGAGAUAGCAUGGCCAUCUGGAAAAUCUUUCCUAGAAAGAUAUCAACUAUGCUCAGAUUUGUGGCUGUGAGUUUUCUUUAAAGGUCAGGUUGUAACUUAGCAGGAAGAAAGGUGAUAAAGACAUGUUUAAGAGAUGGCUCAUUAAACCCAUUUAGCUUGUAGAAUAGAAUACUCAUUCUUUUGUAAUGAGCAUCCAGAAGAUGUCUUUUAAGAGAACAACAUUUCAUCUGAUGGUAUUCUUUUCUGUUUGCUUCAGUGGAAGCAGUUUUUUCACCGAUGAAUUGCUCAUGAAUAAUAUUGAGGGCUGUACCAAUCAGAGAUUCCAUGAAUUGGAGCUGUCUGUAUUCUCCUAAACUUUCUAGCCAGUCUCGUAAAGAACCCGUGGAGCGAGCCAUGAAUUCACAAAGAACGGCUUGAGGUUGAGCAUUAGGCUUGGUACCUUGGAGAUCAAUCCAAGCAGUAAAUUCUUGAAGUCUAGCCGCCCAUUUGUGACGGGGAAUGUCAUCAAAUGUAAACCAAGAUGCUAAAGAUGGUUUUGUUGAGUGUUCAUGAACUGGUAGCGGUACUGGGUUUGUUUGAGAAGCUUGGUCAGAAGGAUUGUCAUCAACAAUAGGUGUUGACGUAGAGGCACUUGGAUCUGCAGUUUCAGUGGCCAUUAAUAUGCCUGUAAUGUCAGCAUAUUCAGACUCAGAGUCAGUGGAGCCUUUUGAUGAGUCAUAAGAGGAGGAUGAAGGUGAAUUAUUUGUUUCAGGCUCAGAAGUGUCGAAGGAAUCUGAAGAUUGGAUCUGGACAGUACGAUAAUGAUACUAGUCCAUUGGAUCUUUAUCUUUUUUAAGAGGCUCGGGAUGGUCUUGUGGUGAGUCUUCUGGAGGGAUUGUAGAUGUAGAGGAAGAGGAAGUGGCCUUUGGAUGUGGUUUAGAGAUUUUGACUUUAGAUUUUGAUUUUUUGGGUGAAGAUGGUUGAGGAGUUGGUUGAAGGUGAGAGAAACCAAAGAACUGAUUAUAAACAGGUUGUUGAGGUCGGGAUGGUGUGUAGAAAUGUGCAUAGGUUUCAAAGAUUGGAGGAGAUACUGGUGUAGGUUGUGGUUGAGUAAAAAGAGAAGGUCGAGUCUUUUCAGCAUCAAUCCUGGACAAUUCAGCUUUGAGUUUUCUGAUCUCAACUUCUUUUUUAUUAAACUCUGGACCCCAAAUAUGAUUGUUGAUCAUUCGUCUGAGAUCGGCAUCGAGCUCAGAGAUCCGGUCCUGAAGAUGUAUAUAUAUCUGAUCAAGACGACUGCUGAUUGAAUCAACUUUUGUUUCCGUCUGAGAGACUUGAUUGGCAACACGGUCAAUUUUCUUACCGAGUUGUUGAAGAGUAUGAUUUUGAGCAUUGGAAUUUUUGGUUUGCCAAUUCAAAAUAGCUUCAUACUAUUUUGGUUCUUCAAGUUGCCCAGAGGUUGUAAUCGGAGAUUGAACAAAAGGUUUUGAGGUGACACGGGUUUGGGUGUCGGUUUGUUUUUCAAGUGGAGGAAAUGAUUCAUCAUAGGAAUGACUUGAAAACAUAAGGCAUGACCUGAUUAGGUGAACAAGAGGUUUUGGAUCCGGUGGAGGCUGUGGAAGAAAGGAUUUGCAGGGUGGUGGAGGAUAAGAAGAUUUUUUUUUCUUCUUUUUCUUUCUCCGCAUAACUUCCAAUUCUUCAUCAAUAUCCGUAUCCUCCAAGCAAAGACAAUCCGGAUUGCACAUAUGGGCUUCAGGAACAUCCUAUAGGAAAUGACCAUUGAGUUUAUCAGGAUAUACUGGAUACCCUUCUGAUGAAAAAUUAUGAAUAGGAAGUUUCUUUUCUUGACCCAUUUGGACUACUGUAAUCAUAGCAGUAUAAGAAAGCUGUGGACUGUCCGAAACGGGCUUGGUGUCAGGAGUUUGAAAAGACAGUUUGACUUGACCAUUUGGUCGUCUGACAAAUGUAGCUUCUGUGGUUUGUACUAGUUCAGAAUUUUGGUGAAAGUGCUCAUAGUUGGUUAGCCAUUCAAGAGGCAUGAGUUUGAGCAGAUCUUGUUUCUGGAUUUGUUUGGGGAUUUGGAUGAUGGUUGGAAUUGUGUCUGUGUCCGCCAAUAUCAUCAGGGCAUCAGAAGAUGUGUAUGGUGUGGAAAGAUCUAGUGCAUGAUUUUGUAAUCGAUACACUAUUUGAUGAUGGAGGGUUGCAAUCUUUGAUGUGGGUGUUUAUUCUGCUCCUUGGAGCUGAAUCUGGACUUUAAGGGUAGUUGGAAGAUUGGGAUCCUCAAGAGAGAGGUUGAAAUUUGGGUAAAAGGUUAAUAAGACACUGCCAGCAUGAAGGGUUGUCAGAACUGUUCCAACAACAGCAUGUUGGUACUCCUUGAACCUGGUGUCUAGGAGAGCAAUUCUAGCUGUAACAGGUAAGCCUUUCCGACCAUGAAGAGUGAGAAUUAAACGUAUACCACCAAGAUGGAGGUGUGUGUACCCUUCUCGUUUCCAGUUGGCGACUAGAUCUGAGGGUAUUUCCAUAGUGACAUAUUGUUCACUCUGUGAGGCUUGGAGAGCACACUAAUCCAGUCUAGAAGACUGAAUAUAUUCCUUUGGGAGUGGUCUUUUAGUGGAGAUGAGGGUUCGAAUACUUCUAGUAAGAGAAGUUUUCUGUUUGUAGAGAUUGUAAGGACUCAUGAUGGGAAACUGGGACUCAUUGAUUUGAGCAGAUUCUGGAAUAUAAGAAUAUUCAACAAGAUUCUCAAUUUUGGAGGCUAUAUGUUUAGAGCAUGAUUUGGGGAGAGAGACUGUAGAAGAAAGAGAAAUAUGAGAUGAAGAUAAGGUAAGACUUGAGCUUGAAGAUGAAGUUAUUUCUAUGGGUUAUGAAUCUUCUUCUAGGAGAUCAAAUAACAUUAUUCAAAUUACUAAUGAUACCACCUCAGAGCCACACUUCAUGUUGAGAUGAUCAAAUUGCCUUUCUUAUCGCAGAAUCUUGCGAAUCUUCAGAUUCUGAAGAUAUUUCAGUCAUCUCUACAGUCCAAACUGUUAACCAUGUUUCCACUAUUCCUAGACCUUCUCUCAAGAUAUCCAUCCUUUUUUCCAAAUUCCAUAAACUUGUUCCUGUUAUCGGGUUUCUUGACACUGGUGCAGACACCAGUAUGAUUGAUCCUUCUGUUCUUCCCUCAGACUGUUGGGAACGUCAUUCCAAGCUCUUCAGAGCAGUGAAUGGUGAAACUUUUGAAACUACCUUGAUUACCAAAAAACCCAUUGGUAUUCAAUUUUUUCGAAUUACAUAAUUUGGAAAAAGAUUGUAGCUUCCAAACUCCCUGAUAAAGAUUUGCUUAUAGGUUUUGACAUUCUUCAUCUGGUUAAAAACCUAUUCCUCACCAGUUCUGGAGUUCACUACAAACAGAUGUUCUUACCUUAUACAAAUGCCCUACGUCUGUAUGCACUUUCUGAAACAUCAUCUCCAUACAGUCAAAUCUCACAAAAGUUUUUAGAGUUCUGUCCAGAAAACCAUUCACAGUUCCAUCAUCCUUCACCUCUUUGGAAAAAUGAACAAUUUUUCAUUUACCUUCCUUUUAAACUCAACGAAGACAUAAACCCCAUAAAAGCUUCACACCCGGGUAUGUCUCCUUCAGAUCUCUUGCUUGCUAAGCAAGAAUGUUCUCAGUUACUUCAACAAGGUCUUAUUGAGUCUACUGAUUCAAAUUGGGCUUGUCAAGCCUUUUAUGUUGAAAAGCGAUCUGAAUUAGUUCGUGAAAAAAAGAGAUUAGUAAUUGAUUACCAGCCACUCAAUUCUUUUCUUAAAGAUGAUAAAUUUCCCCUUCCGAAAAUUCAGACCCUGUUUGUUCAUCUUCAAGGGGCUCGUAUCUUCUCUAAGUUUGAUUUAAAAGCUGGUUUUUGGCAACUUUGUAUUUCACCAGUUGACCGACACAAAACUGCAUUUUGCAUUCCUGAUGCCCAUUACCAAUGGACUGUUAUGCCUUUUGGUCUUAAAGUCGCUCCCUCCUUAUUUCAAAAAGCCAUGACAAAAAUCUUUAGUCCUAUUCUCCAUCAUGCAUUGGUUUACAUUGAUGAUAUUUUGUUAUUUUCUUCUGACCAUGAGAGCCACCAGAAGCUCCUUUUGGAUUUCUUUCACAUUGUGCAGGCACAUGGCAUCAUGCUUUCCGAAAAGAAAAGCAACAUAGGAAAGGAAUCAAUUGACUUUCUUGGCAUGGUGAUUAAAGACGGCCAGUAUCAACCUGGUCCACAUAUUGCAAUCGAAUUAUUAAAGUUUCUGGACACACAUCUCACCAGGAAGUAGAUACAACAAUUCCUUGGGACUGUUAAUUAUGUCCGUGAUUUUAUCCCCAAAGUUGCAAUUCACACUAGCCAGCUGUCACGCAUGCUCAAAAAACAGUGCCCUCCAUGGGGCCCUACUCAGACCGAAGCUGUCAAGUAGUUAAAGGUAAUAGCACAAUCACCUCCUCCACGCCGCAUUCCCACAAAUGGACAACACAUCCUCCAGACUGAUGCCAACGAUGAUUAUUGGAGUGCCAUUCUCCUCGAAGACAUCAAUGGCGUGCGUCAUUUCUGUGCUCAUGCAAGUGGACAGUUCAAAGACUCUGAAAAGAACUACCAUGUGAUCUACAAAGAGAUUUUGGCAGUUAAGUAUGGCAUUAAAAAAUUUGAGUUCCAUCUUAUCAGCCACAAAUUCCUUAUCACCAUGGAUAAUUCAUUUUUUCCCCGAAUCUUUGACUUCAAGAACAAAUUGCUACCUGACAAGCAAUUACUCAGUCUCAAAAUCUGGUUUUGCUAAAUAUGAUUUCACUGUUCAACACAUAAAAGGCAACCAAAACCUCAUUCCAGACUUCCUCACUCGUCCAACUAUAAAUAAACCCGCACUCAUCUCCUCGAUUCAAACCAUUCCAGUUAUAGCCAUGAAUCGCCAACUUCCUUUCAAAGCUCUCAACCAAAGAAAUUUCCCCAUGAACAUCUCUUUCCAAUUGGCUUAUCAAUUGCAAGAUUUUACAAAGAAGUUUCUUUACCGGUUUUUCUUUAAUGUCCAGACCAAAAAACCUGACCGAUUUCCUAAUCUUUGCAUGGAACACCUGUUUCUCACAGGCCUCACUCUAUCCUCUCUAUCCAUCUCCGAAGAUGAGCUUUGGUAUAUGUGGUGUCUCAUCACCUUGUAUGCUACAAAGCUAGUUUUUCCCAUCAAGCCAGUCCUAACUCACCUUACCACUCCCGAGUUCUCACUAGACCUUCUAUGGACUCUCUUUGAAUGGUAUUCUCCCCUCACUUGGUGGCGCCAGCAACUCCAACAUUUGUGUACCUUUCAUGGAUUAGACAAAAUGCCAGACCAAGAAGCUAACAUGUGGACCACGGCCUUCAUCGUCCACAGGCCUUACUUCCAGCAUCCAGAAACCCGAGACUACUGGACACAGAACAUGGCAUAUGAAUGGAGAACUUACCCUCAUCCUUAUACCUUCAUCCACAAUACAUCCGUCACCGCCGUUCUCAAAGCCUAUCACAUGGAACUUAACAAUGUUCCUCCACCUGCCACAAACAUUCAUCACACCUCCAUUGGACCGUCACACAUCCUUGAAAUAAUUCCAAAAACACAAGGUUGUACUUCAGGAUCAAGUUCAAGUCCCCAAGGAAUCCUUGUCAUGGAACAACGUCUUGACUACACCAAUGUCUUAUUCCAAGACGCUCAAGACCCAUGGGAAGACUUUCAGUCCCUUCUCUAUACUGACACUCCCCAUUAUACUGUCACCAACCCAGACUCUCCUGCUGCAUCUACCUCCCAGCACAUGUCUGAAGCUGAUGAAGAAAGUAUCAGCAAGCUGAGGCGUAUCUCGACCAGAGACAGCGGCAUCGGCAUAAGCGACAAUAUGAAAAAGAGACAGGAGACGUGUCACCAUCGCGCUAUCCAUCCUCUCCAUGAUGACACUUUGUCGUUCUCACCCGGCUUUUGAUGCAAUAAUCCAAGUGACUCCCAUUUGUCUUUUGUAAAAGUCCUUGUCGGUAUGUUUUCCUUUUGUUAAAGUCCUGAUCGGUGUGCUUUGCUUUCCAAAAAGGUGUGCCAUGUGAUAUGAUCAUUCGAGAGGUCCUGUUCUCAAUGGUCCUCUAUAAAAGGCACCUUUGGUCUAAGUUGUAAGGGGAGCCAAUUUGAAAAUAAAAGCUUAAGUUUUAUAUAUUAUGUUUCCCUAAACCUCUCUCUCUUCUAGGAAUCAAAGAAAUUAUUUGAAUUAAAAAUGAUACGCUCACCUCAAAAUUUCUAAACUGAGUAUGCUCUGCACUUGCCUCAAGCUUGAGGAUACUAUGCAUCAGAAAGGUCCUGUUUAUCCUCCAAAACUGAUUUUUCUAAAAUGAAUGUUUUCUCACAACGUUCACCCUCUUUGAAGGUUUUCGGGUGGUAUUGUGAAAAAAUUAUUUUCAAAAAUAAAUUUCGGAUUUGGUAUUAACUGGAUAAGUGUAUAUCGGCUGGAAACCAAGGUGUGUAGACUACUGGUCCAAAGGAGAUUUAAAUAUCUUGGCUUGCCAAGGAUCUCAUCACUCUGGUAAAACAACGCCACGUACAACUGCCCACUGGUAUCAAAAGCUAGACUAAUUUGUUGGGUGUUACUUUUGCAGGAAUUUGACUUGGAAUUCAAAGAUAAGAAAGGCAUAGAGAAUGUUGUAGCUGACCAUCUCUCUCAUCUCCAUUUUAACACAAUUACAGAACCAUUAACAUUGAAUGAGUCAUUCUCAGAUGAACAAUUAAUGAGUGUGGAAGUAUUACCAUGGUAUGCUGACAUCGUGAAUUAUCUUGUUACAGGUCAACUUCCAGAGCAUUGGACCAAGCAAGACAAGGCCAAAUUUUUUACAGAAAUAAAGAAUUUCUUUUGGGAUGACCCUUAUUUGUUCAAGUAUUAUGCAGAUUAAAUUGUUAGGUGAUGUGUCCCCGAAAGUGAAAUUCAGAAUAUACUUUCAUUCUACCAUGAACAAGCUUGUGGAGGCCAUUUCAGUGCUAAGAAAACAACGACUAAAGUUUCACAAUGUGGUUUCUAUUGGCCAACUAUAUUUCGAGACGCUUACACUUUCUGUUCUUCAUGUGAUAGGUGUCAACGAAUGGGGAGCAUUACAUGAAGGAACAUAAUGUCACUAAAUCCAAUUUUAGUGGUUGAGGUUUUUGACGUAUGGGGUAUCGACUUCAUGGGACCCUUUCCCCCUUCUUUUGGCCAUCAAUACAUAUUGGUUGCUGUUGACUACGUAUCAAAAUGGGUAGAAGCAAUUCCAUGUAGAACCAAUGAUCACAAAGUGGUGAUAGCAUUUUUGAAAAGCAACAUUGUUUCACACUUUGGAUUCCCUCGAGCGAUAAUCAGUGAUGGUGGUGCCCACUUUUGUAACAAAGUAUUCAAAGCUCUUUUGACAAAGUAUUCAAUCACUCAUAAAGUGGUGACCCCAUAUCAUCCGCAAACCAGUGACCAAGUUGAGAUCUCCAAUCGAGAAAUAAAGCACAUAUUAGAAAAGACGGUGAGGCCAGAUAAAAAGAUUGGUCAUUAAGACUUGAUGAUGCAUUAUGGGCAUAUAGAACGGCUUUCAAGACCCCAAUUGGGAUGUCACCCUACAGGCUAGUGUAUGGAAAAGCUUGCCACCUACCUGUGGAACUCGAGCAUCGUGCAUAUUGGGCCAUCAAGAAAUUCAACUUUGACAUGCAGCAAGCUAGCUCAAAAAGAAGAUUACAACUGGCAGAACUUGAAGAAAUUCACAAUGACGCAUACGAAAAUGCCAAGAUUUACAAGCAGCGAAUGAAAGUCUUUCAUGACAAGAAAAUUAUGGGAAAAUCUUUCACUCCAGGUCAGAAAGUGCUUUUAUUCAAUUCUCGCUUGCACCUAUUCCCAGGUAAGUUACGCUCUCGAUGGUCUAGCCCCUUUAUUGUUCAUACUGUUUUUCCACAUGAGGCAAUUGAAAUUAAGGACCCACAAUGUCACGUUUAAAGUUAAUGGUCAAAGAUUAAAGCCAUAUCUAAGGUACCAACCACAUGGAGAGGACACCGAAAUAAAUUUGAGUGACCCACCAAAUUUGAAUUAAGUUUUUUUUUCUUUCUUUUCAGUGAUUUGAUUUGAUUUUUUUUCUUUUAUUAUUCUUUUGAAAUUAUUUUGCAUAAGUGUGUUUGUUUAACCAUUAAGUUUUCUCUUAUCAUUAUUAAUCAUGAGUGUCAUAGCUAAACAGUUCCUCCUGAACAUUCUUAAAUCACUUCAACAUGUAAAAUCUCAUCUCAAAAGACAGAUUCAAUUUUGUAAGACAUAUCGUAUUUGGGCUCUGCAACCACCAGAGUUAGUAUCCUAUGUUGAGGAUUUAGAAAGCCAACUCAGAGACAUUGAGAGAGGUGUCUACAACAUCCAGUUGGAGCUUGAGGUAAAUUCAAUAAGAGGACGAUUUUAAUUUUCUUUGUGUGUUUUAAUUUGUUUUUCUGUUUGUGUGCUUUAGUUUGUUACCCCGGUGAAGUGGUGGAUAACGGUACUCCGUGACAAUCAAGUCGGUUACUUCAGUUUCCCAUAAUAACUGAUAUUUUGAGGCGAAGGUAUGGACAAAAAAUGAGAUUCUAGCAAAGCUUCACAAUCGAUUCCCUUCACUUCCUCAGAAUGCCCUCCUUACAAUCUAUAAAGCUCGGUCUAAACGCAUACGAUUGCUCAUGAAGAAUAACAUACCUGCUUACAUCCGUUGGUUAAUCGAGGCUAAAGUACAAUUGGCAGGUGAGUUACCUCCAAAAUUUAUUGCAUACAUGCCUGGUUGUGGUAAAGGAAAUUAUGCAAGAAAACGAAGAGCUCGAAGAAUUUCUGUUGCUUGUCAUAAGUGUGCCAAAAUGAGUUGCGAUAAAAAACCAUGUUCUUUAGGAAUGAUGUCUGAUAACAGGGAAGAUAAGAUUCAAUUCAUUAGGGAUGGCUUGAAUAAGGAGUCAUUGGAUGAUAUCCUUUUGUCUCUUGAAACGCAUCCCAUUGGAUAUGUGCAAGGAGCGAUUCUCCAGUUAUGGCCAUUAUUCCAAAAAGAGCAUGCACGAUAUAGUCUCGGGAAUUUGACUAUAAACGACCCUGUUUGCCAGUUUAUAAGAAAACUGGAUGGGAAGCCUAUCCUCGACCCAUAUAAGGCGUUCAAGCCGUUUCUGGACGUAAAACCAGAGGAAGAUGUGAGCUACAGUCGCAACUACCUGUAAAUAUCCUUUUACUUCACUGUUAUUUUAUUUCACUGUUGUUUUAUCAUUUGCAUUAUUGUCUUUAAUAAUUUUAUCAUUGUUUCUUUUUCUUUUUACUGUUUCCUUUUUGACUCGCGAGCCAUGUGCUUUACACGUUAUUUGACAAUGACAUGCCACCUCAUACACAGUUGUGACCCACUGUCACCAAGAUUCUUAAAUAUGACUUUUUGUUAAGCACUCACAAAUUGUUUUUGAGAAAUAUUCCAAUGGCAGCUACUCCCAAUAGACAAUUCAAGAACAUUUGUAUGGUUUUUGGAUUUAACUAUGGCAAACAUAAAGAGUUCAUUGAGGCAGCCAUAGAUCUUGGUCGAAGUAUAGCAGAGAGAAAAUUACACUUGGUGUAUGGAGGAGGUAACCGAGGGUUAUCAAAAUUGGUCUCAGAAGCUGCUUCUGUCAGAGGGAACCAAGUGUUAGGCAUUAUCUCAGGAGCCCUAAAACCUUUGGACAGUUUGUCAGACCCACCGACUGGAGAAGAGUUAGUCGUCUCAGGCAUGCAAGAAAGAAUAACUGAAAUCCAACACUAGAGGCACUUAUCACACUAGCAUCUUGGGCCCAUCUACAUAUUCACCAUAAACCCAUCGGUUUGUUAAAUGUCAAUAACUUUUAUGAUGGCUUCAUCGCAUUUCUUAACCAUGCAAUAAAAAACUAUUUCAUUCCUUCCACAGCGAAAAAGCUUUUUAUUUGUGCUCACACAGCUAAUGAGUUACUUGAUCUGUUACAAGCUUAUAGACCGGAGCCAGACCCCUGGACCUUUGUGUUGGAGCCUCCAAAUAAUGACGGUAACAGUAGCCGCAGUAAGAAGUACAAAUUAGAUUUAACUCUCCGCCUGUAAAUAAUUACUUCUGUGUUGCACUACCCAGGUGAUGUCUUCUAAACUCUACUUCUUUCCUUUAAAACAUUGAGGACAAUGUUUCGUUCUGGUUGGGGGGAGGGAAUAGUCGACAAUUGUGGAAUCUUAGUUAAGUUUUUACUAAUUUUUUGUUGUAGAAACUAACUUUUGCUAACUUUUUGUGUUGAAGAUGGCUGAAUAUGGAGUGUAGUGACUCUAGAAACGCAUCUCAUCAUUUGAAAAAAAAAAUUAAUUUAAAAAAAUACAAAAAAAAAUUCAGACAUUUUCUUUUUCUUUAUUUAUCUUUGAUAUUCAUUUUUCUUCCUCUUUUUAAUUUAUCCUUUAUAAAUAUACAUUUUCAAAUUUUUGAGUCGAAGAUGACUGAAUAUGGAGUGUAGUGCCUCUAGAAACGCAUCUUCUUAGUUAAAAAAAAUUUGUUUUCUUUUUCUAUCAUUUUAAGUGUAACUUUUCUAAUUAGUUUUUCUGCAUCAUUUUCACAUUUCUGCAUGCAUAUUUUCCCUUCAUGUUUAGAAUAGGUUGGGGGGUAGGAUGUUGUUUGAAAAAAAAAAUUGUGUGAAUUGUUUUAACAUUGGAUGACAUGAUUAAUUUCAAAUUUUAGUAUUUGUAUUAUCUUUGGUCUUAAGUGAUGUUACGCUAUGUUUGCUACUCUACAUGUUGAUUGCAGAGACAAAUAUGAGUUGCUUGAAGGAAUGAACAUGUCAUAAUAAGUACCAAGUGAGUUUUUGAGCCUAUCAUUUUUCUUGGAGAGUAACCCUUUUGCCCAUUCUUUAUACAGCUUAGCAGUUUAUUAUUUUAUACACGAUCUCUAGAUUUCUCUUGAGUUAAACCUUUAAAAAAAUUUGUAAAAUUAAAAAAAAAAUAUGUGUUGCUACAUUUGAAGACCCAUCUAACUAGUAGAUAUAGAAGAUUCUUUAAAGCCCUAAAAGACGAUGGAAAGGCCAUCUUUGAUCCGUUUGAGCCUUUCUAGCCAUCCCUUUUAUGAAAUAUCCAUAGUUAACCCUUUUGAGCCUUUAAAAAUAAUAAUAAUAAUAAUAAAACCUUUUCUUUGUCAACUUAUCAUCUUGACCCACUCCGAUUUGGAAUAUUACCCAAUGUCUUAUAAGUUCCAUCACCUAUUUAUGUUUGAGAAAAAUGUAAAUAAUUAUUUUGUUCAGUGACUUUGUGCCAAACAAAAGCAAAAAAAAAAAAAACAAAACAAAAAUCUCUGCAUUUUUCUCAAACAUACACUUUAUUUUCUUUAUUUCCCCUCCUUUGUUAGCCAUGUCCCUAGCUUACGUUACGUCCUAAUAAAAGUCCUUCUUGAUUUUAGGGAACUAUAGUCUGAAGUAGAAGCUAGUUAUAUGAGCUAAAAAGAUGUAGUGGUGCAUAAAAAAAAAUAAAUAAAUUGGGUUGACUAGCAUUUUUAUUUGACUUGAGAUCGUAUUAUUUCUAAGCUGAGGGCAUAUUUCUUACAUCUUGGUGAGAGCAUGUGAUAUCACUUCUUUAUUAUUUUCUCUCAAUUACCAUUCAUUGGAGUGACUAUUUUUAUUGGCUUUAAUUUCUUUAUGAGAGUGUCACUACUUCCAGUGAGAUUUUGGGGUUUGACAUGUCAUUCUUGAAAGUAGCAAUGACAAAGUCUACUGGGCUGAUUCAUGUGGAUGGUUGAUGUGGGUGUGAUGUUUCUUUAGACUUGAGAUAAUGCUUAUACAUUUAUUUGAUUGUUAUCAUUAGUCUGAUUGAAUAACCACGAGUGUUUAAAAAAAAAAUCAUUUUGGAUUUGAAUUUUGUUUUCGCUUUAUUUGCUAUGGACUAGCAAUAAGCUGGUUGGAGGGUGUGUUGAGUGUUAGAAAAUGUAUAUUUAUAAAGGAGAAAAUCAUCAUUUUACAUUUCAAGUCUUACUAACACCCUUACUUUUAUGUAUUUAAGCUUCUUGUCAUUUAAUUAUGUGUGUUGUAUUAUAAUUAAGUAUUUUAUGUAUUUUAGGGGCAUCAUAGUCAUUUCGCAAUGAAUGAGAGAUCAGACGGCAAAACAAACAUCACUUUUGAACUCAGGACAGUCGAAAACCUUAAGAAGAGCAUCAAAGGAAAAAAUGGUACUGUUCACAUGUACGGUACUAUUAACAUGAACGGUACUGUCUACGUUACUGUUCACGACACUGUUCACAUAGACGGAUCGAUGACGUGGCAUUGACCAAUGAUGUGGCAUUGACUGAUGAGGUAUCAAGAUCCUGUUGGACUAAAAUUCUUAUGCACUGUUGAUCGAUGACGUGGCAGCAUGUCAGUGGACCAAAAAUCUCGCGUACGAUACAUGCAUUAUACAAGAUUAUUUUCAACCAAACCGCGUCACUGUUCAACCCGAGUCAAACCGUGUUACUGUUCAAACCAUGUGGUCAAACCGCGUACUGUUGACUGAUGACAUGGCGUAAUCCUAAGCGUCCGAAAUGUUUUUGAUCCGAUGGCCAUGAUUUACUCAAUGUAUCUAUAAAAAGGGGGCUCUCCCCUCCUAAGUUGAUGUCUCUGAAUCCAUUUUUGGACUCCAUUUUCUAUAAUUCCUUCUCCUUCUUGUAUUUUCUACGUAUUUUAAUAAAUUUCUAUUUUGCCCCUAGUUCAAUUAUGAGUAGCUAAUUUUCUUUCAAUCUUGGGUUGAAGGUGAAGUCUCAACAUGUGUCAUGGGCUUUAUUUGGUAAAUAUAUUUUCUUUUCCCCUCUAAUUUUUGUGGAUGAUUUGACUUUUCGUCAACAAAUUAUAAUAAUCUUCUCUAGAUACCGCCUUGGUUUCACCGGCUUCUUAGUACAAGGUUUUAUUAUUUGGCACGAUAAGCCCUUAGCACCAUAUUGAUUAGAGUGUGGUUCAUGAUGUGUGGAUACCCCCCUCAUGAUUUAAUUGACAUUAAUAAGAAAUAUUUAGCCCAUGGUGCAUGUUGAUACGGAUCCAGAUACCCAAGUACGUCAUUUCAAUAAAUUUCUCUUCAAUUUAUUCUCGCCAUUUCAAUUCCAAUUUUAGGAUAAUCUAAGUCACUUUCACUACAAAUCCAACCACCUUCAUACAAAAUUAAUUAUACAUAUAAUUAAAAUCCACCUCCUCGUGGGAUCGACACUCGUUACCAUUGAUCUAUACAACAAUAGAUUCGUGCACUUGCGAGUUUAAUAAAAUUUGCACAACAUCUGCUAUCUCCCAUAUCCUGGCUACAUAAUGCAUGAGCACAUGUCCUAUCAUAGGUAGGAUAGUUAAGGGUUGUUCCACUCAAUUUCUCACCAAAAUUGGCAAUUAGACGUCCUUCUUGCAUCAAAAUAGCUCCAAUACCUACAUCUGAAGUAUCACACUCAAUUUCAAGAGUUUUAUCAAAAUCAAGUAAAGUAAGUAAUGGUGCAGAAACAAUUUCUCCUUGAUUAGAUUAAAUGCCACUUCUUGUUCACUACCCCACUUAAAUCUCACAUUUGUCUUCACAAUUUUAGUUAAUGGUGCAGCAAGGGUGCUAAAAUCUUUCACAAAUCUUCUAUAAAAACUAGCCAAACCAUGAAAACUUCAUACCUCACUUACAUUUUUAGGUAUAGGCCACUCCUUAAUAGCCCUUACCUUCUCUUCAUCGACCUCAAUUCCUUUAGCACUUACAACAUAACCAAGAAAAACAAUCUAACUUGUACAAAGGGAACACUUCUUCAAAUUAGCAUACAACUUUUCCUUCCUUAAAACAGUCAAUACACUUUGCAAAUGUUCAAUGUGAACCUCUAAGCUUUUGCUAUAGAUCAAAAUAUUAUCAAAAUAGACAACUACAAACUUACUAAUAAAAUCAUGCAAAACAUGGUUCAUUAACCUCAUAAAAGUGCUAGGUGCAUUAGAUAACCCAAAUGACAUCACUAACCACUCAUGUAAACCAUAUUUUGUUUUAAAGGUAGUUUUCCACUCAUCUCCCUCUCUAAUUCUAAUAUGAUGAUAUCCACUUUUAAGAUCAAUUUUACUAAACACAUAAGAACCAUGCAAUUCAUCAAGCAUAUCAUCAAGUCUAGGAAUAGGAUGUGUAUACUUUACAAUAAUUUUAUUGAUUGCACGACAGUCAAGCACAUCCUCCAUGUUCUAUCCUUUUUGGGCACUAGUAGAACUGGUACCGCACAUGGGCUCAUGCCCUCUCUCACAUAUUUCUUUGCUAAGAGUUCUUCAACUUUCCUUUGAAGCUCCUUUGUCUCCUUGGGGUUGCUUCUAUAUGCAGGCCUAUUAGGAAUGUUAGCUCCAGGGAUAAAGUCUAUUUGAUGCUCAAUUCCCUAAUAGGUGGCAAAUCAUUAGAAACUUCAUUUGGAAACACAUCUUCAAAGUCUUGUGAAAGAGUCACAAUAGCACUAGGCAAAGAAGAGUUAAUCUCAUUAGUAUGUAAAAAAAGCCUCUUUGCACAAAAGUAUAAUGAUAGGCUGUUUUGAAAAGAAAACCUUCUUAACGUCGCUCUCUUUUGAAAACAAAUUCACUUACUACCUCUCUUUUCUAUCAACAAUAUUCUCAUUUUUUGGGAUCUUUCCAUUUGUUUUUCUCUCAAUCUCUCUUUCUUUUGUACUCCCAUUUUCUUUUUUUGUAUCACUCUCAGUUUUUUAUUGACAUUUGAUCCUCAUACACUUGUCUAAGUGUUAAAGGUACAAGAGUGAUUUUCUUUUUACGCAUUACAAAAGAAUAUCUAUUUAAGUAACCAUCAUGUGGCACACGCCUAUCAUAUUGCCAAGGUCGCCCAAAAGAAUGUGUCUAUCAUGCAUGGGGUACUACAUCACAUACAACCUCAUUCUUGUAUCUCCCAAUAGAGAAUGAAACCAGCACUUGUUUAUUCACUUUAACUUCCCCACAAUCAUUUAGCCAUUGUAGCUGAUAUGGCCUAAGAUGUUUCAAAGUUUUCAAAUUUAAAUUUUUAACUAAACAGUGCUAUCUACAUUAGUACAACUUCUACCAUCAAUUAUCAUACUACAUACCUUAUCUUUGAUACGGGAUCUAGUAUGAAAGAUGUUAUCACGUUGUACCUCUGCAUCUUCUUUUACUUGCAUAUUGAGAGCACACCUAGCAACCAUCAAUUUACCAUCAACAAGAUACUCAACACCAUCAUUAGCAUCCUCAAAAGGUGGCAUAGGAUCAUCAUCUAAUUCACUCUCGGUUUCAACAUCACCAUCAUCCCUUAAGAUUAUUGCUCUUUUAUUUGGGCAUUGAGAUGUAAAUGACAUGUCCCCAAACAUUUAAAACACUUAAUAUUUCUAUUUCUAGAGUGUUGGGAAUCAUAUUAACAUUUGCUUUGGUUGCCUCCCUCUUUGUGAUCCUUGAAUGGCUCAAUCUUAAGCUUUGAAACAACCUUUUCAUCUUUGCUCCAUUUUGACUUCCAUGAGGAAGAUGAGCCCAAACUGGAACCUUUCUUUUUUAGUUGUUGUUCCACUUUCAUGGCCAUGUGAACCAUGUCUUCCAACUCAACAUAGUGCUACAGGUCAACCAUGUAAAAAUCUUGCCACAGUGGCCUCUCGUUCUUCUUCAAUGUUGGCUCAAAUCAUGAUUAUUUCCAUCUCCUUAUAGUAAUCUUCCACACUUUUAGAACCUUGUGUAAGACUUUGAAGUCUUUAGUGCAACUCCCUAUAAUAAUGACUAGGAACAAAUCUCCUCCUCAUGAUGGUAUUCAUCUCCUCUUAAGUGUCUACAAGCCUUUCACGAUUUCGUCUCCUACUCAAAACAAGUUGAUCCCACCAAAUAAUAGUAUAAUUAUUAAAUUCAACAGCAGCUAGUUUUAUCUUUUUUCUCCUCAGAGUAGUUGUGGCAAUCAAAUACUAGCUCCACCUUUUUCCCACUAAUGGAAGCCCCAUAAUGAAACUUUGAAAACUCACACUUAAUUUGAAGUUUCAACUUCCUAAGAAGUUUUAAACAGAUUUAAGCUUAAACAAAAACCUUGACCCAAUGUUUAAGAAAACAUGAACCAGAGGUAUAGAGAAGGAUAUUGAUGUCACACUCAAGAUUUAGAUGAGAAGGUGAGUGAUAAGUCUAUUUUGGAACGCCACAAGAAUGCAAAUUCUUUAUAAGUUCACUAGUUCUCAAAAGAACUAAAAAAAGAAUGAUCUUGAAUAAUAUUCAUCUAUAAUUGUCUUACAUAGCAAGGUUGUUGAGUUUAAAUAGGCUAAUAGAAACUCAAGGUCCUAAAAAUAAAAAUGGAAACAUUGGAACAACCAAGUUAGGUUUGUCAAAGGAUGCUUCAAAAGUCUUCAUCAACCCACCAUUAUUAAUACUAGUCAUUGACAAACUUAAUGCUAGCUACCAUAAUUAAUGCUAUCAUUGACAAACUUAAUGCUAACCUGCCAUAAUUAAUGUUAUCAUUGACAAACAUAAUACUAGCCCACCAUCAUCAAUGGUAGACUUACCUAACACAUUGACAAACUUGAAACAAAACAAAUAAAUGAAGUUGAAUGAACAAAGGAGUCGUUGGAAUUCCCCAAGCCUGAAUAUCUUGCAUUCUAGAGAACUCAUUCUAGAGAACUCUAAAUCUUGCAUUGGAAAGCUAACUUAAUUAUCUUUUCAAUGAUAUGCAGCUUCCACAUUAGUUAUGGCUCAAUCCAUAACAAUUUUUUUUUCUAAAUUUGCCCUUUUUACAUUGAAUUCAAAUUGUGUAUUUGGCUACCGAAUAGCUUGAAUAAUGCCAACAAUGCCUUGUCUUCUCUCCAAGCCCAAUUCAUGAUGUCUUGCAUCUUGAAUUGCAUUUUCAGUCCAUAUUCUCUCAAUUAAUCCAUUUAAGCAGCUUGCAUCUUUUUGGCUCUAGCUCUUGUAAUUGGGCCCCCAUGAAUGCAAAGGAUCACUUGAAGCUUAAAUGGUAUUCCCUUUAUAGUUCUCAUCACCCACUCCAAAUAAGCUUCAGAAUUAUUUUUACCUUAAAAAGAAGGAAUUUUUAGUUUGAUACUCCCUAAGUCACGAUAUAUACAUCUUGCCCUUCUAUUAGCUCUUCCAUGCAUGUCAAUGGUGGCAUGAUCAUCAAAAUUAUCAAGGUCAUCCCCAUCUUCUUCUCUCAUGGCUGCAUGCCCUUGAUUACUUCUUACAUUACGAGUUACUGGUUGUUGCCCCAUUUGUAGAUUGGCAAUGGCAAUGUCUUGCCUCUCUAAUUUGUCACGGAUCUCCCGGACAUUAGAUUCAUGUGCUCAAUUGUUGUUGCAUGGCUUUGAACAUGAUUGAUUGGUCUAUGACUUCUGAUCUUUGACAUAUUUGUGAUAUGAAAGAUAAUGUUAGCAAAAAGACCUCAUAACACUCGCUCACGUGUUUCACUCAAUUUGUUGUCACUUAACUCUCGUGUUUAUCACACAAAUUGGCUUUUAUACUCUAAUCAUCUCACAAAAAUUUGCCUUUUACCACACUUAAUUUUCUCUUUCAGUUCUUUAUUGAACUGAAUAAAAAAAAUCAAGAAAAACCCAGGUGGCACACCAAAUAUGACAAACUAGCACACUAAACAAAGAAAAUGAAUUAAGAGGAUGCAAAGAAUGACAAAGGAAAUUGAACAAAAGAAAACAAGCAAGCAAAAGAACACAAUUGAUAUUAUGUGUAAACAAUGUCAAGGAAAAUGAAUAACUAAAAUUCAAUUUGAUGAAAGUAAGAAGACUUGAAUCCUUUUGUAAUUUGUUUUUUUUUGUUGUAUUUUUUUCUUUCUUUUUUCUUUAUUUUUAUUGAUAAUCAAAAUAAAUAAGACAUACAAACAUGAUUAGAAACUAGCUCUGAUACCAAAUGAUGCGAAUCCCAUAAUAAAACUUUGAAACUCACAUUUAAUUUGAAGUUUCAACUUUCCAAGAAAGUUUUAAACAAUUUAAGCGAAACAAAAACCUUGACCCAUUGUUUAGGAAAACAUGAACCAAAGGUAUAGAGAAGGAUAUUGAUGCCACACUCAAGAUUUAGAUGAGAAGGUGGGUGAUAAGUCUAUUUUGGAAAUCCACAAGAAUGCAAAUUCUUAAUAAGUUCACUAGUUCUCAAAAGAACCAAAGAAAGAAUGAUCUUUCAAAUUCAAAAUAACAUCUAAUUGUCUUACAUAGUAAGGUUGUUGAGUUUAAAUAGGCCAAUAGAAACCCAAGAUCCUAAAAAUACAAAUGGAAACAUUGAACCAACUCUCCAAGCAUAGGUUUGCCAAACGAUACUUCAAAAGUCUUCACCAACCCACCAUUAUUAAUGCUAGUCAUUGACAAAUUUAAUGCUAGCCUACUAUAAUUAAUGCUAGUCAUUAACAAACUUAAUGCUAGCCCACCAUCAUUGAUGAUAGACUUACCUAACGCAUUGACAAACUUAAAAUAAAACAAAUAAAUAAAGUUGAAUUGGAAUUCCCAAACCUUAACAAGUUAUAAUAAAUUGGUCAUAACACCUUCUAGAGAACUCCAAAUCCAGCUUUGUAAAUUGCAUUGGAAAGUUAACUUAAUUAUCUUUCCAAUGGUAUAUAGGUUGAACAUUAGUUCCAACUCAAUCAAUAUCAGUUUUAUUCUGAAUUUACCCUUUUGCGUUUGACCCAAAUUGUGUAUUUGACUGCACAACAACUUGAAUAAUCCCCACAAUUCUUUAAUGGUAUUCUCUUGAUGGUUCUCAUCAUUAUCACCCAAUCUUUGCUUCUAGCAACUAGGUUCACUAUAGAGACAAAUACAGCAGCAAUGGUGUUUUCUCCUUCUCUCUCAGCCAUAUUCGCUUUAGCAGGAUUUUUAUUGAAUCUUAUUUGCUCAUCUUUAUCUCUGUAUUGAGAGGCAUAGUGCACAAAUUUUCCACAGACAAAGCAAUGAACUUUCCUUUUAGUUAUCAGAUUUUGGUUUAUUAGGGUAUCUUUUGUUAGUUUUUUUUUUCAAAUGACACUGAGGAGUGUUCUCAAUUAUGAGACGCAUCUCUAAUUUUAUUUCUCCUUAAUCCUAAUAUGAAUAAUAGCAUCUUCCAAACUCACUCAUUUCUUCUUAAGUUUCAUAGUUUUAAUAAAAUCUUUCCAUGAUUUUAGAAUUCUUAAUCAAACAACUAGAUACAAAGCAUUCAAAAAGAAAUAUUUUCUUCUUUUUUAGAUAUUAACCAACAAAUGAUAGUCAUGGACUUGGUUAGACAUAGAUUUACCAUUUUUCAUCCUAAAGUGUAGGAAAUUACCCAUAUAAUAUUGUUAGGUCCCAGUAUCUUCGACUAUAUAUUUUCUAUUAAGUAGUUCCCAAAUCACAAAUGCAUUCUUAUAUGGAUAAUAAGCAUCAUAUUGGGAACUAGCAAGAGUGCUCAAUAUUGUGUACCCAUAGACUUUAUUACUAGCACUCUAAGUCUAUAAUUUCCUGUCAUAAUAUUCAGCACCCUCUUAUGGCAAGUUGUUUGCCCUUGAAUGGUUUAAUUUAGAAGUAUCUGAUAAGUUCUUCGCAAUUAUGACAAUGAAAGCAACUACAGGCAAAGCAGCAAUAGUUAAAGAAUUAUUGGGAUCUUGCGGUGGAUGUAUAUCACUCAUAAUUUUUCCUUAAGACUGUUGGAAAUAUGAGUAAUGCAGCAAAGAGGAGAUUAAAGUAGCAAACAACAAAACAAUCAAGGCAUGUGAUAACAUUAUUGAUGUGAAACCCAUAGUGAAACUUUGAAACCUACAUUUAUUUUAAAGUUUCAACUGCCCAAGAAAGUUCUAAACAAAUUUAAGCCAAACAAAAUCUUAGCCCAAUGUUUUAAAAAACAUGAACCAAAGGUAUAAAUAAUGAUAUUGAUGCCACACUUAAGAUGUAUAUGAGAAGCUAAGUGAUAAGUCUAGAUUGGAACGCCACAAGAAUGUAAAUUCUUAAUAAGUUCACUAGUUCUCAAAAAAACCAAAGAAAGAAUGGUCUUUCAAAAUCAAAUAACAUUAGUCUCUAAAUAUCUUCAUACACAGCAAGGUUGUUGAGUUUAAAUAAGCUAAUAGAAACCCAAGAUCCUAAAAAUACACUUGGAAAUAUUGGAACAACCCUCCAAGCAUAGGUUGUUGUGUAGGAGAUAAUUUGAACAACCCUUCAAAGGAUGCUUCAAAAUCUUCACCAACCCACCAUUGUUAAUGCUAGUCAUUGACAAACUUAAUGCUAGCCUACCAUAAUUAAUGCUUGCCCACCAUUAUUGCUGAUAGACUUACCUAACACAGUAACAAAUAAAUGAAGUUGAAUAAACAAAGGGACAAUUGGAAUUCCUAAGCGCGAACAAGCUAUAAUAAGUUGGUCAUAUUGUCUUCUAGAGAACUCCAAAUCCAGUUUGUAAAUUGCAUUAGGAAAGUUAAUUUAAUCAUCUUUCAAAUGGCAUAUAAGUUGCACAUUAAUUCCUAUCAAUCAUACCUGUUUUGUUUUGAAUUUACCCUUUCUGCAUUUUACUCAAGUAGUGUAUUUGGUUGUCUAAUAGCUUGAAUAAUGCCCACAAUGCCUUAUCUUCUCUCCAAGCUAAAUUAAUCAUGUUUUCCAGCUUGCAUUGCAUUUUCAGUCAAUAUUUUCUCAAUUAAUCUAUUUAAAGCAACUUGCAUCUUUUUUGCUCUGGCUCUUGUAAUUGGGCCUCUGUGAAUGUGCAGAGCAUUAGUUAAAGCUUUAAUGGUAUUCCCUUGAUGGUUGUCAUCAAUUAUCCUUAAGACUAAAUUUCGUGCCUUAGGGAUUGAUAACCCAAUGCAAGAACGACAAACAAAGCAGUAUGGUCUCCAGGAUACAGUGACUGCUAUCGCAAGUCUGAACUCUAAGCAUAAUAGACUAAACAUUAAAAAGACAAAGAAAAUUAUAGAAAACCUAGAGCUACCCAUUUUUGAGUGCCAAAUGUAUGGUAUAAGUAGUUUUUUUUGUACACACAGGCCUUAGCCCUAUUUUCUCUUUGAUUUAAAACAAAUCAUAAUUCGAAUAGGAAUCAAAUACUCAAUAUAACUCAAAUUAAAAUACUAAAAUAAGAAAUCAAUAUAACUCAAAUUAAAAUAUAUAAAAUAAACAAAGAGAAAAAACAUAAAAUUAGGUUAAGCUCGCGCACAUACACGACAUUUUGUGGGGGACAGAGAGAUCCCAUUGUGUAUGAGAUUUUGGGCUCGAGCGCUUAGUUAAAAUGUUUCUAGAAUGGGAUCCUCUUUUGGGCUUGGAUUCAUGCAUAUAUGCGUCCUCCUAAUAGGCUUUGUUACCACACCAUAUUUGGAUUCUAUAUAUGAAUUAACUUUUUCUCUCUUCUUUUAGCAAUGUAAGAUAUUGAUAUUUUGAAAUAUCAACUCAGAUAUCUAAAACUUUUACUUUUGUUCAAAUUAUUCAUUUAAGACCCAUGACUAUAUUCAAUAUAUUUUUAGAAUUUUUUUUAGUACUAAGCUUCAUAGAAUACUUUUGCUUUAGUUCAAAUUAUUCAUUCAACACCAUAGCUAUAAUCAAUUUAUUUUUAACAUCCCUUCCAUCUAAUUCUCCAUCUUUUACUUAGGGCACUCAGCUUUCACACUAAUAUUUACAGGUAAGUCAAUUAUUUGAUUUAUUUAUUAAACUAUGAUUUAGUACAUAUAGUGUCACUAUUUUUAUUCUUAACAUAGGAAUCAUUAUGCCAUCAUCACCUAUCACAGGUGUAACUCCUAAAAUCAUAACUUAGCAUAUCAACACCCUAUUCUAUUAUAGGUUGAAAUCCCAAUUCAACACAACACAAUUGAAGAAAAUGAAAGCAUGUCUAGACAAUCAAUUUAGGACACGUGGAAGUGUUGAAAUCUCACAAAAAAAAUCAUAUAGCUUUUAUCUCAAAUAUUGAUGUUUUCACAACUUUUUACAUUUUCAUAUUGGUUGCAUGACUCUAGUGAUAUUUUGAACAAGUGUAUCUACUAAUUGAAAUGGACCAAAAAUAAAAUAAGAUUCACCUUUUUAUAUUUUGAAUACAUCAUAUAAAGGUUGCUAAACCAAAGAAAUUUUGACAAGAAAAUAGUCACAACUAAAAUGAUCUAUUCAUAUCUACUAUGUACACUCAAUGUUCUAUUUGGCAAAUUAGUUGUGCAGUAUAAAUGCACAAAUCAUGUUUAUGAAUACACAAAUAUUAAUCAAGCAAAUGGUAAUCUUUUUAAUUACAUUAUUUUAAGGGCUUCCAAGCGUUAGAGUGAUCAAAACUGGAGAUUUCUUUAUCAAAGAUGCAAUUCCAACACUUGUUGGCUCUCUAGGAACCAUCAAUGUCAGUUUGAUCUGUAAAUUAAAAGAAAAUAGACAAUUUAAGUGAUAUAAUCUAAAGGUUCGUGUUUAUAUUUUCGUUAAAAUCUAUUCAAUUAUUAUCUACCUUUACUUGUUAUCUGUUAGGUUGAUUUUAAUUUUAAUGAAACAAAAAUAUUAUUUUUAACCUUAAAUCAAAUUCAACAGUUCUAAAAAAAUGACAACAUGAAUAUUUUAUUUUUUUAAAAUUAUGUGAAAAAAUGUAUAAUUAACACAAACUAUAGGGAGUAAGAUAAUAUUAUUUAUCCUUUCUUUAAUAAGAAACAAGAUUUGUAGUUGAGAAUGGAAAUCUCAAUCUAGCUACUUAACUAGAAUUAUAUAAUUGAUCUACUCCAGGUUGUAUAUAUAAAAACCUUAAUAGAAAGAAAGGUCCAUCAACUGGGCUCUUGGAUCAUCUCCUUUCUCAUUAAUUGUAUCUCUUCUUCUUCUAUCAUCUGCAAGUUCAUCAAAUUCAAAUGACGACUUGGACACGAUGUUAAAUUAUAUGCAUAGAUACAUGGUGAGCAUUUAGAUAUAUACGUGGUGCUAUUUUGUGAUUUUUUGUAAAUAAUAUUGAAGUAAUAGAUUAACUAAAAAGUACAAAAUGAUAGUGUCACUCCUAUAAGGUGAGCACUUGCUAAAGAGAGAGUAGUUAUAGCUUCUGUAACUUCUCUACUCUUUUCUUUUGUAGAUUCUCAAGAUAUAGUUUUGUUGCAACCUGUCUGCAUCAAAGAGCUCGGAAAAGGCUUAUAAUAUGACUUAAAUAAUAAGUUAUAUAUUGCAUACUCACAUAAUAGUUGAACGUUGCUCAUUUAACAGUUCUUUAUUGAUUGAGUGUGAACUCUCGUGGGUUUGUGUUUUCUUUUGCCUGUUAUUGAAGACAUGCAUACAUACAUGGGAUCUAUCUCUCAAUUAUACUUCAAAGAGAGAUUGUAGGAUUGAUAUUUGAUUAAAACAGAAUAAGACCUACCUUAUAAUGUUUGUUACAAAACUCUUUUACCUACCAAAAAUUCAUUUCUUGCUAAGGCCCGGCUUGGAACACAUACCAUACCCAUGCGUGUUGUGUCUAUGUGUGCUAUACUGUGUGCCGUGUUGUGUCGUGCCUAAGAAAUAAGCACAACAAGUUUUUUUUUCUUUUGUAACUUUUUUAAAAGGGCAUACAAAAUUGUUGGCAUAAUUUUUUUACGCAUAUGUACAUUUUUUGGGUCCAUGUGCCUUUAGUCAAAUUCAAUAGAAUCAAAAGUUUAAAACUCAAGUCUAUUCAAUAAUAAUGAACUAAUAAUAAUAAGAGAAUGUAACAUUAAUUACUGAGUUAGACCCUAUGAUAUUAGAAUUUUAAUACUUAACAACAACAAUAAUAAUUCAUUUUUCUUAAGGAUUAACUUAAUUGUUAACUUGAAUUUAUAUAGAGUUAUAGAUCAUAGUCCGUAAUAACAUUAAUACAUACAUUUUACAAUACAAUAAUAAUAACUAAUAAUAAUAAGAGAAUUUAAUAGUAAUUACUAAGUUAGAUCCAUGAUAUUAGAGUUUUAAUGCUUAACAAUAGCAAUUAUAAUAAAUUUUCUUAAGGGUUAAUUUAAUUGUUAACUUAAACUCAUAGAGAGUCAUAAAUUAUAGUUCAUAGAGAUUGUAAUAUUUAUAAUUUUAUUUAUUAAAAUCAUAAUAUCAUCUAUUCAUUUAAUAAAUUAUAAACAUAAAAUAAUCAGAAUUUUUUUUAAUUAAGAAUUAAAUGAAUUUAAAAAACUUGUGCUAAUAAAAUAUUUUAAAAUAUUCAAUUUCAAGUUAUUUGUAAAAUCAUAAAAUUUUAAAUUUACUUUCGUUAAAAAGUGAAACGUGCUUAUUGUUGUUGGUUUUUUUAUGUGUCCUCUUUAGCCUAUCUCUAAUCAUGUCGUGUUUUUAAGGCUCAUGUGUCUAAAAUUCUCAGCCUAUCCCAGCUCGCUUACGUGUAAUGUCAUGCUGUGUACCUACCAAAACGUGCUCGUAUCAUGCCGUGCCAUGCUGUACGGACAUGUUUUGUGCCCGUGUCAUGCCCAGUGCUACGCAACUCGAUGCUACCCAACCUGUUGGUUGUCUCUAAAUAAGCCAACUCGGAGCACUGUACAAUAUCAUUGUUUUUGUCACUCUGAUGUCAACCAAUAUCGUCAACUAUUUUUUAUUUGGUUGAGGCUAUUUGCAAUCUAAAAAUUAUUCUGAAUACUCUUAUUUAAAUAAAAUAAUUUAUUACAAAAUUACCCAUCAUAAAAAUUACUGUUAAGGACAAUUUGUUUAGGAGCUAAUAUAACUUAAUUACUUUAAAUACUCAUAUAGUGUACUCAUUAUUCAACGUAUAAUCUUUUAUUUCUAACAUCUUAAAAAAUACUUCAUUUGAACAUGCAGCAAAUCAAUAUUUUAAGUUUUUUUGAAGACAAAAUAUUUGCAAUCCUUACAUUUUUCAAGAAAUAAAAUGAUAUGAAAUUAUUGCAGAGGUGCUCAAAUUUUUUUGUCUUUGAUUUUAAAAAAAUUAAAAGCACUCUAAACCUAAUAUCCCAGUCAACGUCUUAUUCUUCUUCCCUUUUGUGUCAGAUGGCAAUUUGUUUUUCAAUUGUUAUUCCGGUAGUUAAAGUCCAUAUCUCUUAAUCUUAAAGAAUUUGUAGGUGCAAAAAUUGAUCUAUGGAAUACAUUCUUUAAUUAAUGAUAACUAAUAAGUAAAAUUAUUUUAAAAUAUUUGUUUAAAACUUGACAUAAUUCCAUUGUUGCAAGUUAUGUUAAAUUUCUUUUAAAAAAAAAUCUUUGAGCUUGUGGAAUAGUUUUAUUGGUGUUUUGAGUAAAUUAAUUUAAAUGACUUAAGGAGGAACUUUUUUGGGAUUUUAAAGAGUGUAUAGAGAAAAAAUUAAAUUUUAGAAUAUGAGUGUAUAAAACCCCUUCAUUAAUCUUAUAAAACCUCUGCUAUUUCACAAUUACAUUUAAGGACAAAUAUAAAUAGAAUUAAGCAAUUUAUAUUUUUUUUCUCUUCAAUUUUAUUUUGCUUGCACAAUAUAAAUAUCUUUUAUUAUCAUUAAAAUAAUCUGAAUUUAAAAAAUAAUUCUCUAAGCCAAAACAAAAUUCUUGUAAUAAACAUAACAAUUUAAUUAAGAUACAAUACAAUGGAAAAAUAAGUUAAAUAAAAUUUUAUCCCACUACAAAUAAUUUUUUAAGAAUUCUCAAACUAAUUUAUAGGUGGGAUAAAAUUGUAUUAGACCCAUAAAUUAUUAUUACUUUAUAACUAUAAUUUUUCAUUUUUUAGAUUUUUUUCUUCCAAAUUUUAUUAAUAAAGAAAAUUUGAAGAGAGGAAUACAAAUAUUAAGAUUGAAAGAGUGAGAAAAAUAUUAGAAACUGAAAAAUUCAUAAAUGAAAAAGUGUUCAUUAAAAAAAAAAGAUAUUUUUGGCAUUAAAUGGAAUAUAAUUGAAAAAGGAGUUUUAAUAGGAUUUUAGAGAGGUGCUAAUAAUCCGACUCAUAAAGUAAUAGAGUGUGCAGAGUAACUGUUAGAGUCCUACCCUUUUUAUUUUAGACUCAAUUAGAUCUGACAUAGCAAAAAAAAUUGAAUGGGCUUUUAGAGUUAGAUAAUUUUAAUGUAUCUCACCAUUCUAGUUGCCGAGGAACUCCACGAAUCUGCAGAUUGUGAACUAGCUUUGACAAACUUUGAAAAAAAAAAAUGUUCAAUUAGUAAUUUAUUCUACAACGAAUUGCCAAAAUGGAGGAGUUUAUUGACAGGAAACAUAAAAACCAUUAGUGAAAACUCGAUGCGUGCUUUCGCCAACAUUACCCUUCUCUCUUGUACCGAACUUUCUGAAUAUACCAAGCUAAUAAAUUCCUUCAAAUCUCUUCUUGCUUAUUAGACAACGUACUUUUUCUUAUUUUCAACUAAUACAAGUAAUCAAACCAUGCAGUUAUCUUUAAUCAGUGUUUUGAUUAUUUAAAAACUUACUCGAUUACCUAAAAAAAAGUGAUUAGAACAAACAAACUACUGAGAUAAUUAAUUUAGUCAUCAAUUAGAAGCCAAGAAAAUGUCCAUACUCCAAUUUUACAUAUCUUAGUUUAUAGGGAAUGUAAUAAUUCCGAUUGAUUAUUUGGUGAAAUUAAGCAAAACUUUCUUGAUAUUUUAUAAUACAUUCAAAUCCUCUUAUUGUUAUAACAGUGUUGACUUUAUUGAUCAUUUUAUUUGGUGAAAAGGGUAUAUUUAAGAUUAAGUUUCCAAAAUUAUCUAACAUUUAUAUACUAUAUAUAUGCCAUGAUAGCAUCAAUGAUAAUAUUAAUUAAGGAACUUUUUACAAAAAGGGAAAAAGUUACUUUUAAUUAAAAAAAAUAUUUAGACUAAUUUUAAAUUUGUUUGGUUUACAAUUAGGAAUCUACUGCAUCAACCUAAAUUAUUUAUAUUGUUACAUAGCUUAAAUUUCUAUACAAAUUCUGCUAGUAUUUAUAGUAAGAAGUCUGUUGUAACCAACUUAAAUCAUUUCUUUUCUUUCUUUUAAUAAAAAGGGGCUCUAACAAGAAAUAGGGCAAAACUAAAUAGGAAUAAGCAACCCCAUAAUUUCAUGAGUAACAAAAGCACCCACACUAGAAAGGGGAAGAAAAAAGAUGAAAGCCUAAAGGAGGAAAUAAGGCAUAAUUUUGAAGAAAGCUAGCGGUAAAAAUAUAGUAAAAGUAACAAAUUCACAUAUUGCUAUUAACACACCAACCUGGGUGAUUUCCCUGCUGAAAAAUUAAGUGUAAAUGUAGCUAAUGAUUUAUCUUUACAUGCCAAAAACGUGUUAGACCACUUGGUUCCAAAAGCAAUGUUCCUCAGAAGAAGAGAAUGAAAAAAUUAGGAUCCACUUGCAAAUAAUAAUAAUGUAGUGAAGCAACUGUUGGGGAAUAAUCAGGUUUUUAAAUUUUUUUAUAAAACCUUUAAAGGACCGCUCUCAUAUAAUAUAUAAGAAUUUGUAUUCUAGAAAUCGUACCUUGAAAAUCCGAGUUGGCUUUUUCCGCUGAAGUGAUUUAGGCUCCUAGAUCACGAUCCGCCACCACCACUCCUGUUAGAUCACGAUCCGUCACCACCACGCUUGUUAGAUCACAAACUGUCACCAAUGAUCUUCCAGGUUAUGACUCAGAUUCGAUCUGCACUUGACGUGUGGGCGCCUUUAUCACUACCAAAAGCAACUAGCACGAGAAAAUUUUUCUCUCAAUAAUAGAGAGAAAAAUCUUAUUCUCUGAUCUGUAUAAAGUGGCUUCUCUUUUUUCUUUAGAGAAAAUAAGCCUUAUAUAUCUCCCUUUAGUGAAAACUCUAGGCUCCAAAUAAUGCCCUAAAUAAAACUCACGUUAUUUUCUUUUUCAAUAGGGGACCCACCUUGUAAAAUAACAUAAGGCUCCUUAUACAAAAGCUAAUUAAAUAGAGCCUCCCACUAAAUGAUAUAUUUAGGCUUUUGACCCAAAUAACUAGUUAUCUUACUUAUUAGUCCAGUAGUGGUGCAGUCAAUUAAAUGAGCUAACCCAGGGAUCAUUUGGGAACAUACAAUAGUGGCUACAAUAAUUAGGCCUGUAAUUAAACUAGCCUAAUUAUUUAAUUCCAAAUCUACUCCACUAAAAGAUUGGAACUGACUUCCAUAAUUGUAUGCUCGAAUAAUAAUUCGUCCCAAGCCACAUUGAUUUCUUUACUGCACAAUCCUUUGUACCACAUCGUUAAUUAAAUUGAUAUCUCAACUGUCCAAUCAAUUUAAUAACAUCUUAUUCCUUGAUCCUUACUGGUUUUCUCUAAUGAUCAUUUUCAACAUACUAAAUAUAUUGACACACUCUGGCCAGAGAAUUCUAUGAUCAAGUGCCGAAAACCUAUUAAGAGAUGUGUUGUACAAAUUCUAUAUUGUUAAUCCAUAACUCCAAUACUCAUAAUUGCUCCCACCAAGAUACCGAGUAAUCUUGACCACAAGGAUGUGUCGUGCCCAUUGGUAACUCAAAUGGAAUAACAAUUACAAUCAUGAAAUCAUAAUUAACUCAAGAUUAAGAUUACAGUAAAAUCAAUGCCUAUGAGAUUUAAUAAGUCUGACAGUUAUUACAAAGUUAAUUAAAUCUCACAUGUGAUCCUGUUCAAUGUAGUCGUACUACAUCAAUAAAUUCAUACAUGAUUAAGACAAAUCAUUCAAUGAAUUUAUUACAGUCUAUACCUAAAUAAAGUGCCCAACUUUAUUUAUCAACUGCGAACUAAAUUUAUUUAAUCAUAAGAUAACUUGUGUUUAUGUCUUCUGUGAAUCCACAUGGUGAUCACAUAAAUACAUAUAAUAUGAUUAAAUGGACUUUAAUACAAAUAUUAAUGCAAUUAAGAUAUUUGAAUAAAAUACCUCAUUUAUUUUAUUAAUCAGAAAAAUUGUUUAUUACAAUUAAAUAAACACAUAUGCUUUUAAAGAGCAUAUUUUCCCAACAAUCUCCCACUAGCACUCAAAGCAUAUUUGGCAUCUCACGCAUGCCCAUGGAUUCCAAGUGCAAGUUAAAAGGUUUCCCGGGUAUGGCCUUAGUAAAAGGAUCUGCCAAGUUUUGCUGUGACGCAAUCUGAGUAACCUCCACAUCACCUCUCUGCACUAUAUCCCUUAUAAGAUGAUACUUCCUCUCAAUAUGUUUUUGUUUCUUGUGGUUCCUUGGUUCCUUAGAUUGAGCUACCGCACCACUAUUAUCGCAAAAUAGUUUAAGGGGUGCAGUUACAGCAGGUACCACCUCAAGAUCUUGUAGGAACUUGCGGAGCCAUACAGCUUCUUUUGCAGCUUCGGAUGCAGCCACAUAUUCAGCUUCAGUUGUGGAGUCUGCGAUACAAGAUUGUUUCACACUCCUCCAACUAAUAGCUCCACUUCCCAAUGUAAACACAUAGCCGGAAGUUGAUUUUCUGGAAUCCUUAUCUGACAUAAAGUCAGAAUCAGUAUAACCCACUGGAAUGAGUUCAUCACCAGAAUACACAAGCAUAUAAUUUUUAGUUCUUUUCAGAUACUUCAUUAUAUGCUUGACCGCAGUCCAGUGUUUAGGUCCAGGAUUAGAUUGAUAUCUACUAACCAUCCCUACCGCAAAACAGAUGUCUGACCUAGUGCAAAGCAUGGCAUACAUAAGACUUCCCACAGCUUCUGCAUAGGGAACUCGUCUCAUUCUCUCCAUCUCUUCAGAUGUUUUAGGUGAUUGAUCCUUAGAGAAUGUAAUUCCAUGUCUGAAUGGUAAUAAACCAGUCUUGGAAUUUUCCAUGCUAAAUCUAGCCAAUAUCUUAUCGAUAUAGACCGCUUGAGACAAGGCUAAAGUUUUAUUCUUCCGGUCUCGUAGUAAUUUGAUACCAAGAAUAUAACUUGCCUCUCCCAGGUCUUUCAUAUCAAAUUGUUUUGCUAACCAACUCUUUAUUGUAGUCAAUACUCCUAUAUCGUUUCCAAUUAGGAGAAUAUCGUCUACAUAAAGAAUUAGGAAGGCUACAGAUUUUUCUUGAAUUUUCUUGUGCACACAUGGUUCAUCAAUGUUCUGAAUGAAUCCAAACGAUUUAAUCGCUUGAUCAAAUCUGAUGUUCCAUGACCGGGAUGCUUGUUUCAAUCCAUAAAUGGAUUUCUGCAACUUACAUACCAUGUGUUCUUGGCCUUUUUGUAUAAAUCCAUCUGGUUGCUGCAUGUAGAUGUUUUCUUCAAGAUGCCCGUUAAGAAAGGCAGUCUUGACAUCCAUUUGCCAAAUUUCAUAAUCUAGCAUUGCAGCAAUGGAGAGCAGAAUCCUGAUGGAUUUAGGCAUAGCAACCGGAGAAAAAGUUUCCUCAUUAUCGAUUCCCUCUUUCUGAGUAAACCCGUUGGCUACUAAUCUUGCUUUAAAUGUUUCCACCCUUCCGUCUACUCCUCUUUUUCUCUUGUAGAUCCACUUGCACCCUAUAGGUUUUACCCCAUUUGGUGCCUCUACAUGUUCCCAGACUUUAUUGGAAUACAUAGAUUCCAUUUCUUGAUUCAUGGCCUUUUUCCAAAAUUCAACAUCUCUAUCUAUUAGAGCUUCGUUGUAACUAGUGGGAUCUUGUACAUGUUCAUCUGAGAUAGCCGUAUAGGUUUCUCCCAAAAGCAUGUAUCUCGCAGGUAACCUAGUUACCCUCCCACUACGACGAGGUUCUAAAAGUGAUGGAUGUUCAGGGUUAAUCCUGUGUUGAUCAUCUGGUUGUUGCUGUUCUUCCUGUUCUGUAACAGGCGUUGAAAGCUGAACAUCAACCUGAUCACCUGACAGCUCUUCAAGUAUUACCUUACUCUUAGGUUUGAAGUUAUUCAUAUAGUCUUCCUCAAGGGAAGUGAAAUGUGUGCUCAAGAUCACUUUCCUAUCUUGAGGACUAUAAAAUAAACCUCUCCUUGUUCCUUUGGGAUACCCCACAAACAUACAAACCUCAGAACGUGAAUCCAUUUUGUCUGCCUUUGGUUUCAGCACAUGUGCUGGUGAUCCCCAAAUACGGACAUGUCGUAAACUUGGUUUGCGACCUGACCAUAAUUCUAUUAGGGUUUUAGGCACUGACUUAGAUGGAACUAAGUUCAAAAGGUAAACUGCAGUUUCCAGUGCUAGUCCCCAAAAAGAGAUUGGUAAUGAAGAAUAACUAAACAUGGAUCUCACCAUAUCCAAAAGAGUUCUAUUUCUUCUUUCAGCUACCCCAUUGUGUUGUGGUGUUCCCAGGGCAGUCAAUUGAGAUAUAAUCCCAUUUUCAACCAGAUACUCUUUGAAAUCUCCUGAGAGAAAUUCACCACCUCGAUCAGAUCGAAGUUUCUUUAUGUUCUUAUCUAAUUGCUUUUCUGUCUCAGCCCUAUACUCUUUGAAUUUCUCAAGAGCUUCAGACUUAUGACGCAUCAGAUAAACAUAACCGUAUCUUGAGUAAUCAUCAGUAAAAGUGAUGAAAUACUCAUAACCUCCUCGAGCUUGUACAUUGAUUGGUCCACAUACAUCUGUAUGUACCAAUUCAAGUGGUACUGUUGCACGUACUCCUUUGGCCGAGAAUGGCCUUUUGGUCAUUUUCCCUUCUAAACAGGAUUCACAGAGUGGCAAUGAUUCAUUUUCUAAUGGACCCAAGAGCCCAUCUUUGAUCAUUCUCUGUAUCCUAUUUUGGUUUAUAUGACCCAAGCGUAAAUGCCAGAGGUAACAUUGGUUGGAAGAAAUAAUUCUUUUCUUAGAUAAAUGUGUAUGCUCAUCAUUAUUUAUCACUGUGUCAUGCAUAGAAUGGAUCAUUGGACGUAAAUGAUAUAAAUUAUCUUCCAAUGUACCAGAACAAAUAAGUCUCUUAUUAUGAAAAAUAGAAACAGAGGAUCCAAAAUUUACAGUGUACCCUUGCUUUGACAAACAAGCUACUGAAAUUAAAUUCCUCUUAAUGUCUGGAACAUAAAGACAAUUAUUCAAAACUAAAGUCUCAUUAUUAAAAGAUAAUAAAACAGAUCCAGUCUUUACUGCUGACACGAACUGUCCUGUCCCUAACUGCAGCUUGACGCUUCCUUCACUUAUUUUCCUGGUUUCCUGAAACCAAUAAAGUGAAUUACAAAUAUGAUUAGUUGCUCCUGAAUCCAACACCCAAGUGUCCAUAGGAUUCUGAACUAAACAGGCCUCAAUUACAAAAAGAUUUCCCAUACCUGAUUUCACAAUCUUAGGGCAAUCCUUUUUCCAGUGACCUUUCUGUCCACACUUGAAGCAUUUGCCUUUCGGCUUGCCAUCUUGCUUGGUAGACGGUCUCUUUCUCCCAGCUUUCUUCUUACCUUUGCCUUUCGGUUUAGGCCCAGAAGAUGAACUUUUUUCAGUAAUAUUUAUGCUUCCCAGAGAUUUCUCAGCACGAUAGAUCUCUUCAGCAGAAUGGAGUUCGUUCAUCAAUUCAGUUAAGGUCAUAUUUCUUUUGUUCAUGUUAUAAUUGACCUUAAACUCCUUGAAUGUUUCUGGCAGAGAUUCUAGCACCAUGUCAAUCUUUGAGUUAUCAUCGAUUUGUGCUCCCUGAAUCUCAGCCUCAUUCAAAUAGUCCAUCAUUUUGAGGACAUGAUCACGAACUCUUGUGCCCUUCCCCAUUUUACUGUUCAUAAUUCCUUUCAGCGCUGCUUGUCUCGCAGAGCGAGUACUCUGCCCGAACAUCUGUUGGAGACUAUCCAUUAUUUCAGUGGCAGUCUCCAAGUUCUGAUGUUUGGUCUGCAGAAUAUUAGAAAUCGAGGCUAAAAUGUAGCACUUUGCCAUUUCAUUGGCCUUUUGCCAUUUCUCAUAAAGCCUCCUCUGAUUUCUAUGAGCAUCAUCCGCUGGAAUUGGGGGGCAUGGCUGGGUUAAGACAUAUUUAUAAUUUUCAGCAGUCAGGACAAUGAAUAGAUUUCUUUUUCAAUCUAUAUAGUUCUCUCCAGUGAGUAUGUUUUGACUCAGAAUAAUAGUAAGUGGGCUCAGGGAAGACAUUUUCUGAAAAAUAAAACAUCCAUGCAUAAAUAAUUUGAAAUAAUAUUCACAAUAAAUGACAAAAAUGCAUAAAACCAUAAAUGUAUUUUAAUUUAUUGUAACGAUAAUCUAGUUCCGUUUUGACAAGCUAUCCGGUGGGGAAGUCAUGUCUAUACUUACUAGACCCAAUUACCCAUUGGAUUAUUUACUUUCAUGUAGAGACAUGAUAAAUAAUUAUCGUUAUCUUUUUGGGCCUAAAUUUGUUAACAGAGCUUUGUUGGGAAGGUUAAUAACAAAUUUUAGUUGAGUGUAUAACCAUUGUUUCAAUCUACGUAUUUUUCAUAUCAAUAGUCACCGUUGGGAUGAACAAUCGAUUGAAAAAUAUUUCAAUUUUAUCUUUGAAGAAGUUCAUCAAAUAAAAUUUCUAAUAUAUAUACCCUCCGAAGGGAGCAUCACCGUAUCAUGAAGUCGAGGUAUAUAUAUAAUUUUAUUAUUGAACUAACAAUGGAGCCCGUGGGAAAAUUAUCUUAAAUUUUCCCUCUCCCACUCAAUAUUUUAAAAUUGGUUUUUCCUUUUUAAAACAUACAUAUUGUUAAUUGCAUGCUUCCUAUAAUAUUAUCUAGAUGAUAUCAAAUAUUAUUAAGCAUGUGCAAAUUUCAAACAAUAUAAUGAAAUUCAUAAUUAAUGAAUUUCAUUAAUUAUGCAUAGAGUGGCACUACCUAUUCUAUAUGACAUGUUAUCAUGGCAUGUUAUCAUCCAAAACAUAACAUAUAGAAAAACAAUUAAAUAAUCUUAAUUCAUGGAUUUCCUAAUAAUGAAAAAUACAUUAACCCUAUGCCUAAUCUUCAUUGGGCUUCUUGUCAAUGUCCAUCUUCCAUAAGCUUGUUUUUGUUAAUGGACUAGGGGAAAUUGGGCUUUUAAAUUUAUAAUUGGUCCAAUUUUAAUUUUUGAAAAGAAAUAAAUAAUUAAUUAAUUUUUUUUAUUAAAAUAAAACUUUUGGACCAAAAAUAAAUUUAAUGUAUUUAAUUUUGUCUAUGCAUUUUUUAAUCCAUUAAGCCCAAUUGAAAUUGGGCCUAAAACUAGGAUUCUUUAAGCCCAAAAUUGUUUUUAAACUUGAAUGCAAAAAAUUAAAACUUGACUGCCCAAAUGAAAAAUUAUGGAACCAUAGGGACCUCCACGAUAAAAACCAUGAAACCCUAAAUCCAUAUUUUUCUUUCUUUCUUCUUCCCCAGCCGCCAUCUCCACAAAGCAGUAGCUGCUGUUCCCGGUCAACCGCCGCUGUUCAGAGAUGCCGGCCGGUCUCCGUUACAUCUCCGACGAGGAGCGACCGACCCGCGCGCACCUUGCUGCUGGCCUCGGCAGCGUUGCUUCCAGCUGCAGCACAUGCAGCGCGCGCUGCUGGCCACGCUGGCCGCGCGCGCUGCUUGCUGCGCACAGCGCAGCACGCGCCGCUGGCCAAUGCUGGCCGCGCGCACUGCUUUGCUGCGUGCAACGCAGCGUGCGCCGCUGGCCAUUGCUGGCCGCGCGCGCUGCUGCAGCAUGCCCUGGUGCCCUGCCGCACGCGUGUUUUUGCGUUGCUGGUUGGUGGCUGCUGCUGAAAAAAAAAUUCCGGCUUCCGUCGCUUUGAUCUCAUUUUCCAGCGAUGAAUUACAAAUUUCCUAUGUCAAUUUUGGCUUACAAAAUUUCUUUAAUAGUAAACUAAAUCAAGAGGGAAACAUGGUGAUAAAAGACCACCCCUCUUGUUAUAGAUCCAAAGAAAUAUUACAACGGAAAAUCUAACCAUGAAUCAAGACAAACCAUAACAUGCUUUAUUCAUAUAUUAAACAAAUAAUAUAUAUCUGAAUAAAAUGUGCCACUCUAAUACAUAAAUUUCAAGAUUAAUUUCAUACGAAAUUCUUAUAUAUUAAUAUGAGAUGGCUCUGAUACCAAUUGUUGGGGAAUAAUCAGGUUUUUAAAUUUUUUUUAUAAAACCUUUUAAGGACCGCUCUCAUAUAAUAUAUAAGAAUUUGUAUUCUAGAAAUCGUACCUUGAAAAUCCGAGUUGGCUUUUUCCGCUGAAGUGAUUUAGGCUCCUAGAUCACGAUCCGCCACCACCACUCCUGUUAGAUCACGAUCCGCCACCACCACUCCUGUUAGAUCACGAUCCGUCACCACCACGCUUGUUAGAUCACGAACUGUCACCAAUGAUCUUCCAGGUUAUGACUCAGAUUCGAUCUGCACUUGACGUGUGGGCGCCUUUAUCACUACCAAAAGCAACUAGCACGAGAAAAUUUUUCUCUCAAUAAUAGAGAGAAAAAUCUUAUUCUCUGAUCUGUAUAAAGUGGCUUCUCUUUUUUCUUUAGAGAAAAUAAGCCUUAUAUAUCUCCCUUUAGUGAAAACUCUAGGCUCCAAAUAAUGCCCUAAAUAAAACUCACGUUAUUUUCUUUUUCAAUAGGGGACCCACCUUGUAAAAUAACAUAAGGCCCCUUAUACAAAAGCUAAUUAAAUGGAGCCUCCCACUAAAUGAUAUAUUUAGGCUUUUGACCCAAAUAGCUAGUUAUCUUACUUAUUAGUCCAGUAGUGGUGCAGUCAAUUAAAUGAGCUAACCCGGGGAUCAUUUGGGAACAUACAAUAGUGGCUACAAUAAUUAGGCCUGUAAUUAAACUAGCCCAAUUAUUUAAUUCCAAAUCUACUCCACUAAAAAAUUGGAACUGACUUCCAUAAUUGUAUGCUCGAAUAAUAAUUCGUCCCAAGCCACAUUGAUUUCUUUACUGCACAAUCCUUUGUACCACAUCGUUAAUUAAAUUGAUAUCUCAACUGUCCAAUCAAUUUAAUAACAUCUUAUUCCUUGAUCCUUACUGGUUUUCUCUAAUGAUCAUUUUCAACAUACUAAAUAUGUUGACACACUCUGGCCAAAGAAUUCUAUGAUCAAGUGCCGAAAACCUAUCAAGAGAUGUGUUGUACAAAUUCUAUAUUGUUAAUCCAUAACUCCAAUACUCAUAAUUGCUCCCACCAAGAUACCGGGUAAUCUUGACCACAAGGAUGUGUCGUGCCCAUUGGUAACUCAAAUGGAAUAACAAUUACAAUCAUGAAAUCAUAAUUAACUCAAGAUUAAGAUUACAGUAAAAUCAAUGCCUAUGAGAUUUAAUAAGUCUGACAGUUAUUACAAAGUUAAUUAAAUCUCACAUGUGAUCCUGUUAAAUUCCUGCAAAAGUAACACCCAACGAAUUAGUCUAGCUUUUGCAUCUUUCUUUGUGAGAAGAUAUUUAAGAGCAGCAUGAUCUGUGAAUAUAAUUAUUUUAGAACCAAUGAGAUAAGAUCGAAAUUUUUCUAAUGCAAACACUACUACUAGCAUUUCUUUUUCAGUAGUUGAAUAGUUCAACUGUGCAUCAUUCAAUGUCAUACUAGCAUAGUAAUUAACAUGGGGAAUUCGAUCUACUCUUUGUCCUAACACUGCUCCUAUUGCAUAAUCAAAUGCGUCACACAUGAGGUCAAAUGGUAAGCUCUAGUUUAGGGGCUGAAUGAUGGGUGAUGAUGUCAACAACCGCUUUAAUUUUUUCAAAUGCCACAAGACAUGAAUCAUUAAAGACAAAAGGUACAUCCUUAGCAAGUAGAUUGCAUAAGGGUCUAGAAACUUUGCUAAAAUCUUUAAUGAAAUGUCUAUAAAAAUCAGCAUGCCCAAGGAAAGAUCUUACUUCUCUGACUGUUUUGGGUGGAGGAAGAUUAGAAAUAAGAUCCACCUUGGCUUUGUCAACCUCAAUACCUUUGCUCGAAAUGAUGUGACCGAGAACAAUACCUUGUUUUACCAUAAAAUGGCACUUCUCCCANNNNNNNNNNNNNNNNNNNNNNNNNNNNNNNNNNNNNNNNNNNNNNNNNNNNNNNNNNNNNNNNNNNNNNNNNNNNNNNNNNNNNNNNNNNNNNNNNNNNNNNNNNNNNNNNNNNNNNNNNNNNNNNNNNNNNNNNNNNNNNNNNNNNNNNNNNNNNNNNNNNNNNNNNNNNNNNNNNNNNNNNNNNNNNNNNNNNNNNNNNNNNNNNNNNNNNNNNNNNNNNNNNNNNNNNNNNNNNNNNNNNNNNNNNNNNNNNNNNNNNNNNNNNNNNNNNNNNNNNNNNNNNNNNNNNNNNNNNNNNNNNNNNNNNNNNNNNNNNNNNNNNCCUUUAUAAAUAUGCAUUUUCUAACACUCAACACACCCCCCAACCAGCUUAUUGCUAGUCCCUAGCAAAUAAAGCGAAAACAAAAUUCAAAUUCAAAAUAAUUUUUUUUUGUUUUAAUAGAAACACUCGUAUUUAUUCCAUCAGAUUAAUGAUAGCAAUCAAAUAAAAGUAUAAGCAUUAUCUCCAGUCUAAAGCAACAUCACACCCACAUCAACCAUCCACAUGAAUUAGCCCAGUAGACUUUGUUUUAGCUACUCUCAAGAAUGACAUGUCAAACCCCAAAAUCUCACUGGAAGUAGUGACACUCUCACAAAUAAAUUAAUCCCAAUAAAAAUAGUCACUCCAAUGAAUGGUAAUUGAGAGAGAAAAUAAUAAAGAAGUGAUAUCACAUGCUCUCACCAAGAUGAAAUAAAUAUGCCCUCAGCUUAGAAAUAAUACGAUCUCAAGUCAAAUAAAAUGUUAGUCAACCCACUUUAUUUAUCUUUUUUUUUUUUUAAUUAUGCAUCACUUCAUCUUUUUAGCCCAUAUAACUAGCUUCUACUUCAAACUAUAGUUCUCUAAAAUCAAGAAGGACUUUUAUUAGGACGAAACGUAGGCUAGGGACAUGGCUCACAAAGAAGGAAAAUAAGGAAAACAAAGUGUAUGUUUGAGAAAAAUGCAGAGAAUUUUUUUUUUUUUUUUUGGAAGUUGCAAGGUGGAUUUCACCUAUUUUUAUUCUUUUGAAACAACAACUUUUGUUUUUGUUUUUGUUUUUGUUUUUUUUUUUUUGCUUUUAUUUGGCAUAACUUCACUGAACAAAAUAAUUAUUUACAUUUUCUCAAACAUAAAUAGGUGAUGGAACUUAUAAGAUAUCGGGUAAUACUCCAAAUCGGAGUGGGUCAAGAUGAUAAGUUGACAAAGAAAAGGUUUUUUUUUUUUUUUUUUUUAAAGGCUCAAAAGGGUUAACUAUGGAUAUUAAAUAACCCAUCGUCUUUUAGGGCUCUAAAUAAUCUUCCAUAUCUACUAGUUAGAUGGGCCUCCAAAUGUAGCAACACACUCUUUUUUCUUUUUUUUUUUAUUUUACAAUUUUUUUUUUAAGGGUUAACUCAAAAGUAAUUUAGAGAUCGUGUAUAAAAUAAUAAACUGCUAAGCUGUAUAAAGAGUGGGCAAAAGGGUUAUUCUCCAAAAAAAAUAAUAGGCUCAAAAACUCACUUGGUACUUAUUAUGACAUGUUCAUUCCUUCAAGCAACUCACAUUUGUCUCCGACAUCAACAUGUAAAGUAGCAAACAUAGCGUAACAUCACUUAAGACCAAAGAUAAUACAAAUACUAAAAUUUGAAAUUAAUCAUGUCAUCCAAUGUUAAAACAAAUCACACAUUUUUUUUUUUUAAACAUCAUUCUACCCCCCAACCUAUUCUAAACAUGAAAGGAAAAUAUGCAUGCAGAAAUGUGAAAAUGAUGCAUAAAAACUAAUUAGAAAAGUUACACGUAAAAUGAUAGAAAACGAAAAUGAUUUUUUUUUUUUUAAAAGAAGAUGCGUUUCUAGAGGAACUACACUCCAUAUUCAGCCAUCUUCGACUCAAAAGUUGGAAAAUGUAUAUUUAUAGAGGAGAAAUUAAAAAGAAGAAAAAUAAACAUAAACACAUAAUAAAGAAAAAGAAAAUGUCUGAAUUUUUUUUUUUUUUUUAUAAACGAUGAAGAUGCGUUUCUAGAGUAACUACACUCCAUAUUCAGCCAUCUUCAACACAAAAAGUUAGCAACAGUUAGUUUCUACAACAAAAAAUUAGUAAAAACUUAACCAAAAUUCCACAAUUGUCGACUAUUCCCUCCCCCCAACCAGAACGAAACAUUGUCCUCAAUGUUUGAAAUGAAAGAAGUAGAGUUUAGAAGACAUCACCUGGGUGGUGCAACACAGAAGAAAAUAUUUACAGGCGGAGAGUUAAAUCUAAUUUGUACUUCUUACUGCGGCUACUGUUACCAUCAUUAUUUGGACGCUCCAACACAAAGGUCCAGGGGUCUGGCUCCGGUCGAUAAGCUUGUAACAUAUCAAGUAGCUCAUUAGCAGUGUGAGCACAAAUAAAGAGUUUUUUCGCAUUAGAGGGAAUGAAAUAGUUUUUUAUUGCAUGGUUAAGAAAUGCGAUAAAGCCAUCAUAAAAGUUAUUGACAUUUAACAAACCGAUGGGUUUCUGGUGGAUGUGCAGAUGGGCCCAAGAUGCUAGCGUGAUAAGUGCCUCUAGUGUUGCAAGAUCUCCUGGAAGGAAAAUAAAAGCAUCAGCAUGAUUAAGCAUUUCAGUUAUUCUUUCCUGCAUACCUGAGACGACUAACUCUUCUCCAGUUGAUGAGUCAGACGAACUGCCCAAUGGUUUUAGGACUCUUGGGAUGAUGCCUAACACUUGACUUCCUCUGAUAAAAGCUGCUUCUGAGACCAUUUUUGAUAACCCUCGAUUACCUCCUCCAUACACCAAGUGUAAUUUUCUCGCUGCUAUGCUUCGACCAAGAUCUAUGGCUGCCUCAACGAACUCUUUAUGUUUGCCAUAGGUAAAUCCAGAAAGCACACAAAUGUUCUUGAAUUGUCUAUUGGGAGUAGCUGCCAUUGUGAUACUUCUCAAAAACAAUUUGUGAGUGCUUGACAAAAAAGAAAUCACAUUUAAGAGUCUUGGUGAUAGUGGAUCAUGGUUGUGUAUGAGGUAAUAUGUCAGUGUCAAAUAACGCGUAAAGCACGUGGCUCGCAAGUCAAAAAGAAAACAGUAAAAAGAAAAAAAAGCAAACAGUAAUAAAAUUAUUAAAGACAAUAAUGCAAACAAUAAGACAAUAGUGAAAUAAUAAAGUAAAAGGAUAUUUACAGGUAGUUGCGACUGUGGCUCACAUCUUCCUCUGGUUUUACGUCCAGAAACGGCUUGAACGCCCUCUAUGGGUCGAGGAUAGGCUUCUUAUCCAGUUUUCUUAUAAACUGGCAAACAGGGUCGUUUAUAGUCAGAUUCCCGAGACUAUAUCGUGCAUGCUCUUUCUGGAAUAAUGACCAUAACUGGAGAAUCGCUCCUUGCACAUAUCCACUGGGAUGCGUUUCAAGAGACAAAAGGAUAUCAUCCAAUGACUCCUUAUUCAAGCCAUCCCUAAUGAAUUGAAUCUUAUCUUCCCUGUUAUCAGACAUCAUUCCUAAAGAACAUGGGUUUUUAUUGCAACUCAUUCUGGCACACUUAUGACAAGCAACAGAAAUUUUUCGAGCUCGUCGUUUUCUUGCAUAAUUUCCUUUACCACAACCAGGCAUGUAUGCAAUAAAUUUUGGAGGUAACUCACCUGCCGAUCGUACUUUAGCCUCGAUUAACCAACGGAUGUCAGCAGGUAUGUUAUUCCUCAUGAGUAAUCGCAUGCGUUCGGACCGAGCUUUAUAGAUCGUAAGGAGGGCAUUCUGAGGAAGUGAAGGGAAUCGCUUGUGAAGCUUCGCUAGAAUCUCGUUUCUGUCCAUACUUUCGCCUCAGAAUAUCAGUUAUUAUGGGAAACUGAAGUAACCGACUUGAUUGUCACGGAGUACCGUUAUCCGCCAUUUCACCGGGGUAACAAACUAAAGCACACAAAUAGAAAAACAAAUUAAAACACACAAAGAAAAUUAAAAUCGUCCUCUUAUUGAAUUUACCUCAAGCUCCAACUGGAUGUCGUAAACACUUCUCUCAAUGUCUCUGAGUUGGCUUUCUAAACCCUUAACAUAGGCUACUAACUCUGGUGGUUGUAGAGUCCAAAUGCGUUGUGUUUUACAAAAUUGAAUCUGUCUUUUGAGAUGAGUUUUGACACGUUGAAGUGGUUUAAGAAUGUUCAGGAGGAACGGUCUAAGUAUGAGACUCAUGAUUAAAAAUGAUAAGAGAAAACUUAAUGGUAAAAUAAACACACUUAUGCAAAAACAAUUUCAAUUAGCAAAAGAAUAAUAAUAACAAGAAAGAAAGAAAAAUCAAAUCAACGAAAAGAAAAAAAAAUCAAUUCAAAUUUGGUGGGUCACUCAAAUUUAUUUCGGUGUCUUCUUCAUGUGGUUGGUACUCUAGAUAUGGCUUUAAUCUUUGACCAUUAACUUUAAACGUGACACCGUUCUUUGGGUCUUUAAUUUCAAUUGCCCCAUGUGGAAAAACAGUAUGAACAAUAAAUGGGCCAGACCAGCGAGAGCGUAACUUACCUGGGAAUAGGUGCAAGCGAGAAUUGAACAAAAGCACUUUCUGACCUGGAGUGAACGAUUUUCUCAUAAUUUGCUUAUCAUGGAAGACUUUCAUUCGUUGCUUGUAAAUCUUGGCAUUUUCGUAUGCAUCAUUGCGAAUUUCUUCAAGUUCUGCCAGCUGUAAUCUUCUUUCUGAGCUGGCUUGCUGCAUGUCAAAAUUGAAUUUCUUGAUGGCCCAAUAUGCACGAUGCUCGAGUUCCACAGGUAGGUGGCAAGCUUUUCCAUACACUAGCCUGUAGGGUGACAUCCCAAUCGGGGUCUUGAAAGCCGUUCUAUAUGCCCAUAAGGCAUCAUCAAGUCUUAAUGACCAAUCUUUUCUAUCUGGCCUCACCGUCUUUUCUAAUAUGUGCUUUAUUUCUCGAUUGGAGAUCUCAACUUGGCCACUGGUUUGCGGAUGAUACGGGGUCGCCACUUUGUGUGUGAUUGAAUACUUUGUCAAAAGAGCUUUGAAUGCUUUGUUACGAAAGUGGGCACCACCAUCACUGAUUAUCGCUCGAGGGAAUCCAAAGCGCGAAACAAUGUUGCUUUUUAAAAAUGCUAUUACCACCUUGUGAUCAUUGGUCCUACAUGGAAUUGCUUCUACCCAUUUUGAUACGUAGUCAACAGCAACCAAUAUGUAUUGAUGGCCAAAAGAAGGGGGAAAGGGUCCCAUGAAGUCGAUACCCCAUACGUCAAAAAUCUCAACCACUAAAAUUGGAUUUAGUGGCAUCAUGUUCCUUCGUGUAAUGCUUCCCAUUCGUUGACACCUAUCACAUGAAGAACAGAAAGUGUAAGCGUCUCGAAAUAUAGAUGGCCAAUAGAAACCACAUUGUAAAACUUUAGUCGCUGUCUUCUUAGCACUGAAAUGGCCUCCACAAGCUUGUUCAUGGCAGAAUGAAAGGAUAUUCUGAAUUUCACUUUCUGGGACACAUCGUCUAACAAUUUGGUCUGCACAAUACUUGAAUAAAUAUGGGUCAUCCCAAAAGAAAUUCUUUAUUUCCGCAAAGAAUUUGAUCUUGUCUUGCUUGGUCCAAUGCUCUGGAAGUUUACCUGUAACAAGAUAAUUAACUAUAUCAGCAUACCAAGGUAAUACUUCCACACUCAUUAAUUGUUCAUCUGGAAAUGACUCAUUUAAUGGUAAUUGUUCUAUAAUUGUGUCAAAAUGGAGACGAGAGAGGUGAUCCGCCACAACAUUCUCUGUGCCUUUCUUAUCUUUGAAUUCCAAGUCAAAUUCCUGCAAAAGUAAUACCCAACGAAUUAGUCUAGCUUUUGCAUCUUUCUUUGUGAGAAGAUAUUUAAGAGCAGCAUGAUCUGUGAAUAUAAUUAUUUUACAACCAAUGAGAUAAGAUCGAAAUUUUUCCAAUGCAAACACUACUGCUAGCAUUUCUUUUUCAGUAGUUGAAUAGUUCAACUGUGCAUCAUUCAAUGUCAUACUAGCAUAGUAAAUAACAUGAGGAAUUCGAUCAACUCUUUGUCCUAAAACUGCUCCUACUGCAUAAUCAGAUGCAUCACACAUAAGCUCAAAUGGUAAGCUCCAGUUUGGGGCCUGAAUGAUGGGUGAUGAUGUCAACAAUUGCUUUAAUUUUUCAAAAGCCAUAAGACAUGAAUCAUUAAAGAUAAAAGGUACAUCCUUAGCAAGUAAAUUGCAUAAGGGUCUAGAAACUUUGCUAAAAUCUUUAAUGAAACGUCUAUAGAAACCAGCAUGCCCAAGGAAAGAUCUUACUUCUCUGACUGUUUUAGGUGAAGGAAGAUUAGAAAUGAGAUCCACCUUGGCUUUGUCCACCUCAAUACCUUUGCUCGAAAUGAUGUGACCGAGGACAAUACCUUGUUUUACCAUAAAAUGGCACUUCUCCCAAUUUAAGACCAAAUUCUUCUCGAUACAUUUCUGCAGAACUAGCGUUAGAUGAUGUAAACAUUGAUCAAACGAGUCACCAAAGACAGAAAAAUCAUCCAUAAAGACUUCAAGGAAUCGUUCCACCAUAUCAGAAAAAAUGCUCAACAUGCAUCGUUGAAAUGUAGCAGGUGCAUUACAUAAUCCAAAUGGCAUUCUCCUAUAUGCAAAUGUGCCAAAAGGGCAAGUGAAAGUAGUUUUCUCUUGAUCUUUUGGUGCUAUGGGAAUCUGAUUAUAUCCUGAGUAACCAUCUAGAAAGCAAUAAAAUUCGUGGCCUGCUAAUCUAUCAAGCAUUUGAUCGAUAAAUGGUAAAGGAAAAUGAUCUUUACGUGUGACAGAAUUCAAUUUUCUAUAAUCAAUGCAUACACGCCAUCCUGUAGUUACUCUAGUUGGUAUCAAUUCAUUAUCGGUAUUCGUAACUACUGUGACUCCUGACUUUUUGGGGACAACUUGUACAGGACUGACCCAUGAACUAUCAGAAAUGGGGUAAAUGAUACCUGCAUCUAAUAGCUUAAGGACUUCAGUUCUAACCACUUCUUUCAUAUUAGGAUUUAACCGACGUUGCAUUUCCCUAGUAGAUUUAGCAUUUUCAUCAAGGUGAAUGUAAUGCAUGCAGUCUACUGGAUUUAUACCUUUGAUGUCUGCUAUGGUCCAUCCUAAUGCUCCUUUGUGCUCUUUUAAAACAUCCAACAACUUACCUUUUUGUUCGUCAUUUAGGGAUGAUGAGAUGAUUACCGGCAGAGUACUUUCUUCUCCCAAAAACGCAUAUUCCAAAGUGUUGGGCAAUGGUUUGAGCUCGAGUUUCGGUGGUGAUUCUGAUGAUGGAAUGAGUUGCUUCUCUGAUGGUGCUAGUUGUUCAACUCUUGACUUCCAUUUAUUAGUGUCCAUAGAUGGUGCUGAGUCAAGCAGGGCGUUGACCUCAUCAACCGAUCUGUCAAUAUCAAAAUCAAAACCAAAGUGAGUUAAACAUGUUUGUAAAGGAUCAUCACUAAGGUUUGAAAGAAAAGUGUCAUCAACUAAUGCUUCGAUUAAAUCCACAUCAACAAUUCCAUCAUCUGCACUGUGAGGUUGUUUGGCAAUGUUGAAGAUGUUCAGCUCCAUAGUCAUGUUGCCAAAGGACAACUGCAUAUUUCUAGUCCUACAUUGAAUGUGAGCAUCCGCAGUUGCUAAGAAAGGUCGGCCUAGAAUAAUGGGGAUGUGCUUCCUUGAAUCCUGUAUUGGUUGAGUGUCAAUUACAAUGAAAUCAACAGGAAAAUAAAACUUGUCUACCUGGAUAAGCACGUCCUCCACAAUACCACGAGGUAUUUUCGUGGACCGAUCUGCAAGCUGUAACACCACUGGAGUUGGGUGUAAUUCUCCCAGUCCAAGUUUCACGAAUACAGAGUAAGGCAAAAGAUUUACACUAGCUCCUAAAUCCAACAAAGCAUUCUCAAUUGUGUGGUUCCCUAUACUACAUGAGAUAGUGGGGGAGCCUGGGUCUUUGCAUUUUAAAGGAAUUUUAUGUUGGAGUAUAGAACUAACGUUUUCUGUUAAAAAUGCCUUCUUUUGAACAUGCAUAUUUCUCUUUUUAGUACAAAGGUCUUUAAGAAACUUGGCAUAGGAUGGAACUUGUUUAAUAGCAUCAAGCAAAGGGAUGUUAACACUUACCUGUUUGAAGAUUUCAAGAAUCUCACCUGUGGAUUUUCCCUUCUUUCCUUUCGCUAACCUCUGAGGAAAUGGAGCUUUUGGAACAUAUUCUCGUGGGUUGGUUUCUUCUUUUUCCUCCGGUGAUGAGUCCUCAACAUUCACAGGUACAAUUUGAUUUUCUUUUGUCACUGGCAUCUCCACCUUGUUGUCGACUUCUUUUCCUUUUCGCAAGGUCAUUACUGCUUUGACCUCUCCAUGCUGUUGUGGUGAACUGGUACUUGCUUCAUGUACUCCUUUAGGAUUAGGCACUGGUUGACUUGGAAACUUACCUUUCUCAACGGUCAUUGCCAAGGUUUGAACUGAAGAAGCAAGUUGUCCCACCAUCUUCUCGAGGCUUGAAACCGAUUGAGCUUGUGAGUUGAAGCCUGCUCUCAAUUCAUUUCGUAGUCCAUCAAUGGUGCGGUUCUGUUGCUCAAUCGUAGAGUGAGUAACAUUCUUGAAAUUUUGGAAUGCAUCCUCCCAUGGUCUGGGUUGAGAGUAGUUCUGAUUCUGAUUGAAUGGUCUAAAUGGGGGCUGAGAGGCUUGAGGAAUUUGUUGCAUUGGUGGAGCUGGAGCUGCUGGUCCAUUUUGUUGGAAUCCUUGAGACCAUGAAAAAUUGGGGUGGUCUCUCCAUCCAGGAUUAUAUGUGUUGGAGUAUGGGUUGUAAUUCGAUGGUUUUCUCAUUACACCUAUGGCAUUGGCUUGAUCUGAGUAUGAGUCAUGGUCAUGUGGUUCUGUUGAUUUAGCAGUCGAUAACGAUGCUAUUUGUCGAGCAAGACCUUCAACCAUCUCCUUGACUUCUUUGAUUCCCGAAGUUGACUCGCCAAUUUGAACCUCAUUUACUCCCUUAAUUCGUCUAGUAUUCCUGAGUGAUCGACUCCGUUGUUGGGAAUUAUCCGCUUGUCGCUGGAAGAAUUCCCAAAUCUCUGAUGCACUUUUUGACAUUAGCUCUCCUCCACUUGUUGCCAUUAGCCAUUCUUGCACAUUUGGCAAUAAUCCCUCCAAAAAGUAUUGGCAUUGGUGCCAUUUCUCGUACCCAUGAUGUGGACACUUCAAGAGUAGCCCAUUGAAUCGCUCCCAUGUUUCGAAAAAUUGCUCGUCAUCUUUCUGGGUAAACUCCGAGAUUUCCCUGCGAAUAGCAUUGGUUUUAUGCACUGGGAAAUAUUUAUUUAAAAAUUUUGUAACCAUUUGUUCCCAUGAUGCAAUGCUAUUAGCAGGCAAUGUAUUAAGCCAUGAACGAGCUCUAUCUUUUAAAGAAAAUGGGAAUAGUCUAAGUUUAACAUCAUCAUCUGAAAAAUUCUCAUAUUUGAAUGUUUGACAAAUGGCAUGAAAAUCAUUCAAAUGAUUAUAUGGAUCCUCAUUUUCUAGGCCAUAAAAUGUAGGGAGACAAUUUAACACACUAGGUUUUAAUUCAAAACUCCUAGCAGCUACAUUUGGGUAUCUUAUGCAUGACGUGCUCAAAUUAGCUAAGGGACUAAAAUAGUCCUUAAAUGGCCUCUCCUGUGGUGCUUGUAAAUCCAUUUUAUUUUUAACGUGUUUGUGUGUGCGAAGUGUUUUUUCUAGUUCAAGGUCUAUAGGUUCAAGAUUAGGUAAUAAUGACCUACGACCAUGCAUGCAAAAUAAAUAAAAUAAAAAUAAAGAUGCAAACAAAACAAAAAAUAAAGAUGGGAACAAAACAAAUAAAAAUAAAGAAGAGGGAGAAAUUACGAUACUAACCUUAUUGCGCUAUUACAACCUUUCUAUAAAAAUACACAAAAAUAAAUACGUGAAAGAAAUUAACUAAAAAUUAAAUUAAUAAGAUAAACAAAAAAAAUUACAAAGAAAAAUAAAUGGAAAAUUAAAUUACAAAAUUUUAAAGAAGAGAAAAAGAAAAGAAAUACUAACCUUUAAAUGUAGAUUCACUUUUUUUUUCUUUUUUUUUUAAUAAUAAAAAAAAUACAAGAAAACAAAUAAAAGAAAUUAUUCACAAAAAUUAAUUCUAUGAAUUAAAAUUACUUACCUCCCCGGCAACGGCGCCAAAAACUUGUUGUGCAAAUUUUAAUGUACUCGCAAGCGCACGAAUCUAUUGUAGUAUAGAUCUAUGGUGACGAGUGUUGAUCCCACGAGGAGGUGGAUUUUAAUUGUGUAGAAUUAAUUUUGUAAAUGGGUGAUUGGAUUUAUGGUGGAAAUGAUUUGGAAUAUGCUAAAACUUAAAUUAAAAUGGCGAGAAUAAAUUCUAAAAUUGGAAUUGCAAUGGCGAGAAUAAAUUGAAGAUAAUUCUAUUGAAACGACGUACUUGGGUAUCUGGAUCCGUAUCAACAUGCAUCAUGGGCUAAAUAAUCCUUAUUAAUACCAAUUAAAUCAUGAGGGGGGAAUCCACACCGCAUGAACCACGCUCUAAUCAAUAUGGUGCUAAGGGCUUAUCGUGCCAAAUAAUAAUAACCUUAUACUAGAGAGCCGGUGUAACCAAGGCGGUAUCUAGACAAGACUAUUAUUAUUUGUCGACGAGAAGUCAAAACAUCCACAAAAAUUAAAGGGGAAGAGAAAAUAAAUUUACCAAAUUAAGCCCAUGACACAUGUUGAGACUUCACCUUCAACCCAAGCUUGAAAGAAAAUUAGCCACUCAUAGUUGAACUAGGGGCAAAAUGGGAAUUUAUUAAAAUACGAAGAAAAUACAAGAUGGAGAGGGAAUUACAGAAAAUGGAUCCCAAAAAUGGAUUCAGAGAUAUCAAAUUAGGGGGGGAGGCCCCCUUUUUAUAGAUACAUGGAGUAAAUCAUGGCCAUCGGAUUAAAAAUAAUUUGGACGCUCAGGAUUGCGCCACGUCAUCAGUCAACAGUCCACGGUUUGACCACGCGGAUGAACAGUAACACGGUUUGACCCGACUUUGAACAGUAACGCGGUUUGACCCGGAUGAACAGUAACGCGGUUUGGUUGAAAAUAAUCCUGUGUGAUGCAUGCACCGUACGCGAGAUUUUUCGUCCACUGAUAUGCUGCCACGUCACCAUCAACAGUACAUAAGAAUUUUAGUCCAACAGGAUCGUGACACCUCAUCAGUCAAUGCCACAUCAUCGGUCAAUGCCACGUCAUCAUCCGUCUAUGUGAACAGUGUCGUGAACAGUAACGUAUACAGUACCGUACACGUGAAUAGUACCGUACAUGUGAAUAGUGCCAUUUUUCCUUUUAUGCUCCUCCUAAGGUUUUCGACCGUCCUGAGUUCAAAAGUGAUGUCCGUUUUGCCGUCUGAUCCUCCUUUAUUGUGAAAUGACUAUAAUGCCCCUAAAAUACAUAAAAUACUUAAUUAAAAUAAAACACAUGUAAUUAAAUCACAAGAAGGUUAAAUAUAUAAAAGUAAGGGUUGUUAGUAAGACUUAAAAUGUAAAAUGACGGUUUUCUCCUUUAUAAAUAUGCAUUUUCUAACACUCAACACAUCUCUGCAAAACUAGUGUUAGAUGAUGUAAACAUUGAUCAAAAGAGUCACCAAAGACAGAAAAAUCAUCCAUAAAGACUUCAAGCAAUCGUUCAACCAUAUCAGAAAAAAUGCUUAACAUGCAUCGUUAAAAUGUAGCAGGUACAUUACAUAAUCCAAUUGGCAUCCUCCUAUAUGCAAAAGUGCCAAAAGGGCAAGCGAAAGUCAUUUUCUCUUGAUCUUUUGGUGCUAUGGGGAUCUGAUUAUAUCCUGAGUAGCCAUCUAGAAAGAAUAAAAUUUAUGGCGUGCUAAUCUAUCAAGCAUUUGAUCGAUAAAUGGUAAAGGAAAAUGGUCUUUACGUGUGACAGAAUUUAACUUUUCUAUAAUCAAUGCAUACACGCCAUCCUGUAGUCAUUCUAGUAGGUAUCAAUUCAUUAUCAGCAUUCGUAACAACUGUGACUCCUGACUUUUUGGGGACAACUUGUACAGGACUGACCCAUGAACUAUCAGAAAUGGGAUAAAUGAACCGUGCAUCUAAUAGCGUAAGGACUUUAGUUCUAACAACUUCUUUCAUGUUAGGAUUUAACCGACGUUGCAUUUCCCUAGUAGGUUUAGCAUUUUCAUCAAGGUGAAUGUAAUGCAUGCAGUCUACUGGGUUUAUACAUUUUAUGUCCGCUAUGGUCCAUCCUAAUGCUCCUUUGUGCUCUUUUAAAAUAUCCAACAACUUACCUUUUUGUUUGUCGUUUAGGGAUGAUGAGAUGAUUACUGGUAGAGUGCUUUCUUCUCCCAAAAACUCAUAUUCCAAUGUGUUGGGUAAUGGUUAGAGCUCGAGUUUCGGUAGUGAUUAUGAUGAUGGGAUGAGUUUCUUCUCUGAUGGAUCUAGUUGUUCAACUCUUGACUUCCAUUUAUUAGUGUCCAUGGAUGGUGCUGAGUCAAGCAAGGCGUUGACCUCAUCAACUGAUCUGUCAAUAUCAAAAUCCAAACUAAAGUGAGUUAAGCAUGUUUGUAAAGGGUCAUCACUAAGGUUUGAAAUAAAAGUGUCAUCAACUACUGUGUCUAUUAAAUCCACAUCAACAAUUCCAUCAUCUGCAUUGUGAGGUUGUUUGGCAAUGUUGAAGAUGUUAAGCUCCAUAGUCAUGUUGCCGAAUGACAACUGCAUAUUUCCAGUUUUGCAUUGAAUGUGAGCAUCUGCAAUUGCCAAGAAAGGUCGGCCUAUAAUAAUGGGGAUGUGCUUCCUUGAAUCCUGUAUUGGCUAAGUGUCAAUUACAAUGAAAUCAACAAGAAAAUAAAACUUGUCUACCUGGAUAAGCACGUCCUCCACAAUACCACGACGUAUUCUCGUGGACCGAUCUGCAAGUUGUAACACCACUGGAGUUGGGUGUAAUUCUCCCAGUCCAAGUUUCACAAAUACAGAGUAAGGCAACAAUUUUACACUAGCUCCUAAAUCCAACAAAACAUUCUCAAUUGUGUGGUUCCCUAUACUACAUGAAAUAGUGGGGGAGCCUGGAUCUUUGCAUUUUAGAGGAAUUUUGUGUUGUGAGUAUAGAACUAACGUUUUCUGAUAAAAUUAUCUUCUUUUGAACAUUAACGUUUCUCUUUUUAGUACAAAGGUCUUUAAGAAAUUUGGCAUAAGAUGGAAAUUGUUUUAUAGCAUUAAGUAAAGGGAUGUUAACACUUACUUGUUUGAAGAUUUCAAGAAUCUCACCUGUGGAUUUUCCCUUCUUUCCUUUAGCUAACCUUUGAGGAAAUGGAGCUUUGGGAACAUAUUCUCGUGGGUUGGUUUCUUUUUUCUCUUCCGAUGGUGAGUCCUCAGCAUUCACUGGUACAAUUUGAUUUUCUUUUGUCACCGGCAUCUCUACUUUGUUGUCGACUUCUUUUCCUUUUCACAAGGUCAUGACUACUUUAACCUCUCCAUGCUGCUGUGGUGAACUGGUACUUGCUUCAUGCACUCCUUUAGGAUUAGGCACUGGUUGACUUGGAAAUUUGCCUUUCUCAACAGUCAUUGUCAAGGUCUGAACUGAAGAAGCAAGUUGUCCUACCAUCUUCUCGAGACUUGAAACUGAUUGGGCUUGUGAGUUGACGCCUGCUCUCAACUCAUUUCGUAGUCCAUCAAUGGUGCGGUUCUUUUACUCAAUCGUAGAGUGAGUAACAUUCUUGAAAUUCUAGAAUGCAUCUUGUUGAGUGUUAGAAAAUGUAUAUUUAUAAAGGAGAAAAUCGUCAUUUUACACUUCAAGUUUUACUAACACCCUUACUUUUAUGUAUUUAACCUUCUUUUGAUUUAAUUCCGUAUGUUUUAUUUUAAAUAAGUAUUUCAUGUAUUUUAGGGGCAUCAUAGUCAUUUCACAAUAAACGAGAGAUCAGACGACAAAACAGACAUCACUUUUGAACUCAGGACGGUUGAAAACCUUAGGAAGAGCAUAAAAGGAAAAAUGGCACUGUUCACAUGUACGGUACUAUUCACGUGUACGGUACUAUCUAUGUUACUGUUCACGACACUGUUCACAUAGACGGUUCAAUGACGUGGCAUUGACCGAUGAUGUAGCAUUGACUGAUGAGGUGUCACGAUCCUGUUGGACUAAAAUUCUUAUACACUGUUGAUGGUGACGUGGCAACAUAUUAGUGGACCAAAAAUCUCGCGUACGGUACAUGCAUCAUGUUGUGCAAAUUUUAAUGUACUCGCAAGCGCACGAAUCUGUUGUAGUAUAGAUUAAUGGUGACGAGUGUCGAUCCCACGAGGAGGUGGAUUUUAAUUGUGUAGAAUUAAUUUUUGUGAAUGGGUGAUUGGAUUUAUGGUGGAAAUGAUUGGAAUAUGCUAAAACUUAAAUUAAAAUGGCGAGAAUAAAUUCUAAAAUUGGUAUUGAAAUGGUGAGAAUAAAUUGAAGAGAAUUCUAUUGAAAUGACGUACUUGGGUAUCUGGAUCCGUAUCAACAUGCAUCAUGGGCUAAAUAAUCCGUAUUAAUGCCAAUUAAAUCAUGAGGGGGGAAUCCACACCUCAUGAACCACGCUCUAAUCAAUAUGGUGCUAAGGGCUUAUCGUGCCAAAUAAUAAUAACCUUGUACUAGAGGGCCGGUGAAACCAAGGCGGUACUAGACAAGAUUAGUAUUAUUUGUCGACGAGAAGUCAAAACAUCCACAAAAACUAGAGGGGAAGAGAAAAUAAAUUUACCAAAUAAAGCCCAUGACACAUGUUGAGACUUCACCUUCAACCCAAGCUUGAAAGAAAAUUAGCCACUCAUAGUUGAACUAGGGGCAAAAUGGGAAUUUAUUAAAAUACGAAAAAAAUACAAGAUGGAGAGGGAAUUACAGAAAAUGGAUCCCAAAAAUGGAUUCAGAGAUAUCAAAUUAGGGGGGGGAGGCCCCCUUUUUAUAGAUACAUGGAGUAAAUCAUGGCCAUCGGAUUAAAAACAGUUUGGACGCUCAGGAUUGCGCCACGUCAUCAGUCAACAGUCCACGUUUGACCACGCGGAUGAACAGUAACACGGUUUGACCCGACUUUGAGCAGUAACGCGGUUUGACCCGGAUGAACAGUAACGCGGUUUGGUUGAAAAUAAUCCUGUGUGAUGCAUGCACCGUACGCGAGAUUUUUCGUCCACUGAUAUGCUGCCACGUCACCAUCAACAGUACAUAAGAAUUUUAGUCCAACAGGAUCGUGACACCUCAUCAGUCAAUGCCACAUCAUCGGUCAAUGCCACGUCAUCAUCCGUCUAUGUGAACAGUGUCGUGAACAGUAACGUAUACAGUAUUGUACACGUGAAUAGUACCGUACAUGUGAAUAGUGCCAUUUUUCCUUUUAUGCUCCUCCUAAGGUUUUCGACCGUCCUGAGUUCAAAAGUGAUGUCCGUUUUGCCGUCUGAUCUCUCCUUUAUUGUGAAAUGACUAUAAUGCCCCUAAAAUACAUAAAUUACUUAAUUAAAAUAAAACACACGUAAUUAAAUCAUAAGAAUGUUAAAUACAUAAAAGUAAGGGNNNNNNNNNNNNNNNNNNNNNNNNNNNNNNNNNNNNNNNNNNNNNNNNNNNNNNNNNNNNNNNNNNNNNNNNNNNNNNNNNNNNNNNNNNNNNNNNNNNNNNNNNNNNNNNNNNNNNNNNNNNNNNNNNNNNNNNNNNNNNNNNNNNNNNNNNNNNNNNNNNNNNNNNNNNNNNNNNNNNNNNNNNNNNNNNNNNNNNNNNNNNNNNNNNNNNNNNNNNNNNNNNNNNNNNNNNNNNNNNNNNNNNNNNNNNNNNNNNNNNNNNNNNNNNNNNNNNNNNNNNNNNNNNNNNNNNNNNNNNNNNNNNNNNNNNNNNNNNNNNNNNNNNNNNNNNNNNNNNNNNNNNNNNNNNNNNNNNNNNNNNNNNNNNNNNNNNNNNNNNNNNNNNNNNNNNNNNNNNNNNNNNNNNNNNNNNNNNNNNNNNNNNNNNNNNNNNNNNNNNNNNGUCAAGUUUCCAAGGGCGCAGCAACUAAUGCUGGGUUAUAUAUGCCGCUACCGAUUCCAACACAACCUUGGGCUGACAUUAGCAUGGAUUUUGUUUUAGGAUUACCCCGCACUCAGAGGGGUAUGGAUUCAAUAUUUGUUGUUGUUGAUCGAUUCUCGAAAAUGGCUCACUUCAUUGCUUGCAAGAAGACUACAGACGCUUUGACUGUUGCUCGCCUAUUCUUCAAGGAAGUCUAUAGAUUGCAUGGUUUACCAAGUUCUAUAGUAUCUGACCGGGAUACACGAUUUCUUAGCCAUUUUUGGAAGACAUUAUGGAAAUUGACUAACACUCGCCUGAAUUUUAGUAGUGCUUACCACCCACAAACAGAUGGUCAAACUGAAGUUGUCAACCGCUCUUUAGGAAACCAUCUACGUAGUCUAGUUGGCGAUAACUUGAAGAUGUGGGAUCAAAAGUUAUAUCAAGUCGAGUUUACUUAUAACCGUGCAGUUAAGCGUAGUACUGGUUUAAGCCCUUUUCAGGUAAAUUACGGAUAUAAUCCACGAGCUCCCAUUGACCUGGCUCCGGUUCCAAAUUUAGUUCGCAAAAGCGGUAAAGCAAAAGACUUUAUUGAGCAGCUUCAGAAGAUUCAUGAAACUACGCAAGAGUCUUUGAAGCAGACGACCGAAGGUUAUAAAAUUAUGGCAGACAAAAAACGUCGAGCUUUGGAAUUUCAAGUGGGAGAUUUUGUUUGGGUUAUCCUAACUAAAGAUAGAUUCUCAGUUGGUGAGUAUAAUAAACUUUCUGCCAGGAAAAUCGGCCCUUUAGAGAUUAUAGAGAAGAUAAAUCCUAAUGCCUACAGAUUAAAGCUUCCUAGUCAUAUCCGCACUGCAGAUGUAUUUAAUGUUAAGCAUCUUAUUCCUUACAGAGGUGAUCAUGAUGAAGAUGUUGCUGACAAUCCGAAUUCGCGGGCGAAUUCUCUCCACCCUGGGGGGAAUGAUGAAGAGUAGGAAUCCAUAUUAUACUAGGAUUAGUUUCCUUAUUAACUAAAGUUUAAGACUUUUAAAUUCCUUUCUAAUUUAGAAUUUUGUUUCCCUUUCAAUUUAGGAUUUUGUUUUUCCUUCAUGAAUUAGGAUAAUUACUACUACUAUAAAUAGCUCCCUCUUGUAACCUUUGAAGGAGAGAAUUUUGAGUUUAAUAAUAUUUCAAUUUUCAAAUCUCUUUGUGAGUNNNNNNNNNNNNNNNNNNNNNNNNNNNNNNNNNNNNNNNNNNNNNNNNNNNNNNNNNNNNNNNNNNNNNNNNNNNNNNNNNNNNNNNNNNNNNNNNNNNNCCAUUCCUAAAGAACAUGGGUUUCUAUCGCAACUCAUUCUGGCACACUUAUGACAAGCAACAGAAAUUCUUCGAGCUCGUCGUUUUCUUGCAUAAUUUCCUUUACCACAACCAGGCAUGAAUGCAAUAAAUUUUGGAGGUAACUCACCUGCCGAUCGUACUUUAGCCUCGAUUAACCAACGGAUGUCAGCAGGUAUGUUAUUCUUCAUGAGUAAUCGCAUGCGUUCGGACCGAGCUUUAUAGAUCAUAAGGAGGGCAUUUUGAGGAAGUGAAGGGAAUCGCUUGUGAAGCUUCGCUAGAAUCUCGUUUCUGUCCAUACUUUCGCCUCAGAAUGUCAGUUAUUGUGGGAAACUGAAGUAACCGACUUGAUUGUCACGGAGUACCGUUAUCCGCCACUUCACCGGGGUAACAAACUAAAGCACACAAACAGAAAAACAAAUCAAAACACACAAAGAAAAUUAAAAUCAUCCUCUUAUUGAAUUUACCUCAAGCUCCAACUGGAUGUCGUAAACACUUCUCUCAAUGUCUCUGAGUUGGCGUUCUAAACCCUCAACAUAAGCUACUAACUCUGGUGGUUGUAGAGCCCAAAUGCGUUGUGUUUUACAAAAUUGAAUCUGCUUUUUGAGAUGAGUUUUGACACGUUGAAGUGGUUUAAGAAUGUUCAGGAGGAACGGUCUAAGUAUGGUACUCAUGAUUAACAAUGAUAAGAAAAAAAAACUUAAUGGUAAAACAAACACACUUAUGCAAAAAUAAUUUCAAUUAGCAAAAGAAUAAUAAAAAGAAAGAAAGAAAAAUCAAAUCAACAAAAAGAAAAAAUCAAUUCAAAUCUGGUGGGUCACUCAAAUUUAUUUCGGUGUCUUCUCCAUGUGGUUGGUAUUCUAGAUAUGGCUUUAAUCUUUGACCAUUAACUUUAAACGUGACACCGUUCUUUGGGUCCUUAAUUUCAAUUGCCCCAUGUGGAAAAACAGUAUGAACAAUAAAGGGACCAGACCAACGAGAGCGUAACUUACCUGGGAAUAGGUGCAAGCGAGAAUUGAAUAAAAGCACUUUCUGACCUGGAGUGAACGAUUUUCUCAUAAUUUGCUUAUCAUGGAAGACUUUCAUUCGUUGCUUGUAAAUCUUGGCAUUUUCGUAUGCAUCAUUGCGAAUUUCUUCAAGUUCUGCCAGCUGUAAUCUUCUUUCUGAGCUGGCUUGCUGCAUGUCAAAAUUGAAUUUCUUAAUAGCCCAAUAUGCACGAUGCUCGAGUUCGACAGGUAGGUGGCAAGCUUUUCCAUACACUAGCCUGUAGGGUGACAUCCCAAUCGGGGUCUUGAAAGCCGUUCUAUAUGCCCAUAAGGCAUCAUCAAGUCUUAAUGACCAAUCUUUUCUGUCCGGCCUCACCGUCUUUUCUAAUAUGUGCUUUAUUUCUCGAUUGAAGAUCUCAACUUGGCCACUGGUUUGCGGAUGAUACGGGGUCGCCACUUUGUGUGUGAUUGAAUACUUUGUCAAAAGUGCUUUGAAUGUUUUGUUACAAAAGUGGGCACCACCAUCACUGAUUAUUGCUCGAGGGAAUCCAAAGCGUGAAACAAUGUUGCUUUUCAAAAAUGCUAUCACCACCUUGUGAUCAUUGGUCCUACAUGGAAUUGCUUCUACCCAUUUUGAUACGUAGUCAACAGCAACCAAUAUGUAUUGAUGGCCAAAAGAAGGGGGAAAGGGUCCCAUGAAGUCGAUACCCCAUACGUCAAAAAUCUCAACCACUAAAAUUGGAUUUAGUGGCAUCAUGUUUCUUCGUGUAAUGCUCCCCAUUCGUUGACACCUAUCACAUGAAGAACAGAAAGUGUAAGCAUCUCGAAAUAUAGUUGGCCAAUAGAAACCACAUUGUAAAACUUUUGUAGCUGUUUUCUUAACACUGAAAUGGCCUCCACACGCUUGUUCAUGGCAGAAUGAAAGAAUAUUCUGAAUUUCAUUUUCAGGGACACAUCGUCUAACAAUUUGGUCUGCACAAUACUUGAACAAAUAUGGGUCAUCCCAAAAGAAAUUCUUUAUUUCUGCAAAGAAUUUAGCCUUAUCUUGCUUGGUCCAAUGCUCUGGAAGUUUACCUGUAACAAGAUAAUUAACUAUAUCAGCAUACCAAGGUAAUACUUCCACAUUCAUUAAUUGUUCAUCUGGAAAUGACUCAUUCAAUGGUAAUGAUUCUGUAAUUGUGUCAAAAUGGAGACGAGAGAGGUGGUCUGCCACAACAUUUUCUGUCCCUUUCUUAUCUUUGAAUUCCAAGUCAAACUCCUGCAAAAGUAACACCCAACGAAUUAGUCUGGCUUUUGCAUCUUUCUUUGUGAGAAGAUAUUUAAGAGCAGCAUGAUCUGUGAAUAUAAUUAUUUUACAACCAAUGAGAUAAGAUCGAAAUUUUUCUAAUGCAAACACUACUGCUAGCAUUUCUUUUUCAGUAGUUGAAUAGUUCAACUGUGCAUCAUUUAAUGUCAUACUAGCAUAGUAAAUAACAUGGGGAAUUCGAUCAACUCUUUGUCCUAAUACUGCUCCUACUGCAUAAUCAGAUGCAUCACACAUGAGCUCAAAUGGUAAUUUCCAGUUCGGGGGCUGAAUGAUGGGUGAUGAUGUCAACAAAUGCUUUAAUUUUUCAAACGCAACAAGACAUGAAUCAUCAAAGACAAAAGGUACAUCCUUAGCAAGCAAAUUGCAUAAGGGUCUAGAAACUUUACUAAAAUCUUUAAUGAAACGUCUAUAGAAACCAGCAUGCCCAAGGAAAGAUCUUACUUCUCUGACUGUUUUGGGUGGAGGAAGAUUAGAAAUGAGAUCCACCUUGGCUUUGUCAACCUCAAUACCUUUACUCGAAAUGAUGUGACCGAGAACAAUACCUUGUUUUACCAUAAAAUGGCAUUUCUCCCAAUUUAAGACCAAGUUCUUCUCGAUACAUCUCUGCAGAACUAGUGUUAGAUGAUGUAAACAUUGAUCAAAUGAAUCACCAAAGACAGAAAAGUCAUCCAUAAAGACUUCAAGAAAUCGUUCAACCAUAUCAGAAAAAAUGCUUAGCAUGCAUCGUUGAAAUGUAGCAGGUGCAUUACAUAAUCCAAAUGGCAUUCUCCUAUAUGCAAAUGUGCCAAAAGGGCAAGUGAAAGUAGUUUUCUCUUGAUCUUUUGGUGCUAUGGGAAUCUGAUUAUAUCCUGAGUAGCCAUCUAGAAAGCAAUAAAAUUCAUGGCCUGCUAAUCUAUCAAGCAUUUGAUCAAUAAAUGGUAAAGGAAAAUGGUCUUUACGUGUGACAGAAUUCAACUUUCUAUAAUCAAUGCAUACACGCCAUCCUGUAGUUACUCUAGUGGGUAUCAAUUCAUUAUCAGCAUUCGUAACUACUGUGACUCCUGACUUUUUGGGGACAACUUGUACAGGACUGACCCAUGAACUAUCAGAAAUUGGAUAAAUGAUACCUGCAUCUAAUAGCUUAAGGACUUCAGUUCUAACAACUUCUUUCAUGUUAGGAUUUAACCGACGUUGCAUCUCCCUAGUAGUUUUAGCAUUUUCAUCAAGGUGAAUGUAAUGCAUGCACUCUACUGGGUUUAUACAUUUAAUGUCUGCUAUGGUCCAUCCUAAUGCCCCUUUGUGCUCUUUCAAAACAUCCAACAACUUACCUUUUUGUUCGUCAUUUAGGGAUGAUGAGAUGAUUACCGGCAGAGUACUUUCUUCUCCCAAAAAUGCAUAUUCCAAUGUGUUGGGCAAUGGUUUGAGCUCGAGUUUCGGUGGUGAUUCUGAUGAUGGGAUGAGUUUCUUCUCUGAUGGUGCUAGUUGUUCAACUCUUGACUUCCAUUUAUUAAUGUCCAUGGAUGGUGUUGAGUCAAGCAGGGCGUUGACCUCAUCGACUGAUCUGUCAAUAUCAAAAUCCAAACCAAAGUGAGUUAAACAUGUUUGUAAAGGAUCAUCACUAAGGUUUGAAAGAAAAGUAUUAUCAACUAUUGUUUCUAUUAAAUCCACAUCAACAAUUCCAUCAUCUGCACUGUGAGGUUGUUUGACAAUGUUGAAAAUGUUUAGCUCCAUAGUCAUGUUGCCGAAGGACAAUUGCAUAUUUCCGGUCCUACAUUGAAUAUGAGCAUCUGCAGUUGCCAAGAAAGGUCGGCCUAGAAUAAUGGGGAUGUGCUUCCUUGAGUCCUGUAUUGGUUGAGUGUCAAUUACAAUGAAAUCAACAGGAAAAUAAAACUUGUCUACCUGGAUAAGCACGUCCUCCACAAUACCACGAGGUAUUUUCGUGGACCGAUCUGCAAGCUGUAACACCACUGGAGUUGGGUGUAAUUCUCCCAGUCCAAGUUUCACAAAUACUGAAUAAGGCAACAAAUUUACACUAGCUCCUAAAUCCAACAAAGCAUUCUCAAUUGUGUGGUUCCCUAUACUACAUGAGAUAGUGGGGGAGCCUGGGUCUUUGCAUUUUAAAGGAAUUUUAUGUUGGAGUAUAGAACUAACGUUUUCUGUUAAAAAUGCCUUCUUUUGAACAUGUAUAUUUCUCUUUUUAGUACAAAGGUCUUUAAGAAACUUGGCAUAAGAUGGAACUUGUUUAAUAGCAUCAAGUAAAGGGAUGUUAACACUUACCUGUUUGAAGAUUUCAAGAAUCUCACCUGUGGAUUUUCCCUUCUUUCCUUUAGCUAACCUUUGAGGAAAUGGAGCUUUGGGAACGUAUUCUCGUGGGUUAGUUUCUUCUUUCUCCUCCGGUGAUGAUUCCUCAACAUUCACAGGUACAAUUUGAUUUUCUUUUGUCACCGGCAUCUCCACUUUGUUGUCGACUUCCUUUCCUUUUCGCAAGGUCAUUACUGCUUUGAUUUCUCCAUGCUGCUGUGGUGAACUGGUACUUGCUUCAUGUACUCCUUUAGGAUUAGGCACUGGUUGACUUGGAAAUUUGCCUUUCUCAACAGUCAUUGCCAAUGUCUGAACUGAAGAAGCAAGUUGUCCCACCAUCUUUUCGAGGCUUGAAACAGAUUGAGCUUGUGAGUUGAAGCCUGCUCUCAACUCAUUUCGUAGUCCAUCAAUGGUGCGGUUCUGUUGCUCAAUCGUGGAGUGAGUAACAUUCCUGAAAUUCUGGAAUGCAUCCUCCCAUGGUCUGGGUUGAGAAUAAUUCUGGUUUUGAUUGAAUGGUCUAAAUGGGGGCUGAGAGGCUUGAGGAUUUUGAGGAAUUUGUUGCAUUGGUGGAGCUGGAGCUGCUGGUCCAUUCUGUUGGAAUCCUUGAGACCAUGAAAAAUUGGGGUGGUCUCUCCAUCCAGAGUUAUAUGUGUUGGAGUAUGGGUUGUAAUUAGAUGGCUUUCUCAUUACACCUAUGGCAUUGGCUUGAUCUGGAUAUGAGUCAGGGUCAUGUGAUUCUGUUGAUUUAGCAGUCGAUAACGAUGCUAUUUGUCGAGCAAGACCUUCAACCAUCUCCUUGACUUCUUUGAUUCCCGAAGUUGACUCGCCAAUGUGAACCUCAUUCACUCCUUUAAUCCUUCUAGUAUUCCUGAGUGAUCGACUCCGUUGUUGGGAAUUGUCCGCUUGUCGCUGGAAAAACUCCCAAAUUUCUGAUGCACUUUUUGACAUUAGCUCUCCUCCACUUGUUGCCAUUAGCCAUUCUUGCACAUUCGGCAAUAAUCCCUCCAAAAAGUAUUGACAUUGGUGCCAUUUUUCGUACCCAUGAUGUGGACACUUCAAGAGUAGCCCAUUGAAUCGCUCCCAAGUUUCGAAAAACUGCUCGUCCUCUCUUUGUGUGAACUCUGAAAUUUCCCUGCGAAUAGCAUUGGUUUUAUGCACUGGGAAAUAUUUAUUCAAAAAUUUAGUUACCAUUUGUUCCCAUGAUGAAAUGCUAUUAGCAGGUAAAGUAUUUAACCAUGAACGAGCUCUAUCUUUUAAAGAAAAUGGGAAUAAUCUGAGUUUAACAUCAUCGUCUGAAAAAUUCUCAUAUUUAAAUGUUUGACAAAUGGCAUGAAAAUCAUUCAGAUGAUUAUAUGGGUCCUCAUUUUCUAAGCCAUAGAAUGUGGGGAGACAAUUUAGCACACUAGGUUUUAGUUCAAAGCUCCUAGCAGCUACAUUUGGAUAUCUUAUGCAUGACGUGCUCAAAUUAGCUAAGGGACUAAAAUAGUCCUUAAAUGGCCUCUCCUGUGGUGCUUGUAAAUCCAUUUUAUUUUUAACGUGUUUGUGUGUGCGAAGUGUUUUUUCUAAUUCAAGGUCUAUAGGUUCAAGAUUAGGUAAUAAUGACCUACGACCAUGCAUGCAAAAUAAAUGAAAUAAAAAUAAAGAUGCAAACAAAACAAAUAAUAAAGAUGGGAACAAAACAAAUAAAAAUAAAGAAGAGGGAGAAAUUACGAUACUAAUCUUAUUGCGCUAUUACAACCUUUCUAUAAAAAUACACAAAAAUAAAUACGUGAAAGAAAUUAACUAAAAAUUAAAUUAAUAAGAUAAACAAAAAAAAUUACAAAGAAAAAUAAAUGGAAAAUUAAAUUACAAAAUUUUAAAGAAGAGAAAAAGAAAAGAAAUACUAACCUUUAAAUGUAGAUUCACUUUUUUUUUUCUUUUUUUUUUAAUAAUAAAAAAAAAUACAAGAAAACAAAUAAAAGAAAUUAUUCACAAAAAUUAAUUCUAUGAAUUAAAAUUACUUACCUCCCCGGCAACGGCGCCAAAAACUUGUUGUGCAAAUUUUAAUGUACUCGCAAGCGCACGAAUCUGUUGUAGUAUAGAUUAAUGGUGACGAGUGUCGAUCCCACGAGGAGGUGGAUUUUAAUUGUGUAGAAUUAAUUUUUGUGAAUGGGUGAUUGGAUUUGUGGUGGAAAUGAUUGGAAUAUGCUAAAACUUAAAUUAAAAUGGCGAGAAUAAAUUCUAAAAUUGGUAUUGAAAUGGUGAGAAUAAAUUGAAGAGAAUUCUAUUGAAAUGACGUACUUGGGUAUCUGGAUCCGUAUCAACAUGCAUCAUGGGCUAAAUAAUAUGUAUUAAUGCCAAUUAAAUCAUGAGGGGGGAAUCCACACCUCAUGAACCACGCUCUAAUCAAUAUGGUGCUAAGGGCUUAUCGUGCCAAAUAAUAAUAACCUUGUACUAGAGGGCCGGUGAAACCAAGGCGGUACUAGACAAGAUUAGUAUUAUUUGUCGACGAGAAGUCAAAACAUCCACAAAAACUAGAGGGGAAGAGAAAAUAAAUUUACCAAAUUAAGCCCAUGACACAUGUUGAGACUUCACCUUCAACCUAAGCUUGAAAGAAAAUUAGCCACUCAUAAUUGAACUAGGGGCAAAAUGGAAAUUUAUUAAAAUACGAAGAAAAUACAAGAUGGAAAGGGAAUUACAGAAAAUGGAUCCCAAAAAUGGAUUCAGAGAUAUCAAAUUAGGGGGGGGAGGCCCCCUUUUUAUAGAUACAUGGAGUAAAUCAUGGCCAUCGGAUUAAAAACAGUUUGGACGCUCAGGAUUGCGCCACGUCAUCAGUCAACAGUCCACGUUUGACCACGCGGAUGAACAGUAACACGGUUUGACCCGACUUUGAACUGUAACGCGGUUUGACCCGGAUGAACAGUAACGCGGUUUGGUUGAAAAUAAUCCUGUGUGAUGCAUGCACCGUACGCGAGAUUUUUCGUCCACUGAUAUGCUGCCACGUCACCAUCAACAGUACAUAAGAAUUUUAGUCCAACAGGAUCGUGACACCUCAUCAGUCAAUGCCACAUCAUCGGUCAAUGCCACGUCAUCAUCCGUCUAUGUGAACAGUGUCGUGAACAGUAACGUAUACAGUACCGUACACGUGAAUAGUACCGUACAUGUGAAUAGUGCCAUUUUUCCUUUUAUGCUCCUCCUAAGGUUUUCGACCGUCCUGAGUUCAAAAGUGAUGUCCGUUUUGCCGUCUGAUCUCUCCUUUAUUGUGAAAUGACUAUAAUGCCCCUAAAAUACAUAAAAUACUUAAUUAAAAUAAAACACAUGUAAUUAAAUCACAAGAAGGUUAAAUACAUAAAAGUAAGGGUUGUUAGUAAGACUUGAAAUGUAAAAUGACGGUUUUCUCCUUUAUAAAUAUGCAUUUUCUAACACUCAACACAUCACACAGGAUUAUUUUCAAUCAAACCGCGUCACUGUUCAAUCCUCAGCGUCCAAACUGUUUUUAAUCUGAUGGUCAUGAUUUACUCCAUGUAUCUAUAAAAAGGGGGCCUCCCCCCCCCCCCAAUUUGAUAUCUCUGAAUCCAUUUUUGGGAUUCAUUUUCUGUAAUUCCUUCUCCGUCUUAUAUUUUCUAUGUAUUUUAAUAAAUUCCUAUUUUGCCCCUAAUUUAAUUAUGGGUAGCUAAUUUUCUUUCAAGCUUGGGUUGAAGGUGAAGUCUCAACAUGUGUCAUGGGCUUUAUUUGGUAAAUUUACUUUCUCUUCCCCUAUAAUUUUUGUGGAUGUUUUGACUUCUCGUCAACAAAUAAUACUAAUAUUGUCUAGUACCGCCUUGGUUUCACCGGCCCCCUAGUACAAGGUUAUUAUUAUUUGGCACGAUAAGCCCUUAGCACCAUAUUGAUUAGAGCAUGAUUCAUGAGGUGUGGAUUCCCCCCUCAUGAUUUAAUUGGCAUUAAUAAGGAUUAUUUAGCCCAUGAUGCAUGUUGAUACGGAUACAGAUACCCAAGUACGUCAUCUCAAUAGAUUUCUCUUCAAUUUAUUCUCGCCAUUUCAAUUCCAAUUUUAGAAUUUAUUCUCGCCAUUUCAAUUCCAAUUUUAGAAUUUAUUCUCGCCAUUUCAAUUCCAAUUUUAGGAUAAUCCAAAUCAUUUUCACUACAAAUCCAACCACCCAUUUACAAAAUUAAUUCUACACACAAUUAAAAUCCGCCUCCUCGUGCGAUCGACACUCGUCACCAUUAGUCUAUUCUACAAUAGAUUCGUGCACUUGCGAGUUCAAAAAAAUUUGCACAACAAGUUUUUGGCGCCGUUGCUGGGGAGGUAAGUAAUUUUAAUUCAUAGAAUUAAUUUUUGUGAAUAAUUCUAUUUAAUUGUUUUCUUGUAUUUUUAAAAAAAGAAAAAAAAGAAAAAAAAAGGUGAAUAUACAUUUAAAGGUUAGUAUUUCUUUUCUUUUUCUCUUCUUUAAAAUUCUGUAAUUUAAUUUUCAAUUUAUUUUUCUUUGUAAAUUUUUUUUGUGUAUCUUAUUAAUUUAUUUUUAGUUAAUUUAUUUUCACGUAUUUUUUUUUAGUGUGUUUUUAUAGUAAGGUUGUAAUAUCACAAUAAGGUUAGUAUCGUAAUUUCUCCCUCUUCUUUAUUUUUAUUUGUUUUGUUCCCAUCUUUAUUUUUAUUUUAUUUGUUUUGCAUGCAUGGUCGUAGGUCAUUAUUACCUAAUCUUGAACCUAUAGACUUUGAACUAGAAAAAACACUUUGCACACACAAGCACGUUAAAAAUAAAUUUAGAAUGGAUUUACAAGCACCACAGGAGAGGCCAUUUAAGGACUAUUUUAGUCCUUUAUCUAAUUUGAGCACAUCAUGCAUAAGAUACCCAAAUGUAGCUGCUAGGAGUUUUGAACUAAAACCUAGUGUGCUAAAUUGUCUCCCAACAUUCUAUGGCCUAGAAAAUGAGGAUUCAUAUAAUCAUUUGAAUGAUUUUCAUGCUGUUUGUCAAACAUUUAAAUAAGAGAAUUUUUCAGAUGAUGAUGUAAAACUUAGACUAUUCCCAUUUUCUUUAAAGGAUAGAGCUCGUUCAUGACUUAAUACAUUGCCUGCUAAUAGCAUUACAUCAUGGGAACAAAUGGUAACUAAAUUUUUGAAUAAAUAUUUCCCAGUACAUAAAACCAAUGUUAUUUGCAGGAAAAUCUCAGAGUUUACCCAGAGAGAAGACGAGCAGUUUUUCGAAACAUGGGAGUGAUUUAAUGGGCUACUCUUGAAGUGUCCACAUCAUGGGUAUGAGAAAUGACACCAAUGCCAAUAGGUUUUGGAGGGAUUAUUGCUGAAUGUGCAAGAAUGGCUAAUGGCAACAAGUGGAGGAGAGCUAAUGUCAAAAAGUGCAUUAGAGAUUUGGGAAUUCUUCCAGCGACAAGCGGAUAAUUCCCAACAACGGAGUCGAUCACUCAGGAAUACUAGAAGAAUUAAGGGAGUAAAUGAGGUUCACAUUGGCGAGUCAAGUUCAGAAAUUAAAGAAGUCAAAGCGAUAAUUGAAGGUCUCUUUCGACAAAUAGCAUCGUUAUCGACUGCUAAAUCAACAGAGCUACAUGACCAUGACUCAUACUCAGAUCAGGCCAAUGUCAUAGGUGUAAUGAGAAAACCAUCUAAUUACAACCCAUACUCCAACACAUGUAACCCUGGAUGGAGAGACCACCCAAAUUUUUCAUGGUCUCAAGGAUUCCAACAGAAUGGACCAGCAGCUCCAGCUCCACCAAUACAACCAGUUCCUCAAAUUCCUCAAGUCUCUCAGCCACCAUUUAGACCAUACAAUCAAAACCAGAACUACUCUCAACCCAGACCAUGGGAGGAUUCAUUCUAGAAUCUCAAGAAUCUUACUCUACGAUUGAGCAACAAAACCGCACCAUUGAUGGACUACGAAAUGAGUUGAGAGCGGCUUCAACUCACAAGCCCAAUCAGUUUCAAGCCUCGAGAAGAUGGUGAGACAACUUGCUUCUUUAGUUCAAACCUUGGCAAUGACUGUUGAGAAAGGAAAAUUUCCAAGUCAACCAGUGCCUAAUCCUAAAGGAGUACAUGAAGCAAGUACCAGUUCACCACAGCAGCAUGGAGAGGGCAAAGCAGUUAUGACCUUGUGAAAAAAAAAAGAAGUUGACAACAAAGUGGAGAUGCUGGUGACAAAAGAAAAUCAAAUUGUACCUGUGAAUGUUGAGGAUUCACCAUCAGAGGAGAAAGAAGAAACCAACCCGCGAGAAUAUGUUCCCAAAGCUCCAUUUCCUCAGAGGUUAGCUAAAAGAAAGAAGGGAAAAUCCACAGGUGAGAUUCUUGAAAUCUUCAAACAGGUAAGUAUUAACAUCCCUUUACUUGAUGUUAUAAAGCAAGUUCCAUCUUAUGCCAAGUUUCUUAAGGACCUUUUGUACUAAAAAGAGAAACAUUAAUGUUCAAAAGAAGGCCUUUUUAACAUAAAACGUUAGUUCUAUACUCCAACACAAAAUUCCUCUAAAAUGCAAAGACCCAGGCUCCCCCACUAUCUCAUGUAGUAUAGGGAACCACACAAUUGAGAAUGCUUUGUUGGAUUUAGAAGCUAGUGUAAAUUUGUUGCCUUACUCAGUAUUUUUGAAACUUGGACUUGGAGAAUUACACCUAACUCCAGUGGUGUUGCAGCUUGCAGAUCGGUCCACAAAAAUACCUCGUGGUAUUGUGGAGGAUAAAAUUUAUCCAGGUAGAUAAAUUUUAUUUUCCUGUUGAUUUCAUUGUAAUUGACAUUCAACCAAUACAGGAUUCAAAGAAGCACAUCCCCAUUAUUCUAGGCCGACCUUUCUUGGCAACUGCGGAUGCUCACAUUCAAUGCAGGACUGGAAAUAUGCAGUUGUCCUUUGGCAAUAUGACUAUGGAGCUGAACAUCUUCAACAUUGCCAAACAACCUCACAAUGCAGAUGAUAGAAUUGUUGAUGUAGAUUUAAUUGAAGCAUUAGUUGAUGACACUUUUCUUUCAAACCUUAAUGAUGACCCUUUACAAACAUGCUUAACUCACUUUGGUUUGGAUUUUGAUAUUGACAGAUCAGUUGAUGAGGUCAACGCCCUACUUGACUCAGCACCAUCCAUGGACACUAAUAAAUGGAAGUCAAGAGUUGAACAACUAGCACCAUCGGAAAAGAAACUCAUCCCAUCAUCAGAAUCACCACCGAAACUCGAGCUCAAACCAUUACCCAACACUUUGGAAUAUGUAUUUUUGGGAGAAGAAAGUACUCUACCAGUAAUCAUCUCAUCAUCCCUAAAUAACGAACAAAAAGGUAAGUUGUUGGAUGUUUUAAAAGAGCACAAAGGAGCAUUAGGAUAGACUAUAGCAGACAUUAAAGGUAUAAACCCAGUAGACUGCAUGCAGUACAUUCACCUCGAUGAAAAUGCUAAAUCUACUAGGGAAAUGCAACGUCAGUUAAAUCCUAAUAUGAAAGAAGUUGUUAGAACUGAAGUCCUUAAGCUAUUAGACACAGGUAUCAUUUACCCAAUUUCUGAUAGUUCAUGGGUCAGUCCUGUACAAGUUGUCCCUAAAAAGUCAGGAGUCACAGUAGUUACAAAUGCUGAUAAUGAAUUGAUACCAACUAGAGUAACUACAAGAUGGCGUGUAUGUAUUGAUUAUAGAAAAUUGAAUUCUGUCACACGUAAAGACCAUUUUCCUUUACUAUUUAUUGAUCAAAUGCUUGAUAGAUUAGCAGGCCAUGAAUUUUAUUGCUUUCUAGAUGGCUACUCAGGAUAUAAUCAAAUUCUCAUAGCACCAAAAGAUCAAGAGAAAACCACUUUCACUUGCCCUUUUGGCACUUUUGCAUAUAGGAGGAUGCCAUUUGGAUUAUGUAAUGCACCUACUACAUUUCAACGAUGCAUGUUGAGCAUUUUUUCUGAUAUGGUUGAACAAUUCCUUGAAGUCUUUAUGAAUGAUUUUUCUGUCUUUGGUGACUCGUUUGACCAAUGUUUACAUCAUCUAACACUAGUUAUGCAGAGAUGUGUCAAGAAGAACUUAGUCUUAAAUGGGGAGAAGUGUCAUUUUAUGGUAAAACAAGGUAUUGUUCUUGGUCACAUCAUUUCAAGCAAAGGUAUUGAGGUUGACAAAGCCAAGGUGGAUCUCAUUUCUAAUCUUCCUCCACCUAAAACAGUCAAAAAAGUAAGAUCUUUCCUUGGGCAUGCUGGUUUUUAUAGACGUUUCAUUAAAGAUUUUAGCAAAGUUUCUAGACCCUUAUGCAAUCUACUUGCUAAGGAUGUACCUUUUAUCUUUAAUGAUUCAUGUCUUAUGGCUUUUGAAAAAUUAAAGCAAUUGUUGACAUCAUCACUCAUCAUUCAGCCCCCAAAUUGGAGCUUACUAUUUGAACUCAUGUGUGAUGCAUCUGAUUAUACAGUAGGAGCAGUAUUAGGACAAAGAGUUGAUUGAAUUCCCCAUGUUAUUUACUAUGCUAGUAUGACAUUGAAUGAUGCACAGUUGAACUAUUCAACUACUGAAAAAGAAAUGCUAGCAGUAGUGUUUGCAUUGGAAAAAUUUCGAUCUUAUCUCAUUGGUUGUAAAAUAAUUGUGUUCACAGAUCAUGCUGCUCUUAAAUAUCUUCUCACAAAGAAAGAUGCAAAAGCUAGACUAAUUCGUUGGGUGUUACUUUUGCAGGAGUUCGACUUGGAAUUUAAAGAUAAGAAAGGCACAGAGAAUGUUGUAGCUGACCAUCUCUCUCGUCUCCACUUUGACACAAUUAUGGAAUCAUUACCAUUGAAUGAGUCAUUGCCAGAUGAACAAUUGAUGAGUGUGGAAGUAUUACCAUGGUAUGCUGAUAUUGUUAAUUAUCUUAUUACAGGUCAACUUCCAGAGCAUUUGACCAAGCAAGACAAGACUAAAUUCUUUGCAGAAAUAAAGAAUUUCUUUUGGGAUGACCCGUAUUUGUUCAAGUAUUUUGCAGAUCAAAUUGUUAGGCGAUGUGUCCCAGAAAGUGAAAUUCAGAAUAUCAUUUCAUUCUGUCAUGAACAAGCUUGUGGAGGCCAUUUCAGUGCUAAGAAAACAGCUACUAAAGUUUUACAAUGUGGUUUCUAUUGGCCAACUAUAUUUCGAGACACUUACACUUUUUGUUCUUCAUGUAAUAGGUGUCAACGAAUGGGGAGCAUUACACGAAGGAAAAUGAUGCCACUAAAUCCAAUUUUAGUGAUUGAGAUUUUUUACGUAUGGGGUAUCGACUUCAUAGGACCCUUUCCCCCUUCUUUUGGCCAUCAAUACAUAUUGGUUGCUGUUGACUACGCAUCAAAAUGGGUAGAAGCAAUUCCAUGUAGAACCAAUGAUCACAAGGUGGUGAUAGGAUUUUUGAAAAGCAACAUUGUUUCACGCUUUGGAUUCCCUCGAGUGAUAAUCAAUGAUGGUGGUGCCCACUUUUGUAAAAAAGCAUUCAAAGCUCUUUUGACAAAGUAUUCAAUCACUCACAAAGUGGCGACCCCAUAUCAUCCGCAAACCAGUGGCCAAGUUGAGAUCUCCAAUCGAGAAAUAAAGCACAUAUUAGAAAAAACGGUGAGGCCGAAUAGAAAAGAUUGGUCAUUAAGACUUGAUGAUGCAUUAUGGGCAUAUAGAACGGCUUUCAAGACCCCGAUUGGGAUGUCACCCUACACGCUAGUGUAUGGAAAAGCUUGCCACCUACCUGUGGAACUCAAGCAUCGUGCAUAUUGGGCUAUCAAGAAAUUCAACUUUGACAUGCAGCAAGCCAGCUCAGAAAGAAGAUUACAGCUGGGAGAACUUAAAGAAAUUCGCAAUGAUGCAUACGAAAAUGUCAAGAUUUACAAGCAACGAAUGAAAGUCUUCUAUGACAAGCAAAUUAUGAGAAAAUCUUUCACUCCAGGUCAGAAAGUGCUUUUGUUCAAUUCUCGCUUGCACCUAUUCCCAGGUAAGUUACGCUCUCGAUGGUCUGGUCCCUUUAUUGUUCAUACCGUUUUUUCACAUGGGGCAAUUGAAAUUAAGGACCCAAAGAACGGUGUCACAUUUAAAGUUAAUGGUCAAAGAUUAAAGCCAUAUCUAGAGUACCAACUACAUGAAGAAGACACCGAAAUAAAUUUGAGUGACACACCAGAGUUGAAUUGAUUUUUUUCUUUUCGGUGGUUUGAUUUUUCUUUCUUUCUUUUUAUUAUUCUUUUGCUAAUUAAAAUUAUUUUUCCAUAAGUGUGUUUGUUUUAUCAUUAAGUUUUCUCUUAUCAUUAUUAAUCAUAAGUACCAUACUUAGACCGUUCCUCCUAAAUAUUCUUAAACCACUUCAACGUGUCAAAACUCAUCUCAAAAGGCAGAUUCAAUUUUGUAAAACACAUCGUAUUUGGGCUCUGCAACCACCAGAGUUAGUAUCCUAUGUUGAGGGUUUAGAAAGCCAACUCAGAGACUUUGAGAGAAGUGUUUACAACAUCCAGUUGGAGCUUGAGGUAAAUUCAAUAACAGGACAAUUUUAAUUUUCUUUGUGUGUUUUAAUUUGUUUUUCUGUUUGUGUGCUUUAGUUUGUUACUCUGGUGAAGUGGCGGAUAACGGUACUCUGUGACAAUCAAGUCAGUUACUUCAGUUUUCCCAUAAUAACUAAUAUUCUGAGGCGAAGGUAUGGAUAUAAACGAGAUUCUAGCGAAGCUUCACAAGCGAUUCCCUUCACUUCCUCAGAAUGCCCUCCUUACAAUCUAUAAAGCCCGGUCCGAACGCAUGCGAUUGCUCAUGAGGAAUAACAUACCUGCUGACAUCCGUUGGUUAAUCGAGGCUAAAGUACGAUUGGCAGGUGAGUUACCUCCAAACUUUAUUGCAUACAUGCCUGGUUGUGGUAAAGAAAAUUAUGCAAGAAAACGACGAGCUCGAAGAAUUUCUAUUGCUUGUCAUAAGUGUGCCAGAAUGAGUUGCGAUAAAAACCCAUGUUCUUUAGGAAUGGUGUUUGAUAAUAGGGAAGAUAAGAUUCAAUUCAUUAGGGAUGACUUGAAUAAGGAAUCAUUGGAUGAUAUCCUUCUAUCUCUUGAAACGCAUCCCAGUGGAUAUGUGCAAGGAGCGAUUCUCCAGUUAUGGCCAUUAUUCCAGAAAGAGCAUACAUGAUAUAGUCUCGAGAAUCUGACUAUAAACGAUCCUGUUUGCCAGUUUAUAAGAAAACUGGAUGGGAAGCCUAUCCUCGACCCAUAGAGGGCGUUCAAGCCGUUUCUGGACGUAAAACCAGAGGAAGAUGUGAGCCACAGUCUCAACUACCUGUAAAUAUCCUUUUACUUCACUAUUAUUUUAUUUCACUGUUGUUUUAUCUUUUCCAUUAUUGUCAUUAAUAAUUUUAUUUGACCAUUGUUUCUUUUUCUUUUUAUUGUUUUCUUUUUUACUCGCGAGCCAUAUGCUUUAUGCGUUAUUUGACAAUGACAUGCCACCUCAUACACAGUUGUGACCUACUGUCACCAAGAUUCUUAAAUAUGACUUUUUGUUAAGCACUCACAAAUUGUUUUUGAGAAAUAUUCCAAUAGCAGCUACUCCCAAUAGACAAUUCAAGAACAUUUAUGUACUUUCUGAAUUUAACUAUGGCAAACAUAAAGAGUUCGUUGAGGCAGCCAUAGAUUUGGUCAAAGCAUAGCAGAGAGAAAAUUACACUUGGUGUAUGGAGGAGGUAACCGAGGGUUAUCAAAAUUGGUCUCAGAAGCUGCUUUUGUCAGAGGAAGCCAAGUGUUAGGCAUCAUCCCAAGAGUCCUAAAACCUUUGGGCAGUUUGUCUGACUCACCGACUGGAGAAGAGUUAGUUGUCUCAGGUAUACAAGAAAGAAGUAACGAAGAUAAAAUACGAGCUUGUUUUAUAGCAAUAGUAAUUAAUCGUUGUUCUUUUAAGGUCAAUCUAUUCACCCGUCUAGAUAAUAUUUUUCCUUGUUCACUAAGAAAUCGACUAAUUAAAGUCAUGUUUCUAUAAUCAAUUCGAUCCCCUUUAAGAUCAAACAAUUCCAUUGAAUUGAGUAUGAUUGUAUGUGUGAUAGCAUCUACUAUACUAGGAAUAUCAAUGAACCCGAUUAUUGCAAUUGCUCAGGAUACCCUUUUUUAGCUUCUAGCCAGUUUCUAGAAUCGAUUUCUUAGUUCAAGAUCCCUCUUACUAACUGGAAUCAAGGAAUUAGUAGAUCUCAAAAUGGGAAUGGGCUAGGGUUAUGAACUUAUAAUCUAUAAUCUAAUGAUCGAGUCGAUUCCAUGAUUAUAAGUUCAUUCCAUACUGAAAUGCUUAAUCAUGCUGAUGCUUUUAUUUUCCUUCCAAGAGAUCUUGCAACACUAGAGGCACUUAUCACACUAGCAUCCUGGGCCCAUCUGUACAUUCACCAGAAACCCAUCGGUUUGUAAAAUGUUAAUAACUUUUAUGAUGGCUUCAUCGCAUUUCUUAACCAUGCAAUAAAAAACUAUUUUGUUCCUUCCAAUGCCAAAAAGCUUUUUAUUUAUGCUCACACUGCUAAUGAGCUACUUGAUCUGUUACAAGCUUAUAGACCAGAGCAGACCCCUGGACCUUUGUGUUGGAGUGUCCAAAUAAUGAUGGUAACAGUAGCCGCAGUAAGAAGUACAAAUUAGAUUUAACUCUCCGCUUGUAAAUAUUUUCUUCUGUGUUGUACCACCCAGGUGAUGUCUUCUAAACUCUAUUUCUUUCCUUUCAAACAUUGGGGACAAUGUUUCGUUCUGGUGGGGGGAGGGAAUAGUCGACAAUUGUGGAAUCUUGGUUAAGUUUUUACUAAUUUUUUGUUGUAGAAACUAACUGUUGCUAACUUUUUGUAUUGAAGAUGGCUGAAUAUGGAGUGUAGUGACUCUAAAAACGCAUCUUCAUCGUUUACAAAAAAAAUUAAAAAAAAUUAAAAAAAAAUCAAAAAAUUCAGACAUUUUCUUUUUCUUUAUUAAGUUUUGAUGUUCAUUUUUCUUCUUCUUUUUUAAUUUCUCCUUUAUAAAUAUACAUUUUUAAAUAUUUGAGUCGAAGAUAGCUGAAUAUGGAGUGUAGUGCCUCUAGAAACGCAUCUUCUUAGUUAAAAAAAAAACAGUUUUCUUUUUAAGUGUAACUUUUCUAAUUAGUUUUUCUGCAUCAUUUUCACAUUUCUGGAUGCAUAUUUUCCUUUCACAUUUAGAAUAGGUUGGGGGGUAGGAUGUUGUUUGAAAAAAAAAAUUGUGUGAUUUGUUUUAACAUUGGAUGACAUGAUUAAUUUAAAAUUUUAGUAUUUGUAUUAUCUUUGGUCUUAAGUGAUGUUAUGCUAUGUUUGCUAUUUUACAUGUUGAUGUCGGAGACAAAUAUGAGUUGCUUGAAGGAAUGAACAUGUCAUAAAUAAAUGUCAAGUGAGUUUUUGAGCCUAUCAUUUUUCUUGGAGAGUAACCAUUUUGCCCAUUCUUUAUACAGCUUAGCGGUUUAUUAUUGUAUACACGAUCUCUAGAUUUCUUUAGAGUUAACCCUUAAAAAAAUUUGUAAAAUUAAAAAAAAAGAAAAAAAAAUGUGUUGCUACAUUUGAAAGUCCAUCUAACUAGUAGAUAUGGAAGGUUAUUUAGAGCCCUAAAAGACGAUGGAAAUACCAUUUUUGAUCCGUUUGAGCCUUUCUAGUCAUCCCUUUUGUGAAAUAUCCAUAGUUAACCAUUUUGAGCCUUUUAAAAAAAAAAGAAAAAAAAGCCUUUUAUUUGUUAAACUUAUCAUCUUGACCCACUCCGAUUUGGAGUAUUACCCGAUGUCUUAUAAGUUCCAUCACCUAUUUAUGUUUGAGAAAAAUAUAAAUAAUUAUUUUGUUCAGUGACGUUGUGCCAAGCAAAAGCAAAACAAAAUUGUUUCAAAAAAAAAGAAGAAAAAAAUAAUAACAAUAAUAGGUGAAAUCUACCUUGUAACUUCUAAAAAAAAAAAAAAAUUCCUCUGCAUUUUUCUCAAACAUACACUUUGUUUUCCUUAUUUCCCUUCUUUGUUAACCAUGUCCCUAGCCUACGUUACGUCCUAAUAAAAGUCCUUCUUGAUUUUAGAGAACUAUAGUCUGAAGUAGAAGCUAAUUAUAUGGGCUAAAAAGAUGUAGUGAUGUAUAAUAAUAAAAAAAAGGGAAAUUAUCAUUUGUAUACCCUUAGUUUACUCCAUUAUCAAAAAUACUACAACACUUUGAAGGUGUAUCAAUCGUCCACCCUAAGUUGACAAAAUGUAUCAGCUGACCACUAAACCGUUAGUUGCCGUUUAAGUAUGAUGACGUCAUAAGGGUAAUUUGGUCUUUUCAUAUGAUACAAGUGAUAAUUUAAGGGUAUACAAGUGAUAAAAAGAGAAUUUAAGGGUAUACAAUUGAUAAUUUUCAAGGGUAAAAUCGUCAAUUCACUGUAACUCCGUUAACUUUCAAACGGAAACUAACGGUUUGGUGGUCGGCUGAUACAUUUUGUCAACUAAGGGUGGACGAUUGAUACACCCUCAAAGUGUUGUAGUAUUUUUGAUAACAGAGCAAAUAUAGGGUAUAUGAAUGAUAAUUUUCCUAAAAAAAAAGAUAAAAAAAGUGGGUUGACUAGCAUUUUUGUUUGACUUGAAAUCGUAUUAUUUCUAAGCUGAGGGCAUAUUUCUUUCAUCUUUGUGAGAGCAUGUGAUAUCAUUUCUUUAUUAUUUUCUCUCAAUUACCAUUUAUUGCAGUGACUAUUUUUAUUGGGUAUAAUUUCUUUGUGAGAGUGUCACUAUAUCUAGUGAGAUUUUGGGGUUUAACAUGUCAUUCUUGAAAGUAGCUGUGACAAAGUCUACUGGUCUGAUUCAUGUGGAUGGUUGAUGUGGGUGUGAUGUUUCUUUAGACUGGAGAUAAUGCUUAUACUUUUAUUUGAUUACUAUCAUUAGUCUAAUUGAAUAAACAUGAGUGUUAAAAAAAAAUUAUUUUGGAUUUAAAUUUUGUUUUCGCUUUAUUUGCUAGGGACUAGCAAUAAGCUGGUUGAGGGGUGUGUUGAGUGUUAGAAAAUGUAUAUUUAUAAAGGAGAAAAUCGUCAUUUUACACUUCAAGUUUUACUAACACCCUUACUUUUAUGUAUUUAACUUUCUUUUGAUUUAAUUCCGUGUGUUUUAUUUUAAUUAAGUAUUUCAUGUAUUUUAAGGGCAUCAUAGUCAUUUCACAAUAAACGAGUGAUCAGAUGACAAAACGGACAUCACUUUUGAACUCAGGACGGUCAAAAACCUUAGGAGGAACAUAAAAGAAAAAAUGACAUUGUUCACAUGUACGGUACUAUUCACGUGUACAGUACUAUCUACGUUACUGUUCACGACACUGUUCACAUAGACGGAUCGAUGACGUGGCAUUGACCGAUGAAGUGGCAUUGACUGAUGAGGUGUCACGAUCCUAUUAGACUAAAAUUCUUAUGUACUGUUGAUGGUGAUGUGGCAGCAUAUCAGUGGACCAAAAAUCUCGCGUACGAUACAUGCAUCACACAGGAUUAUUUUCAACCAAACCGUGUCACUAUUCAACUCGGGUCAAACUGUGUUACUGUUCAUCCGCGUGGCCAAACUGCGUACUGUUGACUGAUGGCGUGGCGCAAUCCUGAGUGUCCAGACUGUUUUUAAUCUGAUGGCCAUGAUUUACUCCAUGUAUCUAUAAAAAGAGGGCCUCCCCCCCUAAUUUGAUAUCUCUGAAUCCAUUUUUAGGAUCCAUUUUUUGUAAUUCCUUUUCUAUCUUGUAGUUUUUAUGUAUUUUAAUAAAUUCAUAUUUUUCCCCUAAUUCAAUUAUGAAUAGCUAAUUUUCUUUCAAGCUUGGGUUGAAGGUGAAGUCUCAACAUGUGUCAUGGGCUUUAUUUGGUAAAUUUACUUUAUCUUCCCCUAUAAUUUUUGUGGAUGUUUUGACUUCUCGUCGACAAAUAAUACUAAUCUUGUCUAGUACUGCCUUGGUUUCACCGGCCCUCUAGUACAAGGUUAUUAUUAUUUGGCAUGAUAAGCCCUUAGCACCAUAUUGAUUAGAGCGUGGUUCAUGAGGUGUGGAUUCCCCUCUCAUGAUUUAAUUGGCAUUAAUAAGGAUUAUUUAGCCCAUGAUGCAUGUUGAUACGGAUCCAGAUACCCAAGUACGUCAUCUCAAUAAAUUUCUCUUCAAUUUAUUCUCACCAUUUCAAUUCCAAUUUUAGGAUAAUCCAAAUCAUUUUCACCACAAAUCCAACCACCCAUUUACAAAAUUAAUUCUACACAUAAUUAAAAUCCACCUCCUCGUGGGAUCGACACUCGUCACCAUUAGUCUAUUCUACAAUAGAUUUGUGCGCUUACGAGUUCAAUAAAAUUUGCACAACACAUCCUCCCAUGGUAUGGGUUGAGAGUAGUUCUGGUUCUGAUUGUAUGGUCUAAAUGGUGGCUGGGAGGCUUGAGUAAUUGGUUGCAUUGGUGGAGCUGGAGCUGCUGGUCCAUUCUAUUGGAAUCCUUGAGACCAUGAAAAAUUGAGGUGGUCUCUCCAUCCAGGGUUAUAUGUGUUGGAGUAUGGGUUGUAAUUUGAUGGUUUUCUCAUUACACCUAUGGCAUUGGCUUGAUCUGGAUAUGAGUCAGGGUCAUGUGGUUCUAUUGAUUUAGCAGUCGAUAACGAUGCUAUUUGUCGAGCGAGACCUUCAACCAUCUCUUUUACUUCUUUGAUUCCCGAAGUUGACUUGCCAAUGUGAACCUCAUUCACUCCUUUAAUUCUUUUAGUGUUCCUGAGUGACCGACUCCGUUGUUGGGAAUUAUCAGCUUAUUGUUGAAAGAAUUCCCAAAUCUCUGAUGCACUUUUUGACAUUAGCUCUCCUCCACUUGUUGCCAUUAGUCAUUCUUACACAUUCGGCAAUAAUCCCUCCAAAAAGUAUUAGCAUUGGUGUCAUUUCUCGUACCCAUGAUAUGGACACUUCAAGAGUAGCCCAUUGAAUCACUCCCAUGUUUCGAAAAACUGCUCGUCUUCUCUCUGGGUAAACUCUGAAAUUUCCCUGCAAGUAGCAUUGGUUUUAUGCACAGGGAAAUAUUUAUUCAAAAAUUUAGUUACCAUUUGUUCCCAUGAUGCAAUGCUAUUUGCAAGCAAAGUAUUUAACCAUGAACGAGCUCUAUCCUUUAAAGAAAAUGGGAAUAGUCUAAGUUUAACAUCAUCAUCUGAAAAAUUCUCAUAUCUAAAUGUUUGACAAACAGCAUGAAAAUCAUUCAAAUGAUUAUAUGGGUCAUCAUUUUCUAGGCCAUAGAAUGUUAGGAGACAAUUUAGCACACUAGAUUUUAGUUCAAAACUCCUAGCAGCUACAUUUGGGUCUCUUAUGCAUGAUGUGCUCAAAUUAGCUAAGGGACUAAAAUAGUCCUUAAAUGGCCUCUCUAGUGGUGCUUGUUGUUGCAAAUCCAUUUCAAUUUUAUCUUUAAUGUGUUUGUGUGUGCGCAAUAUUUUUUCUAAUUCAAGGUCUAUAGGUUCAAGAUUAUAUAAUAAUGACCUUCGACCUUGCAUGCAAUGAAUACAAAAAAAUGAGAACAAAAUUAAUAAAAAUAAACAAGAAGGAGAAAUUACGGUACUAACCUUAUCACGCUGUUACAACAUUUCUAUAAAAAAAACACACUUAAAAAAAUUUGUGAAAUAAAUUAACUAAAAAUAAAUUAAUAAAAUAAAAAAAAAUUACAAAGAAAAAUAACUUAAAAAUUAAAUUGCAGAAUUAUAAAGAAUAGAUAAAGAAAAGAAAUUAUUACCUCUAAAUGCAGAUUCACUUUUUUUUCUUUUUCUUUUUUUUAAUAAUAAAAAAAUACAAGAAAACAAAUAAAAGAACUUAUUUACAAAAAUUAAUUUUACGAAUUACAAUAACUUACCUCCCCGGCAACAAUGCCAAAAACUUGUUGUGCAAAUUUUAUUGAACUCGCAAGUGCACAAAUCUAUUGUAGAAUAGAUUAAUGGUGACGAGUGUUGAUCCCACGAGGAGGUAAAUUUUAAUUAUAUGUAGAAUUAAUUUUAUAUGAGGGUGGUUGGAUUUGUGGUGAAAGUGACUUAGAUUAUCCUAAAAUUAGAAUUGAAAUGGCGAGAAUAAAUUGAAGAGAAAUAUAUUGAAAUGAAGCGCUUGGGUAUCUGGAUCCGCAUCAACAUGCACCAUGGGCUAAAUAUUCUUUAUUAAUGCCAAUUAAAUCAUGAGGGGGGAAUCUACACCUCAUGAACCACACUCUAAUCAAUAUGGUGCUAAAGGCUUAUCGUGCCAAAUAAUAAUAACUUUGUACUAGAGAGCCAGUGAAACCAAGACGGUAUCUAGACAAGAUUAUUAUUAUUUGUCGACGAGAAGUUAAAACAUCCACAAAAACUAGAGGGGAAGAGAAAAUAAAUUUACCAAAUAAAGCUCAUGACACAUGUUGAGACUUCACCUUCAACCCAAGCUUGAAAGAAAAUUAGUUACUCAUAAUUGAAUUAGAGGUAAAAAGGAAAUUUAUUAAAAUACUUAGAAAAUACAAGAUGGAGAAGGAAUUAUAGAAAAUGGAGUCCAAAAAUGAAUUCAGAGAUGCCAAAUUAGGGGGGGAGGCCCCCUUUUUAUAGAUACAUUGAGUAAAUCAUAGCCAUCAGAUUAAAAACAGUUUGGACGCUCAGGAAUACGCCACGUCAUCAGUCAACAGUACGUGGUUUGACCACGCGGUUUGAACAGUAACACGGUUUGACCCGGCUUGAACAGUGACGCGGUUUGGUUGAAAAUAAUCCUGUGUAAUGCAUGUACCGUACACGAGAUUUUUGGUCCACUGAUAUGCUGCCACGUCAUCGAUCAACAGUACAUAAGAAUUUUAGUCCAACAGGAUUGUGACACCUCAUCAAUCAAUGACACGUCAUCGAUCCGUCUAUGUGAGCAGUGUCGUGAACAGUAACGUAGACAGUACCAUACAUGUGAAUAGUACCAUACAUGUGAACAGUGCCAUUUUUCCUUUUAUGCUCCUCCUAAAGUUUUCAACCGUCCUGAGUUCAAAAGUGAUGUUCGUUUUGCCGUCUGAUCUCUCGUUCAUUGUGAAAUGACCAUAAUACCCUUAAAAUAUAUAAAAUACUUAAUUAAAAUAAAACACACGUAAUUAAAUCACAAGAAGCUUAAAUACAUAAAAGUAAGGGUGUUAGUAAAACUUGAAAUGUAAAAUGAUGAUUUUCUCCUUUAUAAAUAUAGAUUUUCUAACACUCAACACUCGCGAUCGAGGAAGCUGCUGGAACUGCUCGCGUUUGGCUGCUGCUUGUGCUCGCGUUUGGUUGCUGCUUGUGCUCGCGUUUGGUUGCUGCUCUUGCUUGUGGAAUCUCGCGUUUGGCUGUUGGAACUGCUUGCGUUUGGCUACUGCUUGUGCUCGUGUUUGAUUGCUACUCUUACUUGUGGAAUCUAGGGUUCAAUUCUCUUAAAACCUAUUUUAUCUCUUUAAUUUUCAUUUUUUUUUACUAAAUUAACUUCUCUAGCAUGUUUGAUGCAUAUGUGAUGUAUGUGCAAGAAUAUAAACAAAUGAUUACGAGAAUUUUUUUUUUUUUGGUUUAUGGUUGUUUGAUGAACAGAGUUCUUAAUUUUUCCGGUUUAUUGGAGAUUUUUUGCUAAUUACUUUUGUUAUUUCUUUUCUUUAUCAAGUUUUAGAUGUGCAUGGAAUAAAUGAAUCAAUUUUAUUUUGUUAUUCUUGAGCAAUGGAUUAAAUUUAUUUAGUUUGAAGAGAAAAUUUGAUAAAAAAUUAAAUGGAAAAAUUGGGUAAUGAAGGUAUAUUCGUAAUUUUAUUAAUAAUAUAGGGAUAAAUUGGACAAUGAACAAUUAUUUUUUAAUAUGCUAUAAGGGUAUAAUGGUAAUUGUACUUUAAAAUUAUAAUUUCUGUUAAAAGAAACGGUUUCUGUUAACCAAUGGGGGUCUGAGUGUCUUUUUUGAAGCAUUAAGGGAUUUUAUGUCUCUUAUUCAAACGUUGGGGUCUCUGUAUCCUUUUCCCUUAAUGUUUUUACAGUAUUUGUACUUAAAAUUUCAAUAUGAUAACCAUUUCAACAGAUAUUUUCAAAAUGCAAUAGAUUCUCCUAAAAGGGUUGAUUCUGAAAGAUGGGCUAGGGAUUAUGGAUUUCCAGGUGAUGUUUGGCUGCUUGAAAUUGUGGUUUUGGAGUAUUUGGUGGGUCAUUAUCCUUUGAUAGGUUUGGUGGAGAAGCUGGACUUGGUGGCAUUGAUAUGUGCUAUAUGCUUCAGAGAGAGGCUGGAGAUGUCAGAAACUACAUCAUGGAAGUCUUGUAGCUUUAUGAGAAGUUGUUUGGAGAACUUAAAAUUUACCAACUUAGAAACUACAUAACCAGACUGAGAGUGCGUUUGAAAUUGAGGUUAUGUAGCUAUAAUUUAAAAACUACAACACUAAAGUAUUUAGUAAACACUAACUGCUAUAACUUGUAAAUUAUGUUGAUAUGAUUUUUCAUUUAUAUAAUAGAAAAUCUAUUAUAUCCUUAAUAAUUUUGAUAAAAUUAUUAUUUAAAAUUUAUAUUUAUUAUAUAUUAUUAACUUUUGUUUGAUAUUUAUAAUUUUUUUUCCAUACCUCAAUUCCAAACGGGACCCGAAACAUCAAAACUUUAGACAGCUGCAAUUUGUAGUACGUUUAUUUCUUGGUCGCAUCAUGAAUCUCUCUACUGGCCAGUUCAUUUUACAGCAGCUUUAGCCAUGCAGACCAUAGCGCAAAAUCAAGAUUAUGACAACAAAUUCUUAAGUUUAAGAAACAAACAUCUUGAUUACUUUGUUUUUAUGAGAACCGUUAACAUUGUAAGAAAUUGAAAAUGGUCAAAAUCAAAAUUACAAUUGAAUAAGCACUGAUACCAAGUCGAAUAACCGUUUUACAGAAGAAAUGGAUAUAUCAAAGAAAUUUUGAUGGGGCCAAGUUCCGACUCUUUGAUGUCUCCAACUGCUUGUUCAGAAAACCACCUGAAAUNNNNNNNNNNNNNNNNNNNNNNNNNNNNNNNNNNNNNNNNNNNNNNNNNNNNNNNNNNNNNNNNNNNNNNNNNNNNNNNNNNNNNNNNNNNNNNNNNNNNCGUUCAGAAGGAUUAGAAGAUAAAAAGUUGCAGCGAUGAAAUAUGGGAAUUAUAAAGAGUUGGAACAGUAAUCAACAACAAGACAAGCUUCAGAUGCCAGAAAUCAUGUAUCACAUUUAUUUACAUUAAGGGACCUGAUAUAGCUAAAACACGAGGCCACCCAAAGGAAUAAACAUAAGCCCACAUUGUUGAAAAAGCUGGUGAAGAAGAAAUUUAACACCCUAAUUUUGAGUAGGGCUGUAGAUUAACUUACAAGGAAGGCUAGUACCGGUAAUUCAGCCAGGCAUGAUAAUUUGGGAAACAAGGAAGGCUAGUACCGGUAAUUCAGCCAGGCAUGAUAAUUUGGGAAAAGACUUUUGAUUUUAAAAAUACUUGGUUUUGCAUACAGUAUAUUCCAAAUACUGAUUACUUGGUUUUGCAUAUUAAAAACCUUUGACAAUGCUCACACAAAAGAACAUUAAGUAUCCCUUAUUUUACAUUACAUAGAGUAAGCUAUGAGUAUUCUCUCCGACUCCGAGCCUUUACAGCUGUAAAUACUGAGCUUAAAACAUCUACAGUGACUUCUCUAAACCACCCUACCUCCCUCUGUUUUUUCACGGAAUAUAUUCUUGAAUAUCUCUCUGAUUUUAGUUGGUUCUACAGGCCUAAGUCAAUUAAACCAACAGUCUGAACCACCAUAACCAUGCUACUUUAUGAAUGAUGCUCCAUUUCUUGGAAGCACUUCACUGACCAUUAUGCAAAGCAACAUGUAAUAAUCAGCAGAUUCAACAUAAAAGAAGGUUUUGCCUAACACCAUUAUAACUUUUACCUGAAAAGAAGACACAAUUAUUAAUUACAAAGAAUACUCUGGAAAGGCAUCAAUGUUUGAAAAAAGCGUGCUCUAACAUGAAAUGGAUUUAAAAAGUAGUUCACAGUGUUGCACUAAACAUAGUCGAGACAAUAUGUCGAAAAUGUGGAAGGAAGAAACAGUAAAAAAUUCCCUAGCACGAAUCAAAUAAUGCCCUCACGUAGUAUGCAAUGGAAAAAUAUUAAUUAAAAAGGAAACUGUUGUGAUUCUGGGGUUUUGAUUAGAGAAUUUAAGAGAGAAGAGAUGAAGAAUUUUAGAAUUCAAAGGGAAAGUGAAGAAUUCACUGGGGUUGAAAUUUACUUUAUUAUUACUUGCUCAAAAAACAGAAUAAGAACCACCUAUUUAUAGUAGCUCAACACGAUCCUAAUUCUAAUCUUAUUAGAACCUUAAAUAAUAAUUGCAAUAGGAAACAUAAUCCUAAUAGCAAAGAAAGAAAAAAAAAACUACUAGGAUCCUAACAUUCCCCUUGAAACACGCUUGCGCACAAGCCUUCUAGCCAGGAUCAAUAACCAAAAUUUUCCAAUUUAGACAGUUGUCAGGCAGCUUCCAAUCUAAAUAGUGUCCAGGCAGAAUGAAAACCACUGAAGUAUUGGACUGAUGAUAAGGGGAACAUCAGCUGCUAAAAGCCAUAGCUGAGGUUGUUUACAAUGAUGCUCCGGCUUAAGUUGCUCAUCACAGUUUGUAGAAUGUCUAUCGGCAUGCGUAGUUGGUGAUAAGGUUUUAGGUAAGGCAGAGGGUAUAUUAUUGGCUAAGGCAGAGAGUAUUGGUCCCAAUAAAGAAGGGGCUAGUGGACUAUGUCAUGUCUGGUGCAGGGUUGUGGAGGGCUAGAAUUGAAGGUGUGAAUCCUUGAUGAGUACAUGAAUUACCUCCUCCCCGAAACAAUGCUGGCUAAUGAUUAUCUCUUGUUUUGGGGAGUGCCAACAUUCUAACAUGCCAACUUCAAGUGGACUAGGAGAUGGUUGUGCUUCCUUGCACAACUGGCCCAAUUCUUCAAGAAUGUCUUGCAGAAGUACCUUAGAGUGUUACUAUGAGCAGUUGACUGCAAAAUUUUCAUCAAUUUGAGAUAGCUACACAAUGUUCAAGCACUAUAGAGAUAAAAAAUUUUGCACAAGUACUUCAAAUUUUGAUGAGAAGUUUAGAUCGAUUGAUUGGGCUUGCAAAUGGUGACUCACAAAAGCAAACUGAGUUGGUCACACGACAUUGGCAAAUAUUUUGACAAAUUUUCAGAUUUGCAGUGACAAGGAUUUUGGGGGGAAAAAAAAUUGUUUUGUAUUUUCAAGAUAAACGGAAAAAGUAAAUUGGUCGCUGGGAAAGAUAUGCUUUGAUACCAGAUGUUAGGGUUCCAAGGUUUUGAUUAGAGAAUUCAAGAGAGAAGAAAUGAAGAAUUUAAAAAUUCAGUGGGAAAAGAGAAGAAUUAACAGGGGUUGGAAUUAAUUUUAUUAUUACUUGCUCAAAAAAUAAUGUCAACCACUUAUUUAUUAUAGUUCAAUGCAAUCCUAAUUUUAAUCUAAUAGAACCCCUAAUCAUAAUUGCGAUAAGAAAAUAAUCAUAAUAGGAAAGAAAUUAAAAUAAACUACCAGGGUCCUAACAAAUACCGUACAAAAGACAGAAAAAAAAAAAAAGAAAUUAUCUACCGUCCACCCAUUUUUUCAUCAUUUUUCAAAAAUACACAAAUCUUUACAUUUGAGGGUUAAAAAGUCAUUUACACAAUAUUCCGUUAGUUUUGUUAACGGUCUCCAAACAGAAGUGGAAAAGUAAAAAGAAAUGUAACUUCAGGUGGAUUUUAACAAAAAAAAAAAAAGAAUUGUGUAUUUUUUAAAAAGUUAGAAAAAAUGGGUGGACGGUGGAUAAUUUCCCAAAAAAUAUAAUUAAAAGGUUCAACCAAUAAGCUUAAAAGCAUCCCCAAAAGGGCUCUUUAAAAUCAAAAUAUUACUUUCUCAUUUUGAAGAGCCCUUUGGAGCCCUUUAAUUUUAAUUAUCGUACUAUUUUUUUAUCUUUAUCCAUUUCUUAUAAAGGGGAGAAAUAUAUAAUUGUUAUUAUUUUGGUGAAGAAAAAAAUUUGACUAAACUAAUAGAAAAUUAUUUUUAUUUGAAGAGUCUUUUGGGAGGGGACUUACUUUUUCACACAUCCAUUUGCCACAUAAGUAAAGAAAUAAAUAGUUUAAAAGGAAAAUUAGAAGUCUUUUUAGUGAUGUUCUUAAAUCUACGGCAAGGUGAUUGGUUCCACUCUUUAGAACAAGACAAGGAAGAAAGAAUCAUAAUAUCUUUCAACACUGUCACAAUGACCUCGCACCCCCAUGCAUAAACAACCCAAUCUCAAACUUCAUUUGAUCCCUAAAUAUUUUUUAGACAAUAGAAACACAUUUUUCACCCUCCACAUAACAAAGUCUCAUCAUAAUUUGCACAAACAAGAGGGGAUAAAACCUCGUGCACAUAAGCUUAGGAGGGAGGGGGAAAAAAAAACAAUUUCUCCCACAAUAUUAUAAUUUCCAUGCACAAGCCAAAACAAAAAUACUCUCUAUUUUGGUUAGAUUUGGGCUCACACGAUUAUUUCCGAACAAUUCUAAAUAUCAUCACUAAGCCCUCUAGAUGUUGUUGGUAGGCCCCAUCAAGUCAGUAAUUCUAGAACUUGAAUGAAAUAUAUUACCAUAAGACAAUUGAAGAAUAUUUCAAUCUUCUUUGGCCAUAGAACAUUUUUAUCAUUGAUAAUCCUCUGACAAAACAAAAAUAAAUAGCACUCUGACAUAAUAUUGUCAUAUGCUCUUGCAAGAUCUUAGAAUGAUCAACUAAUCCUCAAAACAAUAACUUGUCCUCCAUCAGUUUUGUCACUGCCAUUUACUCUGCAAAAGUAGACGGGCUAUAAUAUAAACCUCGAACUAUUCAAACACGGAAACACCCCACUAGCGUACAUAAAUUUGUGGCAGACCACUGAAUCUACAUAGCAAGAAAUAUGUGAAUUUGAAGCACUAAUUCUCUGAUAAAACAAUCCCAUAAUUUUAAGUAUCACACAAAUACCUCAUCAAUCACCUCGCUACAAUCUGAUAGUAAAUUCUCUAAUCUACCACAUUAACAACAUGUAGAAUACUACUAUAGUGCAUACCAAGGCUCACAUCAAAUGGCCAAUUUCAAACCUUAGAUUCAAUCCAUAGAAAGAUUAUGUCGUGGAACAACACAUUUCUCCUUUUAUAUAGGCUUAUAAUAAUAUACAUAAGCUAAGCAAAAAAAUACAACCAUAACCUUCACAACAACAAAAUAAAGAGGUGGAUUGAGAAAAACCUGCUGUUGAUAUAAGGUGGAUAUGGGACCGAGGUCCUUCAAACAUCCAAUUAUCUUCAUCCAAUGAUUUAACUUCCUUAUUCAAAGCAGCCAUCAAAUCAGAUCUCAGAACUGCAAAGCAAAAAAUACUGAGACAUCCAAGACAUGAUAUUAACUUCCAUUACUAUAGAAAUAUCACAAAUACUAAGGAAAAGCUUCUGAAACCCUCAUAGAUAUUCGGUAAGCCCAAACCCAAAAAGACAAUGUGAGAAACCUUGGCUUUACAUUAAUUAAAAGAGCAAACAAAGAUAACUCAGAGAUGCUAAAAAUAAAAAGUUUCACAACCUUGCAAAGCUUCAUCCUUGCGGUCUUGAAUGGAGAUGAGAUCAGAAGGAAAAUGAAAUUCAUCGGUAGCAGUGUUGUUGCUGCUACUUCCUCCUCCAACUAAUGGUGUUGUUGAUAUUGAUGAAUUUGCUGGUGAUGUACUGCUCAUUCUGUUACUUUUUCCUCAAAACUAUCUAUCAAUCAUAUUUUGUUUCGCUUCAGUCAGAAUUGUAUAGUAUUGUCAAAAUAGAAAAUUCUUGGAUUUAAAUGCUUCAUUGCUGGUAACUGCUGACAAGUAUUGUCAAUGCUAAGAUUAAAGCACGGGCUAAGGGCUACUGAUAUCAUAAAGAGGGCUUUUGUGAGAGCACAGAGCCAAUCAUGUCUUGCCAAAUGUAAAAGAACAAACCAGGCAACAACACAGCAACUCCUUUGAAUGCAAAUUAAAACAAUUCAUCAAAAUAAAAUAAAAUAAAACACACACACACAACUUCUAGGCCUAUGAUGGAUUUUCUGGGUUCUUACUUUCGGUAGCCAUAACAGAAUGUUACAACAGAAAGCUAUUUGCUGAUAAUUAAUCAUCUAAAAUUCACAUGUUUAUUGAACAUGAUUCCACUCAUAUCUUGCAAUAAGUCAGAAAUAUUUUUAAAACUUUUCUCAACAUGUAUUUGUAAAUUUCGAAUAACAUUUUCGCAAAUAUUGGCAACAUAAUAUGAAAUAAACCAUGUAACGUUAACACUAUAGAUAAUAAAUUUAAGAAAAAAAAUUUCAAUUACCUUGCAAAAAAGGGAAUAACCAAAAACAACGGAGAGGUGGAUUCGAUUUUUAAUUUCAAAAAAUUCAACAAUCCUUGUCCCGCACGGAUACUCGCCGGCUUUGAUGAUUUAUAAUGAUCGGCGAUACGAUGUCGCGUACACUAGCACGCGGCGGCGCGUGGGAAAUUGGCGGCAAAUUUUAAUUUUGUUUUUUUUUCUUUUUUUGGGUUAAGACUGAGUAAAUUCUUGACUUCAGGGUUCCAAGCUUGAGAGUGCUGGAGCCUCGCGAGAGGCACCGUUGCAGGCGCUGGCUUCUUUAUGUUACACGUGUACCAAUGUUUUGGUUUUACCGGCAGUUUAUUUCUCAAAUACAAUUUUACCCUUAUUUUAAGAAAAAAUUUCAUAAAUUCUAACAAAAUCUAAUAAUUAUCAUCAUUGUAUCAAAGGCCCAAAAAAUUAAAUAAAAAUUUACAUUUACAUAAAAAAAAUGUUAACCUAAGGUUUAUUAUAAUACAUUAUCAUAAUUUUUUAUUCAAUUAAAUAUUAAUUUAGUAUUAAUUAUUAAUUAUCAAUAAAAUUAACAAAUCAUAAAUAAUUAACAAACGAACACACACACAAACACAUGUGAUAUACAUACAAACAAUCACAGACACCUCAAAAUAAUAAUUAAGUUAAAAUUUAUCUAAUUGAAUAAAAAAUUAUUUAGUAAUAUAAUAAAUAUUUAAUUAAUAAUCACUUUAAUUGAUAAUUAAUAGAUUUUUCCUUAAGGUUAAAAUUAGUAUUUUAUAUGUCAAUUAAUGGUCAACCAGCAAAAAGUAAUAAAAUAUAAAAUUUUAUAACUUUUUUAGUAGUAAAAUAUUAGGGUCCAAUAGUUGUUGCAUCUGUUUGUUAUUCACAAUAAUUUAAGCAGUAAAAAGAAAAUAAUCCUUUGUUUUAUUUUUGACAUGGUUCUUCCUACAAUUUAUUUAAUGAAGAAAAUAUUCUUUAUUUAAUUACUUUUUCCUUGGGGUUUAUUUGAAUAAACUCACCUACUUACACCAACUACUGUUUUUUUUUUAAAAAAAGAAAUUAUUGUUAAAAUAUGGUUAAAUAAAAUCUCCUUGAUGGCAUUACAAAAAUAAUUGAAUAAAUGAAGUUUUUACUCUUUUAAGGCUCUAUAUUUAGAUUUAAAUUAGUUUUCUUAAAUCCAAAAUUGUGAAUUUAUCAAGAUAUAUCAUAAUAUUCAAAAGUGGCAAAAUAAUCUCGAUAAAUUAAUUGUCUUGGGAAUAUUAAAAUUUAUUAAUUUAGCAAAUAUUAAUAGAGCAAUAAAUUAAUAAUUAAUGACUUAUCAAUAAAUUGAUAAUUUAUUAAUUUAUAAAAAUAUGGUGUGCAUAAUAGGAAUUUGUAUGAAGUAUAGAGGUAGUACAAUAAGAAAAUAUAGUGAUUUUGUAAAGCUAUAAGAUACGAUUUUGAUUUGACCUUGAUUGAAUAAUGAUAAGUGCUUAAUUUCACAUUAGUUUUUAAUUUUUUUUGCAAUUAUUUAAUAUUUUUCAUAAACUUCUUGAAUCUUUAUUAAUCUUUUAUAGGAACUUUUAAGCUAAUAAAACAAACACGACUAGAAAAGUUAUAAAUUGGUGUGAAGAAUAGCUAAAUUGUGACUUCAUGGAUUUUGAUUACUUCUGGGAUGAAUUUUAUCCAUUUUAUUGAGCUAUAUUAGAUAUGUAUUAAGAUUGAGGAUCAUAUUUGGGCCAUAAAAGAUUUAUUCUCGAAGGGUUGGUUGGAUUUCCAAAUUGGCCCACAAUAAAAAUAGAUUUUGGAGUUAUUUUAACAUAUAGGGCUAUUUCCUUGGCUCAAAAACCGAAUUUUAAAAGGAGAACAAGUUCAACUAGGUAUACAAGGAUUUGGAUAGCAACUCUAUAUAAAGAAAAUGAGUUAAACACUCUAGAGAGAGUAAUAAAAUGAAGAAUCAACACUUAAUAACAAUAAUAUUAAGAUAAGUUUUUAAGUGAUAUGCUUUUAAGCGAGAUCAAAUGUGUCAGUCAAUUGAUAAUCUUAAGAAAAGUGCAAGCAAAGAGAUACGUCCACAUUUUACAGAAGAUAGAACCAAUUUUGCAGCUGGUUUGAAGUAUGGUUUUCACAUGUUACUAAAAUUAUGAAAUAUGAAAGGUGCAUCUUGUUAGAUCAUUAGAUAAGAAAACCAUUCACUUAAAGAAAAAAUAAAUUAAUCAAAGAAAAUAAUUAUGAAUUAACAACCGAGAGCAAUAAAGAAGGUAGGGAAUGUUGGGGAAAGAUCGGUUUUUUAAAUUUUUUAUAAAACCUUUUUAAUAUCGCUCUCAUAUAAUAUAUAAGAAUUUGUAAUCUAAAAAUCGUACCUUGAAAAUCAUAUUUAAAUUUUUCCGCUGAAGUGAUUUAAGCUCCCAGAUCACGAUCCGUCACCACCACGCUUAUUAGAUCACGAACUGUCACCAAUGAUCUUCCAGGUUAUGACUCAUGUUUGAUCUGCACUUGACGUGUGGGCGCCUUUAUCACUACCAAAGCAACUAGCGCGAGAAAAUUUUUCUCUCAACAAUAGAGAGAAAAAUCUUUUUCUCUUAUUUGUAUAAAGUGGCUGCUCUAUAUUUUUCUUUAGAGAAAAUAAGCCUUUUUAUAUCUCCCUUUAGUGAAAAUCUUAGGCUCCAAAUAAUCAAAGUCAAAACUCACGUUACUUGUUUUUUCUAUAGGGGACCCACCUUGUAAAAUAACAUAAGGCCCCUUACACACAAGCUAAUUAAAUGGAGCCUCCCACUAAAUGAUAUAUUUAGGCUUUUGACCAAAAUAGCUAGUUAUCUUACUUAUUAAUCCAAUAGUGGUGCAGUCAAUUAAAUGAGCUAACCCGAGGAUCAUUUGGGAACAUACAUUAGUGGCUACAAUAAUUAGGCUUGUAAUUAAACUAGCCCAAUUAUUUAAUUCCAAAUCUACUCCACUAAAAGAUUGGAACUGACUUCCAUAAUUGUAUGCUCGAAUAAUAAUUCAUCCCAAGCCACAUUGAUUUCUUUACUGCACAAUCCUUUGUACCACAUACAUACUAAAUAUGUUGACACACUCUGGCCAGAGAAUUCUAUGAUCAAGUGUCGAAAACUCAUCAAGAGAUGUGUUGUACAAAUUGUAUAUUGUUAAUCCAUAACUCCAAUACUCAUAAUUGCUCCCACCAAGAUACCGGGUAAUCUUAACCAUAAGAAUGUGUCGUGCCCAUUGGUAACUCAAAUGGAAUAACAAUUACAAUCAUGAAAUCAUAAUUAACUCAAGAUUAAGAUUACAGUAAAAUCAAUGCCUAUGAGAUUUAAUAAGUCUGACAGUUAUUACAAAGUUAAUUAAAUCUCGUAUGUGAUCUUGUUCAAUGUAGUUGUACUACAUCAAUAAAUUCAUACAUGAUUAAAACAAAUCAUUCAAUGAAUUUAUUACAGUCUAUACCUAAAUAAAGUGCCCAACUUUAUUUAUCAACUGCGAACUAAAUUUAUUUAAUCAUAAGAUAACUUGUAUUUAUGUCUUCUGUGAAUCCACAUGGUGAUCACAUAAAUACAUAUAAUAUGAUUAAAUGGACUUUAAUCAAAAUAUUAAUGCAAUUAAGAUAUUUGAAUAAAAUACCUCAUGAAUUUUAUUAAUCAAAAAAAAAUAUUUAUUACAAUUAAAUAAACACAUAUGCUUUUAAAGAGCAUAUUUUCCCAACAAUCUCCCACUAGCUCUCAAAGCAUAUUUGGCAUCUCACGCAUGCCCAUGGAUUCUAAGUGCAAGUUAAAAGGUUUCCCGGGUAUGGCCUUUGUAAAAGGAUCUGCCAAGUUUUGUUGUGACGCAAUCUGAGUAACCUCCACAUUACCUCUCUGCACUAUAUCCCUUAUAAGAUAAUACUUCCUCUCAAUAUGUUUUUGUUUCUUGUGGUUCCUUGGUUCCUUAGAUUGAGCUACCGCACCACUAUUAUCGCAAAAUAGUUUAAGGGGUGCAAUUGUAGCAGGUACCACCUCAAGAUCUUCUAGGAACUUGCAGAGCCAUACAGCUUCUUUUGCAGUUUCGGAUGCAGCUACAUAUUCAGCUUCAGUUGUGGAGUCUGCGAUACAAGAUUGUUUCACACUCCUCCAACUAAUAGCUCCACUUCCCAAUGUAAACACAUAGUCGGAAGUUGAUUUUCUGGAAUCCCUAUUUGACAUAAAGUCAGAAUUAGUAUAACCCACUGGAAUGAGUUCAUCAUCAGAAUACACAAGCAUAUAAUUUUUAGUUCUUUUUAGAUACUUCAUUAUAUGCUUGACCGUAGUCCAAUGUUCAGGUCCAGGAUUAGAUUGAUAUCUACUAACCAUCCCUACCGCAAAACAAAUGUCUGGCCUAGUGCAAAGCAUGGCAUACAUGAGACUUCCCAUAGCUUCUGCAUAGGGAACUCGUCUCAUUCUCUCUAUCUCUUCAGAUGUUUUAGGUGAUUGAUCCUUAGAGAAUGUAAUUCCAUGUCUGAAUGGUAAUAAACCAGUCUUGGAAUUUUCCAUGCUAAAUCUAGCCAAUAUCUUAUCGAUAUAAACCGCUUGAGACAAGGCUAAAGUUUUAUUCUUCCGGUCUAGUAGUAACUUGAUACCAAGAAUAUAACUUGCCUCUCCCAGGUCUUUCAUAACAAAUUGUUUUGCUACCCAACUCUUUAUUGUAGUCAAUACUCCUAUAUCAUUUCCAAUUAGGAGAAUAUCGUCUACAUAAAGAAUUAGGAAGGCUACAUAUUUUUCUUGAAUUUUCUUGUACACACAUGAUUCAUCAAUGUUCUGAAUGAAUCCAAACGAUUUAAUCGCUUGAUCAAAUCUGAUGUUCCAUGACCGGGAUGCUUGCUUCAAUCUAUAAAUGGAUCUCUGCAACUUACAUACCAUGUGUUUUUGGCUUUUUUUGUAUAAAUCCAUCUGGUUGCUACAUGUAGAUGUUUUCUUCAAGAUGCUCGUUAAGAAAGGCAGUAUUGACAUCCAUUUGCCAAAUUUCAUAAUCUAGCACUGCAGCAAUGGAGAGCAGAAUCCUGAUGGAUUUAAGCAUAGCAACCGGAGAAAAGGUUUCCUCAUAAUCGAUUCCCUCUUUCUAAGUAAACCCUUUGGCUACUAAUCUUGCUUUAAAUGUUUCCACCCUUCCGUCUACUCCUCUUUUUCUCUUAUAGAUCCACUUGCACCCUAUAGGUUUUACCCCAUUUGGUGCCUCUACAUGUUCCCAGACUUUAUUGGAAUACAUAGAUUCCAUUUCUUGAUUCAUGGCUUUUUUCUAAAAUUCAACAUCUCUAUUUAUUAGAGUUUCGUUGUAACUAGUGGGAUCUUGUACAUGUUCAUCUGAGAUAGCCGUAUAGGUUUCUCCCAAAAGCAUGUAUCUCGCAGGUAACCUAGUUACCCUCCCACUACGACGAGGUUCUAAAAGUGAUGGUUGUUCAGCAAUAAUCAUGUGUUGAUCAUUUGGUUGUUGUUGUUCUUCAUGUUCUGUAACAGGCAUUGAAAGCUGAGCAUCAACCUGAUCACCUAACAGUUCUUCAAGUAUUACCUUACUCUUAGGUUUGAAGUUAUUCAUAUAAUCUUCAUCGAGGGAAGUGAAAUGUGUGCUCACGAUCACUUUCCUAUCUUGAGGACUAUAAAAUAAACCUCCCCUUGUUCCUUUGAGAUACCCUACAAACAUACAAACCUCAGGACGUGAAUCAAUUUUGUCUGCCUUUGGUUUCAGCACAUGUGCUGGUGAUCCCCAAAUACGAACAUGUCGUAAACUUGGUUUGCGACCUGACCAUAAUUCUAUUGGGGUUUUAAGCACUAACUUAGAUGGAACUAAGUUCAAGAGGUAAACUGCAGUUUCCAGUGCUAGUCCCCAAAAAGAGAUUGGUAAUGACGAAUAACUAAGCAUAGAUCUCAUCAUAUCCAAAAGAGUUCUAUUUCUCCUUUCAACUACCCCAUUUUGUUGUGGUGUUCCCAGGGCAGUCAACUAAGAUAUAAUCCCAUUUUCAACCAGAUACUCUUUGAAAUCUCCUGAGAGAAAUUCACCACCUCAAUCAGAUCGAAGAAUCUUUAUGUUCUUAUCUAAAUUCUUUUCUGUCCCAGCCCUAUACUCUUUGAAUUUCUCAAGAGUUUCAGACUUGUGACGCAUCAGAUAAACAUAAUCGUAUCUUGAGUAAUCAUCAGUGAAAGUGAUGAAAUACUCAUAACCUCCUCGAGCUUGUACAUUGAUUGCUCCACAUACAUCUGUAUGUACCAAUUGAAGUGGUACUGUUGCACGUACUCCUUUGGUCGAGAAUGGCCUUUUGGUCAUUUUCCCUUCUAAACAGGAUUCACAGCAAUGAUUCAUUUUCUAAUGGACCCAAAAGCCCAUCUUUGAUCAUUCUCUGUAUCCUAUUUUGGUUUAUAUGCCAAGCGUAAAUGCCAGAGGUAACAUUGGUUGGAAGUAAUAUUUCUUUUCUUAGAUAAAUGUGUAUGCUCAUCCUUAUUGAUCACUGUGUCAUGCAUAGAAUGGAUCAUUGGACUUAAAUGAUAUAAAUUAUCUUCCAAUGUACCAGAAUAAAUAAGUCUCUUAUUAUGAAAAAUAGAAACAGAGGAUCCAAAAUUUACAGUGUACCAUUGCUUUGACAAACAAGCUACUUAAAUUAAAUUCCUCUUAAUGUCUGGAACAUAAAGACAAUUAUUCAAAACUAAAGUCUCAUUAUUAAAAGAUAAUAAAACAGAUCUAGUCUUCACUGCUGACACGAACUGUCCUGUCCUUAACUGCAGCUUGACGCUUCCUUCACUUAUUUUCCUGAUUUCCUGAAAACAAUAAAGUGAAUUACAAAUAUGAUUAGUUGCUCUUGAAUCCAACACACAAGUGUCAAUAGGAUUCUGAACUAAACAGGCCUCAAUUACAAAAAAAUUUCCCAUACCUGAUUUCACAAUCUUAGGGCAAUCCUUUUUCCAGUGGCCUUUCUGUCCACAUUUGAAGUAUUUGCCUUUCGGCUUGCCAUCUUGCUUGGUAGACGGUCUUUUUUUCCCAGCUUUCUUCUUACCUUUGCCUUUCGGCUUAGGUCUAGAAGAAGAACCUUUUUCAACAAUAUUUAUACUUCCCAGAGAUUUCUCAGCACGAUAGAUCUCUUCAGCAGAAUGGAGUUCGUUCAUCAAUUUAGUUAAGGUCAUGUUUCUUUUGUUCAUGUUAUAAUUGACCUUAAACUCCUUGAAUGUUUCUGGCAGAGAUUCUAGCACCAUGUCAAUCUUUGAGUCAUCAUCGAUUUGUGCUCCUUGAAUCUUAGUCUCAUUCAAAUAGUCCAUCAUUUUGAGGACAUGAUCAUGAACUCUUGUGCCCUUCCCCAUUUUACUGUUCAUAAUUCCUUUCAGCGCUGCUUAUCUCGCGGAGCGAGUACUCUGCUCGAACAUCUGUUGGAGACUAUCCAUUAUUUCAGUGGCAAUCUCUAAGUUCUGCUGGCCGAUCGUUGCUGAAAUUUCCGGCCUCGAUUCUUUGAGCUCAUUUUCCAGUGAUUGAUUUACAAAUUUCCUAGGCCAAUUUUAGCUUAAAUGGACUUUGAUCAAAAUAUUAAUGCAAUUAAGAUAUUUGAAUAAACUACCUCAUUAAUUUUAUUAAUCAGAAAAAAAUGUUUAUUCCAAUUAAAUAAACACAUAUGCUUUUAAAGAGCAUAUUUUCCCAACAGAGAAAUCCACUAAAUUUAUUGCUAUGGUGCGAGCCUAAAGGAUGAAUGAUAGUAGGCGGCCUCAUAGCUUUAGCAUGGGUAUGGGACUUGUAGCAGCUUUACCUUUGCAGCGCUUGGUAAUGGGAGAUACUGCUUUGCAGAGGAAGGUGUCGUGCCUUCACAUGGCAAAUGAAGGUGCAGAGGAUAAAACUACGGCGAGGUGGAAAGUGGUUGCGGAAAAUGGAAAUCAAAUUUUGAGGGUAAGUUUUGCAAGUCGCAGUCGGCAUGUUAGGUUAUGAGGUAUUGAGGUAGUAGUUUUCUUUGGGUUUUUUUCUUGUUUUAAUUAGGGUUAAGUUAUUUUAAAUUUUGAAAAAUUCAUUUUUAAUUUGUUUAGUUAAUCCAAUCAUGUUGACUAUUUGGUUCAGUUUUAACUCGAACUAAAUUACAAUCUAGUUAGCUUCAAAGCCUUAACCCAAACCAAACCGAAUACCCACCCAUAAUUAAGCCAAUCUCUCUCAUAUUUCUCUUAACAUAACACAUCGAAUGUAACAAUGGCUUCAAGUUGAAAAGCAAGCUAAAAUCUUUUUCGAAAGCAUCAUAGACAUAUCGUAUGUAUCUAGCUUGAAAUUAGAUUAUUAAUUUAUGUAUUAAUUGGUUCCUAUAGAAAAAUAAGAUUUUUCUUUUUAGAAAUUUAUUAUCUAAUAAGUUCAUCAAAUUAUCAAUUUACCAUGUUGGUCUCUAGUUGGGAGAGAUAAAAAUUAUUAUUUUAUUGAAGUUAUCAAUUUAUUGAGUAUUAAUUUAAUGAUAUUCUACUUUAUUAAUUUUGGGAGGGGUUAUUUUAACUUAAUAUUCUGACUUAAUAUUCAUGUGGUGAGAUAAUUAUUUAUGUGACACUAAAACUCUAUUAAAUAUAUGACUCAAAAAAAUAAAAAGGCCUAGGUCACAUAUUAAAACUUUAAAUAGAAAUAAAGAGAAUCUUGACUCUUGAUAUACUUGCUUCUUCAGCAAAAUCUUUUCAUUCUGAAACUUUGAUAACAUUCACAUAUGAUGGAACCCCUCUAGAUCUAGCUAGAAAAAUCCACAUUUAGAUUGAUAAGAACCCAAGAAAGCCACUAUGAUCAGAAUUUGGAUAAAAGAUCCAAAUCCUUGGGAAGCUAAGUCUCAAGAACCCAGAUUGCUAAAUAAGACACCACAAAGGUUAGCAACUCUUUUGAUAAGUCGAAAGUUCUUUCAAGAACAAGUUGAGAAAAUCCUCUCCAAUGAUAUCAAACUCAAGAUUGGCAAAAGUGUGUUCAAAGAACAUAAAAGAGUGUUUAUAUAAGGUGGCUAACCCUAAUUUAAUUAAAAACACUAAAAAACCAUAAAAGUGUAUUCAAAGAACUCUUUCCUUUUAAGUCCUAGGCAGCCCUAAAAUGAAAUCUAUAGAAAUAUCUACACAAGGCUCCCUAUGAACUAGUAAAGGUGUAUACAAACCAUUUAGUAAAACCUUAGACUUGGCCUUUCUACAUGUAGUGCAUCUAUUACAUAUGCGCAUGACAUCCUUUUACAUCUUAGGCUAAUAAAAAUGCUCAUGCAAUGUCUCUAAGGUUUACUUAACCCCAAAAUAAUCCAUCAAGCCACCACUAUGUGCCUCUCUCACUAGCAACUUGCGUAUAGAGCUAUUAGGCACACAAAGCUUGUUUUCCCUAAACACAUAACCAUCAUGCUUAUAAAAUUGACCGAAUGAUCCUUUAUCACAUGUAGCAAAUACAUCAACAAAAUCAAAAUCAUUGGCAUAUAACUCCUUAACAUACUCAAAUCCAAGCAUUUUGGCACUCAAAGAAUUAAGAAGCACAUACCUCCAAGAUAAUGCAUCGGCAACUAUGUUCUCUUUACCUUGUUUAUACCAAAUGAUAUAGGGAAAUGUCUCAAUGUAUUCCAUCCAAGUAGCAUGCCUUCGAUUCAACUUACUUUGGCUCUUUAGAUGCUUUAAAGAUUCACGAUCAGUGUGUGUCACAAACUCCUUAGGCCAUAGGUAAUACAACCAAGUUUUUAAGGCCCUCACAAGCGCGUCGAGCUCUUUAUCACAGGUAGGAUACUGCAAGGCUGUUCCAGUCAACUUCUCACUAAAAUAAGUAAUGGCCCACUACAAGAAAACUACUAAUAGAUGACAAACAACUUAUGAUAGAUUCUGGGUAUAUCAUGAAUUAAUGAUGAUUUUGUGAUAGAAUUAUUUUCUAUCACGGAUUAAUGAUGGUUUUAUGAUAGAAUUAUUUUUUAUCAUGGAUUAAUGAUGAUUUUGUGAUAGAAUUAUUUUUUAUCACGAAUUAUUAUUUUUUACUUGACCACAUGUUGACUUAUAAUUCAUUACUUAAUAUGUGAACAAUUACACUACAUAAUUUAUAAAGUAUAAAAUGAAAAAGUGAACCCCAAAUCUAACCUAAUUAAACACACUACUUGUUAAGUUGCCGCCGCCUCUCCCCUGCUGCUCUUCCAUUUCACUGCUGCCACUGUUAUGCCGUCAUCAAGCUUCAGCCACCGACUACCAAACUGGCCACCAUUUUGUACGUCAUUGACUUGUUGCUGCCAUUUAUCUUGGUCAUCGCUGUCGCUCCUCUACCAUCACGUCAUGCUUCAGCCCAGCCAGUCGUCGUUGUUUUACCACCACUGUUAGUCUACUGCCGAGAUCAAUACCGUUCCUCAACGGCCUUUUAGAAUUUUCCUCUCACACUUUCCAUGGUCGUUAUUCUCCUUCUUCACUAACAUCACUUGCGAGAACGAGAUACCGAAGGAGUUGCAGAUAUGUUGCUGUGCAGGUAUGCUUUUCUAUGAAUUGACUCUUCUAGUUUGAUGAAGAAUGAGAAAUUCAGUUGUCGCUUAUUAAUGUCAAAUUUUAGUUUGUUGCAUUUGAUGGUGUUAAGCUAUUUUAAAUUCAGUUGUUGCUUAUUACUGUCAAAUUUCAAUUACCGGGAAAACAAACAAUCAUACAAUUCGGUACCAGUUUGUUCAUCUUCAUCUUAUUAUUGCAUACAUACACUGCAUCUCUCUAAUCAUUCAAAAGUCCAUUCUUUUCAUAUUCUUCCUCACUUUGAAAACACUCGAAAGGGAAUUAUAAUCACAAGUAAUUGAAACGAUUUUUUUUUAUCCUUUUCAUGUUAUUCAAAGAUUCAUUUUUUGAAAUUUAUAGUUAAUUGAAUUUUUUUAUUUUGGCAUUGAAUUUUGUGUUUCGUGUCAUUGUUAGUAUCCUAGGAGGCUUUUUUUUCCCCAAGGGAAACCUAGGGUUUCUUCCUUAAUUUCUUUGGUUUGGCGUUUUCUUAGCGACUAAGCUCGGUUACAUUAAGUUUUUUUUUUUGGGUUUGUUUAGAGUUGAACUGUGUAUCGUAAUUGUGCUUAUUUGUUGUUGCAUUGUACCCUCAUGAAUUUGGAAUUUUUAUACGCGAAAUUUUGUUUCCUGUAAUUUAAUUUCUGCAUAUCAAUAGCUCUGUAAAAUGGGUUUCAAUGCAGUUUAUCGGUGCUUAAUGGAGAUGUUUCCCCAAGUAUCAGUCUGUUCUACAAAUUAAACUCAUAACUAAGGCAUUACUAGUUUUUGCUUAUUUAUUUCUUCUUGGCUUGCAAUUGUAUACUUCAAAACCUUUUAUUGAUAUUUAAACGAGAUUUGUAUAUUAACCUAUGAUGCAUGUUAUAUUAAGGGCUUUAUGUUGUGUUAUUUUGCUAUUUUUUAGAGUACAAGAAAGCCAAUAGUCAUGUGGUAUAACUUUGAGUGAACUGUUCUUCUGUUAAAUUUUGGGAUUUAAUUAUUACUAACUACUGUAACUUCUCUUUUUAAUGUUUGAAUUCGCUGGAUAUAGAAAGGAAGACAACAUAAAUUUUCUUUAAUUGCUUUUUGCAUUGGAACCUAUGAAUUGUUGAAUAAUAGAAGCCCUCUGUAAUUCUUCACAAUUGUAUUUCCCCUAUGUUAAUUACUAAUUUGCAUUUCAUGUUGUAGUAGAAGAUAAAUCUGGAAUGUCCGCUAGGGUUAUUAGGUCAAAAUGAAUUUAUUAAGAGCUAUAACUUUGUUAGUUUAUUUUUUUGAUUCUUCGAAUUGAAAACUUAAUUCUCUAUUGUCAAAUUGUAGCCUUGGGUUUGUGAUCUUAGGCAAACCAUUUAAGGAAAAAUGACAAUUUUUUAGGGAAGGUCAAGAACUCAUUUUUGUGAAGCCCUGUAUAAACUGUUGGUGUGGGGCCUAUAUGCUAUACCUAAUGUGGAUGGAAGUUUGUUGAUAUGAAUUGAGAAACCCAUGGCUACAUCUUAUUUUCUAAGGAGUUGAAAUGAGACUCCGCUGAUUUGAGUUGUAAGGAAUUGUUAUAGCUAGAUGCAUCUACGUGGGUUUAGUGAGGUACUGUCUUAAACUGAUCGUUCUUAACUUGGUUUCUACUGGUGUGAUAGAGAGUUGCACCUGUGAUCCCAUGAUUCUACUUGCUGCUUUUACAAAUUAGUUUUUGAGAAUGAGUUCAAUAAUGAUUAAAAUAGUGACAUUGCUUGCUAUCAAAAGCUUGUCAUCUGACCAUGAAUAUACCCAAACAAAUUGAAGAUGGCUUCACCUUCAUAAACUUUGUGUUUGCUUAACUAUAACAUGCUAGGUCAUUAAGGACAAAAUUAGCAUCCUCUUUAACUCAAUCAUUCAUUCCAAUAGUCGAGCACCGAUUUUAUUUACCGAGUCUAUGCUUGAUUAUUUGUUGCUAUGAUCUAUUUUUGUCUCCUCACACUGGUCUAUUGUUGUGGCUUCCUUUGCAUUUUUAGCUAGCUUGUUGAAAUUUUAAUUCAUCAAUAAAUUAUAAUUAUAACUAUAAUAUAAUUUUAGAAAAAAAUCAAAACUUUAUGAUGGAAAAAGCCAUCAUAUAUUCUAUCAUAAGUAAUUUCCUGCCAAAAUUGAAUAAUAAAUUUUCAAAUAAUAAUUGAAUUUCCCACUAAAAAUUUAAAAAAAUUGGAUGAAAAUUUAAAUAAAUUUAAUUUAAUUAUUUUUUACAUUAAAAUAAUGUGUAACAGAUAUAUCACUAUGAAAUGCUAUCAUGAAUUCAUGACGGAAAAUAUUCUAUCAUAAAUUAAUGAGAGUGACAUAGAUGACGGAUGAACUGUCUGUCAUACACCCCCUUUUAUAACAGUUAUUUCCCGUCAUCUAUUGCCUGUUUUCUUGUAGUGGCCCUUUAAUCCUACGUCAAAAUAACUCUAAUUCUUAUUCUUGAGGCAUCGCACUCAAUCUCAAAAGUGCGGUUAAAAUCAUAUAAUGCUAAAACAUGUGCAGAACAUAAUCUUUCUUUUAGAUCAAUGAAUGCUNNNNNNNNNNNNNNNNNNNNNNNNNNNNNNNNNNNNNNNNNNNNNNNNNNNNNNNNNNNNNNNNNNNNNNNNNNNNNNNNNNNNNNNNNNNNNNNNNNNNCAAGCUAAAUCAUGAAAGCUCCUUACCUUAGUGAUUCCUUUAGGCAUCGGCCACUCUAUAAUAGCCCUAACCUUCUCUUGAUCCAUCUCUAUACCAUUUGCACCAACAACAAAGCCAACAACUUUUUCAAAGAAAAAAACACAUUUUUAAUAAUUAGUGUACAACCUUUCUUUCCUCAAAACAUCUAGCACGCACCAUAAAUGCUCAAUACACUCAUCUCAAAGUCUUGUUGUACACUAGAAGAUCAUUAAAGUGAACAACAACAAACUAACCUAUAAAUGCACAUAGCACAUGAUUCAUUAAUCUCAUAAAAAGUAUUAAGUGCAUUAGUAAAACGAAAAGUUAUAAUUAACCAUUCAUAUAAUUCAUACUUGGUCUUAAAGGUAGUUUUCCUUUCAUCACCCUCUUUCAUGCGAAUAUGGUGACAACAACUUUUAAAGUUAAUUUUAGAAAAUAAACAGAUUCCUUGCAAUUUAUCUAGCAUAUCAUUUAACCUAGGAAUAGGAUAGCGAUACUUUACCGCAAUAUUAUUGACGGCUGGGCAAUCAAUACACAUUCUCUAAUUUCCAUCCUUCUUUUAUACUAAUAGCAUUGGUACUACACAUGGGCUCAUACUCUCUCUCACGUGCCCCUUUCUCAUCAGCUCCAUAAAUUGCAUUUGAAGCUCUUUGGUCUCUUCGAGAUUACUUCUAUAGGCUAUUCUAUUGGGUAUGACAACUUCUGGUACGAAAUCGAUCUGAUGCUCAAUUCCUCUAAUGGGUGGUAAGCCCAUAGGCAUUUCCUCAAAAAACAUAUCUUCAAACUCCUGUAACAAAGAAAUAGCAACACUAGGGAGAGGAGGGUUAGUAUCAUCAAAAAUUAGAUAUGAUUCUUUGAAUACGAGCAAAACCAUCAAAUGACUUGAUUUAUAUGAUUUUUUUUUAAUCUCACCAACUCCUGCAAAGAAACUCUUUUUCACUCUUCCCUUUUUCUCACUCUUUUCCCCUCACUUUUGGCCUCACUUUUUUUUUUUUGGUUCUCAAAACUCUCGGUCUCACCUUUUUUGUGUUGUCCUUCAUGUUCUCUCAUCUUCAUUUACUCCUCGUAGACCUCUUUUGGUGUUAAAGGAACAAGCGUUACAAUUCUCCCAUCCUUGAAAAAACUAUAUCUAUUCCUAAACCCAUUAUGUGUCACCUUCCUAUCAUACUGCCAUGGCCUCCCCAACAUGCAUAAGAACUAUGUCACAAAGCACCUCAUUACUAUACUUCCCAAUAGUGAAAGUUACCAAUACUUGCUUAUUAACCUUGAUCUCUCCACAAUUAUUUAACCACUACAAUCUAUAAGGCCUAGGAUGUGUUAGCAAGGGCAACCCUAAUUUCUCUACAAGGGUAGUACUAGCUACUUUGGUACAACUCCCACCAUCUAUUAUCAUACUAUACACUUUGUUAUUCAUAAUGCAUCUAGUAUAGAAGAUUUUUUCUCUGUGCUGCUCCAUGUCAUCAACACUCAUUUGUGUACUCAAAGCAUGCGUAGCAACUAGGGAUUCACCUUUUGCAGGGUAUUGGACGCUGUCAUCAUCACUAACAUCAAUCAACUCUGGCAUCUCUCCACCAUCACUCGCACUCUUACUCACUACUUCCCUACCAUCUUGUAUCACCAUAACUUACUAAUUUGGGCACUGAGAAACAAUGUGUCCAGAACCUAAGCACUUGAAGCACUUGAUGUCCCGAUUCUUCUGUGGUUGAGAUUCAGCCUUAGGUUUGUUUUUUAUAUUGAAAUCUUCUCUUACCUUAGGUGGUUCAGUCUUGAUAGCUUCAUUUUGUCUCUCAUUACUACUCCACUUCGGUUUUCAUGGGUUUGAAGACACCGAAAUAUAUCUACCGGUACCCUUCUCCUUCAAUUGCCUCUCUACCUUCAUAGCCAUGUGGACUAUAUCCUCCAACUCCAUAUAAUAUUAUAGCUCCAUUACAUUGGCAAUCUUUAGAACAAGAAUGAAAAAUCUCAAACAAGAAUAAAAAAACAAUAAAGAUAUAUGAAUUUGACCUUAGUUCCUUAGCUCUGAUACCAACUGAUGAGAACCCUCUAAACUUAGAAAAGCCCACAACUAGAUUGAUAAGAACCCAAGAAAACCAAUAUUAUCAAAAUUUGGAUAAAAGAUUCAAACCCUUAAGAAGCUAAGUCUCAAGAGCGCGGAUUGCUAAAUAAGACACCACAAAGGUUAGCAAAUAACAACUCCUUUGAUAAGUAAAAAGUUAUUUCAAGAACAAAUUGAGAAAAUCUUCUUCGAUGAUAUCAAAGUCAAGAUUGUCAAAAGUUGUUCAAAGAACAUAAAAGAGUGUUCAUAUAAGGUGGCUAACCCUAAUUUAACUUAAAAACACAAAAAAAAACCCUAAAAUUAAAAACCCGGAGCCGCAUGGGCCCUAGCUUGAUGUCAGAUUUGGGCCCAAAAUAUACUAUUUUAAAGCUCUCAAUGUGAGGAAUGCAGCUACAACUUUAGAAUUGUUUUUCCUACCCUUUUUCUACUUCAAAAAUUAUUUGUCUCUGAUGCUCACUACCUCGUUAACUCGAAUCAAGUAUACCAAGGCUGGUUCCUCCUCUUUCAAGCUUAUCUUGAAUAUUGGUCUCUUGCAAAUUGAAUUCGAAUUGAAUUUGUCCAAAGUAUCUUAAACAGAUCCUUACAUUUCUUCCUUGAUCUUCUUAGCUUGUGCUUUCAUAAUUGGCCCUUCUAGAAUAAGCAACAAAUCUUUAAUGCUCUGAGCACUCUAGAUUACAUCAAUAUAUGCAUCUAGAAAUUGUUUCUAAUUUCCUUUUUCUUGUCCUAGCACUUAGCAGAUGAUACAUUUUUUAUUAUUAUGUCUUAAAGACACCUUAAUCAAACUCUUUAGUCUACCUUUACUAUUGAUACUUGAAAAUUUUCUUGAACCUUCAAAAUUGACUUUUGAUUCUCAUUACUGAAUUUAAAGCUCAUUUGAGAUUGUUUUGAAGAGGCUCAAAAGUGAUUUUGAAAAGCCAAAAGCUAAUUUUAGUAUUGUGUAAAUUUUGUUAAAAAUCACUUUUGAUAAAAUCAUCCUAUCCUAUAGCAGAUUUUGAAAAGUGAGGAAAAAAUAACUUUCCAAAAUCUGAUUUUGAUAAUCAAUGGUUAACACUAAAAAAUGUACAUUGAUAAUAUUAACAAUUUCAUUGAUUAUGUACAUUGAUAAUGCAGUUAAUAAAGGUUAACAUGAUCAUUUUUCACUAAUAGCAUUGAUAAUGUUAACAAUUUCAUCACAUUUACAAAUCCUUAACCUAUUUUAUACAUUGCCUAUAUUUAUUUUUAAUUAUGAUUUUUAGUAGGUAAAUCCCUAAAUUUAUGAUACUUGAUCUGAAGAACAUACAUGAUAUUUGGAUUCGAGAUUCACAAGUCUUUAGAAGCAUUGAUAGCCCUUCAAUCCAACACUAAUUCUAAGCGAUUGAGAUCGUGCCAUGUGUUUGAGCUCACAUGCACCUCAUUGCACUAGAUCUAAGAUGUGAUUUGCAAUGUUCCAUAUCAGUUGCAAUUUUAGACAUUUGGAUUGUAUUAGUAAAGGUCAUCUAAAGGUUGUGGUUGCAAACUCACCAAAACUAUCAUGUAAAUGCUCACACUUGAUCAACUUAGAAUUUCCCUAUAUAAAGAUAGGAGAUUACAUAAAUGGAGGUAGAAUUUGAAGGUAGAUUUUAGAUGUGUGUUUUGUUGAGAAAAUUAAUGUAAAUCUAAAGUGAAUUUUAGCAGAAAAUGCAGUUAAUGAGAAGAGAUUUUUCUUUUCUAUUUUGUUUUCAAUUUCUUUGUAUUGUACUUUAAUACAUUUAUUAAAUUAAAUGAGCAUUUUGCUAGUUAAUAUGAGUGACUAACUUUCUAAAGUAAGAUGAAAGACAAAACUCAAGGAUUCAAAUUAUGACUUUAAAUACUCUCAAGUGAGUUUCAAGUUUAUUGUUUUUAAUUACAUACUUAUAAAUUGUAUUUUCUACUGAAUAUUUAAUUCUAUAUUAAUUUGCAGAUCUAGAUUUCCUUGGAUCUAUGUUGGUAUUUUGAUCUAAUGUUGACACACUAAUACGUCUGGGAGAACACUCUAAUUAUGGCUUUGGGACAUUAUGUGCUUAACGUCUAUAUAUAUUCCUAGAGUGGUUAAUUAAUAAAUGAGUCACAUAAUUUUUAAAUUGGUAAAAAAUGCACAAUAUAAAUAUCAAAGAGUAUUAUGACCAUGAUUUAAAUAUUAACAGUGGAUCCUGUAACCUUAGCACCUUUUUUCUAGUUUAUACUAUUUCUUCUUAACUUUUUUGCUUACAAUUAUUUCAUUUAAUAAUUAAUAAUGAGAUUUUAACUCCUUGUGAUUCGACUUGAGACCUACCGGGUAAUAUUAUGACUAAAUACUCUUAUACUUAGGAAUAAUUAACUAUUUUUAAGUCGGGUCAUGCUUUUUGAAUAGUUGCUGAGGAGCUUCUAAAUUUUGUAUUAAUUUCAUUUUUAUUUUGUUUAUUUUUUCCUCAUUUUCAUUUUCUUUUUAUUUUUUCCCUCUGUCAUUUCUUUGUUUAUUUUUCAUAAAAUUUCAGUUAACGCCCUUCUUUUUCUUGAAAUUCCAAAAAUACCUACGAAGCUUGUCAAAAACUUCAUUUUGGUUGAGUUGCAAUAUUAUGUGGAGAUUGAGGAGAUGUUCUACAAAGCCAUCAAGAUUGAGAAGAAACUCAAGAGAAGGGGUGACACCCGUGCAACCCCAAGCUCGAGUUCUACUCUUUAAAAUUCGAGGUAUGUGAAACGAGAUGGGAGGCCACAAGCACCUAUUGUACCUAAGCUGAGAUCCAAGCCCUCCAAGCACAAUUCACAAGGUAACAUUGUGGCUUCCAUUACUAGGAAUCGUGACAUUAAGUGCUUUAAAUGUCAAGGUAGGGGACACAUAGCAAGUGAAUGUGUGAAUAAAAGAGUUAUUAUGUUGCCGGACAAUGGUGAGAUUGUAACUGGAGAUGAAAUGAAAGAAAAUAAGACGCCACCAUUAGAGGACAUUGACGAUGAAAGUAUACAGCCCUUGAGGCAUUGACUUUAGUAGCUAUGAGAGUUUUGAGUGUGCACGUAAAAGAAGAUGAAACAAUGCAAUGGGAAAAUAUGAUUAUUGAUGAAGGAAGUUGUACUAAUGUUGUUAGUACUAUCAUGGUGGAGAAGUUAGGGCUUUCGACACUUAAAUAUCUGCGGCCAUACAAACUAUAAUGGUUGAAUGAUAGUGGUGAGUUGAAAGUGAAGAAGCAGGUACUAGUGACUUUUUGAAUUGGCAAGUAUGAAGAUAAGGUGUUAUGUGAUGUAGUACCAAUGCAGGCUAGAAUGCGGCCAUUGAGAGAAAAUUAAAGGGAAAACAAAAGAAUUUCUAUUCAAGAGUGAGUGAGAUAAAAAGAGUGUUGUUUUCAUAUUAGCCAAUGAUUGUACUUUUGUACAAAGAGGUAUUUUUAAACACUAACGAACUCGACUUACUUUUCCUAGUUCUAUUACUUCUCUCUUCCAGGAAUAUGAAGAUGUCUUUCCCGAGAAAAGACCUCAUGGUUUACCUCUGAUUUGAGGGAUUGAGUAUCUGAUUAAUUUUCAGCCCCAUGCAACCAUUCUAAAUCGACCAGCCUAUAGGAGUAACCCCGGAGGAAUCAAAGGAUCUUCAAAGGCAGGUUAAUGAAUUGAUGGAAAAAGGGCACGUGAGAGAAAGCAUGAGUCCAUGUGCAGUUUUGGUUUUGUUAGUUCCUAAGAAGGAUGGAACGUUGAGGAUGCGUGUUGAUUGCCAAGCCAUCAUCAACAUAACAGUAAAGUAUCGACAUCCCAUUCCUAGGCUAGAUGAUAUGCUUGAUGAAUUGCAUGGGUCUUGUAUAUUUUCUAAAAUUAAUUUGAAAAAUGGAUAUCAUCAUAUUAGAAUAAAAGAAUGAGAGGAAUAAAACAAAAUAUGGUUUGUAUGAAUGAUUAGUCACGCUUUUUGAUCUAACUAAUGCUCCAAGCACUUUUAUGAGAUUCAUAAAUCAUGUUUUGCGACUUUUAUUGGUAAGUUUGUUGUUGUUUACUUUGAUGAAAUCCUCAUAUACAUUUGAAAUUUGCUUUCGAUGUGCUUAGGAAGGAAAAGUUAUUUGCUAAUCUGAAAAAGUGUACCUUUUGCACCGAUAAACUUGUGUUUCUAGGAUUUGUUACGAAUGCAUAUGAUAUACAGGUUGAUGAGGAGAAGGUACAUCCAAUCCAAGAGUGACCGAGUCCCACAAGCAUGCGUAAUGUAAGAAGCUUUCAUGGGCUCACUAGUUUCUACUAGCGGUUUGUGAAAAGCUAUAGCUCAUUGGUCACACUGCUUACCGAAGUAAUAAAAAUAGAUGUUUGAUUGAAAUGGGGAGAAGAACAAGAGAGUGCAUUUCAAAUGAUCAAGCAAAAGCUAAUCAAUGCUCCUUUAUUGUCCUUGCCUAAAUUAAAUAAAACAUUUGAAAUUGAAUGUGGUGCCUUAGGUAUUCGUGCAGGCGAGUCUUAAUGCAGGUGGGACAACCAAUUGCUUACUUUAGUGAGAAACUAAGUGGGGUAGCCUUAAACUACCCUAUUUACGAUAAGGAGUUGUAUGUGUUAGUUUGGGCAUUAGAAACAUGGCAACACUACCUAUGGCCUAAAGAGUUCGUGAUUCACAUAGAUCAUGAGUCCUUGAAACUAAGUUAAGAACAAAGUUGUUGUUUUCAACUACUUGUCACCCUCAAACUAACGGUCAAACAUAAGUUGUGAAUAGAACUUUAUCUACUCUGUUGUAAGCUAUCAUUAAAAAGAAAAUCAAAACUUGUGAAGAUUGUUUGCCAUAUGUUGAGUUUGCUUAUAAUUGUUCUGUUCAUUCUGCUACUAAGUAUUCACUCUUUGAAAUUGUUUAUGGUUUUAAUCCUUUAACCCUAUUGGAUUUAACUCCAUUAAAUAUUUUAAGCUUGUAAACUUAGAUGGCAAGAAAAAGGCUGAAAUUGUUAAGCAGAUACAUGAGACGGCAAAGUUCAACAUUGAGCGGAGAACUGAGCAAUAUGUUAAACAAGCCAACAAAGGGCGACAUAAACUAGUCUUUAAACCCGGCGAUUGGGUGUGGUUACACGUGCAAGGAACAAUUUUUGGAACGAACGAAAUCCAAGUUAUUGCCUUGAGGGGAUGGUCCUUUCCAAGUCUAGGAACGGAUCAAUGACAAUGCAUACAAGCUGGAUUUGCCCCGUCAGUACAAUGUAAGUGCUACUUUUAAUGUCUCUAUUUUUUGUACUUCUAAUGCAGGUGAUGAUUUGAGGACAACUCCUCUUCAAGAUGAGGGGAAUGAUGAGAUUUAGGACAAAACUAUCACAAGCGCAUGGGAUGAAGUAUAUUCAAAUCCUAUUCAAGUCCCCAUCGGACCCGCCAUAAGAUCUCGUGUAAAGAAAUUCAAAGAAGCGCUUAAUGGGUUUAUUCAAGUAACUUGGGCUCAAUCAAAUUCAUGGAGGCUCGUUGAAGGAAUUGCACAUGAUACUCAGACCACUAAAUGCGUGAUUUGGGCUCUUAAAAUUUCCAAAUAAUGACUUCCAUGAAAUCAGCAAGUUGGUUUGCACAUUAUGGCUAGAAAAUAUAUUAUUUUCCUUUUUGGAUACUUUCUAGUAUGGAAAAUAUGUUAUUUUGCUUUUUAGAUACUUUCCUGUUUGGAAAAUAUACUACGUUCCUUUUAAGAUACUUUCUCGUUUCUUAAGGAGGCAAGUGUCGAAACAAAUAAGUUAUUUCUCUUUUAAUUACCUAGUUUUCAUUUCAAUUGAUGUAAGUCAUUUAAGUCGAUUAUGAUUCUAAUUUGAUUUAGAUUCUUUCCUUAUUUGCUUUAGAUUGAGAUUAUGAUUUGAUUUUGGUCUAUGAUUUAUUUUUGAAAAUACCAAGGGCAAUUAUGGUGUGAAAUUUCUUGUAACCAACCCUAUAUAAUAUACUCGCAUCCAAUAAGAAGGACAUAUCAAUUUUGAUGGAAUUGGUACUAACUCCUUAAACUAAUUGGAUUUCCGUGGUAUUUAAACUCUUGACUUAUCAAUAAGAUCAUCCAUAACUGAUUGUGGUGUCCUCACAUACAUUAGUUCAUGCUUUUAUUGAGCAUCAGGUCAUGGUUCCAUUCAAUUCUAAGUUUAGAUCCGAUCUUAAAGACUAAAUUGAUUUGGGUCGCAUCAGUUCUUAGUGGGGUUCAUAUCAAGAUUUAGAGAAACUUCAAAAUAAGAAACCUUUGCACAUAAAACAAAGAUAUGAGUUUGACAAAGUUGUUCAUGAUGAUGCAAGUUACAAAGCUAAUGUUAUUGAGGAAACAAUGAAUUUGCUUCCCUUGUCAAUGUUACUCCAUCAAAAUAGAAUAUUAAUUGGCUGAUCACAUCAACCUCAGCUUUUCAAGAUCCUCUAAUUGAUUCAGAACCGCUAAAAUUUGAUAUGUUAAUAUUGUUGAGCAUGUAGAAGUAACUAUUGAUGCAUCUUUUGAUCUUGUGGAGCAAAUAGAGGUACUUCUUGAUACAUUCUCAUAUGGUUCUCUUGAUUUUCCUAAAGAAGACAAAAGAGGUUGUUGUGCUAUUUUUCAAUAGUUAGUAGAUUAUGAGAAGACAUUGUUUUUCCUCACCUAUGUUGAGUUUUGACACGAACAAUACGAGAAGGUAAUGUUGGAGAAUUUAUUGAUGGAGGAAUUUAUUUUACGGCAUUAGAGUGAUUGGAUGGACAUCAUUACAAAACUUGGAAAAUUUAAUAGUUCAUUGACUGGAUCGAAGCACUAAUUUGAAAAUUAAUCAUUGUAUAAAUGAAGUUGUUUUUGGAGAAUACAAUAAGAAAAAUUCGAUGACUAAUUUUCUCCAUUCUAGCUGGAAUAAUGCAAAGCAAGAAAACAAAGAGAGCCUUGGUUAUUUGUUAUUUGAUUAUUUUCUAGAAUAAACUCUUAGAUUGAGUUCUAUUCUUGUUAUUUCUUGGUAUUUUAUAUGAUGAUUACAAAACCGUAUGGUUGAUGAUGAUGAUGAUACUAAUGCACAAUCUAAAGGACAAUUUAACUAUUUGGCUGAUGAUGAUAAUUUGGUCCUAUCUUUUGUCAAGCAUAGGAUAAUGAUGAUAAUUUGCUUGAUGAAAUGUAUAAAAUCCUCAAUAAUAUGAAUUAGGAUAAUUGGCUAUUAGAUAAACUAUUUCUCUCCAUUGGUUAUAAAUGCCUAGUUGCCUACCUCUAACUAAUACAAAAAAUGCAAAAUGAUUACUUUCUACAUGAUCAUUAAUAUGUCUAAAAUAAUGCAUGAGUGCAUUGGCUACUUUUAAUUUAUAUUGUGGGUUAUUACAACUCUACAAUUUAAUGGUGAAGUAAUGCAAAUAACAGAAUGUAUAAAUAAAUACCAAUUAGAAUAAAUGGACAAACACAUGUAUUACCCUAAACAUUUGUUUCUAGUCGGAAAGUAUGAUAUAAGUUUAUUUUAGGAUUAAAUUUUAGGUCAUUCUAUAAUCCUGUGAUUAAAAUUAUGACAUCAAUACCGUAAUAGAUGUGGACCAUUAGAUUUAAAUAAAAGUCUCCACCAUUAAUUCUAAAUAAAUCGUAACCAGUUACCUAAAUAUAGGUAAUUAUCCUUUUUAGUUCAAAUUGCAAGUUACAAUUACUGGUCUUGUGUGUGAUUUGCAAAAUUAAAGUGUUAAAUGUUGACCCUACGUAAUAUAUACAAGUUUCAGUAUUAUUUAAAACUCUGAAGACCAAUGUACAACUCUAUCAUUAAUUUGCCCAUAUUUCCUUCGAUUUACUAGUCCUAUUUGUGGUAUACAAAAUUUUUAUUUCAUUCACUUAAUGUCAAUUAAUAAGUUCUAUGUCAUUUUCCCAGGUUUUAGUUUUUUACAAUUCUAAAGACUAAUUUACUAGUCUUAUUGGUGUUUUAUAAUUUUUUUUUCAUUUCACACUUAAUGUCGAAUGUCGAUUUAUAAGUUUUAUGUCAUAUUUCUAGGAAGAUCAAUUUACUACUAUAAUAUUAAUUUACCAUAUUUUCCUUCAAUUUACUAGUCAUAUGUGUGGUUUAUAAAUUUUAUGUUUCAUUUUACACUUAAGGUCAAUUUACAAGUUUUAUAUCAUUUUUCUAAGUUUUUGUAUUUUGUACAAUUCUGAAGAUUAAUUUACUAGUGUAACAAUAAUUUACCCCAUUUUCUUUCAAUUUACCAAUCCUAUAUGUGGUUUACAAAUUUUUAUUUCAUUUCACACUUAAAGUCAAUUUACAAGUUUCAUGUCAUUUUUCUAAGUGUUCCUUUUUUUACAAUUCCAGGACCGAUUUACAACUCCAACAUCAAUUUUCCAUAUUUUCCUUCAAUCUACUAGUCUUAUAUGUGGUUUACAAAUUUUUGUCUCAUUUCACACUUAAUGUUAAUAUAAAAAUUUUAUAUCAUUUUUCUAAAUUUUCACUUUCUUUUACAGUUCUGAAGAUCAAUUUACCACCCCAAUAUUAAUUUACCCAUUUUUCCUUUAAUUUACUAAUUCUAUGCAUGGUUUGUAAAUUCUUUAUUUUAUUUUACACUUAAUGUCAAUUCACAAGCUUUAUAUUAUUUAUUCAAUUUUUUUUACAAUUCUAAAGAUUAAUUUACAACUCUUACAUUAAUUUAUCAUUUUUCCUUCAAUUUAUAAGUCCUAUGUGUGAUUUAUGAUUUUUUUUUCAUUUCACACUUAAUGUCAAUUUACAAGUUUUUUGUCAUUUUUCUACAUUGUUUGUUUUUAACAAUAUUAAAGGCUAAUUUGUCACUCCAACAUUAAUUUACUAUUUUUCCUUCAAUUUACUAUUCCUAUGUAUGUUUUACAAAAUUUAUUGUUUCAUAUUACACUUGAUGUCAAUUUAUAAAUUUUUGGUCAUUUUUCUAAUUUUUUUUUUUUACAAUUCUGAAGACCAGUUUACGACUCCAACAAUCUACCCCUUUUCCUUCCAUUUACUAGUUCUAUAUGUGGUUUAUAAGUUUUUUUAUUUCAUUUCACACUUAAUGCCAAUUUACAAGUUUUCUAAGGACUAGUUUACCACUUUAACAUUAAUGAAAUUCUAAGUAGGCAACCCAAGAGGGGGUGCAAAUUGGGUUUUUAAAAGAUUAUUAAAAAAAAAACCAAUAAUAAUAAUACUUUCAACAACAAGUAAAUUUAAAAAGUUAAAGGUAGGGAAAACAAACACAAUAAUUUUAUGUGGUUUGCCAACCUGCCUACAUCCAUACCUCCAUGCAAACUAUGCUUGAGAAUUUCACUAACCAAACCUUACAACCUAAGGCUUCAAGAUGCUUACAAUUGAUUUCCAAGAUAUCAAUAAACCUUUAAAAUUCUAAAUGAUCCCACACCUCUUUUCCCAAGUGUUUCCCACACUUAUAAUCACUUGUUUUUUGAUGUUGAAAUGAAGAUUACAAGGAUCACUCUCCUCACAAGAAGCAAAUGAUAGUUCAAUAAUGAAUCAAUGUAUAUGAAGAAGCAAAUGAAAGCUCAAGAUGAUUUGUAUGAACAAGUUUAAGCUUGAUAAAGAUUGAAGAACUCUCUUGGAAAUGAACUUGAUUUAGCUUUUCAUAGUUUUAAAAGGACAACUAGUCGUUAUUCACUUUCUAGGCGUUGUCAAAUCACCGCUAAUUUUGGAAUAGAUCAUCGUUUGACUAACGUUGCAAGUUACCACAAUUUGAAAUUUUAUAGUAAUCGGAUUGUUGUUUAAAAUUAUUGGCUAGUCAUUUGAAUUCCAAAAACUAUCAAAAAAUUAUUGGUUAGCCUCAAAAUUUUCUAAAAUUAUGUUAUGACCCAAAACUUUAUAAAAUUUUGAAUAAGUCAGUCCACUUCAAGAAUUUCAAACAAUACUUGCUGAUUUCAAAGUUCUCAUAACUUUUUCAAUUGUCUAUAAACUUGAAAACAACCAAUUUCAUAAAAUCAUUUUUCUUUAUGCAUAGAAAGCAUUGUGGGCAUUAUUCAAGUUCUUGGGUAGUAAAAUACACAAUUUAGGUCAAACGUAAAAAGGGUAAAUUCAGAAUAAAACUAGUAUUGAUUGAGCUGGAACUAAUGUGCAAACUAUAUAAUAUUGGAAAUAUAAUUAAGUUAACUUUUGAAUGCAAUUUAUUUUGUUUAUUUGACUUUAUUUAUUUGUUUUGUUUCAAGUUUGUCAAUGUGUUAGGUAAGUCUACCAUCAAUGAUGGUGGGCUUUUAUUAAAUUUGUCAAUGAUAACAUUAUUUAUGGUAAGCAUUAAGUUUGUCAAUGACUAACAUUACUAAUGGUAGGCUAACAUUAAGUUUGUCAAUGACUAGCAUUAAUAAUCGUGGGUUGGCGAAGUCUUUUGAAGCAUCCUUUGACAAACCUAUGCUUGGAGGGUUGUUCCAAUGUUUCCAUUUGUAUUUUUAGGAUCUUGGGUUUCUCUUAGUGUUAAAGAUUCAACUAAUCCUUUGCACAUUCAUGGAGGCCCAAUUAUAAGAGCUAGAGCCAAAAAGAUGCAAGCUGCUUUAAAUGGAUUAGUUGAAAAAAUAUGGAUUAAAAAUACAAUUUAAGAUGCAAGACAUCAUGAAUUGGGCUUGGAGAGAAGACAAGGCAUUGUGGGCAUUAUUCAAGCUAUUGGGCAACCAAAUACACAAUUUGGAUCAAAUGCAGAAAAGGAAAAUUCAGAAUAAAACUGGUAUUGAUUGAGCUAGAGGUAAUUUGCAAGCUAUAUACCAUUUAGAAAGAUAAUUAAGUUAAAUUUCCAAUGCAAUUUAAAGAACUAGAUUUGGAGUUCUCUAGAAGGAGUUAUGACCAAUUUAUUACAACUUGUUCAGACUUGGGAUUUCCAAUGACUCCUUUUGUUUAUUCAAUUUCAUUUGUUUGUUUUGUUUCAAGUUUAUCAAUGUGUAAGGUAAGUCUAACAUCAAUGAUGGUGGGCUAACAUUAAGUUUGUCAAUGAUAGAAUUAAUUAUGGUAGGCUAGCAUUAAGUUUGUCGAUGACUAGAAUUAUUGAUGGUGGGUUGGUGAAAACUUUUGAGCAUCAUUUGAAAAACUUAUACUUAGAGGGUUGUUCCAAUGUUUUCAUUUGUUUUUUUAGGAUCUUGGGUUUUUAUUAGUCUAUUUACACUUAGCAACCUUGCUAUGUAAGAUAAUUAGAGAUGAAUGUUAUUUUGAAUUUGAAAGAUAAUUCUUUCUUUGGUUCUUUUGAGAACUAGUGAACUUAUUAAGAAUUUACAUUCUUGUGGCGUUUCAAAAUAGACUUAUCACUCACAUUCUCAUCUAAAUCUUGAGUGUGACAUCCAUAUCCUUCUCUAUACCUCAGGUUCAGGUUUUCUUAAACAUUGGGUCAAGGUUUUGUUUCACUUAAAUAUGUUUAGAACUUUCUUGAGAAGUUGAAACUACAAAUUUAAUGUGGGUUUCAAAGUUUCAUUGUGGGCUUUGCAUCAAUUAGCCUAUUUAAACUCAGCAACCAUGCUAUAUAAGACAAUUGAAGAUGAGAUGGUAACUAGUCCUGGGCAACUAUGAUUGCCCCAUUGUCCAUUCUUUUAUGUUCAUUUGAGAUGAAGGGAAGAGUAUGGUAAGUACCAAUUAAUUUACCUUUUUUUUCCUUAACAAUUUUCCCCCAAUUUUGUACUAGAAAUAAGAUUUCAAAGUUCGAAUCGCUCUCAUAGACAACUUUAAUUUGGAGGAACACUACCAUUUAAUGGAGAAUGCUACUUUCAUUCUUUUUAUGGUUUGGUUUUACCGCUUGGUCUUUGAUAAAUGUAAAAUACAUCAUUUUAUCUUUCGUGAUAAAAUGGUAACAAAUGAAGGAUAAAUGUGGUAUUUUUACAUACAAAUUGAUUAUUUGAGAGUUCUAUAAAUGAAAGUUAGUUAAUUUAUUAAUUAAAUAUUUACCCUUAGACAAUGUAAUUUUUUUCCUUUUUUUUGUUAUUGUAUGUUUUCAUUUCAAAGAUGGAAUGAAAUAUUAAAAAUUUAUCAAUUAAGAACAUAAAUUGUAAAAAUAAUUUCUAAAAAAGAUAAAGUGUUAUUCUCGUAAUUAGUGUUAUUGAAUCCUUGAAGAAGAUUGUUUUAUCAAAUUGAUCCUCUCUCUUGGUCUCUUCCCUUUUCCAAAAAUCGAUAAGAGAAGGUAGCAAGUAGCAACUGAGAUGAAGGUGAAAAAUGAGAUUGUUACAAUUGUAAGUGUUAGUAAUAGCCAUAGGUGGAACACGCAUGCAUUGAGUAUUGAAUGCGGAAUCUUUGUAUGAUUGCUAAAGUAAUAGCAGGCAUCCUCGCUAUAUAAUGCGGUCUACUUCACUCUUCUCUUAUUAAAGAUUGGCCAAUGACUACAUUUACUCUCUCAACCAACUUUUCUUUGUUUGCUUCCGAGUUCCGACUAUGAAUUGAAGGGAAUCGAAGCAGGUAAAUAAAAAAAAUAUUGUAAUAUUAUAACAAUAAUGGAAAUAACUUAAUCCAACAAGUGAGAUGACAUGUUACUGAAUGACGGAUUUAGUUACCAUUUUUCAAACUAACUAAUCGUGACGGUGACAGUGAUACAAUUUUAUUUGGUGUUUGUGAUAAGAUGGUCUUAUUCAUAUAACAUUUCUCAAGCUAUAAAACGUGUCAAAUAUCUAGAGUACAUGCCUCCAUAUUUAAGGAUAUAAAUAUCAUAUCAUAUAUAUGGAUCAACUUCUCAUUUGACAUAAUCUUUUGCUCGUGUAAAUAAAGUUAAGAUUGAUUGUUAACAAAAGAAAAAAAUUUUGUCACUGUUAUAGAUACUCUAGUUUAUAGUGUGUGUGUUUGCUGAACAAAUUAAUGCUAUGCUCUAGUUUCCAGGGCAUGUAGUAAAUAUUAUAAAAACUCAUACCUUUUCCUUUAGGUUGCUGCGUUUAUAUAUAGUAUUUCAAAAGAACCAUUUAAGUCAUAAUAGACAAUUGAUUAAGAUAUUAGAAAGUUGAACUAACUGAAAAGUUCUCAAUAGGCAGUUACAAAUAUUAAAUUAAGUGUAAAGUUCAUGACUAUUUAAUUAGUUAAUGUAACAAUCAUUCCAACUAUUUUCAGGUAACUUUAUAUAAUUGGACACCUGAGUUUGAAUCAUAAGAGAAAUUUAGACUAAAAAAUUAAAUUGGACUUAACCUACCUCCUCUCCUUUUUAAAAUAACUAUUUUAAUAAAAUAAAAAAUAGCUAAGUGGGAGUAUUAUCCACACGUCUGGAAAUGUAAAUAUGAGGCGGGCCGGAUUGUAAUGUCAAUUUAGAAUAUAGUGUUAAAUUAUAUUUAGAUAGUUAUCUAGCUUCAAAUUGAAAAUUUAAAAUAUUAGCAAAACAACAUUAUAAAACCCUUAGUCAUUGUGUAAUUUAAUUUUAUAAUGAAAGGAAUUUAGAUCUAUCACAAAUAGAUGUAGGCACUUAAAAACAAAAAAUUAACAAAUUGAUUAAUUUUUCGGAAAUACUGUUCACUAUUACUAUUCACCACAACUGUUUACGGUUACUGUUCAACUGCAUAAAAAAUAUUAAUUUUCCAAAAACACAAUAAAAGGCAGAAAAUACAUGACACGACGAUUUUUACAUGGUUCGAAUUAAGCAAUCCUACAUCCACAAGGGCAUGCCCAGAUGAAAAGCAAUUAACCUAUGAAUUUACCAAACUUAAGACUCUCACUUACAGUUUAUCACCAUACAGUUUACUCAACCUUAGACUAAAUCUGCUUCUCUUGAAUAAUCGCUACCCCUCUUGAUCCACGAUCCUCAAGGCACUUCGCAAAGUGAUCAAUAGCAAUUCUUCAAUUCUUCAAUGUCUAGUGAUCCAAGAUCCACAUAGACUCUCCACGGAGAUGAAAAAGAAGAUAAGAAACAAAUUAACACAACACGAUGCGCUAAAUCCAGAUUCUCUAGGGAGGAGGCCGAAUUUUGCUUCUUUACUUUAUGCUAUGUGUUGUGCGUGCCUUCAAUUGUGAAAUACUUCUCUUUAAAUAGGCACUAGGGUUUCACCAAAAUAGCAAGUCUUAAAAGACUUGGAUUCUUUCCAAAUAAGAUUUUUUUCCUCAUGAAUCUGAAUAGGAAUAAAUAUGAUCUUCUUGCCUUGCUUGUCUCCGAAGAAAUAUAUAGAGCAUUUAAUGAACUUCCUGUUUGAACCAACUUCUCGGCAGGAAACCAAUGACAUAUAUUCUAAUGGUCAUCCCGAAUGGGGACUAGACCAGUUUGCACUACUGGUAUAACAAGCCACGUACAAUUAUUUUCUAUCUUUGAGCAUAAUGCUUUUUAUCAGAGCCAACCAAAAUGUUUUGCGCACAAGCUAGAAUAUUAUUGUAUAUCGGCGGGAAACCAGUGACAUAUUUUGAUGGUCAUCCCGAAUGGGGACUAGAUCAGUUUGCACUACUGGUAUAACAAGUCACGUACAAUUAUUUUCUAUCUUUGAGCAUAAUGUUUUUUUUAUCAAAAUGAAGUGGUAAAUAUGAGAUUUGUUCGUUUUGAAUAGGGAAAUAAAGGAAAAACUGAAUCUAAGAUGGCAUCUUCAUCAAAAAAUCUAGAUAAUCUUGCUCCUGUUACUCUUUCUUCAACUCUCUCACUUCCUAAAUCUUGUUCUAAACACCUGGCUUCAAAAAUAGAAAACCUUGUUGAGUAUUCGUAUGUUCCAGAGUCAUCCCAAAUUAGUGAAUCUUCCAUGCCUCUCAUCAGCCCAUAUGAGCUGUACCAACGACCAAAUUCCUUGACCAGAAGUAUUAGAACCCUGAUUUCAACCAAAAGACCUGCUCCAAAAGAAUAUAUCCAGUCAUCACGACUAGAUCAGUGUACUCUUCAAGCAUCACAAGCAGAGCAAUAUGUCACCCUUGAAAUUCCACCAGAACUUGUUAUCCAGUGGAAAAGAGAAAGAUACACACACUCCAUCUUGGAGGAGUUCGUUUAAUUGUCACCCUUCACAGGAGAAAAGGCUUACCUGUCACAGCCGAACUAGCUUUGCUAGAUACCCGAUUCAAGGAAUAUCAGCAUGCAGUUAUAGGAACAGUCCUGACUAGUCUUCAUGCAGGAAGUGUUCUUUUGACCUUCUACCCAAAUUUCAACCUCUCACUAGAUGAUCCAAACCUACCCACUACUCUGAAGGUUCAAAUCCAGAUCCAAGGCGUUGAACAAAUAGUCUCUUCAAAAAUGGCAACCUUACACCAUCAGUUGGUGUACUGCCUGCAAAAUCAUGCCCUUGAUCUUCCCACGCCUCAAACCACAUCAGAUGCACUAAUGAUUCUUGCAGAUUCCUCAGAAAGCAUACAUUCCACAGUCCAAAUCCCAAGACAAAUACAAAAGCAAGAUCGUCUUAAGCUCCAUGCCCCUGGAAUGGCUUUCCAAUUAUGAGAAAUUCCAUCAAAACUCCCAGCUGGUCCAAACAACUGAUGCUCAUUUUGAAAAAAGAGCAGAUGGAACUGUAAAGUUGACUUUUCAGUCACCAUCCACUUCCCAGACACCCAUUGUUUCUCAUCCACCCUUUGAACAAUCAACACCCAAAAACUCCUUUUCAUACUCCUCUAUGAUCACAGCCGUAUCUACGGCACAAGAAAAACUCCCCAUCCACGAAUUUGCCUCAGAUGGCUAUCUGAUCUACCUAGACAAAAUCAAUGGUAAUUUUUUAUGGGAUGUUCCAGGUUCCCAGAUGUGUGAUGUAGAUUGUCUUUGCCUCGAAGAAGAAGAUGACAAUGAUGAUUUCAAUAGGCGUCCCAGGUGGCAUAAAAAGAAAAGUCACAAGCUGGAUCCGUGUUACAAAAAACCUCAUUUUCUCCCUGAUGACCCAGACAAUGUAGCACCUUUGCAUCUCUAUAGGAAAGGCCUGAGCCUCAUACAGAACGAGUAUAAACAAAGAUCAUGCAGACAAGAGACAGCCUUAUUCUCAUCUCCUGCUAUGCCCGUCCAACCUUGCAUGAUGUUCUCAUCAAGCUCUUAUCAAGAGUAGUUCCCAGUUCCUUCCUCUAGAAAAACAAAUUGAUCAAUAGACAAAGGUCACCACCAAACCUUUUGUCCACUCUCCCGUUACACCAAAUGGCCAGCUUAAAGAACCAAAACCUUUUGAAGCUGUACUAAACUGGCAAACUCAAAAUGCCAAGGCUCAGAAUUCAGCUUUCAGAUCUCUUGAUGAGAAAAUUGAAAGAGUGGCAUUUCAAGUCAAACAGACGGACACAAAGGUAGACAAGAUCACAUCUCAGCUUGAACAGAUGUAUCUUGACAUGCAAAAUCGAGUUACCCAACUUGAUUCAGAUCUGCAGUUAUGAUCCAAAACAGAUAUUGGGGUCCAGAAUUUAACCAAAAAGAAGCAGAAAUUUGGCAGUUAAAAGCUGAACUUGCCAUGAUUGAUAUUGACAAACAACAACCGUCAUUGUUUGCAAAAUCCCCUGCUCUACCCUUACACACACCAACUUUCAGCACUUACCAACCUUUCUACACAUCAUCCACCUCUCGACAACCUGUAGACUAUGCCAAAUUCUUUGGCCUGUCCCAUCUCAAACAUGCUCCAACUAUUACUCCUCCAAAACCACGGUCCAGACCUCCUAAGCCUAAACCACCUCCAACUUACUACCAACCUUUUGAUCCUCAAUCUACUCAGAAGAACAAUGAACUUAUGCACCAAUACUCAUCUCAGGUCUUGUCUCACCUUUCAGAAUUAGAAGAAACCUCAACUGAUGAAGAAUCUUUUUCUUCAGAAUCCUAUUCUACCUCCUCCAACUCUAAAAAAAGCUUCACUGAUAUCUCUAAGCUUCUGAUGGUCCAGCCAUCAACUGGGUCAAAUGAUCAUUCUCCCUCCUCACCUCCUCAAACACUUAUAGUUGAGAAAGCAGAUUCUAAUACCAAUCCCAUCAAGAAAAUGCGAGCCGUGGCCGGUAACCCUUUUCUCCCAUGAAGGGUAAGGAUUAAUCGGAUGCCUCCAAGAUGGAGAUGGGUAAAACCUUCUCUUUUCCAAUUAGAAAGCAAUUCGGAGGGUAUUUCCAAAGUGACAUAUUGCUCAGCAGAGGUUGCUUGGAGAGCACAUUGCUCCAAGCGAGAAGACUGGAUAUAUUUUUUAGGGUGUGGCCAUCUGGUAGAGAUCAGGGUACGAAUACUAUGGGUAAAGGAACUGGGGCGUUUAUAUAGCUGGUAAAGGCUGAUGAGAGGAUAGGAGGACUCACUGAUUUGGAUUGAUUUAGGGAUGUAGGAAUAUUCUACAAGGUUUUCGAUCUUAUUGGUGGUAUGAGAAGUGCAAGAUCUGAGCAAAGAAAGGGUAGAAGAAAGAGUAACAGGAUUGGAAGAAGUUGAAGAUGAAGUGGAAGCCAUGAAUAAGAAAAUCUCUCUCUGCUCCUGAAGCACUAGAAAUCAAAGGAGAACAAAGAAUUAAAUCAUACCAUUUUGGUUAUGAAAAAAUGAGAUUUAGAAAACAAAAGUUCAGUGAGAAAGCAGAUUAUGAUAAUUCCAUGACUUAUCAUCCAUUUGCCUCUAUGCUUUCCCCCAUCAAGCAGUAUGAUCCCUCCAAGUUAUUUGGCAUGACUCAUACUCUUUUCCGAGACAAUCCAUUGCCACCACCACCUAAGCCUAAACCACAAUCGCGACCCGUCACAAUUCAUCAUUCAUCCAUUUCCAUCCCUGGCCAACAAUCCCCUGGUUAUACACCGGCAUCACCACCAGCACCUUCACCACCUCCUUUAUCCCAACCUCCUCCUCAAUCCAAGGAUAAAGAACCCAUGCACCAGUUUAGUGCCCACACAGCCGACCAUUCACUUACUACAGAUGACCAAACUUCUGAUUCAAAUCUAGCUGUUUCUGAUAGCCAUACCGAACCUGACACAGAAUCUUCAGCAUCCACCAGUGACUUUGAAAAGUCCUAUAUUGAUAUCACCAGAAUCUUAAUGGCUCAACCUGAUCAACUUGCCCAAGGCCAAACCUCUCAUACAUAACCCUAUGUUGAUAUUCCCUCAAAAGUUGAGGAAGAAAUGCCUGAAUCUUUGGCCACAAACCAACCCCCUCCAGCUCAAGCCCAGACUGGUUCCACAAGCCAAAAAUCGUCAAAUGGUCCAUGGUUCACAUUUGAUGAUCUUCCAUCUCAUAAAUGGCGUGACCGACUUAAUGAAAUGUCUGCCUUGAUUGACCUCCAAAUGCUAAGGCCAGGAGCCACAACUGAAUCCGUCUUUAGAGAAUUUGCUACUCGUUUUACAGGUGCUCUAAGAGAUUGGUUUGAUUCUUUAGGCCACUACCGACAGUUACAGUUUGUUCAAUUACCAGAGGUCUCAAGUGCCCUUGCGGUUAUCCAUGAUUAAUUCCUUGGAGACCCUUCUGCAAUUUUUGAAGCUGCACACCGAGACUAUCUCAACAUGAAAUGUUGUUCACUCAAUGCUAAGGAUCUUGACUUCCAUUAUAAACGAAUGUCCCUGCUGUUCUAUAAGCUUAAUGGAUUCAAUGAGCCGACAUUAAAGCAUGUCUUUCUAGCUUCCCUUCCAGAUGAACACUAACCAGACAUACAAAGACAACUCACCACAUCCAAUCUUGCCCUUGACAACAUCUCUCUUGGUAAAAUCUUCCAACUUGCCAAAACUUGUCUUGACAAACUUUGCGAACAGAAACAGUUUUUCAAAGAACUGUUGAAAGAUAAAGAACCAUUCCAGAGUGCUUGCAAAAAGCCUUACUUGCAGAUCAAAUGUCAGAAGAAAAAGGAUUGUGAUUGCAGUUCUAAGAAGAAAAGGCAUUUUCGAAAAUUCAAAAAUCUAGAAUUUUCAUCCAGACCUCGCAGAUCCUGAAAGCCUUACAGAUUCUUCAAAAAGAAGUCAUCGUCCUCUUCUUCCAAAGACUUUAAAUGGAGAAAAUCAAGCAGAUGUUUCGUCUGCAAAAGAAAAGGUCAUUUUGCCAAAGAUUGUCCCAACAAAAGGGAAAAAUCUAUUCGACUAGUUGAGCAUCUUCAAGCCACUAUAGACUACUCUCCCGAGAAGGAUGAACUAGAAUUCUAUUUCUCUGAACAAGAUGAACCCACUAAUGAAACUGUGUUCGCACUGCAAAAUUCCUUUGCUGAUUCAGACAGUGAUCAAUCCCAAGUCAUUUUCCACCAACAGUUACUGUCCCUUGACACUACUGUCUCUAUACCAUCCAUCAAACUCCAGAUCUUGCCCUCCAAGUUCCAAAGGCCCAUUCCAGCAAUUGGUCUCAUUGACACCGGCGCCCAACGCAGCAUGUUAAACCCACAUAUUCUUCCUCAUCAAGAAAAUUCUUCUUCUAAACCUUCCAAUGGCCCAUGGUUUACUUUUGAUGACAUUCCAAGAGUAAAAUGGCCAGUCAGAUUUCAAGAAUUUUCUACCUGAAUUGAUGUUCAAAUGCUCAGAACUAGAGCAACAACCCAAACUGUCCUUAAGGAGUUCAGUUCUCGUUUUACUAGAUCUUUAAGAGAUUGGUUUGAAAGUCUAGGUCCAUACAGACAACUCCAAGUAAUUCAAGCCUAGAUUUUAGAAGUCCUAGGAAUAAUUUAUGAGUAGUUCUUUGGAGAAGCUACAACUGCUAACGAACAAACAAGAAGAGAGUUCCAUCUAAUGAAGUGUUGUUCUCUCCAGAUAAAAGAUCUGGAUUUUCACUACAAGAGAAUGUCUACAAUGUAUUACAAGCUCAAUGGUUUUAAUUAUCCCUCAUUAAAACAUGUCUUUGUAGCAUCUCUUCCGAAGGAGAUCCAACCAAAGCUUCAGAGACAGUUCACAAUCCACCAGCUGGACAUAGCCAACCUCUCCUUGGGGAAAAUCUAUCAAUUAACAACCAACUAUCUGGAAAUACUUUGGGAACAGAAGGAAUUCUUCAAAGACCUCAUAGAAAACAAAUAGCCUUUCAAAAGUGCUUGUAAAAAACCCCAUCUUUCCAUCAAGUGCAAAAGUGAGAAGGAUUGCACUUGCUCAACCAAAAAGAAAUCUCACUUCCAAAAAUUCUGAAAUUCAGAAAAGAAAAGCCAAAACACCUUCUAGAUCCAAAAAACCUUAUCGAUUCUUUAGAAAAAAAGAACCCUGAUGAGUCCUCUAAAUCUAAAGGCAACCAUUGUUUUAUUUGUAAAAAGAAAGGACAUUUCGCAAGGAAUUGUCCAAACAGACCUGCAAAAUCAGUCUGGCUUAUUGAGCAUCUCCAGGAUUCCAUGUUACUUUCAGAAAGUGAUGAUGUUAAAUCCUUCUUCUCUGAACAAGAUGAAUAUAAUGAACAAACAGCCUUUAUCCUUGCUGAAACAGAAGAUCAUUAUGAAUCUGAGAAUGUUUCUGUAAUUCAAACUGUACAGCAAAUUCAGAAAGUACAACCAGCCGUUCCUAUCCCUUCAAUCAAAAUUCACUUCCUCUCUGGAAGAUUUGAUAAACUAGUUCACAUCAUUGGUUUUGUUGAUACUGAAGCUCAGAAGAGUAUACUUAAUCCUUCAAUCCUUCCAUCCCAUUUUUGGGAAAAACAUACAGAAUAUUUCAAAGCUGCUGAUGGAGAAUUGUUUCAUACAAAUUUGAUUACCAAAAAACCCAUUGGUAUUCAAUUCUUUCCAGGAUGUAUCCUUUGGACCAAGCUUGUUGGAUCCAAUCUUCCUGACAAAGAUCUUUUAAUCGGGGUUUGAUGUCCUUCACCUGGUUAAAAAACUUCAUAUAACAGCUUAUGGAAUCCAUUAUAAACAUAUGUUUCAGCCUUAUAGGGAUUCCCUGAAAUUGUUCUCUAUCUCAAGCUCUCCUCCUUCAUAUGAUCCUCUCAAAUCCCAUUUUCUUCUUCACUGUCCAGAAAACCACAGUCAAUUUCUUUAUUCUACCCCUCUCUGGAAAAAUGAAAAUUUCUUCAUUAAGCUCCCUUUUAAGCUUAACGAAGACAUUAACCCAACCAAGGCUACCCAUCUAGGAAUGACCCCAUCUGACCUGAAACUAGCCCAAGAAGAAUGCUCUCAGUUGCUAAAACAAGGCCUUAUUGAGCCCACAAAUUCAGAAUGGGUUUGUCAAGCUUUUUAUGUGGAAAAAAGAUCUGAAAUAGUUAGAGGCAAAAAACAUCUUGUUAUUGAUUACCAGCCUCUCAACUGUUUUCUUAGAGACGAUAAGUUCCCCUUGCCAAAAAUCCAAUCCUUGUUUGUUCAUAUCCAAAAUGCUAAGGUCUUCUCAAAAUUUGACCUUAAGGCAGGUUUCUGGCAAUUAGGAAUCCACUCUGAUGACAGACCUAAAACAACUUUUUGCAUACCAAAUGCCCACUACUAAUGGAAAGUAAUGCCAUUUGGCCUUAAGGUAGCCCCCUCACUUUUCCAAAAGGCCAUGAUCAAGAUCUUUGAACCAAUCCUUCAUCAUGCACUUAUCUAUAUAGAUGACGUGCUAUUAUUCUCCAAAGAUCAUGAUUCCCACCAACAAUUACUUUCCCACUUUCUUGAGAUAAUGGAAACAUAUGGCAUAAUGUUGUCUGACAAAAAGAGUAUCCUAGGCCAAAACAUUGUUACCUUUCUUGGCAUAACUCUAAAAGAUGGAUACUAUAGUCUUGGGCCACACAUAGCCCAGGAACUCAUUCAUUUUCCAGAUGAACAUUUGUCAAAAAAGCAAAUCCAACAAUUCCUUGGUAUUGUGAUCUUCAUAUUGCAGUCCUUAUCAGAUCAAAUCCAAGACUUUGCAAAGAAAUUCCUUUUUCGAUAUUUCAUGAAUAUAUAUUGUACCCAGACAUCCAGAUUUCCAAGCGUUCAUCCAGAUCACCUCUUCCUUACAGGCCUAAAGAUUAAUCCCUCCAGGGACGUCACAGAAGAUGAACUGUGGUAUAUAUGGUGUCUCACUAUCUUAUAUGCCACCAAACUAAUCUUUCCUGUACAUCCAAUGUUUCAGUGUCUCAUAGAUCCUAACCAGGCUCACUCUCUCACAAGGACUCUUUUUGAAUGGUUUUCUCCUCUCUCUUGGUGGAGAAAACAACUUGACUUCAUUAUCAAACUCCACCACAUCAAUCUCCUCCCUGAUCAAGAAGGAGAACAAUUCACCUCAGUCUUCAUUGUCCAUCGUCCUUAUUUCCAGCACCCUGUUACCAAACUCUUUUGGAUUUAGGACCAAGCUUAUGAAUGGAAGACUGUUCCUCAUAGUUUUCCCCUGUAUCAUGACCCAAACCUUGUCUUUACCCUGAAACAAUACCUCUUCGAACUAAAUAAUGUCCAAUCCUCUCCUAUUGACAUCCAGCACACCUCCCUUGGACCACAACAUGAACUCAUGAUUAUUCCAACCACCAGGUCACCAUCAUCUAGUAAUCCUCCUCCCUCUGGAAUUUUGAUCAAAGAAAAAAAGCCUGAUUUCACAAACAUCCUCUUCCAGGAUUCACAAGACCCAUGGGAAGAAUUCACCUCAAUUUUGCAUCCCAUUGAAACAUCACAUGCACCCUCUAUAAGUACUGUUCCACCAACAAUGACAGAUUCACCUACUUGACAAUAUUAUGAGAACUUGCCUUGGUGGAAAGAGCCAUUUGCUGAAGUUGACAGCGAUGUUGACAACUUAUCUCCCUCACAGUUUUUAAAGCACUUUGUAAUAAUUGCUUUUUCUUUUGUAAAAGCAAAGUGUUUGCUUUACUUAAUCUUUACUUUAAAGCAUCUUCCUUUUGCUUUGUCUUUAGCUUAAAGUCCAAAAGACAGGGGUCCUGUCUUGUCGAGAAUCUUUUGCUUUUGCUUUAUCCUCUUCCUUUGAAUUUUCCUUUAUAAGGAGAAUUCAUUCACAUUUGUAAGGAUCUUAGAUUUUAAAAAAUAAGAUUCCGAGUUUUCCAAUAUCAUAAUUCUCUAAACGUUUCUCUUUUCCUUUAUUUCACUAGGAAGGACAACAUGUUCUUAUAAUAGUUCACUUCAAUCUCUUUUAAUUAGUAUGCUCUGCACUCGCCUCUUUGUAGGAUCUUGUGCAUCAGAAAGUUGUUUGGCUUUGAGAUCGAUCCAACCAACCACAUUUCAUCCUGUAUUAUAGCCAAGGACUGGCUUCACUAUUGGGUGGUAGUGGUUUACCGAUGGUAUCAGAGCCUAGGUGUUCACCAGGGGGUAUGAGUGUGUGAAAGAUAAGCACCUCAUCCCACAUUGGUUGGGAUCCUGGCUGUGUGCUGGCUUAUAAGUGUUGGGCAGUCCUCACCUCUCAGGACAUCUUUUGGGGCUGAGUUAGGCUUCGGCCCAAGAUCGUAUCAGAGUCCCACCAUUAAUUCACUUGCUAAAUUAGACAUCUAAUUAAAUUAGGAAACAAAUAUUCCUAAUAAAUUGGAAUCUCACUAAAUUAGGGAAUUAAUAAAUUAAUCCCUAUUACAAGAUAUGUAAUAAAUAAACUUCCAAUUUAACUAGACUUGCCAUAAAAUGCCAACUCUAUACCUUAACAAUCUCCCCCUUUGGCAUUCUUGUGGCAAAAGCAAUCCAACACAAGUCUUCCAUGAACUUUGGCGCUAAGAUAUGAACCUGAACAAGCAUAAACAACAACAAGGAACUAACCAAAAUAAUUGGCAAUUAGCAUGUUAGUUCAUGUAAAUAAACCAAGGCAAGAAUUAAAAUAAAAUGCUAAUUUUAUUGAUCAAUAAAUGGAAAGACAACAUUAAGCCACAAAUUAAGGACAAGAAAAUAAUUAAACUCCCGCUAAGAACUAGAAUCCAAAAAUAAAAAAUUCUCGAACAAAAAUAAAAUCUCCCUAGAAUUGAAAAUACUACUCCUCCUAACUUAUUGCAUUGAGACUAUUACUACCAAAUUUAAAACCUUACUACUAGUAUAAAUAAUUAGUACAAAGCGAGUAAGGAUCUAUCCUACAGAGAAAAUGCCAACUAAAAAUAAUUAUUAUCAACUCUAAAACAGAACUAAAAAUAGAUUAAUAUAACUAAAGAAAAUGCCAACUAAAAAUAGAAAAGGAAUAAUAAUAUAAAUUAAUCUAACUAAAGAAAAUGCCAACUAAAAAUAGAAAAGGGGGGAUUUUUGAAUUUUUAACUAAAUAGCAAGAAAUAAAGAAAUUAAAACUAUGAAAACAAUAAUUUAAUAGAAACUCUAAUUAAAGGAGAAAGAAAUAAUAAUGAUGAAAAACUUUGGUUAAAGGAUCAUUUGCCACCACCAAACAUGCACAUAAUAUAUCAAUUCUAUCAUCAAUUUCUAUUAAAACUAUCAACCGUAGACAACAAUAAGCUUUGUUAGUCUCAAUCUUUCCUUACUGUGUCGUUAGGCAAAACAAGCUCUUCACCUAAUCUCUAACCAUUAAAUAAUUUAAAACAAGCUCUUUAAAUUUAAGAUAAUGGAAGCAUUAAGUAGAGAAAGAUGUUAGGUUGAUCUAGACAAUAAACACAUAAGUUUGGAUUAUUUAAUCUAGGAUAUAUUCUCCAAUCGAAAACACUAAUUCCAACCUGCUACUAAUGAUUAAAAUAUCAAGACAAUUAAGGAUCAAGAAUUUUAAUCUAACAAUAGAAUUUAUUCAAGUCCUAUCUAAUUGGCCACUUAAAUAAAACAAGAAUAAAAUCAUAAACAUUAAUUAUAGAAGAACAAUCUCAAUUAAAUAAAUUGAAUGAUAGAAAUUGAACAUUAAUCAUAUGACAUGUUUGGGGUUUUGAAUUCACCCUAAACCAAAUAGAAAAUCUAGCCUAACAUAAUUGAAUUGGGAAUAAGAGAAUUGAUCAAACCAAUUAUGGAGAUUAAUUCAAGUGGCUGCCUUUUCUUCAAUUCAUUUCGGUUUCUCCCUUGUUUUUUUUUUCCUUCUUGCGGCUGCUGGUUUCUCAAAUCCUCUUGGCUCCAAAAAAAUUCCUUUAAUCAAAAGCCAAAAGUCGGCUUUUAUAAUGCCCAAGAAUGGCCGAAUCUUUAUUGGGUUUUCUUUCCAAUUUAAAGGCAAUUGAUUUCCUUCCCUUGCCAUGCACAUGCCGCCCACUUUGACACUUUCCUUUUUCUUCAAUUUGCUCUCCAUAAUUAAAGCCCAUGAACGUGAACUUAAGCUUUGGAAAGACAUACAUGCAAUCUUUUUAAAUUGGUCAAGUAAACCCAUGCACAUUAAACAAGUUUCCAUUUUAUGCAUGCUUGUUCCCAAAGUCUUUAUUAAUCUCCAUGAAAUCUCAUAUGCUUCCGAAUGUGUAUCCAUUAGUUAAUUAACUUCCAAGAAUCAUCAAUUAUUUCCUUUUCUAAUUCCUUCAAGCAGAUUUCUUCUUAAAUGCUCCGAUUUAAUUUCUCUUUAAUCUCAAAAUAUACCUAAAAUAACAAAAUAAAAAAAAACUAAGAUAAAAAUUAACAUAAUAAAAUAUAAUUUACUAAAUUAUAAAUUAACUAAAAUAACUAGAAUAUUUAAGACCCAAAACAAGAAAAAGAUGGAGAAAUUAAUAGCAAAAUAUAUGGAAAAUAUACACUUAUCAAAUUCCCCCACACUUACCCUUUGCUCAUCCUCGAGCAAACCUAGAACCAAAAUAAAAUAAUAUAAAAUAAAAUCUAAACUAGUCCACUUUCGUAGGAAAUCACAAUUGCAUUUAGCGUAUGCAACAAGCCUUUAAACCCUUAGGCAGCCCUAGUGGACGAGUUAUAGUCUCGUGAGGGUUUCAACAAUGAUACCCAUAAACAUCAUUUCCUUUUUUUUUUUUCAGAAAAAGAACAAAAGAAUUUAAAAUAACACUAGCCUCAAAGAUUGCAUAAGUCAUAUAGCUCAAAGAAAAUUUGAAAUAUUAUCGAAGUUCUAACUUUAAUUCAAUAGUCAAUCACAUCUCUCUUUUGAUUCUCAUAGUGUGUGUGUGAAUCAAUUCAAUCAAAAUCCAUUCUCAAAAUCUUCAAUAUCAACAACCUUUGCCUUNNNNNNNNNNNNNNNNNNNNNNNNNNNNNNNNNNNNNNNNNNNNNNNNNNNNNNNNNNNNNNNNNNNNNNNNNNNNNNNNNNNNNNNNNNNNNNNNNNNNNNNNNNNNNNNNNNNNNNNNNNNNNNNNNNNNNNNNNNNNNNNNNNNNNNNNNNNNNNNNNNNNNNNNNNNNNNNNNNNNNNNNNNNNNNNNNNNNNNNNNNNNNNNNNNNNNNNNNNNNNNNNNNNNNNNNNNNNNNNNNNNNNNNNNNNNNNNNNNNNNNNNNNNNNNNNNNNNNNNNNNNNNNNNNNNNNNNNNNNNNNNNNNNNNNNNNNNNNNNNNNNNNNNNNNNNNNNNNNNNNNNNNNNNNNNNNNNNNNNNNNNNNNNNNNNNNNNNNNNNNNNNNNNNNNNNNNNNNNNNNNNNNNNNNNNNNNNNNNNNNNNNNNNNNNNNNNNNNNNNNNNNNNNNNNNNNNNNNNNNNNNNNNNNNNNNNNNNNNNNNNNNNNNNNNNNNNNNNNNNNNNNNNNNNNNNNNNNNNNNNNNNNNNNNNNNNNNNNNNNNNNNNNNNNNNNNNNNNNNNNNNNNNNNNNNNNNNNNNNNNNNNNNNNNNNNNNNNNNNNNNNNNNNNNNNNNNNNNNNNNNNNNNNNNNNNNNNNNNNNNNNNNNNNNNNNNNNNNNNNNNNNNNNNNNNNNNNNNNNNNNNNNNNNNNNNNNNNNNNNNNNNNNNNNNNNNNNNNNNNNNNNNNNNNNNNNNNNNNNNNNNNNNNNNNNNNNNNNNNNNNNNNNNNNNNNNNNNNNNNNNNNNNNNNNNNNNNNNNNNNNNNNNNNNNNNNNNNNNNNNNNNNNNNNNNNNNNNNNNNNNNNNNNNNNNNNNNNNNNNNNNNNNNNNNNNNNNNNNNNNNNNNNNNNNNNNNNNNNNNNNNNNNNNNNNNNNNNNNNNNNNNNNNNNNNNNNNNNNNNNNNNNNNNNNNNNNNNNNNNNNNNNNNNNNNNNNNNNNNNNNNNNNNNNNNNNNNNNNNNNNNNNNNNNNNNNNNNNNNNNNNNNNNNNNNNNNNNNNNNNNNNNNNNNNNNNNNNNNNNNNNNNNNNNNNNNNNNNNNNNNNNNNNNNNNNNNNNNNNNNNNNNNNNNNNNNNNNNNNNNNNNNNNNNNNNNNNNNNNNNNNNNNNNNNNNNNNNNNNNNNNNNNNNNNNNNNNNNNNNNNNNNNNNNNNNNNNNNNNNNNNNNNNNNNNNNNNNNNNNNNNNNNNNNNNNNNNNNNNNNNNNNNNNNNNNNNNNNNNNNNNNNNNNNNNNNNNNNNNNNNNNNNNNNNNNNNNNNNNNNNNNNNNNNNNNNNNNNNNNNNNNNNNNNNNNNNNNNNNNNNNNNNNNNNNNNNNNNNNNNNNNNNNNNNNNNNNNNNNNNNNNNNNNNNNNNNNNNNNNNNNNNNNNNNNNNNNNNNNNNNNNNNNNNNNNNNNNNNNNNNNNNNNNNNNNNNNNNNNNNNNNNNNNNNNNNNNNNNNNNNNNNNNNNNNNNNNNNNNNNNNNNNNNNNNNNNNNNNNNNNNNNNNNNNNNNNNNNNNNNNNNNNNNNNNNNNNNNNNNNNNNNNNNNNNNNNNNNNNNNNNNNNNNNNNNNNNNNNNNNNNNNNNNNNNNNNNNNNNNNNNNNNNNNNNNNNNNNNNNNNNNNNNNNNNNNNNNNNNNNNNNNNNNNNNNNNNNNNNNNNNNNNNNNNNNNNNNNNNNNNNNNNNNNNNNNNNNNNNNNNNNNNNNNNNNNNNNNNNNNNNNNNNNNNNNNNNNNNNNNNNNNNNNNNNNNNNNNNNNNNNNNNNNNNNNNNNNNNNNNNNNNNNNNNNNNNNNNNNNNNNNNNNNNNNNNNNNNNNNNNNNNNNNNNNNNNNNNNNNNNNNNNNNNNNNNNNNNNNNNNNNNNNNNNNNNNNNNNNNNNNNNNNNNNNNNNNNNNNNNNNNNNNNNNNNNNNNNNNNNNNNNNNNNNNNNNNNNNNNNNNNNNNNNNNNNNNNNNNNNNNNNNNNNNNNNNNNNNNNNNNNNNNNNNNNNNNNNNNNNNNNNNNNNNNNNNNNNNNNNNNNNNNNNNNNNNNNNNNNNNNNNNNNNNNNNNNNNNNNNNNNNNNNNNNNNNNNNNNNNNNNNNNNNNNNNNNNNNNNNNNNNNNNNNNNNNNNNNNNNNNNNNNNNNNNNNNNNNNNNNNNNNNNNNNNNNNNNNNNNNNNNNNNNNNNNNNNNNNNNNNNNNNNNNNNNNNNNNNNNNNNNNNNNNNNNNNNNNNNNNNNNNNNNNNNNNNNNNNNNNNNNNNNNNNNNNNNNNNNNNNNNNNNNNNNNNNNNNNNNNNNNNNNNNNNNNNNNNNNNNNNNNNNNNNNNNNNNNNNNNNNNNNNNNNNNNNNNNNNNNNNNNNNNNNNNNNNNNNNNNNNNNNNNNNNNNNNNNNNNNNNNNNNNNNNNNNNNNNNNNNNNNNNNNNNNNNNNNNNNNNNNNNNNNNNNNNNNNNNNNNNNNNNNNNNNNNNNNNNNNNNNNNNNNNNNNNNNNNNNNNNNNNNNNUACCAGAGUAAGAAAGGCCUCAUCUUAUCACUUUAAUCUCCAAUUUUUUUUUUCACAGGCAUUUGUGUGCAUUUUCUUUUGAUUUUUCUCUUUUCCUUUUUUUCUUUUUUUUUUCCAUAGACAAGAGCUUUCACUCUACCCCUUGAGGAAGUGUUCAAAAAAAGGUAGAUUAUCCUCUACAUACUGGGGGUACAUAGGCCCAAAUUACUCAAGGAUAACUUCACUCUUAAGGGUUAUAUAUAGCUAUUUCUGACUAUGGGGCCUGUGUAUAUAACACUGUAUUAUGGAGAUAAGAAUCAAGACAAGCAGUCAUUUACUCAAUCUAAAAUUCUCAACUCAGGUAGCAUCAAUCUCAAAUUCUAAGUCAAAACUAUGAAAGAGUUGAUAUUAGUGCUCAUGGUUUAAGAAUCUCAAUUAAGAGGAAAUCAACACAAGAAUUAAGUAUAAACUAUGGUAAUAUUCAACCAUUUCGAAGAGCCAUAUUCAUUGUCAAUCAAAUUUUUAUCAUUGGCUAAUAUUCAAAAUAAUUGUUUUUAGAAAAAGAAAAAGACAAAGCAACAAAAACUAAGUUCGAAAUCCACCAUGCACACUUAAUUCUUACAUUGUCUUCAAUGUAAGCCUAAGCUAACAAAAGACAAAAUUAAACAUAGGGAAAUGAGAUGAGACACAAACAGAAACAAACAAAAUUCAACACAGAGUUAAUAAAGUAAAUGAGAAUGAGAGGGAGAAAGAUCAAAUAUGUUAUGACGUGUUCUCAAAAUCUUUUCUCCAGCCAUUUGAUUGCCUCCCAAUAAGCGCUUGGUUUAUUGUUGAUGCGAAUCCCACAAUGAAACUUUCAAACCCACACUUAAUUUGUAGUUUCAAUUUCCUACGAAAGUUCUAAAUAGAUUUAUGACAAACAAAACCUUGACCCAAUGCUUAAGAAAACAUGAACCAAAGGUAUAGAGAAUGAUAUUGACGCCACACUCAAGAAAUAGAUGAGAAGGUGAGUGAUAAGUCUAAAUUUAGAACGCCACAAGAAUGCAAAUUCUUGAUAAGUUCACUAGUUCUCAAAAGAACCAAAGAAAGAAUAAUCUUUCAAAUUCAAAUAACAUUAAUCUCUAAUUUUUUAUUACAUAGCAAGGUUGCUGAGUUUAAAUAGGCUAAAAAGAAACCCAAGAUCCUAAAAUUACAAAUGGAAACAUUGGAACAACCCUCCAUAAUUAAUGCUAUCUUUCACAAACUUAAUGCCAGCUUACUAUAAUUAAUACUAUCAUCGACAAACUUAAUGUUAACCCACCAUCAUUGAUGGUAGACUUACCUUACACAUUGACAAAUUUGAAACAAAACAACCAAAUGAAGUUGAAAAACAAAGGAGUCGUUGAAAAUCUCAAGUCUAAACAAGCUGUAAUGAAUUGGUCAUAACUCCUUCUAGAAAACUCCAAAUCUAGCUCUGUAAAAUGCAUUGGAAAGCUAACUUAAUUAUCGUUCCAACGGUAUAUAGCUUGCACAUUACUUCUAGCUCAAUCAAUACCAAUUUUAUUCCGAAUUUGACCUUUUUACAUUUGCUACAAAUUGUGUAUUUGGCUGCCCAAUAACUUGGAUAUUGCCCACAAUGCCUUGUCUUCUCUUCAAGUCCAAUUCAUGAUGUCUUACACCUUGAAUUGCAUUUUCAAUCCAUAUUUUCUCAAUUAAUCCAUUUAAAGCAGCUUGCAUCUUUUUUGCUCUAGCUCUUGUAAUUGGGCCUCCAUGAAUGUACAAAGGAUUACUUGAAGCUUUAAUGGUAUUCCCUUGAAGGUUCUCAUCAAUUGUUCUCAGCCUGACAUGGUUCUCAAGUUUCACUCAUCAACGUACGCAGGUUCAUAAAGUUGAGUCUCCUUGUUGGUCCCUUGUUGGUCGAUUUCUAUAAUCAAUUAUUAUCAAUGCCAAUGUGCAAGUAUACACAACAAGUAAUAAAGUGAUAAGUAUUCAAGAUCGUCUCCACAGGGAUUGAUGUUACUCAAAAUGUUAAAGCAAUCACAAUAGUGCAAAUCAACUAAAGACCGAAACAAACAAUUGUCAAAUAAUUCUAUCGUAACUAAUAAUGGAAAUAAACAAUACUGUAAUGAAAUAAACUAAGUUAAAUGUGUCUAAGAUUCAAUUGAGAAUAUAGUAGUUGAAUGAUCAAACUCUCCUAAUGGGGUGAUUGUUGUUUACCAAAUUAGCACCAGUUGUUACAAUAAGUGCUGCAGCAAUGGGUAGAAUAAAUCUGCAUCUGCAGCUAUCGCAUGUUGGAAAUCUCAUACCUUUAAAUCUACUAACAAUGACCAGUUGCUCAUAUAUUUAUGGUACGACAUUAUAACCUUUAAUCUCUCCACCCUACAAGGUGAACACCUAUGUUUAGAGUGUCACAAAUCUUAACUUCAAGUAUUGCCCUUAUGCGAUUCAAGGAAACCUAAUCCAGGAAACUCGACUUAAGAACAAGUAAUACUCUAAUAAUGUCCGCUAAGACAUGCCCUUUUUCUGCUCUAUCUUAACUGAAACUAUUAAAUGGGUGGUCAACUAUAGAGUAUAAUGCUACAGCAUUACUAUAACAACAUACAAGAACAGUCAAGAACCCAUUGGAUUAUUUGUCACUCAACCACAAGUAAAUUUAGUUCACAAUCUGGAUGAGAAAAAUAAACACAAAUAUAUUGAUCUUGGAAUACAUCUAAAUAAUUGAAGGAAGAAGAGAAAAUAUAAGUUGAGCACGAUGAAAAACAAAAUAAUUCUGCACGGUUCUUUUCUUUGUUUCCGAAUAGCACUCCUCAAUCUUGAUCUCCUUCUUCUCGCCUUUUUAAUUAUUUUUUAUGAUAAUUCCCAGCCGCCUUUCUAUGUGGUGCACGCCUCCUUUUAUAUUGCAAAUUAGGGUAAAAGACCCAAAGUCCAUGCGCGUGCAUGCGUUUAAAUUAGGAAACAUGCAGAUCACAAUUUUGUGGCUGACCCACGCUUUAAGCUUUCUCCUGCUUUGCUCUCUGAUUGCUGCAGCACUGGUUGCUCUAGCAUCCACAACAGCACUGCAUUAUUCUCGAUUGUGCUUGUCUUCUUUUGUGGCCAUCUUCUUUCCUCGUCUUGCUCAUCUAAUGUCUUAGCAUCCCCUUAUGAAUUUAAAACCUACAAUUAUGCACUUGUUUUUAGCACAAAUUACUUGAUUUAAACAAAACUUAUUAAAACCCAACUAAAAUGAAUGUUUAUGCAAAAGGUAAUCAAAAUGUAAUAAAAACACCUUAUUUGCUCUCUAAAUGAUCUUGAUUUAAGUCUAGAAUUGAUGUAAUAACUCUCAUUCCCUAAAGUUAUCACACCCCCAAACUUAAACUAUUACUUGUCCUCAAGUAAUGACACAUACUAACACUUCACACAAAAAAAAAUCAUUCACGCAAAUUUUGCUCUUUUAUCAACUUUGCAAGGAUUCUUCCACCUUCAGAUCAUAUUCUCAAUCAUCCAAGAUGACUAUAGUAAAUUAGUCUGAGACUUAAGCUUCUUUCUAUCCAUAGUGUGUGUGUGCUCUUUCAGUUCCAGAAUCUGCUCAAAUCAAUGAGUCCCAGUUUCCCAUCAUGAGUCCUUACAAUCUCUACAAACAGAAAACUUCUUUCACUAGAAGUAUUCGGACCCUCAUCUCCACUAAAAGACCACUCCCAAACUUCUUUCACAUACUCAACUGUGAUUAUUUUAGGAUUGACAAACUAGGGAAUAUUUAACCUCCUCACUGUAACAUUUAUCUUUCAUGUGAAUGCCAAUCAAUUGUAAUGAUGACACCCAACUAUUCAAACCAUGCCCAGAUUAGAGUUGUUGCAGCAGUAAUUGUAAUGUAAUCUUAUCUAGAAAUAUCUUUUACUCAAGGCUGAACAUGGGGCUCAUGAACAAACCUGGCUACUCAAUGCCUUAGACAGAAGAUUUUUUUUUUUUUUAUGUAUGCUAGCAUUGCUCAUAACUCUCGUUACCUUUGAACAUAAGUCUGCAUAUGGGGUACAUACUCAGAUCUGGUUACUCAGCAACUCGAGCCAUUAGAACAGAUUGUAUUCCAUAGAUAUCACAGUUAUUCAAACUUGCUUCUUCCCACCCCCCAAACUUGAGAUCUUUUCUCUUCUUUCGGCUUUGCUCUAACAGUCUCAUAUAAUUCAACCAAAGUCUAAGUGUCGGGACAGAAUGUCACUUUCAUCUAUAACUAUCUCUACUUGGCAUAUAUAUAUUGAAUAGCACUCAAUUUAUCUUCAUUAGGCUUUCAAAUCCAUACACAAAUAUUAGAUAAUAGAGCUCCACACCACACAAACAUAAACACAUGCAUACAAACCUAAACAUAUGCAUUCGGGAACACAACCCCCCCCCCCCCAAACUUGAGAGUUGUUGUGUCCUCACAAGCAAACAUAACAAAUGCACACAACUGGACAAGGAUAUGGAAGACCUUAGAAAAUACCACACAAAUUGAAAAACAAUUUUUUUUUUUAGAAAAACAAACUAAUAAGGAAAGAGUACUCCCCUGUGGUGGGGACUAUAGCACAUGAUGGGAUACUAUCAGUGCUUCUUGGAUGCAUUGCGCAACUUAUCCUUUGGUGAAGCUUUUGGAGAAGUAGUUGGCAAUGGCUUUGUCUUUUUCGCUGCGGGGCUAGCGAGAGGAGUUGGGGUUGGGGUUGCUGUAGCCGUACCUGUAGAUGUACUGCCUUUGCGUUUACUGGAUUGUCUUGGACUGGUGCGAAUAGGCUGGCUAGGAGUUUGCUGGAGAGGCUUUGUAGUUAAUGCAUCCGCUGCCUGACCCUCAGUCGUGAUGGCAGCAAUGACCGCAAGUAGUUGCUUGGCUUGCUCAGGUGUAGGCAUAGCUCUGGCUGCUGUAGCAGCUAGUUCAGCAUCGACUUGCUCCAUUUCAUCUUCAGAGGCUGGAGGUGUUGCCAUUUUUGCUUUGCCCUUGGCCUUUCUCUUGCUCGCGAGGACUGGAAUAGACAGCUCCUCUUCAAAGUCUUCCUCUUCCUCUUCUUGAAUAAUGUGCUUUUUCCUGGUUUUGGGCUGGGCUGGAAUGGUUGGUUCCUCACAUUCCUGCUCCGAAUUGUCCUCUACUUCUAUGGGUGAGCUAUCAGUCUCAAACUUGUCACAUUUUUCCUCAGGCUGGUCAAAUGGUUCAGCAUCUUUUGAUUCUUCCUUUGCUUGUGGUUCGGCUGCAGCAUCUUCUGCUGGGUCCUCUAUGGCAGUGGCUUCUGCACUAGCCUCUGUUGGAGCAUCUGCGGUGUGGGUGUCAAAAUUAAACUGUUGGAACAGUGCAUCAGGGAAGUUCCGGUGAGUGCGUUUCAUGUACAGAGCAAAUUGGUGUAGUUGGUUGUCCAGGUGCUGUAGAUAACUCCAAAACCAACCAUUUUCCCUCUGCUGAGCUUCCACACAUUGAGUUAUACUGUUGAUGGUGCCUGGAUAGUCUAUUCUAAGCCAAUAACUCAUCUUGCUCCUAUGACAACAGCUGGUUCAGUAGUUGUUCCAACACUCUCACCAGCAACUCUCUCAAUGGUACGUGCCGUAAAGGCACCAUCAUUUUUUACAUGUUCAUCGCUGGCGUCAAGACGAACACCUGAAACUACACAAAUGCUGGUGACGAGUGAGGGAAAUAACAAGGCAGCAGUUCGGUGAGUUUUGACUGCACAAUCUCGAAUUUCUUUCGCAUUGAUGCUACCUAUGUCUAUAGGAAGCCCUCAAACUAUGACAUAUAAUAAGACCAACCUUUCUUGCGAAACUGUAGUAGUGUGAGUGGUGGGCAUAAGCCUAGAUUUCAGAAAUUUCACCCACACCUUAGCAAUAGGUUUCAAAUCUAUCCUAUUAACUACACGCCCUUCCUCGUUAGCCCAUGAUGCCCCUUCAAUUGUAAGAGUUAUGAAAAUGGUGUUCCACUUUUUCGGGGUUAACUUAUCACGCAACUUAGCAUACUCACAAGUAAUUUCAGUAGGUAAGUCAUAGAAAGCAUUGAUAACGCGAGAGUCUAAUGGGACAAGUGUAUUUCUUACCCAAAUGUUGUGCUGAUCAGGGCUUACCAAAUUAGCGUAAAAUUCUUUGACUACAGGCAGCACAGGAUCUCGAGGGUGGUUGUAAAACUCUAGCCAUUCUCGCUUUGCUACAGCAUUAUGAAUUGUUUGCACAAUUCCCGCGAGUUGGUCUGGGAAUUGAAACCCUUUUUCUUCCAGAAUCCGACGCGGCUUUAUGAAUUCCUCAUAUUUUUCUUCAGCGUGGUAACUCUAGAAUCGUGACGAAUCUUUGAGGCGGCUUGUUGUUUUCUUGUAUCUCGGCAUUACUGUAGCAGUAACAAAUUGAGGCUACUGUUCCUGAAAGUAAAAAGAGAAGAAGAGGUUAAGAAGUAGGAGAGUUGGAUUUGUGAAGGAGAUGGGGAAUAGUGGCAUAGAGAACUAAGCACAGUGACUCCUUUUUAUAGUGGACUAGUAAUUGGAGAUAAAUACGGUAAUUUGAAAUAAUUAACGGAAUAAAAUAUUUUGAAUUAAAUGUGCAUAUCCCAAAAUCAUCGGCCAGUGAAUUUAAAGCUUUAAUUUCGGAGAUUUGUUUCCGCAAUUUUUAUCCAUAUCCAUGCAUCCAUCUGUCACGAUUUUAUCUCCAACGGUAAGUGAAAGGCUCCAGCUUUUAAUUUACUGUAACGGUAAAAUUAGCUGUUGCAGCAUCCAUUCGCUUAUUCUAACAACGGAUACAUACUCCCCACGAAAGCUUCUGACGCGUGGUUCACCUCUGAAUUCUGCCACCAUACACUCUCACGUGUCAAUAUGGAAUUCAAUUGUCACACUUACUAAAAUUAAGUCUAAAAUUAUUAAAAGAAAUAGAUAUAUCAAAUUAAAGUGAAAAUAAAGUAUGUAAUAAUGGAAAAGGAUAAAAAUAAAUGGUUAAUAUGGAAAAACAAGAUUAAAUAAAAUGUAAAAGAAGAAGAACAAUUGCUAUCUUGUGUCUGACUCCAUAUUUUAUCAUUGUUACAGCAAAGAUUUUAUUGCAAAAAUGUGUGCCUUCAUCACUGAUAAUUGCUCUAGGAGUGCCAAACCUGGAAAAAACAUUUUUCUGAAGAAAAGUCACCACGGUUUUAGCAUCAUUGGUAGGGAAUGCUGCAGCUUCUACCCACUUGGAGACAUAAUCCACAGUAACAAGGAUAUAUAAGUUCCCAAAGGAUUGGGGAAAAGGUCCCAUGAAAUCUAUUCCCCAAACAUCAAAAACUUCCACUUCCAGUAUGUUAGUCAAUGGCAUCUCAUGUCUGCUAGUUAUGUUCCCAAUCCUUUGACACCUGUCACAACAUUUAACAAAUUCAUAAGCAUCUUUAAAAAUAGUGGGCCAAUAAUAACCUGAUUGCAUAACUUUUGCAGCUGUUCUGUGACCACCAAAAUGUCCUCCAUAUGCUGCAGCUUGACAUGACUCCAGUAUAUGAGGUAUUUCUUCUGCUGCAACACACCUUCUUAUUACUUGAUUUGAGCAUAGCUUAUAUAAAUGUGGGUCAUCCCACUGAUAACUUCUAACAUCAUGAAGAAAUUUCUUUUUCUCUUGAAACUUCAACUCAGGUGGUAGUAACCCACUUACUAAGUGGUUAGCAAAGUCUGCAUACCAAGGAGAUUCUGAUUGCUGCAGCAUCUGUGCUUGCUGUACUACCAAUAGUUGUUCAUCAGGAAAAGUUUCGGUGAUGCCCUUCCUUGUCAAUGUACUAGAGUUUGCUUCCAGCCGUGACAAGUGGUCUGCCACUUGAUUCUCAGUCCCCUUUCUAUCUUUAAUUUCCAGAUCAAAUUCUUGAAGCAAUAAGAUCCAUCUGAUUAAUCUUGGUUUGGCAUCCUUCUUUGAAAUUAAAUAUUUGAUGGCUGCAUGGUCUAUGUAAACAGUUACUUUAGUACCCACCAGGUAAGCUCUGAAUUUGUCAAAAGCAAAAACUACUGCUAGCAACUUUUUCUUUGUAGUGGUGUAAUUGAUCUGAGUUGGAGUGACUGUUUUGCUUGCAUAGUAUAUGGAAUGAAAAACCUUAUCCUUUCUUUGCCCUAAUACUGCUCCCAUAGAAUGAUCACUAGCAUCACACAUCAAUUCAAAUGGUAAAGCCCAAUCUGGAGAUAUAAUUACUGGAGCAGUGAUCAGAGCUUUCUUUAAUUCUCCAAAUGCUUGAAGGCACUCUUUGUCAAAGUGAAAUGGUUUGUCAUGCUCUAGCAAUGAACACAGAGGCUUAGCUACUUUGGAAAAAUCCUUAAUGAAUCUUCUGUAGAAUCCAGCAUGACCUAAAAAACUCCUAAUACCCUUUACUGAAGUUGGAGGUGGCAGUUUAUCUAUUACCUCUAUCUUGGCUUUGUCUACCUCAAUACCAUCCUUGGAUAUCUUGUGACCCAUCACUAUUCCUUCUUGCACCAUAAAAUGGCACUUUUCCCAAUUGAGUACUAAGUUGGUCAUCUCACGUCUUUUAAGAACUUCUUCCAAGUUGUAUAAACAAUCCUUGUAUUUUUCCCCAAAAACUGAGAAGUCAUCCAUGAAAGCUUCCAAGGUCUGCUCUACCAUAUCAGAAAAUAUAGACAUCAUGCAUCUCUAAAAAGUUGUUGGAGCAUUGCAUAGCCCAAAUGGCAUUCUUCUGAAGGCAAAUGUUCCAUAGGGACAAGUAAAUGUAAUCUUUUCUUGAUCCACUGGAGCUAUAGCAAUCUAGUUGUAGCCUGAAUACCCAUCUAAGAAGCAGUAGUACUGUUUUCCAGCAAGUUUGUCCAACAUCUGAUCUAUGAAUGGAAGUGGGAAAUGGUCUUUCCUUGUGGCUUUGUUGAGCUUCCUGUAAUCCAUACACACUCUCCAUCCAGUCAAUGUCCUUGUAGGAAUAAGUUCAUUCUUCUCAUUAGCCAUUAUUGUUAUCUCUCCUUUCUUUGGAACACAUUGAACUGGGCUUACCCAUGAACUGUCUGAUAUUGGGUAUAUGACUCCAGCAUCUAACCAUUUGAUGAUUUCCUUCUUCACCACUUCUUUCAUAAUAAGAUUCAGCAUUCUCUGGUGCUCCACCGAAUUGCUGGAACAAUUCUAUAACAAGAUUUUAUGCAUACAUAUGGAUGGGCUUAUCCCCUUUAUAUCUGCCAUGGUCCAUCCAAUUGCUUUUCUGUAUUUUCCCAGCAAAUCUACUAGACUCUAUUCUUGACCUGCAUCCAAAGUAGAAGAAAUGAUUACAGGGAGUGUGUUGUUUUGACCAAGAUAAGCAUACUUUAAAUGUGAAGGUAACAGUUUUAAUUCAAAACUAGGAGGUGAUUCAAUAGAUGGUAAAGUUGUUUUUACUUCCCUGUCUGAAAGAUUCAGAUGUUCAAUAAACCUAUUGUGCCUAUCAGAUUGCUGUUUAUCCAUCCAAUCUAUUUGGAUUGUUGUAACAUCUUCCUCUUCAACAUCCUCAAAGGUUGUGACUUUGUCAAGUACAUUACUGCAGCAUCUGUCUAUUUUUUUUGCUACACCAAGAUCUACUACACUUAGGAAAUUGUAAUCUUUUACUUCAUCAGGGUUCCUCAUAGCCUCUAGUACAUUAAAUGUGACUUGCUGAUCAUUCACUCUCAUGGUGAGCUCACCUUUCUGCACAUCUGUCAAAGUUUUUCGAGUGCUAGAAAAGGUCUCCAAGUCUAAUGGGUACCUCUUUGUCAGCUUCAAAGUCCAGCACAAUGAAAUCCACUGGAAAGAUGAAUUUGUUCAACGUUCACCAAUACAUCCUCUAUCUUUCCUUCAGGGUAUGCAUGAGAUCUGUCAGCUAAUGCAGAGUGACUGUUGUUGGUCUGCACUCCCCUACUCCUAGCUGCUUAAAUACAGAUAAUAGCAUCAAAUUAAUACUAGCUCCCAAGUCACAAAGUGCUCUGCCAGUAUACCUAGUCCAUAUAGAACAUGGUAUUGUAAAACUCCCUAGAUCUUUCAAUUUUGUGGGAAUUUUACUCUGGAGCAUAUGACUGCUUUCCUGUGUUAAAGCAACAGUUUCAAACUCUCCCAGCCUUCUUUUUCGUGCCAAGAUAUCUUUUAGAAAUUUCACAUAAUUUGGCAUUUGCUUCAAAGCUUCCACAAAAGGUAUAUUUAUGUGCAGUUGCUUCAACACUUCCAGGAAUUUGUUGAAUUGCUUGUCUUGUUUUUGCUUCUGGAACCUUUGUGGGAAAGGUGGUGGAUGUCUAAACUGCUGGGUAGCUUUAGGAGAUACCAAACUUUGUUUGUUUGAUUUGGUGCAAGUUGUAACUACUGGUGUUGUGACUUCUUUUUCAGCAUGUUCUGAUUGAAUUUCCUCUGUAGUUGUUGUAGCUUGGCCCAUGUAACCAGUGUCUUGAAUAGGAGUUUGCUGUAACAAGCUUCCCUUUUGAGUUGGUUCUUGUGCUGAAUUGUAUUCCAUCCCUUUUUUGGUCACCUUUGGUUCUUGUGCUGAAUUGUAUUCCAUCCCCUUUUUAGUCACCUUUGGUUCUUGUGCUGAAUUGUAUUCCAUCCCCUUUUUGGUCACCUCAACUAGGAUAUCAACAUUCUUUCUAGAUCUCAAACUAAUUACUUUGCAUUGUUCUUUGCUCUCUCUCCUAGGGUCUUCUGUGUUGCUAGGUAGGCUUCCUUGAGUUCUGCUGCUCAUUGCUGUAGCUAGUUGUCCCAUUUGGUUCUCAAGGUUUCUCAAGGACACAGCUUGACUUUGCACAAUUGCUUCAUUCUUUACAAUAUACUUCUUGAUCAGUGCAUCCAGUGAAGUAAUUGGAUCCUGACUAAUAUGCUUUUGCCCUUGAAUUUGUUGUGAAAACNNNNNNNNNNNNNNNNNNNNNNNNNNNNNNNNNNNNNNNNNNNNNNNNNNNNNNNNNNNNNNNNNNNNNNNNNNNNNNNNNNNNNNNNNNNNNNNNNNNNAUUGCAUCAAUGUUAUGUACCCUGCUGAUCCUCUUGCUGCUGGUUGCCUGGUUGAAGGCCACUGGUAAUUAUUGUUGGCAAUUCUUUCUAGAAUUUCAUAAGCUUCAGUGUAAGAUUUGGAUAACAGAGCUCCAUUUGCUGAAGCAUCUACCAUUAACCUUGUACUUGGAUUUAACCCAUUGUAGAAAGUUUCCAAUUGAAUGCAACAAGGGAUGCCAUGAUGAGGACACCUUCUGAAUAAUUCCUUGAAUCUUUCCCAUGCCUCGUACAAACUUUCAUCUUUAAGUUGAUGGAAGGAAGUAAUCUCAUUCCGCAGUUUUGCAUUUUUUGUUGGUGGGAAAUAUUUCAUUAGGAAUUUAUCAGCCAAUUCAUUCCAUGUAGUGAUGGAAUCAGAGGGUAACGAAUUUAACCAUGCUCUUGCUCGAUCUCUUAAGGAAUAAGGGAAGAGCCUCAGCCUUAAGGCAACUUGUGUCGCACCAGCAAUCUUGAAAGCAUCACUUACUUUCAAGAACAAUUUAAGAUGGAGAUGAGGAUCUUCAUUAGGCAAUACAUUGAAUUGUCCCACUGUUUGUAACAUUUGAAACAUCACUGGUUUCAACUCAAAAUUUGCUGCUUCUACCUCAGGUCUGAUGAUCCCAGGGUGUACAACUUGCGGGGUUAGUACAGCAUAAUCUCUUAUAGCUCUGUCUCUAUCAUCAGCCAUGUAAAUAAUAUUUUUGUUGCCUUGCUGUCUCCCGUUGGCAUGUUCAUUCUGCUCUUCUUGAAUGUUGACUGGUUGUAGGGGCCCGUGAUGAUUCAAAUUUUGCGCAUCCUGUAAAUUAUUCAUGCUUGGAGCACUUUCUGAAUUCCUUUGUUCUCUUCAUAGUCUCCUGACAGUCCUUUCAAUCUCAGGAUCGAAUUGGAAUGCCACAAAUCUGUCUUUGCACAUGCAUGUACCGAUCUGCCAAUAAAUAGAAUAAAUCAAAUCAAAUUUGGUGCUAUCAAGAUUUACUUCACACUAAAAAAAUAAAUAAUCAAUCCCCGGCAACAGCGCCAAAAACUUAUUGGUUGAUUUCUAUAAUCAAUUAUUAUCAAUGCCAAUGUGCAAGUAUACACAACAAGUAAUAAAGUGAUAAGUAUUCAAGAUCCUCUCCACAAGGAUUGAUGUUACUAAAAAUGUUAAAGCAAUCACAAUAGUGCAAAUCAACUAAAGACCGAAACAAACAAUUGUCAAAUAAUUCUAUCGUAACUAAUAAUGGAAAUAAAACAAUACUGUAAUGAAAUAAACUAAGUUAAAUGUGUCUAAGAUUUAAUUGAGAAUGAUCAAACUCUCCUAAUGGGGUGACUGUUGUUUACCAAAUUAGCACCAGUUGUUACAAUAAGUGCUGCAGCAAUGGGUAGAAUAAAUCUGCAUCCGCAGUUAUCGCAUGUUGGAAAUCUCAUACCUUUAAAUAUACUAAAAAUGACUAGUUACUCAUAUAUUCAAGAUCGUCUCCACAGGGAUUGAUGUUACUCAAAAUGUUAAAGCAAUCACAAUAGUGCAAAUCAACUAAAGACCGAAACAAACAAUUGUCAAAUAAUUCUAUCGUAACUAAUAAUGGAAAUAAAACAAUACUGUAAUGAAAUAAACUAAGUUAAAUGUGUUUAAGAUUUAAUUGAGAAUGAUCAAACUCUCCUAAUGGGGUGACUGUUGUUUACCAAAUUAGCACCAGUUGUUACAAUAAGUGCUGCAGCAAUGGGUAGAAUAAAUCUGCAUCCGUAGUUAUCGCAUGUUGGAAUCUCAUACCUUUAAAUAUACUAACAAUGACCAAUUGCUCAUAUAUUUAUGGUACGACAUUAUAACCUUUAAUCUCUCCACCCUAUAAGGUGAACACCUAUAUCUAGAGUGUCACAAAUCUUAACUUCAAGUAUUGCCCUUAUGGGAUUCAAGGUAACCUAAUCCAGGAAACUCGACUUAAGAAUAAGUAAUACUCUAAUAAUGUCCGCUAAGACAUGCCUUUUUACUGCUCUAUCUUAACUGAAACUAUUAAAUGGGUGGUCAACCAAAAUAACAGUUGUAUUCAUAAAAACUACUAGAGUAUAAUGCUACAACAUUACUAUAACAACAUACAAGAACAUUCAAGAACCCAUUGGAUUAUUUGUCACUCAACCACAAGUAAAUUUAGUUCACAAUCUGGAUGAAAAAAAUAAACACAAAAAUAUUGAUCUCGGAAUACAUCUAAAUAAUUCAAGGAAGAAGAGAAAAUAUAAGUUGAGCACGAUGAAAAACAAAAUAAUUCUGCACGGUUCUUUUCUUUGUUUCCGAAUAGCACUCCUCAAUCUUGAUCUCCUUCUUCUCGCCUUUUUAAUUAUUUUUUAUGAUAAUUCCCAGCCGCCUUUCUAUGUGGUGUACGCCUCCUUUUAUAUUGCAAAUUAGGGUAAAAGACCCAAAGUCCAUGCGCGUGCAUGCGUUUAAAUUAGGAAACAUGCAUAUCACAAUUUUAUGGCUGACCCACGCUUUAAGCUUUCUCCCGCUUUGCUCUCUGAUUGCUGCAGCACUGGUUGCUCUAGCAUCCACAACAGCACUGCAUUAUUCCUGAUUGUGCUUGUCUUCUUUUGUGGCCAUCUUCUUUCCUCCUCUUGCUCAUCUAAUGUCUCAGCAUCCCCUUAUGAAUUUAAAACCUACAAUUAUGCACCUGUUUUUAGGACAAAUUACUUGAUUUAAACAAAACUUAUUAAAACCCAACUAAAAUGAAUGUUUAUGCAAAAGGUAACCAAAAUGUAAUAAAAACACCUUAUUUGCUCUCUAAAUGAUCUUGAUUUAAGUCUAGAAUUGAUGUAAUAACUCUCAUUUCCUAGAGUUAUCACUCCUCUACAUUGAGUGUCCGAUAGUUUUCAUAGUAAGGCUUCAACCUAUGACCAUUAAACUUGAACUCUUUACCUAUCUUUAAGCUCUCAAUCUUAACUGCACCAUGAGGAAAAACAUUAAUAACAAUAAAAGGCCCAACCCAUCGAGAACGUAGCUUACCUGGAAACAACUUAAGGUGAUAAUGGAAUAACAAAACUUUCUGUCUAACUUCAAAGUUCUUUCUCAAGAUCUGCUUGUCAUGAAAAGCCUUAGUCUUUUCCUUAUAGAUUCGUGAAUUCUCAUAGGCAUCAUUUUAAAUUUCCUCUAAUUCUUGCAAUUGGAGCUUUUUGUGUUGGUCAGCAGUGUCUAGUUUCAUGUUACAGUGUUUCAUAGCCCACCAUGCUUUAUAUUCAAGUUCCACUGGAAGAUGACAAGGCUUACCAUAUACCAAACUCUAGGGUGACAUACCAAUAGGUGUUUUGUAUGCGGUCUUAUAUGCCCAACCAAAGUGCAUCAUCAAGCUGUAGGCUCCAGUCCUUUCUAUUCGAAUUAAUUGUCUUUUCAAGGAUUGAUUUCACUUGCCUAUUAGACGCCUCAGCUUGCCCACUAGUUUGUGGAUGGUAGGAUGUAGACACCUUGUGAGUGAUGUUGUACUUUCGAAAGAGGGCUUAUACUGAUCUGUUACAAAAGUGAGUGCCUCUAUCACUGAUAAUUGCCUUCGGCGUUCUAAGCCUUGCAAAGAUGUUACACUUUAUAAAAUCUACCACAACCUUAGAAUCAUCAGUUCGGGUGGCUUUUGCUUCCACCCAUUUUGAAACAUAAUCAACCGCAAGAACAAUAUAGAGAUUACCAAACGAUGAAGGAAAUUAUCCCAUGAAAUCAAUGCCCAAACAUAAAAAAUCUCAACUAUAAGAAUGAGAGAUUGUGGCAUUUGAUUUCUAGGUCCCAAAUUACAUGUUCUCUGACAAUGAUCACAAGAUUUGCAAAAUAAAUAUGCAUCCUUAAAUAAUAAUGGCCAAUAAAAACCACUCGCAAGUACCUUAAGGGCUGUUCUGUUAGGUCCAAAAUGUCCUCCAUAAGCCAGAGUAUGACAAAAUGUGAGAGUAGAAGAAAAUUCAGUUUCGGGUAUGCACCUUCUAAUAACUUGAUCAGAACAAUGCUUCCACAAGAAUGGCUCAUCUCAUACAUAGUACUUGGCAUCACUCUUGAUCUUGGUCUUUUGUGCACAGGUUAGCUCUUCUGGUACUGUCCUGGUAACUAAGUAAUUGCCAAUAUCUGCAUACCAAGGAGUAACUGUACCUAUCUGUAAUAUAUGUGCAUCUUCGUUAUAGGUAAGUCGACUCAAAUGGUUUGCCACCAAAUUCUCAGAACCUCUCUUAUCUAGAAUCUCUAAGUCAAAUUCUUACAAUAAAAGUAUCCAUUAAAUAAGGUGCGGUUUGGCAUCCUUUUUGGUGAGCAAGUACCUAAUAGCUGCAUGGUCAGAGUAAACAAUUACCUUAGAUCCAAUCAAAUAAGAACAAAAUUUUUCUAAGGCAAAGAAAACUGCUAAAAGUUCUUUCUCUGUGCUGGAGUAGUUGAGUUGUGCAUCAUUCAAUGUACGAGAGGCAUAAUAGAUGACAUGAGGAAGCUUGCCCACACGUUGGCCUAACACGACUCCAACAACAUAGUCACUGGCAUCACAUAUGAUCUCAAAUGGUAAAUCCUAGUUCGGUGGUUGAAUCACAGGGGCCAAUGUCAAAACCUCUUUUAACUUCUCAAAUGCUCUUUAGCACUCUUCAUUGAAGUCAAACGUUGCAUUCUUUUGAAGUAAGUUACAAAGGGGUAAUGCUAUCUUAGAGAAGUCCUUGAUGAACCUACAAUAGAAACUUGCAUGACCAAGAAAAGAACGAACCUCCCUCACGCUAGUGGGAGGUGGUAAAGAGCGAAUAAGAUUUAUCUUAGAUUUAUUAACUUCAAUUCCCCUUUCAGAAAUAACAUGGCCUAGUACAAUUCUUUGAUUAACCAUAAAAUGACAUUCUUCCCAAUGAAGCAUAAGGUUGGUGUCAAUGCAUCGUUUAAGCACAAGUAUAAGGUUAUCUAAAAAUCUGUCGAAAGAAUCACCAUAAAUCGUAAAAUCAUCCAAAAAUACCUCAAUGAUGUUUUCCACAUAAUCAGAAAAAAUACUCAUCAUACACCUUUGGAAAGUGGCAGGAGCAUUACAGAGACCAAACGACAUGCGUCGGUAAGCAAAUGUGCCAAAGGGGCAUGUGAAGGUCGUUUUCUCUUGGUCUUCCGGAGUGAUAACGAUCUGAUUAUAACAUGAGUAACCAUCAAGAAAACAAUAAUGAGAGCGACCACUUAACCUUUCAAGCAUUUGAUCAAUGAAUGGCAAAGGAAAAUGAUCCUUGCGAGUGGCUGCAUUCAGUUUACGAUAGUUAAUGCAAACUCUCCACCAGUUUGAACUCUUGUUGGCACAAGCUUGUUUUCUUCAUUCUUGACCACUAUGAUACUUGAUUUUUUUGGAACUAUCUGCACAUGACUCACCCAUUUACUAUCAGAAAUGGGAUAAAUAAUCCCCACAUUAGGAGUUUCAGUAUCUCCUUUUUUACGACUUCCAUCAUCGGUGGAUUAAGGCGACGUUGUGCAUCUUUCGUUGGUUUAGACCAUUCCUCUAGUAAAAUGUGAUGCAUACACAUAGAAGGACUAAUUCCCUUGUAAUGCCGAAGAACCCUAAUUAACUUUUUUUGUUGAACUAAAGUGAGGGUUUUAACAAUUAUGACUAGAAGUGCUUCAUUCUCACCCAAGAAAAUAUAUUGCAGGUGCUCUGGGAGUGACUUAAGUUCUAAGGUAGGUGCCUGCAAAACUGAAGGUAAAAGUUUCUCGUUUACUAAUGGCAAUUCAAGGUAAGAAACAUUAUACCCAUUGGUGGGUAAUGGGACUGCUCCAUCUAAGAUCGCCAUAGCUUCCUUUACCUUAUCAUUGAACUUUAUCAAAUUUGUCUGUUCCUUAGAAUCAUCUUUCGUAAGAUUUUUGCGUAUGGCAAUUUCAAAACUAUCAUUACUAGAUAACUCAAAGAAAUCCUGCGCCAAAGUAUUAAUAUCAUCUAUGGUAAAGACAGAAAGUACAUCACUGGGAUACCUUAUUGCCUCAAAGAUAUUGAAGCGGAUCACUUCACCAUCGAAUUCCAUUGUGAGGGUUCCAUUGUGAACAUCAAUCUUGGUUCAGAAUGUCUUAAGGAAUGGUUGCCCCAACAGUAUAGUAGUGGGAUUGGGCAAUGACUCAUCCUCCAUUUCAAAGAUAUAAAAAUCAGCUAGAAAGACCAAUUCAUUGACCUGCACAAGAACAUCUUCCACAACCCCUUUGGGGUAAGCAUUAGAUCUAUCGGCCAAUUGAAUAAUUAUACCAGUUUCUUCCAUUGGACCUAAAUUCAAGGAGUUAUAAAUCGAAUAUGGCAUGACACUGAUUAACGCCCUUAAAUCUAGCAUACAUCUUUCGAAUAUAGUAUUGCCAAUAGUGUAGGGGAUAGUAAAAGUAUCUAGAUCCUUGCACUUAGGAGGAAGUUUUCUUUGAAGUAUAGCAGAAACAUUCUCUUCUAGAUUUACCUUUUCGUUACCGCUCAACUUUCGCUUGUUGCUACAUAAUUCCUUCAAAAACUUUAUAUAACGCAGCACCUGUUUAAUAGCAUCAAGUAAUAGAAUAUUUACCUCUACUUUACGAAAGGUCUCAAGGAUCUCCUUUUCUUGCUCCUCUUUCUUGGAUUGUUUAAACCUACUAGGAAAUAGUGGAGGAAUGGAAAGGGUCUUAAUUUGAGGUGAAUGGGUACUUACUUGGCUAGAUAGGUUGACUGGCAAUGCAGAGUGGUAAUCAUCUUUGUUAAAGGAAGAGCCUCAGGGGAGAGAUUGGUCACAGAGUACGAUGAUGUUGUGGACACUUUUGAUGGCUUAGCUAAUAAUAGUUCCAACUACUUUCCGCUCCUAAGAAACAUUGCAUUAGCAUUCUCCUUUGGAUUAAUUUAUGGUUGAGAAGGUAACUUUCCUAAUGUUCUAGCCUCUAUCCUACUCAUAGAUGUGGCCAGUUGGCCAAUUUGAUUCUCUAAAUGUUGGAGCUGUGUCUGGGUAGUCUGUUGGAACUGCAUAGAGUUUUGAGGAGGUGGAGGUGGUCGAACUUGGUAAGGUCGUUACAUCUGCUGUUGGGGGUAGCUCGGUGGUCGAGACGGUGCCACAUUAGGGAUGCCUUGUUAUUGGUUUCCAUACCUAAAAUUAGGGUGAUCCUUCCACCCUUCCUUGUAAAACCUUAGAGUAGGGAUCAUACUUUUGUCUUGGUUGGCCUAGGAACCCCUCAACUGCGUUGGCCUGCUCAUGUGAACCCUCUUGGAGAGCAGGGCACAUAUCAGUCGCAUGCCCGACCAUGGAACAAACGCCACACAAUCUCACUUGUUGCCCCAGGGCUAAUUAUUGCACCAAAGAAGUAAGAUUUGAAACUUGUUGUUCGAGGGAAGUAGUACUUACCUCGUUGACUCGCUUAAGUGGCUGCAGUAGAUUGUUCCUAGUGUUGAACUAUUGGGAAUCAGCAGCCAUGUUAGCAAUGAGAUUUUGGGCUGCUUCUAGUGUCUUAUCCAUGAGUGCUCCUCCACUAGAGGCAUCAAUCAUACUCCUAUCCAUAGGCAGUAGACCCUCAUAAAAGUACUGAAUAAGGAGUUGAUACUUAUCUGAUGGUGGGGCAGCUAGCACAAAGCUUUUUGAAUCGUUCCCAGUAGUCAUAAAGUGACUCUCCAUUAUAUUAUAGGAUUCCACAAAUUUCUUUUUGAAUGCUGCCAGCUUUUGAUGCUGGAAAGUAUUUCUCCAAAACUAGUCGAUGCAUCUCAUUCCAUGUAGUGACAAUACCAGAGGGAAGAUAGUACAGCCAUUCCUUGGCAGAAUCUGCCAAAGAGAAUGGGAAGACCAUUAGCUUAACUUGCUCUUUAGAAACUCUGGCUGGUUUCAUUGUGGAGCAUACCACAUGGAACUCCUUCAAGUGCUUAUUUGGGUCAUCUUCUGCAAGACCAUGAAAAGUAGGAAGAAGAUGAAUCAUCCCAGAGUUGAGUUCAAAGUUUACCUAAGGAUUUGGAUUCUCAAUGCAUAAUGGUUGCUGGUCCAAGUUAGGAGCUGCCAACUCUUUAAGUGUUCGGUUGUUGUUUUGAGCCAUUGGUUCGGGUUCUAGGCUGCUUGGCUCUGUCUUCGGGAGUGUGGAUGGCAAAAUCGAGUUCUGAAUGUGAUGAGGUUGCUCUAAGUUGUUCGAGUUUCAGUCAAAUGUCCUCUAUGCUCAUGAAAAUCUAAAUAUAGAAAGAAAAUAACUAAUUAAAAUAAAAUGAGAGAAAAAAUAAGUAAAAACAAUAAAAUAAAACAAGUGAUAAUAAACAAACUAGACGCUAGUCCUCGGCAACGGCGCCAAAAAUUUGGUAAUGUCAUUAGGGUGCACCAAAUUAAAAUCUUACUACUAGUAUAAAUAAUUAGUACAUACCAAGUAAGGAUCGAUCCCACAGAGACUAUGGUAGAUGUAUUUAUUAUCAACUCUAAAGCAAGACUUAAAAUAAAAUAAUAAUAGGAAUAAUAAUAUAAAUUAAUCUAACUAAACAAAAAUGCCAACUAAAAAUAGAAAAGAGGGGAUUUUUUUAAUUUUUAACUAAAUAGCAAGAAAUAAAGAAAUUAAAACUAUGAAAACAAUAAUUUAAUAGAAACUCUAAUUAAAGGUGAAAGAAAUAAUAAUGAUGAAAAACUUUGGUUGAUGAAAAACUUUGGUUAAAGGAUCAUUCGCCACCACCAAACAUGCACAUAAUAUAUUAAUUUUAUCAUCAAUUUCUAUUGAAAAUAUCAACCGUAGACAACAAUAAGCUUUGUUAGUCUCAAUCUUUUCUUAGUGUGUCGCUAGGCAAAACAAGCUCUUCACCUAAUCUCUAACCAUUAAAUAAUUUAAAACAAGCUCUUUAAAUUUAAGAUAACGGAAGCAUUAAGUAGAGAAAGAUGUUAGGUUGAUCUAGGCAAUAAACACACAAGCUCGAAUUAUUUAACCUAGGUUAUAUUCUCCAAUUGAAAUCACUAAUUCCAACCUACUACUAAUGAUUAAAAUAUCAAGACACUUACGGAUCAAGAAUUAUAAUCUAGCAAUAGAAUUUAUUCAAGUCCUAUCUAAUUGGCCACUUAAAUAAAAUAAGAAUAAAAUCAUUAACAUUAAUUAUAAGAGAACAUAAACAAUCUCAAUUAAAUAAAUUGAAUGAUAGAAAUUGAACAUUAAUCAUAUUACAUGUUUGGGGUUUUGAAUUCACCUCAACCAAAUAGAAAAUCUAGCCUAACAUAAUUGAAUUGGGAAUAAAAGAAUUGAUAAAACCAAUCAUGGAGAUUAAUUCAAGAGGCUGCCUUUUGUUUAAUUCCUUUCGGUUUCUCCCUUGUUUUUUUUUCCUUCUUGCGGCUGUUGGUUCCUCAAAUCCUCUUGGCUCCAAAAAAACCCCUUUAAUCAAAAGCCAAAAGUCGGCUUUUAUAAUGCCCAAGAUUGGCCGAAUCUUUAUUGGGUUUUCUUUCCAAUUUAAAGGCAAUUGAUUUCCUUCCCUUGCCAUGCACAUGCCGCCCACUUUGACACUUUCCUUUUUCUUCAUUUUGCUCUCCAUAAUUAAAGCCCAUGCACGUGAACUUAAGCUUUGGCAAGACAUACAUGCAGUCUUUUUAAAUUGGUCAAGUAAAUCCAUGCACAUUAAACAAGUUUCCAUUUUAUGCAUGCUUGUUCCCAAAGUCUUUAUUAAUCUCCAUGAAAUCCCAUAUGCUUCCGAAUGUCUAUCCAUUAAUUAAUUAGCUUCCAAGAAUCUUCAGUUAUUUCCUUUUCUAAUUCGUUCAAGCAGAUUUCUUCUUAAAUGCUCCGAUUUAAUUUCUCUUUAAUCCUAGAAUAUACCUAAAAUAACGAAAUAAAAAAACUAAGAUAAAAAUAACAUAAUAAAAUAUAAUUUACUAAUUAUAAAUUAACUAAAAUAACUAGAAUAUUUAAGACCCAAAACAAGAAAAAGAUGGAUAAAGUAAUAGCAAAAUAUAUGGAAAAUAUACACUUAUCAAGUCCAUGUCAGACCCAUCACAAGUGCUCAUGCAAGAAAUUCAAACAUGUGCUUAAUGGGUUGAUCCAAGCAUCUUGAGCUCAAUCAAAUUUGUGGAGGCCUGUCGAAGGAAUAGCACAUGACAUUCACAACACUAAAGGCAUGAUUCAGCCUCUUGAAGUUUCCAAAUAAUCAUUUCCAUGAAAUCAGCAAGUUGGCUUGCACAUUAUGGCUAGAAAAUAUAUUAUUUUCCUUUUUGGAUACUUUUCGUUUGGAAAAUAUAUUAUUUUUCUUUUCCAAUACUUUCCCAUUUAGAAAAUAUACUACUUUCCUUUUCAGAUACUCUCCUAUUUCUUGAGGAGGUAAAUGGGGAAACAAACUAGUUAUUUCUCUUUUAAUUGCCUAGUUUCUAUUUUAAUUGAUGUAAGGCAUUUAAGCCAAUUAGGAUUCUGAUUUAAUUUAAAUUCUUUCCUUAUUUGCUUUAGAUUAGGAUUCUAAUUUGAUUUUGGUUUAAGAUUUAUUUCUGAAAAUACUAUGGGCAAUUAUGGGGCUAAAUUUCUUGCACCAACCCUAUAUAAUGUACUCUAAUUCAAUAAAAAGGACAAAUCAGGUUUGAUGCAAUUGGUGCAAGAGGUAAUUCUCUUUGGUUCUUAAACUAACUCUUUGAACUUAUCAGAUUGUUGUGGCAUUCAAACUCUUGACUUUUCAAUCAAAUUAUCCAUAGCUGAUUGUAGCGUCCUCACAUACCAAGGUUCGUGCGUUCAUUGAGCAUUGGGUCCCAGUUCCAUUCAAUUCCAAGUUUAGAUUUGAUCUUGGAGACUAAAUUAAUUAGGGUCGCGUUAGUUCUUGUUAGGGUUCAUAUCAAUUGGAAUUAGAGCAGAGUUCUGACCUGGUUUUGCUUAUCUUUAUCUUUAGUUUUCAAUCCCUAUUAAUCGUAAGUCUUAAUUUCCAUUCUUCCAAAUUUGGUUAUGAAAAUCCUUAGAAUUUUUUGGCUGAUGUUUUUGCACUCUUUCUAAAAUUAUUGAGUCUUUUUGUUUCAAUUCAUUGAAUUGUGAGUCUUGCUUUAAUUUUAGAGUUUCAUUAGUCUUCUGUACUGAUUUAUGCUAAAAAAAUCAAAAAGGGAGGGAAACAAAGAAACAAGAGAAGAAUGAAGGGGAUAGUAAGAGUUUAAAAAAAAAAUAGCUUUGGUGUCUUUUGUUCAUUUUGUAUUAUUAGUGUCUUGGAGAGUCCAAAAUUGGUUUUACCAUAGAUGAAAAAUUUUGCUUGAAAUUUUGGUAAUUUAUGCUUCUGAAACCCCAUCGUACGUACGCAUUGUAUUCUUGCUUUUGAAAUCCGAGUCUCUCUGGUGUAAUCUUUGUGAAUUAUUGCUGGAAUCUUGAUAUUGGUUUGAUUAUUUUGAUAAGAGGUGAAUGAGAACUACUACAAGUGGAAAAAAGCAAGAGAGUGUGAGCAUAUUAGAGGGUAAAAGCCAAUAAAUUUGAGUGAAACAUGAGUGGAAUUGAGUGAAUCAUUUUCUUGAAUGAAACAUGCAAGGGAGAGUGGUGACGAUGUCAGCCAUGUCUCACAAUCAAGUACGAAACACAAAUGAAGAGGAUCAACCACCAAUUACUUAGAAUUUGUAAAUUUAAGCAUUGAUGGGAGAGUUGAGAAGGAUGAUGAGGGCAUGCUUAGAGCACAUGCAUGAGCAUUUAGAUCAAGUAGAGAACACAAGUGUAGGGCAGCGACAACCCUGUUGAGUGUUAGAAAAUGCAUAUUUAUAAAGGAGAAAACCGUCAUUUUACAUUUCAAGUCUUACUAACAACCCUUACUUUUAUGUAUUUAACAUUCUUGUGAUUUAAUUACGUGUGUUUUAUUUUAAUUAAGUAAUUUAUGUAUUUUAGGGGCAUUAUAGUUAUUUCACAAUAAAGGAGAGAUCAGACGGCAAAACGGACAUCACUUUUGAACUCAGGACGGUCGAAAACCUUAGGAGGAGCAUAAAAGGAAAAAUGACACUAUUCACAUGUACGGUACUAUUCACGUGUACGGUACUGUAUACGUUACUGUUCACGACACUGUUCACAUAGACGGACCGAUGACGUGGCAUUGACUGAUGAGGUGUCACGAUCCUGUUGGACUAAAAUUCUUAUGUGCUGUUGAUGGUGACGUGGCAGCAUAUCAGUGGACGAAAAAUCUCGCGUACGGUGCAUGCAUCACACAGGAUUAUUUUCAACCAAACCGCGUUACUGUUCAUCCGGGUCAAACCGCGUUACUGUUCAAAGUCGGGUCAAACCGUGUUGCUGUUCAUCCACGUGGUCAAACCGUGGACUGUUGACUGAUGAUGUGGCGCAAUCCUGAGCGUCCAAACUAUUUUGAAUCCGAUGGCCAUGAUUUACUCCAUGUAUCUAUAAAAAGGGGGCCUCUCCCCCCUAAUUUGAUAUCUCUAAAUCCAUUUUUGGGAUCCAUUUUCUGUAAUUCCCUCUCCAUCUUGUAUUUUCUUCGUAUUUUAAUAAAUUCCCAUUUUGCCCCUAAUUCAAUUAUGAGUGGCUAAUUUUCUUUCAAGCUUGGGUUGAAGGUGAAGUCUCAACAUGUGUCAUGGGCUUAAUUUGGUAAAUUUAUUUUCUCUUCCCCUCUAGUUUUUGUGGAUGUUUUGACUUCUCGUCGACAAAUAAUACUAAUCUUGUCUAGUACCGCCUUGGUUUCACCGGCCCUCUAGUACAAGGUUAUUAUUAUUUGGCACGAUAAGCCCUUAGCACCAUAUUGAUUAGAGCGUGGUUCAUGAGGUGUGGAUUCCCCCUUCAUGAUUUAAUUGGCAUUAAUACGGAUUAUUUAGCCCAUGAUGCAUGUUGAUACGGAUCUAGAUACCCAAGUACGUCAAUUUAAUAGAUUUUCUCUUCAAUUUAUUCUCUCCAUUGCAAUUCCAAUUUUAGAAUUUAUUCUUGUCAUUUUAAUUUAAGUAUUAGCAUAUUCCAAAUCAUUUCCACCAUAAAUCCAACUACCCAUUUACAAAAUUAAUUCUAUAUAUAAUUAAAAUCCACCUCCUCGUGGGAUCGACACUCGUCACCAUUAGUCUAUACUACAAUAGAUUCGUGCGCUUGCGAGUACAUUAAAAUUUGCACAACAAACCCGUUUUCCAAGCACAUGGGAAAGGGCUUUGGCUAGAGGAGAGAUUAAUGACUAUUAUAAGGAUGAGUGUGAUGAAGGGGAUGACUCAAUGGGUAGUUAUAUGAGAGAUAAAUGAGGUAGGAGAGAUAGGAAUAGGGAUGAUGGUUUGAGUGGCAUAAACAUGAAGAUAACAUAAUUUAAGGUAAAUCCAACUUGGAAGCAUACCUUGAAUGAGAGAAAAAAAAAAGGAGUUUGUGUUUGAUUGCCACAACUAUUUAGAGGUAAAAAAGGUAAAAUUGGUUGUGAUUGAGUUUUUUUACUAUGCCAUUAUUUGGCGGAAUAGGGAAUGUCUAGCUGAGACGUGGGGUGAAAUGAAAACAUUGAUGAGAAGACAUUUUGUACCCAACUACUACUAUCAAGACUUGUACCAAAAAUUACAAAGUCUUACACAAGGUAGCUGAAGCAUGGAGGAUUAUUACAAAGAAAUAGAGAUUGCCAUGAUUAGAGCAAAUGUGGAGGACGAUAGAGAAGCUACUAUGGCACGAUUCUUGAAUGGCCUUAAUCUGGAGAUUACAAAUAUGGUUGAGUUGCAACAUUAUGUGGAGAUUGAGGAGAUGUUCUACAAAGCCAUCAAGAUUGAGCAGAAACUCAAGAGGAGGGGUGACACUCAUGCAACCCCAAGCUUGAGUUCUACUCCUUAGAAGCCAAGGUAUGUGAAACGAGAUGGGAGGCCACAAGCACCUAUUGUACCUAAGCUGAGAUACGAGCCCUCCAAGCACAAUUCACAAGGUAACAUUGUGGUUUCUACUAUUAGGAAUCCUGACAUUAAGUGUUUUAAAUGUCAAGGCAGGGGACACAUAGCAAGUGAAUGUGUGAAUAAAAGAGUUAUUAUGUUUCCGAACAAUGGUGUGAUUGUAACUGAAGAUGAAAUGAAAGAAAAUGAGAUGCCACCAUUAGAGGACGUUGACGAUGAAAGUAUACAACCCCUGAGGAAUUGACUUUAGUAGCUAUGAGAGUUUUGAGUGUGCAAGUAAAAGAAGAUGAAGCAGUGCAAUGUGAAAAUAUGAUUAUUGAUGAAGGAAGUUGUACUAAUGUUGUUAGUACUAUCAUGGUGGAGAAGUUAGGGCUUCCGACACUUAAACAACAAUGGUUGAAUGACAGUGGUGAGUUGAAAGUGAAGAAGCAGGUACUAGUGACUUUUCGAAUUGGCAAGUAUGAAUAUAAGGUGUUAUGUGAUGUAGUACCGAUGCAGGCUAGACGCUUGUUACUUGGGUUCACCAGCAAGUAUUCAUUUGUGUUUAAUCAACACAACAUCACUCUUGUUCUAUUAACACCAAAGCAGGUUUAUGGAGACUAAGUGAGCCACAGAGAAAAAGUGAUCAAAAGAAAGAAAGUGAGCAAAAGAAAAAGGGAGAAAAAGUGAAAGUCAGAAAAAAGCCGAGGAAAAUGAGAGAAAAAAGCAAAGAAGAAUGCAGCCAUUGAGAGAAAAUUAGAGGGAAAACAAAAGCAUUUCUAUGCAAGAGUGAGUGAGAUAAAAAGAGUGUUGUUUUUAUAUUAGCCAAUGAUUGUACUUUUGUACAAAGAGGUAUUUUUAAACACUAACGAACUCGACCUACUUUUCCUAGUUCUAUUACUUCUCUCUUGUAGGAAUAUGAGGACGUCUUUCUCAAGGAAAGACCUCAUGGUUUACCUCCGAUCCGAGGGAUUGAGUAUCUAAUUAAUUUCGAGCCCCGUAAAAUCAUUCCAAAUCGACCAACCUAUAGGAGUAACCCCUGAGGAGUCAAAGGAACUUCAAAGGCAAGUUAAUGAAUUGAUGGAAAAGGGCACGUGAGAAAAAGCAUAAGUCCAUGUGCAAUUCGUGUUUUGUUAGUUCCUAAGAAUGAUGGAAUGUUGAGGAUGUGUGUUGAUUGCCGAGCCAUCAUCAGCAUAACAGUAAAGUAUCGACAUCUCAUUCCUAGGCUAGAUGAUAUGCUUUAUAAAUUGCAUGGGUCUUGUGUAUUUUCUAAAAUUAAUUUGAAAAGUGGAUAUCAUCAGAUUAGAAUAAAAGAAUGAGGGGAAUGGAAAACUACCUUUAAAACAAAAUAUGGUUUGUAUGAAUGAUAAGUCAUGCCUUUUGAUCUGACUAAUGCUCUGAGCACUUUCAUGAGAUUCAUAAAUCAUGUUUUAUGACUUUUAUUGGCAAGUUUGUUGUUGUUUACUUUGAUGAUUUAUAUAGCAAAAUCUUGGAUGAACAUGAAGUACAUUUGAAAUUUGCUUUCAAUGUGCUUAGGAAGGAAAAGUUAUUUGGUUAUCUAAAAAAGUGUACCUUUUGCACCGAUAAACUUGUGUUUCUAGGAUUUGUUGUGAGUGCACAGGAUAUACAGGUUGAUGAGGAGAAGGUACAUUCAAUCCGAGAGUGACCGAGUCCCACAAGCAUGCGUAAUGUGAGAAGCUUUCAUGGGGCUCACUAGCUUCUACUAGCGGUUUGUGAAAAGCUAUAGCACAUUGGUCGCACUGCUUACCGAAGUAAUAAAAAUAGAUGUUUGAUUGAAAUGGGGAGAAGAACAAGAGAGUGCAUUUCAAAUGAUCAAGCAAAGCUAAUCAAUGCUCCUUUAUUGUCCUUGCCUAAAUUAAAUAAAACAUUUGAAAUUGAAUGUGGUGCCUUAGGUAUUUGUGCAAGCGAGUCUUAAUGCAGGAGGGACAACUAAUUGCUUACUUUAGUGAGAAACUAAGUAGGGUAGCCUUAAACUACCCUAUUUACGAGAAGGAGUUGUAUGAGUUAGUUUGGACGUUAGAAACAUGGCAACACUACCUAUGGCCUAAAGAGUUCGUGAUUCACACCGAUCACGAGUACUUGAAACUAAGUUAAGGACAAAGUUGUUGUUUUCAACUACUUGUCACCCUCAAACUGACGGUCAAACAGAAGUUAUGAAUAUAACUUUAUCUACUCUGUUGUAAGCUAUCAUUAAAAAGAAAAUCAAAACUUGUGAAAUUUGUUUGCUAUAUGUUAAGUUUGCUUAUCAUUCUGCUACUAAGUAUUCACUGUUUGAAAUUGUUUAUGGUUUUAAUCCUUUAACCCUAUUGGAUUUAACUCCAUUACAUGUUUUUAAGCAUGUAAACAUAGAUGGCACAAAAAAAGCUGAAAUUGUUAAGCAGAUAUAUGAGAUGGCAAAGUUCAACAUUGAGCAGAGAACUGAGCAAUAUGUUAAACAAGCCAACAAAGGGCAACAUAAGCUAGUCUUUAAACCCAGCGAUUGGGUGUGGUUACACAUGUGCAAGGAACAAUUUUUGGAACAAACGAAAUCCAAGUUAUUGUCUUGAGGGGAUGGUCCUUUCCAAGUCUAGGAACGGAUCAAUGACAAUGCGUACAAGCUGGAUUUUUCCCGUCAGUACAAUGUAAGUGCUACUUUUAAUGUCUCUAUUUUUCGUCCUUCUGAUACAGGUCACGAUUUGAGGACAAUUCCUCUUCAAGAUGAGGGGAAUGAUGAAAUUGAGGACAAAUCCUAUUCAAGUCCCCAUCGGAUCCAUCAUAAGAUCUCGUGUAAAGAAAUUCAAAGAAGUACUUAAUGGGUUUAUUCAAGUAACUUGGGCUCAAUCAAAUUCAUGGAGGCUCGUUGAAGGAAUCGUACAUGAUAUUCAGACCACUAAAUGCGUGAUUUGGGCUCUUAAAAUUUCUAAAUAAUCAAUUCCAUGAAAUUAGCAAGUUGGUUUGCACAUUAUGGCUAGAAAAUAUAUUAUUUUCCUUUUUGGAUACUUUCUCGUAUGGAAAAUAUGUUAUUUUGCUUUUUAGAUACUUUCCUAUUUGGAAAAUAUACUAUGUUCCUUUUCAGAUACUUUCCCGUUUCUUAAGGAGGCAAGUGCCAAAACAAAUAAGUUAUUUCUCUUUUAAUUGCCUAGUUUUCAUUUCAAUUGAUGUAAGUCAUUUAGUCGAUUAGGAUUCUAAUUUGAUUUAGAUUCUUUCCUUGUUUGCUUUAGAUUGAGAUUAUGAUUUGAUUUUGGUCUAUGAUUUAUUUUCGAAAAUACCAAGGGCAAUUAUGGGGUGAAAUUUCUUGUAACCAGUCCUAUAUAAUGUACUCGCAUCCAAUAAGAAAGACAUAUAAGUUUUGAUGCAAUUUGUGAGAGAGUUAAUUCUCUUUCGUUCUUAAACUAACUCCUUGAACUAAUUGGAUUUCUAUAGUGUUCAAAUUCUUGACUUAUCAAUAAGAUCAUCCAUAGCUAAUUGUGGCAUCAUCACAUACCAAGGUUCAUCCUUUUAUUGAGCAUUAGGUCAUGAUUCAAUGCAAUUCUAAGUUUAGAUCCGAUCUUGAAGACUAAAUUAAUUUGGGUCACAUCAGUUCUUGGCGGGGUUUAUAUCAAGAUUUAGAGAAACUUCAAAAUAAGAAACCUUUGCACAUGAAACAAAGAUAUGGGUUUGACAAAGCUAAUGUUAUUGAGGAAACAAUGAAUUUGCUUCCCUUGUCAAUGUUACUCCAUCAAAAUAGAAUAUUAAUUGGCUGAUCACAUCAACCUCAACUUCUCAAGAUCCUUUAAUUGAUUCAGAUGAACCGCUAAAAUUUGAUGAUAUGUUAAUAUUGUUGAGCAUGUAGAAUUAAAUAUUGAUGCAUCUUUUGAUCUUGUGGAGCAAAUAGAGGUACUUCUUGAUACAUUCUUAUAUGGUUCUCUUGAUUUGCCUAAAGAAGACAAAAGAGGUUGUUGUGCUAUUUUUCAAUAGUUAGUAGAUUAUGAGAAGACAUCAUUUUUCCUCACCUAUGUUGAAUUUUGACACGAACAAUGCGAGAAGGUAAUGUUGGAGAAUUUAUUAAUGGAGGAAUUUAUUUUCCGGCAUUAGAGUGAUUGGAUGGACAUCAUUACAAAACUUGGAAAAUUUAAUAGUUCAUUGACUGGAUCGAAGCACUAAUUUGAAAAUUAAUUAUAAAUGAAGUUGUUUUUGGAGAAUACAAUAAGAAAAAUUCGAUGACUAAUUUUCUCCAUUCUAGCUGGAAUUAGGCAAAGCAAGAAAACAAAGAGAGCCUUGGUUAUUUGUUAUUUGGUUAUUUCCUAGAAUAAACUCUUAGAUUGAGUUAUAUUCUUGUUAUUUCUUGGUAUUUUAUAUGAUGAUUACAAAACCGUAUAGUUGAUGAUGAUGAUGAUACUAACAUGAUAAUUUGGUCCUAUCUUUUGUCAAGCAAAUUCUGUUGCUUCAUGAAAUGUAUAAAAUCCUCAAUAAUAAGAAUUAGGAUAAUUGGCUAUUUGAUCAACUAUCUCUCUCCAUUGGUUAUAAAUGCCUAGUUGCCUACCUCUAACUAAUACAAAAAAUGCAAAAUAAUUACUUUCUACAUGAUCAUUAAUAUGUUUAAAAUAAUGCAUGAGUGCAUUGGCUACUUUUAAUUUAUCUCGUGGAUAAUUACAGCUCCNNNNNNNNNNNNNNNNNNNNNNNNNNNNNNNNNNNNNNNNNNNNNNNNNNNNNNNNNNNNNNNNNNNNNNNNNNNNNNNNNNNNNNNNNNNNNNNNNNNNNNNNNNNNNNNNNNNNNNNNNNNNNNNNNNNNNNNNNNNNNNNNNNNNNNNNNNNNNNNNNNNNNNNNNNNNNNNNNNNNNNNNNNNNNNNNNNNNNNNNNNNNNNNNNNNNNNNNNNNNNNNNNNNNNNNNNNNNNNNNNNNNNNNNNNNNNNNNNNNNNNNNNNNNNNNNNNNNNNNNNNNNNNNNNNNNNNNNNNNNNNNNNNNNNNNNNNNNNNNNNNNNNNNNNNNNNNNNNNNNNNNNNNNNNNNNNNNNNNNNNNNNNNNNNNNNNNNNNNNNNNNNNNNNNNNNNNNNNNNNNNNNNNNNNNNNNNNNNNNNNNNNNNNNNNNNNNNNNNNNNNNNNNNNNNNNNNNNNNNNNNNNNNNNNNNNNNNNNNNNNNNNNNNNNNNNNNNNNNNNNNNNNNNNNNNNNNNNNNNNNNNNNNNNNNNNNNNNNNNNNNNNNNNNNNNNNNNNNNNNNNNNNNNNNNNNNNNNNNNNNNNNNNNNNNNNNNNNNNNNNNNNNNNNNNNNNNNNNNNNNNNNNNNNNNNNNNNNNNNNNNNNNNNNNNNNNNNNNNNNNNNNNNNNNNNNNNNNNNNNNNNNNNNNNNNNNNNNNNNNNNNNNNNNNNNNNNNNNNNNNNNNNNNNNNNNNNNNNNNNNNNNNNNNNNNNNNNNNNNNNNNNNNNNNNNNNNNNNNNNNNNNNNNNNNNNNNNNNNNNNNNNNNNNNNNNNNNNNNNNNNNNNNNNNNNNNNNNNNNNNNNNNNNNNNNNNNNNNNNNNNNNNNNNNNNNNNNNNNNNNNNNNNNNNNNNNNNNNNNNNNNNNNNNNNNNNNNNNNNNNNNNNNNNNNNNNNNNNNNNNNNNNNNNNNNNNNNNNNNNNNNNNNNNNNNNNNNNNNNNNNNNNNNNNNNNNNNNNNNNNNNNNNNNNNNNNNNNNNNNNNNNNNNNNNNNNNNNNNNNNNNNNNNNNNNNNNNNNNNNNNNNNNNNNNNNNNNNNNNNNNNNNNNNNNNNNNNNNNNNNNNNNNNNNNNNNNNNNNNNNNNNNNNNNNNNNNNNNNNNNNNNNNNNNNNNNNNNNNNNNNNNNNNNNNNNNNNNNNNNNNNNNNNNNNNNNNNNNNNNNNNNNNNNNNNNNNNNNNNNNNNNNNNNNNNNNNNNNNNNNNNNNNNNNNNNNNNNNNNNNNNNNNNNNNNNNNNNNNNNNNNNNNNNNNNNNNNNNNNNNNNNNNNNNNNNNNNNNNNNNNNNNNNNNNNNNNNNNNNNNNNNNNNNNNNNNNNNNNNNNNNNNNNNNNNNNNNNNNNNNNNNNNNNNNNNNNNNNNNNNNNNNNNNNNNNNNNNNNNNNNNNNNNNNNNNNNNNNNNNNNNNNNNNNNNNNNNNNNNNNNNNNNNNNNNNNNNNNNNNNNNNNNNNNNNNNNNNNNNNNNNNNNNNNNNNNNNNNNNNNNNNNNNNNNNNNNNNNNNNNNNNNNNNNNNNNNNNNNNNNNNNNNNNNNNNNNNNNNNNNNNNNNNNNNNNNNNNNNNNNNNNNNNNNNNNNNNNNNNNNNNNNNNNNNNNNNNNNNNNNNNNNNNNNNNNNNNNNNNNNNNNNNNNNNNNNNNNNNNNNNNNNNNNNNNNNNNNNNNNNNNNNNNNNNNNNNNNNNNNNNNNNNNNNNNNNNNNNNNNNNNNNNNNNNNNNNNNNNNNNNNNNNNNNNNNNNNNNNNNNNNNNNNNNNNNNNNNNNNNNNNNNNNNNNNNNNNNNNNNNNNNNNNNNNNNNNNNNNNNNNNNNNNNNNNNNNNNNNNNNNNNNNNNNNNNNNNNNNNNNNNNNNNNNNNNNNNNNNNNNNNNNNNNNNNNNNNNNNNNNNNNNNNNNNNNNNNNNNNNNNNNNNNNNNNNNNNNNNNNNNNNNNNNNNNNNNNNNNNNNNNNNNNNNNNNNNNNNNNNNNNNNNNNNNNNNNNNNNNNNNNNNNNNNNNNNNNNNNNNNNNNNNNNNNNNNNNNNNNNNNNNNNNNNNNNNNNNNNNNNNNNNNNNNNNNNNNNNNNNNNNNNNNNNNNNNNNNNNNNNNNNNNNNNNNNNNNNNNNNNNNNNNNNNNNNNNNNNNNNNNNNNNNNNNNNNNNNNNNNNNNNNNNNNNNNNNNNNNNNNNNNNNNNNNNNNNNNNNNNNNNNNNNNNNNNNNNNNNNNNNNNNNNNNNNNNNNNNNNNNNNNNNNNNNNNNNNNNNNNNNNNNNNNNNNNNNNNNNNNNNNNNNNNNNNNNNNNNNNNNNNNNNNNNNNNNNNNNNNNNNNNNNNNNNNNNNNNNNNNNNNNNNNNNNNNNNNNNNNNNNNNNNNNNNNNNNNNNNNNNNNNNNNNNNNNNNNNNNNNNNNNNNNNNNNNNNNNNNNNNNNNNNNNNNNNNNNNNNNNNNNNNNNNNNNNNNNNNNNNNNNNNNNNNNNNNNNNNNNNNNNNNNNNNNNNNNNNNNNNNNNNNNNNNNNNNNNNNNNNNNNNNNNNNNNNNNNNNNNNNNNNNNNNNNNNNNNNNNNNNNNNNNNNNNNNNNNNNNNNNNNNNNNNNNNNNNNNNNNNNNNNNNNNNNNNNNNNNNNNNNNNNNNNNNNNNNNNNNNNNNNNNNNNNNNNNNNNNNNNNNNNNNNNNNNNNNNNNNNNNNNNNNNNNNNNNNNNNNNNNNNNNNNNNNNNNNNNNNNNNNNNNNNNNNNNNNNNNNNNNNNNNNNNNNNNNNNNNNNNNNNNNNNNNNNNNNNNNNNNNNNNNNNNNNNNNNNNNNNNNNNNNNNNNNNNNNNNNNNNNNNNNNNNNNNNNNNNNNNNNNNNNNNNNNNNNNNNNNNNNNNNNNNNNNNNNNNNNNNNNNNNNNNNNNNNNNNNNNNNNNNNNNNNNNNNNNNNNNNNNNNNNNNNNNNNNNNNNNNNNNNNNNNNNNNNNNNNNNNNNNNNNNNNNNNNNNNNNNNNNNNNNNNNNNNNNNNNNNNNNNNNNNNNNNNNNNNNNNNNNNNNNNNNNNNNNNNNNNNNNNNNNNNNNNNNNNNNNNNNNNNNNNNNNNNNNNNNNNNNNNGUUUUUUUACAAUUCUGAAGACUAAUUACCUGUCCAAUAAUAAUUUAUCCAUUUUUCCUUGAAUUUAGUAGUCUUAUUUGUGUUUUACAAUUUUUUUUUUCAUUUCACACUUAAUAUCGAAUGUCGAUUUUUAAGUUUUAUGUCAUAUUUCUAGGUUUUUUUUUUUUUUACAAUUCUGAAGACCAAUUUACUAUUAUAGUAUUAAUUUACCCUCUUUUCCUUCAAUUUACUAAUCAUAUGUGUGGUUUAUAAAUUUUAUGUUUUAUUUUACACUUAAUGUCAAUUUACAAGUUUUAUAUCAUUUUCUAAGUUUUUGUAUUUUGUACAAUUCUAAAGACUAAUUUACUAGUGUAACAAUAAUUUACCCCAUUUUCCUUUAAUUUACCAAUCCUAUAUGUGGUUUACAAAUUUUUAUUUCAUUUCACACUUAAAGUCAAUUUAUAAGUUUCAUGUCAUUUUUCUAAGUGUUCCUUUCUUGACAAUUCUAGGGACCGAUUUACAAUUCCAACAUCAAUUUACCACAUUUCCCUUCAAUCUACUAGUCUUAUAUGUGGUUUAUAAAUUUUUGUCUCAUUUCACACUUAAUGUUAAAAUAAAAAUUUUAUAUCAUUUUUCUAAGUUUUCACUUUCUUUUACAAUUCUGAAGAUCAAUUUCCACCCCAACAUUAAUUUACUAAUUCUAUGCAUGGUUUGCAAAUUAUUUAUUUUAUUUUACACUUAAUGUCAAUUCACAAGUUUUAUUUCAUUUUUUCAAUUUUUUUUUUACAAUUCUAAAGAUAAAUUUAUGACUCUUACAUUAAUUUAUCAUUUUUUUCCUUCAAUUUAUAAGUCCUAUGUGUGGUUUAUGAUUUUUUUUUUCAUUUCACACUUAAUGUCAAUUUACAAGUUGUUAGUCAUUUUUCUACAUUGUUUUUUUUUUACAAUAUUAAAGGCUAAUUUGACACUCCAACAUUAAUUUUCUAUUUUUCCUUCAAUUUACUAUUCCCAUAUAUGGCUUACAAAAUUUGUUGUUUCAUAUUACACUUGAUGUCAAUUUAUAAAAUUUUUGUCAUUUUUCUAAGUUUUUUAUUUUUUUUACAAUUUUGAAGACCAAUUUACCACUCUAUCAACAAUCUACCCCUUUUUCUUCCAUUUACUAGUUCUAUAUGCGGUUUAAUUUUUUUUUAUUUCAUUUCACACUUAAUGCCAAUUUACAAGUUUUCUAAGGACUAGUUUACCACUCCAACAUUAAUGAAACUCUAAGUAGGCAACCCAAGAGGGGGUGCAAAUUGGGUUUUUAAAAGAUUCUUCAAAAAACAACCAAUAAUAAUAAUACUUUCAACAACAAGUAAAUUUAAAAAGUUAAAGGUAGAGAAAACAAACACAAUAAUUUUAUGUGGUUUGCCAACUUGCCUACAUCCAUGUCUCCAUGCAAACUAUGCUUGAGGAUUUCACUAGCCAAACCUUACAACCUAAGGCUUCAAGAUGCUUACAAUUGACUUCCAAAGUAUCAAUAAACUUCUAAAAUUCCAAAUGAUCCCACACCUCUUUUCCCAAGUGUUUCCCACACUUAUAAUCACUUGUUUUUUGAUGUUGAAAUGAAGAUUACAAGGAUCACUCUCCUCACAAGAAGCAAAUGAUAGCCCAAUAAUGAAUCAAUGUAUAUGGAGAAGCAAAUGAAAGCUCAAGAUUAUUUGUAUGAACAAGUUUAAGCUUGAUAAAGAUUGAAGAACUCUCUUGGAAAUGAACUUGAUUUAGCUUUUCAUAGUUUUAAAAAGACAACUAGCCGUUAUUCACUUUCUAGGCAUUAUUAAAUCAUCGCUAAUUUUGGAAUAGAUCGUCGUUUGACUAACGUGGCAAGUUACCACAAUUUGAAAUUUUAUAGUAAUCCGAUCUUUGUUUAAAAUUAUUGGCUAGUCAUUUGAAUUCCAAAAACUAUCAAAAAAUUAUCGGUUAGGCCGCUAUAGUGAAAUGGUUAGCCACAAUUUUUCAAAAUACUAGUUUAGCCCCAAAAUUUUCUAAAAUUAUGUUAUGGCCUAAAACUUUAUAAAAUUUUGAAUAAGUAAGUCCACUUCUAGAAUUUCAAACAAUACUUACUGAUUUCAAAGUUCUCAUAACGUUUUCAAUUGUCUAUAAACUUGAAAACAACCAAUUUCAUAAAAUCAUUUUUCUUUAUGUAUAGAACCUUUAUAUUAUGAAAAUAAUGAUUUAUUUAAAAUGUCAUGAAAAUAAGUUGAGCUUUUAAAUGCUUCAUCAUGCAAACAUUUAAUCAUAUUACCCUUACAAGAAAUGUAACAAGAGAAAUCACCUCAGCUAGUACCCUUGUGGCUUGUCCUUGACUUGAUGAGCUUUAUGCCUCUGCCCAUUUGAGUGUCUUGAACUUGAUCUUACAUGAAUGAGUUUUAUCCUUCAAGAGCUAGUGAGAUUGUGAAAUAUAUAUGCAUACCAUUUUGACAUCAUCAAAGUGGCAUAUUACUUUGUUUCCCCUUUCGACAACAAAAAUGUUCAAAAUGCAUGUUACUAAAAUGGAAGCAAUAAGAACUAGGUAGGAUUGCCAAGGCAGCUCCCCCUAUCAAUAAUCUACAAAUCAAGUAAUAGACCAAACAAAGGCAUGCAAAGUCAUAGGACAUAAUAUCAACUAUCCAAUCUCCAAAAUUAAUAACCACAUUUUAGAAAUCGAGACAAGUAAACUUAUCAAGGUUCUAAGUGACACUUCAAUAUAUCUUAUAUAUUAUCAUGUGCACCAAUAUCUAAAAGUACAUGUGUUUCUCCCCCUUCCAACAAAUUGUCAAUGCCCCUCCUUUUGGACUAUGCGGAAGAUAUUGUCAGAUGGGGAGUUUGGCUGGGACGACACAUCUGUUAAAAGCUAACGCAAUUAUCCUAAGAUGAGCUCAAUGAGAACAGAAAUCUCUUGUGGAACAAAAUGGUAAAAGGUCAUUUGAUUCUGAUUUUCAGUACGAGUACGAACUCUGAAAGUGUAAGUUCAAAAAAUGCAUCCAUUCACCAAUCAUAGAUCUCAUAAGAUCAAACUUCAUUGAAUGCAAUGUAAUCAUCAAAGCACAUUCUUUAUAAAAAAAAAUUAAGCAAAACAUAAAUACAUAAUGGCAAUAUAUAGAUCAUCAAAAUCAAUAUAGCUAUCAAGAUAAGCCAUCAUUAUGAGUUAAAAUAAUAAGUAAUCAAAUCCAUAAUUACAAAAAAUCAUAUAUGCACAUACAUAAGUGAUGAAAAAUUGUUGUUUAAGUGAUGGGCAAUGAUCUAGAUGAUGAGAACCAUCAAGAGAAUACCAUUAAAACUUUAAGUGAUCCUUUGCAUAUUCAUGGAGGCCCAAUUAUAAGAGCUAGAGCCAAAAAGAUGCAAGUUGUUUUAAAUGGAUUAAUUGAGAAAAUAUGGACUGAAAAUGCAAUUCAAGAUGCAAGAGAUGAUGAAUUGGGCUUAGAAAGAAGUCAAAGCAUUGUGGGCAUUAUUCAAGUUGGGCAGUCAAAUACACAAUUUGGGUCAAAUGCAGAAAGGGUAAAUUUAGAAAAAAAAACUAGUAUUGAUUGAGCUAGAACUAAUGUGCAAGCUAUAUACCAUUGGAAAGAUAAUUAAGCUAACUUUCGAAUGCAAUUUACAGAGCUGGAUUUGAAAUUCUCUAGAAGGUGUUAUGACCAAUUUAUUAUAGCUUGUUCACGCUUGGGAAUUUGAAACACUCUUUUGUUUAUUUAACUUUAUUUAUUUGUUUUGUUUUAAGUUUGUCAAUGUGGGCUGGUGAAGACUUUUGAAGCAUCCUUUGACAAACUUAUGCUUGGAGGGUUGUUUCAAUGUUUCCAUUUGUAUUUUUAGGAUCUUGGGUUUCUAUUAGUGAUGAGAACCGUCAAGGGAAUAUUGUUAAAGCUUCAAGUGAUCCUUUGCACAUUCAUGGAGGCCCAAUUACAAGAGCUAGAGCCAAAAAGACGCAAGCUGUUUUAAAUGAAUUAGUUGAGAAUGCAAUUCAAGUUGCAAGACAUCAUGAAUUAGGCUUGGAGAGAAGACAAGGCACUGUGGGCAUUAUUCAAGCUAUUGGGCAGCCAAAUACACAAUUUGGAUCAAAUACAGAAAAGGAAAAUUCAGAAUAAAACUGGUAUUGAUUGAGAUAGAGGUAAUUUGCAAGCUAUAUACCAUUGGAAAGAUAAUUAAGUUAACUUUCCAAUCCAAUUUACAGAACUGGAUUUGGAGUUCUCUAGAAGGAGUUAUGACCAAUUUAUUACAGCUUGUUCAGACUUGGAAUUUCUAACGACUCAUUUGUUUAUUCGAUUUCAUUUGUUUGUUUUGUUUCAAGUUUGUCAAAGUGUAAGGUAAGUCUACCAUCAAUGAUGGUGGGCUAACAUUAAGUUUGUCAAUGAUAGAAUUAAUUAUGGUAGGCUAGCAUUAAGUUUGUCAAUGACUAGAAUAAUUAAUGGUGGGUUGGUGAAGACUUUUGAAGCAUCAUUUGAAAAACCUAUACUAGGAGGGUUGUUCCAAUGUUUUCAUUUGUUUUUAGGAUAUUAUCUUUUUACUACCAAAGUUAUUCUGAUAUUUCAUGUCAGUACCAUGGUUUGCCGAAAAGUGCAUUUUUACUACCAAACGUUUGCGUCGUUAUCAAUUCACUACCAUUCCGUUAAGAACGUUAAAAAUUUGCUGAUGUCAUAAGGGUAUCAAAGACAUUUCCAGCUAUAAGAGUAAAAUUGUCUGUUAAUUUGAUAGAUAAAUUAUCAUUUUACUACCAAGCUUUUAGGGGCAUUAUCAUUUUACUAUCGAUUUUUUAGGGAAAUUAUCAUUUUACUACCAAAUUCUUGAGGGUAGAAUCGACUUUUAACUCAAUUUCAGUUAAACAUUAACUUUUUCUUAACGGAAUGGUAGUGAAUUGAUAAUGACGCAAACGUUUGGUAGUAAAAUGCACUUUUCAGCAAAUCAUGGUACUGACAUGAAAUGUCAGAAUAACUUUAGUAGUAAAAUGAUAAUUUCCCUUUAUUUUUUUAGGAUCUUGGGUUUUUAUUAGUCUAUUUAAACUCAACAACCUUGCUAUGUAAGAUAAUUAGAGAUGAAUGUUAUUUUGAAUUUAAAAGAUAAUUCUUUCUUUGGUUCUUUUGAGAACUAGUGAACUUAUUAAGAAUUUACAUUCUUGUGGCGUUCCAAAAUAGACUUAUUACUCACCUUCGCAUCUAAAUCUUGAGUGUGGCAUCCAUAUCCUUCUCUAUACCUCUGGUUCAGGUUUACUUAAACAUUGGGUCAGGUUUUGUUUCACUUAAAUCUGUAUAGAACUUUCUUGGAAAGUUGAAACUACAAAUUUAGUGUGGGUUUCAAAGUUUCAUUGUGGGGUUCGUAUCAAUUAGCCUAUUUAAACUCAGCAACCUUGCUAUGUAAGACAAUUAGAGAUGAAUGUUAUUUUGAAUUGGAUUUUACAUUCUUGUGGCAUUCCAAAAUAGACUUAUCACUCACCUUCUCAUCUAAAUCUUGAGUGUGGCGUCAAUAUCCUUCUAUAUACCUUUGGUUCAUGUUUUCUUAAACAUUGGGUCAAGGUUUUUGUUUCACUUAAAUCUGUUUAGAACUUUUUUGGGAAGUUGAAACUUCAAAUUAAGUGUGGGUUUCAAAGUUUCAUUCUAGGGUUCGCAUCAUUUGGUAUCAGAGCAAGUUUCUAAUCAGGUUUGAAUGUCUUAUUUAUUUUAUUAUGAAAAAAAAGGAAAAAACAUACAGAAAAAAAAUUGGAUUGCAAAAAAUUAGUUAUUCAUUUUCCUUGACAUUGUUUACACAAAAUAUCAAUUGUGUUCCUUUGCUUGCUUGUUUUUCUUUCCUUAAAUUUCCUUUGUUGUUCUUUGUGUCCUCUUAAUUCGUUUUCUUUGUUUAAUGUGCUGGUUUGUCAUAUUUAGUGUGCCACCUGGGUUUUUCUUGAUUUUGUUUGAUUAGUUUGUGAGAUCAUUAGAGGAUAAAAGCCAAUUUGAGCACAUAAAUAUGAUGUUUGGAGAGAUCCGUGACAAAUUGGAGAGGCAAGACACUGUCAUUGCCAAUCUACAAAGGGGUCAACAGCCAAUAGCUCCUAAUGUAAGAAGUAAUAAAGGGUGUUGUUGGGUAUAAACUCAAAUGCUAUUGGUGUCAAUAUUCAAGUGUACACAACAAGUAAUAUAAUGAUGAGUAUUCAAGAUCAUCUCCACAGGGAUUGAUGUUAUCAGACUUGCUACGGCAAUCUUAACAGUGCAGAUUUUGUUCUAAAUUAAAAUAAAAUAAUUAAUGAAACUAAUAUACUAAUUAAAAUCAAAAUGCAAUAAAUAAAAUGCAACAAAGUAAAUUAUCACGUCAAACUCAAAUAUAAAACUAAUAGGAAUAUAGAGUAGUUGAGUGAAUAAACUCUCUUAAUGGUUUUACUAUUUUUCUAAUGUUUGGCUCGGUUGUUGCAGCAUCUGCUAUAGCACUGGGCAAAAUUCUUAUGUAUCCUCAGCCAUCGCAUGUUGGAUAUCUUAUAUCUAUAUGCAACCUAACAGUGAUUAGUUGUUAUGCCAACAUAAGAUAUAACAUUACAGGUUUAGGUUCUAUUUUCCCUACAAGAUCAAAUUCAGGACCCCAGUAUCGUUGUUGGAUCAUCUGUCUGAGUUCAGAGUCAAGUUGAGUAACUCUGUUCUUGAGAUCCGUAAACUCCAAGCAGAAUUAUCCAGAAUUGACUCUGAAAAACAGUAACCUUCGCUGUUUGCUCCUACACAACCUUUGCCCAGACAUACAUCCCUAAAUAUGUAUCCACCUUUCUACACUUCGUCCUUAUAUAGGAAACCCCAUGAUUAUUCCAAAACAUUUAGCUUUAGCUACAGGUUAUUUCAGUCAUCUUCAAAAACACAAGUCUCAACCUCUGUACCGUCUUCCUCUACAACACCUCCUAAACAACCAACCAGAGCAAACACUCCUCCAGCUUCAAAUCCUCCCUCACAAGUUAAGGAUAAACAUCCUAGCCAACCCAGUCAACAAUAUGCUGCCCAUUCAGUCCAUUUACUACACGUAACUUCUCCUUUUGAAUCUUCUCAUUCUAUAUCAAAAUCAGUAAGUGAAUCUGAUUUUGCCUCAGAUUUGGAAGCUGAAUUUGCUGAUAUUACCAAAUUACUCAUGGCCAUACCAUCCAUUGGUUCCAAUGAUCCUUCUCUAUCAGAAUUCCCACCUGAUACACCCAUAGUAGAGGAAUCAGAUGAAACGAGCACAAUUCCUCAUAAUCGACCUGACACGGCCAAAUGGUCCUUGGUUCACUCUUGAUGACAUCCCUAAGGUGAAAUGGCCCUCACGGUUAUAGGAAUUUACGGCCUGGAUUGAUGUCCAAAUGCUCAGGCCUGGUUUAUCUGUCCAAUCAGUCCUGAGAGAAUUUAGUUCCAGAUUUCUUGGUUCACUAAGAGACUGGUUCGACAGUCUUGGUCAAUACAGACAAUUGUAGUUCAUACAAAUUCCUGACGUGGCCACAACAUUAGGCCUCCUGUAUGAACAAUUCAUCAGAGAAGCUGUCCCAGCAAAUGAAUUGGCACGAAAAAGAAUAUUUUCAAAUGAAAUGUUGUUUACUUCAAUAAAAAGAUUUGAAUUAUCAUUACAAGCGCAUGUCAGCCCUGUUCUAUAAGCUAAAUGGGUUUAAUGACCCAAUACUCAAACAUGUGUUUGUAGCCUUUUUGCCAAAGGAACUUCAGCCUGAAUUACAACGGCAAGUGAACCUCCACCAAUUAGACAUUUCCAACAUGUCUUUUGGAAAAAUUUAUCAACUAGCAGUGAGCUGCCUUGAACGUCUAUGUGAAUAAAAAGAAUUUUUCAAAGACUUGAUGGAAAACCAUCAACCACUCAAAAGUGCAUGUAAGAAGCCUCAUCUGAAGAUUAAGUGUAAAGAUGAAAAAGAUUGCACCUGCUCCUCAAAGAAGAAAUCCCAUUUCAAAAAAGUCUUCUCCAACAAGAACUCUUAUUCCAGACCAAAGAAACCCUAUUGGUUCUUCAAAAUGAAAGAUCCAUUCUCUUCCAAAAACCCAAAAAAUAGCUAUUGUUUCAUAUGCAAAAAGAAAGGGCAUUUUGCAAAAAUUUGCCCAAAUAAGCUGGCAAAGUCUAGUCGUCUUCUCCAUCAUUUACAAACCUCCUCUGUCAUAUCUGCCCAUGAUGAUAUUGAGUCCUUGUUUUCAGAACAAGAAAGUGCCAAUGAAGAAACAAUCUUUGCUCUUGAAGAGACAGAUACAAAUUCUGACUCUAACUCAGAAAAAGUCCAGAUAAUUGACAUGGUCCACAUUCUCCGAGCAUCUGUUGCUCAAUCUUCCAUAUCCAUACCCUCCAUCUCAGUCCAUAUUCUCCCUGCAAAAUUCCAUAAACCCAUCUCUGUCAUUGGCUUCAUAGACACUGGUGCCCAGAAAAGUAUGUUACACCCUACAAUCCUCCCUCCAAACUGUUGGGUAAAACAUAUUGAAAUUUUUAGAGCUGCAGAUAGCCAGAUCUUUCAAACCAGCCUUAUCACUAAGGCUCCCAUUGGGGUACAAUUUUUCCAAAUUGUGUCAUAUGGUCAAAGAUUAUUAGCUCAGAGCUUCCAGAUAAGGAUUUACUGAUUAGCUUUAAUCUCUUGGCCUUAUCCAAAAAACUGUAGAUCACAGCUGCAGGGGUCUCCCACAAAAGACAAUUCAAGCCAUAUAAAAACAUUUUACGUCUAUAUAAACUUUUAGAGACUACGCCAUCAUACCAGCCUUACAUCCAAAAAUUUCUCCCCUUUUGUCCAGAAUCUCAUACUGAAUUCAGUCAUUCAAACCCUCUCUGGAAAAAUACUCAAUUCUUCAUUAAGCUUCCCUUCAAGCUUAACGAAGAUGUUAAUCCCACCAAAGCCACGCAUCCAGGUAUGUCUCCUACAAAUCUUAAAUUGGCUCAACAAGAAUGUUCAGACCUCCUCCAACAAUGUCUCAUUGAACCCACCAAAUCAGACCGGGCGUGCCAAGCAUUCUAUGUGGAAAAACGAUCUGAAAUCAUUCGGAAAAAGAAGACUUAUCAUUGAUUACCAACCCUUAAACUAUUUUCUUCAAGAUGACAAGUUCCCUUUACCCAAAAUUCAAUCUUUGUUCGUCCACCUCCAUGAUGCAAAGGUAUUAUCAAAAUUUGACCUUAAAGCAGGUUUUUGGCAACUAGGCAUUGAUCCCAGUGAUAGACAUAAAAUUACUUUUUGCAUACCCAAUGGCCAUUAUCAGUGGAUUGUCAUGCCAUUUGGCUUAAAGGUAGCCCCUUCUCUUUUUCAAAAAGCUAUAACCAAAAUCUUUGAGCCAAUCCUCCAUCACACACUAGUCUAUAUUGACGACAUCCUCCUAUUUUCCAAAGAUAACGUGACUCACCAAAAAUUGUUGGACCACUUCCUCACCCUAGUGGAAUCCCACGGUAUUAUGCUUUCUGAAAAGAAAAGCACCCUAGGUCACUCCACAAUUGAGUUUCUUGGCAUGAUCCUCGAAGAUAGACACUACCGUCCAGGUCCCCACAUAGCACAAGAAUUGUUACACUUUCUAGAUGAGCACCUGACCAAAAAAAAGAUCCAACAAUUCCUCGGGAUAAUCAAUUAUCUUCGCGAUUUCCUACCACAUGUAUUGUCCAUACAAGCCAGCUGUCUAAAAUAUUGAGGAAGAAGUCCCCCCUUUGAGGUCCAGAUCAGACAUCUGCUGUCCAAUACCUAAAGCUGAUCGCUCAAAAUCCACCAGCUUUAAAAAUUCCAUCCACUGGUCAAAGAAUUCUCCAAACCGAUGCUAGCGACGAAUACUGGGGUGUCAUUCUACUCGAAUUGAUAGAUGGCAAAGAACUUUUUUGUGCCCAUGCCAGCGAGCAAUUCAAGGAUUCCGAAAAGCACUACCAUGUGAUACAUAAAGAGAUCUUGGCUGUUAAGUAUGGAAUUAAAAAAUUCGAGUUCCACUUGAUUUGUCAUCAUUUUCACAUCGGUCUUGACAACUCUUCGUUCCCCAAGAUCCUUGAAUUUAAAAACUGAACCCUCCCUGAUAAAAAGCUGCUGAUAAACCCUCUCAAUAAAACACAUAAAGGGAAAUCAAAACCUCAUCCCUGACCUCUUGUCCAGACCGCACAAAAUCUUGCUAAUCACCUCUCAGACAUACUUUCCUGUCAUAGCCAUGACGACCUCUUUACCUAACCAAGCUCUUAUCCAGAAAUCCUUUCUUUUAAAUCUUACCUUCACCACUCUUAACCAGAUCAAAGACUUCACCUAGAAAUUUAUCUAUCGCUAUAUGUUUAAAGUCCACCAAACUAGUCCUGAUAGUUUCAUGCAUUUUCAUCCUGACUGUUUAUUUUUUUACAAGUCUUUUAGUUAGUCCGUUUAAGGAUAUCUCCGAAGAUGAGUUAUGGUGCAUAUGGUGUAUAACGGUUCUCUAUGCUACAACACUAGUAUUUCCAGUCCAAGCAAUGCACCAACAUCUCGACACUCCUGAGAAUGCUAGUUCUAUGUUAUGGACUCUUCUUGAGUGGUUUUCUCUCAUCCCUUGGUGGAGAAAAGAACUCACCUGCAUUCACUACCAGAAUCACUUUCACUUAAUUCCAACAAGUGAAGCCAAUCAGUUUACAUCAGUCUUCAUCAUCCAACGUCCUUAUUUUCAACAUCCUGUCACCAACCUCUUUUGGACUCAGGAUCAACUCUAUGAAUGGAAGACCUUGCCCACUUCUUCUCUCCUAAAACAUAAUCCCACUAUUGUUUCAGCCUUAAGGAAUUUCCUCUUUGAUAUCAACCAUUACCAACCACCUUCAACUCCCAUCCGGCACACCUCACAAGGUCCUCAACAUGAAAUUCUCAUGUUACCUCCACCUGGUGUAAGCAGUACUCCACCCACUAGCGGAAUCAUCAUAAAGGAAGAAAGACCAUACUACACAGACAUUCUAUUCCAAGACUCUCAAGAUCCUUUGGAAGAAUUCAUGUCCCUCCUCUCCUUUCCAGAAAUUUCGCAAAAGACUCCAAGCACUCACCUUGCAUCAAGCUCCUCUGCCCCACCAAACAAGACAUGUCAACUCUCGUGACAACUCUUCUAAUAAUUCUCCAACACGACAACCUAUGUCCCUGUUUGAUGAAAUAGACAGUGAUGUAGACAACUUGUUGCCAUCUCAGUAGUAAAACCUAAAACAUUUCUUUUAAGGUCAUAUAACCCAAAACAGACUUUCCUUAGUCUUUAAAACAGGGUACCAAACCGUUUAAGAAAUCAUCAUAAGUUUUCUGAUGCACAGGAUCCUUACUGGAAGGCAAGUGCAGAGCAUACUUCCUUAAAGUUUCAAAAUGAACAAAUUUAAUUCUUUAUUCCUCUUCUUUCUCUAGAUCUUCAUUUGCAGAGAGAGAAAAGAGUUUAGAAAUUCAUAGUUUUAGGGAAACACAAGAGAUUUUUUUUUUCUUUCGAAAACGUCUAUCUUACAAAUGAAGGGAGAAUUCUUUAUAUAGGAGAAUUCUCGGAGAAGAUAGGACAGGACCCCUAUCUUUUACAAAAGCAAAAGGAAAAGACAUAUCAUGACAGCUUUAAUGAUUACAAAGGAUAAAGCAAGCCUUAAUAAUUAUACAGGACAAAACCAUAAAGUAGAACAUAAUUAUUACAACAAGACAAACUACUUUAUGGAGAGCAACAAGACAAACUACUUUAUGGAGAGCGGAGAUUCAUGUAGUCGUCUUCGGAUGAGCUUUCUGUUUCAUCUGGGUCAGUGUCAUGGUUGUAUUUUGGGAAAAAGGUUUUGGAGAGCUUUGGAUGCUUACAGUGGGGACCACAGCAAGGUGGAUAAGGGCAAUCUCUUCGGUAUCCCGGCUUGGGGGGUGAUGACUGGGACUUGGGGCUUGGCAUCUGAGUGGCCUUGUCAACUUUGGAGGGUUGGGAUGAUGAUCCUGGUUCAUACAUGGUUGGUUGUGGAAACUGUUGGACAUGUUGGCUUAGAGGAAGGAAUUCUUCCCAUGGGUCUUGGGAGUCUUGGUAAAGGAAGUCAGUGUAGUCUGAUUUUUCUUCUUUGAUGAUGAUUCCUGUGGACUUUGGUUUGGAUAUGGCGGAUGGAGUGGGGAUCAUGAUGAGGUCAUGUUGUGGUCCUAAGGAGGUGUGAAAGAUAUCUCGGUAUGGUGGAGUUUGGUGGUUCAAUUGACAAAGGUAGUUGUGCAGGUUAGAUUGGAUUUCAUUGUCAAUGACAGCUGGGUGAGGUGCGGUAAACCAUUCAUAUACCUUGUCUUGAGUCCAAAAGUGAUUUGUGUCUGGAUGUUGGAAGUAUGGCCUGUGAAUGAUAAAUACUGAUGUAAACAAUUGUGCUUAAGAGGCAGGCAUACGUUCAAGAUUGUAAAUCUCUGACAGUUGUUGUAGCUUCUGUCUCCACCAUGGUAUUGGGGAGAACCAUUCAAGUAAUGUCCAGGUAAGAGAGGUGGUUUUGUCUGGAUUAAGGAGAUUGUUCAAAGUGGGAGUGAUUGGUAGGACUAGCUUGGUUGCAUAAAGAACAGUUAGGCACCAGAUGUACCAUAACUCAUCUUCAGUGAUUUCGCUGGAUGGAGCGAGGGUUAAACCUAUAAGGAACAGAUUUUCUAGGUGGAAGGUGGAAAAUGGAAAUGAGUCUGCCAAAAGGUAGGCUUUCAUGAAGAAGCGGAAAACUGCUUUCCUUGCAAACUCUUGUAUAGCAAAGACAGAAGAGAAAGUUUUGUCAAGGGAAAAAGUUUUCUUGGUGAGAGCUUCUGGUGGAAGUGUUGUGGCUAUGGAGAUGAUCGGAAAUUGGUAUAUUGUGGAAAUCAAGGUUAGAGGGUUUUCUGGUUUUGAGAGUCUGGAUAGCAUAUUAGGGAUGAGGUUCUAGGACCCCUUUAUAUGCUUAACCGAAAAAUCAUAUUUGGAAAACCAAUCUUUUAAUUGGAGUAACAUCUUUUCUGGGACAAUUUUACCUUUAAAAUUAAGAAUAUUAGGGAAGGCUAAAUUGUCCAAUCAGAUGAGAAAAUGAUGUCCAAUAAGAUGAUACUCAAAUUUUUUGAUGCCAUUCUUUACCACUAAGAUUUCUUUGAACACGCUAUGGUAAUGCUUCUGUGUGUCAGAAAAUUGUCCACUAGCGUAAGCGAUAAAGUAUUCUUUGCCAUUGAUCUCUACGAGGAGGAUGGCACCCCAUGAUUCAUCACUUGCGUCUAUCUGUAGUAUGCGCUUUCCAUCAGUAAUUAACUUUAAGGGAGGUAGAUUUUGAGCGAUUUGCUUGAGGGUAGUGACAGCAGUUGUGUGGUCAACAUUCCACUAUGGGGCUUUUUUUUCAAUAAAGACGAGAGGUGGUGAGUAUAGCGGUCCACAUGCAGGAUGAAGUCUCUGAUGUAAUUGAUAAUGCCGAGAAACUGUUGAACUUGCUUUUUGGAAAGUUGCUGAUCUGGAAAGUGAAGCAACUCUUGGGCAAUGUGCUUUCCUGGCUGAUAAUGGCCGUCCUUUAUGAUCAUACCAAGGAAUUCAAUGUUAUCCGUGGCAACGGUGCUUUUCUUGGCAGACAACAUGAUUCCAUGACUUUGGACAAUAUCAUAGAAUUGAGUUAACAACUGGUGAUGUUCAUCAUGUGAUCCUGAAAAAAGCAAGAUAUCAUCAAUAUAAAUUAAUGCAUGAUGUAGGAGAGGGUGAAAGAUUUUGACCAUGGAUUUUUGAAAAAUGGAUGGGGCAGUUUUGAGGCCGAAGGAUAGGACUGUCCAUUGAUAAUGGGCAUUUGGGAUACAAAAGACAGUUUUGUAACGCUCCGAGGGUUCAAUGCCUAAUUGCCAAAAACCUGAUUUUAAAUCAAAUUUGGAAAAGAUCUGGGCAUUUUUUAGAAAAGUAAACAUGCUUUGUCGUUGGGGCAAAGGAAAUUUGUCAUCUUGCAAAAACAUAUUUAGUGGCUAAUAGUCAAUGACUAAGCGUUUCUUUCCUCUAACAAUUUCAGAAUGCUUUUCAACAUAAAAGGCUUGGCAAGCCCUUUGAGAAGUUGUGGGCUCGAUUAGACCUUAGGCUAACAGUUGUGAACAUUCUUUUUGGGCUAGGAGUAAGUCAGAAGGACUCAUUCCGGGAUGAGUAGCUUUGGUCGGGUUAAUGUCUUCAUUGAGUUUGAAAGGUAACUUAAUAAAGAGAGACGGGUUUUUCCACAAUGGAGUUGGAUGGGUGAACUCAAAAUGAGACUCUGGACAGAAACACAAAAGAUGGGAUGAAAUAUCCUGGUAGGACUAGGGAGUGUCAGACAAAUUGUAGAGUUUCAUAAUGUCUGUGAAAGGUUUGAACAUGGACUUGACUUGGAUUCCAGUGGGAAUGAUUUGGAGGUGUGUGAUGUGGUGAAGUAUGUCAAAUCCUAACAAGAUAUCCUUAUUAGGAAGGGUUGAAUCGAUAACCUUGGUCCAAAUGACACAAUUUGGGAAGAUUUGAAUACCAAUGGGUUUGUUUGCAAUCAAAGAGGUAGUGAAAAAUUUGCCAUUAACGGCCCUAAAAUUUUCUUCGUACUUUGUCCAGUAUUUAGGUGGAAGGAUAUUGGGGUUUAACAUACUGCGUUGUGCGCAAGUAUCUAUGAGACCAAUUACUAGAAUGGGCCUUUGGAAUUUUGAGUGCAAGAUAUGGAGUUUGAUGGAGGGUAUAGGAACAGUAGUGUCAAGGGACAAUAAUUGUUGGUGGAAGAUAACUUGAGACACAUCACUGUCUGAGUCAUCAGAGGAAUUUUGUAUUGCAAACACGGUUUCAUCAUUGGGUUCAUCUUGCUUAGAGAAAUAGAAUUCCAGUUCAUCCGUCGUGGGAGAGUAGUCUGUAGUGGCUUGAAGAUGUUUGACUAGCCGGAUGGAUUUCUCCCGUUUGUUGGGACAAUCUUUAGCAUAAUGACCUUUCCUCUUGCAGAUGAAACAUCUGCUUGAUGAUUUUCGCUUGAAUUCUCUAGAGGAAGAUGAUUUUUUUCUGAAGAAUCGGGAGGGCUUUCUGGACCUGCGGGGUUUGGAUGAAAAUCUCAAAUUUUUAAAUUUCUGAAAAUGCCUUUUCUUCUUAGAACUGCAAUCACAAUCCUUUUUCUUUUUGCAUUUGAUCUGCAAAUAGGGCUUUUUGCAGGCACUCCUGAACGGUUCGUUAUCUCUCAACAGGUCUUUGAAAAAUUAUUUCUGCUCGCAAAGUUUGUCAAGGCAUGUUUUGGCAAUCUGGAAGAUUUUGCCAAGAGAGAUGUUGUCAAGGAUGAGAUUGGAGGCGGUGAGUUGCCGUUGUAUAUCGGGUUGGAGCUCUUCUGGAAGGGAAGCCAAAAAGACAUGCUUUAAUGUUGGGUCAUUGAAGCCAUUAAGCUUAUAGAACAGCAAAGACAUUCGUUUGUAAUGAAAGUCAAGAUCCUUAGCAUUGAGUAAGUAGCAUUUCAUGUUGAGAUAGUCUCGUCGUGCAGCUUCAAAAACUACAGAGGGGUCUCCAAGGAAUUGAUCAUGAAUAACCGCAAGGGCACUUGAGACUUCUGGUAAUUGAACAAACUGUAAUUGUCUAUAUUGGCCUAAAGAAUCAAACCAAUCUCUUAGAGCACACGUAAAACGAGUAGCAAAUUCUCUAAGGACUGAUUAAGUCAUUGCGCCGGGCCGCAGCAUUUGGAGGUCAAUCCAAGCAGACAUUUCAGUAAGUCUCUCUCGCCAUUUAUGAGAUGGAAGAUCAUCAAAUGUGAACCAUGGAACAUUUGAUGAUUUUUGACUUGUUGGACCGGUCUGGGCUUGGGCUGGAGGGGGUUGGUGUGUUGCAGAGGAUUCAGGUAUGUCUUCGUCAACUUCUGAAGGAAUAUCAACAUAUGGUUCUGUGUGGGAGGUUUGGUCGAGAUUAGGUUGAUCAGGUUGGGCCAUCAAGAUUCUGGUGAUAUCAGCAUAGGACUUUUCAGAGUCACUAGUGGAUACUGAAGAUGCUGUGUCAGACUCAGUAUGGCUGCAGGAAAUGGCUAGAUUUGAAUUAGAAGUUUGAGCAGAAGUUUGAUCAUCUGGAGUAGAGGAUGGAUCUACGGUGUGGGCACUAUACUGGUGCAUGGGUUCUUUGUCUUUGGACUGAGUUUGAGGUUGGGAUUAAGGUGGUAGUGGAGGUGCGGGCGGUGGGGACUGUUGUCCAGGAAGGGACAUGGAUGGCUGAUGAAUUUUGACGGGCCGCGUGGUUGAGGUUUAGGCUUUGGUUUAGGUUUAGUUGGUGGUGGUAAGGAUUGUCUCUGAAAAGGGUAGGAGUCAUGCCAAAUAACUUGGAAGGGUCAUACUGUUUGAUGGGGGAAAGCAUAGAGGCAAAUGGAUGAUAAGUUGGACCUAUAGAAGGGAUAAGAGGUGAUGUGGUAAAAAGGGUAGGUCUUUGUUUUUCAGAUUCAAUCUAAUCAAGCUCAUCUUUUAAGCGUCUGAUUUCCCUUUCUUUUUGGUCAAAUUCUGGGCCAUAGUAUCUUUGAGCAAGCAUGGUUCGUAACUCUGAAUCUAGUUGAGUAAUUCUGGAUUGAAGAUUGUGGUGAAUCUGCUGCAUCUGUGCAGUAAUGGAGUCAACUUUCGUCUCAAUCUGUUCAGUUCGUAAACUGAUUUUCUCAACUUUUGAAUUGAUAUGCAACAAAGUCUCAUUCUGUGCUAUGGCAUUUUGGGUUUGCCAGUUAAGGACUGAUUCAAAAGGUUUGGGAGGUUCUAGGUGGCCAGUUGAGGUAAUAGCUGAAGGGAUAAAAGGUUUGGAUACCACAUUUCGUUGGGAAUCUGUGUGAGUUUCUAAUGGAGGAAAGGAGGAAGGGUAGGCUGAAGAGGUAGAAGAAAACAUCAUACAAGCUAUUGGUUGUACGAUAGGUGUUGAGUUUGGGAGGGGGGAUGGAAUCUCAGGUUGGCAAUGCUUUGCAAUCCAUUUGAGUUCUGUUUUGUAGAUGGGUAAUGGAGCUGGUGGAGGUGGAGGAUCUCUUGGUGAUUUGGGUUCACAGUGUUGACAUGAGACUGAAGGUUUUUUCUUUUUGGGUCUCUUUUUGGUGACGUAAUCAUCGUCCUCUUUCUUUAAGCUCCCAACUUUUUCUUUAAGCUCGUACUUUAAAAAAUGUUGUAAUAAUUGUGGUUGUUUUUUGACUUUUCCUUUAGCCCAUGUGUGUUUGCCGGGCUCUUGUCAAGAAAGUGGUUGCUUGCCGGGCUCUUGUCAAGAAAAGGCCCAUGUGUGUUUGCCGGGCCCAUGUCUGUUUGCCGAGCUCUUGUUAGAAAAGUUUGUCGUUUUCUUAGCUUCUUCCUAUAUAUAAAGGGGGAAGUCUUUUGUUGAAAGAAAUAAGAAAGUUUGAAAGUUUUAAAAAAUUAGCUUUUGCAAAUUUAUGGCUUUCUAAUCUCCUUCCCUGCUUUCUUGAAAUCCUGAUAAAAAAAGGAAAGACUAUCAUCAUCGUUCAUUUCUACCCAUACACUAAGUAUGCUCUGCACUUGCCUCUUCAAUGAUCCUGUGCAUCAGAAAAUAGUGUUAUCACCACCAAUAAGAUAAAAACCACUACAGUCCACCCUGUGUGUCACCCCUUCCACCCUUUGGUAUUCGGUGUUUUUGGGUGAAGUAGUGGAUAACCGAGUGGUAUCACUAAUUUUGGACUAAGCAUGACCCUUUUGGACUCAAGUUGAACUCAAUCCAGGAAACCCAAUCUAAAACCAAGUAUUGCUCUUAUAUGUUCUAGUAAGAUAGACUAUUUUGUAGCUCUUUCUUAGCUAGUAUCAUUAAAUGGGUGAUUAGCCAAAAUAAUGAAUAGAAAUAAUACUACCAAAAUAAAAUGCUACAGCAAACAUGUAGAAACACAAAUUUUCAGUCAAUAAACCAUCAAGAUUAUUUAUCACUCAACCAUAAAUAAAUUUAGUUCAUGGUUUGUAAAAGAAAAAUAAAGAAGGACUGAGUUCCCAAAUGAAUUCUACAAAUUCUUCUCUUGUGCAGCCCUAAAUCUCUCUCUUGAAUCUUGUUUUUCUUUUGUUUCUUUGUAGUUUUUCUCCUUGGGUGACGGCUCGCUUUUUUUCCUUAUGAUGUGUGCUCUUUUUUAUAGUUGAAAAUUAGGAUAAACGGAAGCCUAAGUCGCGUGUCUUCCAAAUUAGGAAACUAUAGAUCGUAAUAUUUUGCUAAAUUUUCUCUGUCGUUGUUCUAGAAUUACUACAACAAUGGCAAUGGUUACUACAACAACGAUUGCUAUAGCAACAACUACAAAAACUGCACUGUUCCAGAUUUGUUUUAAUUCUUCUGUAGCCAAGUUCUUUUCCAUCUUUUGCAAGCCUAUUGCAUUAGCAUUCCUUCCUUAAAAUUUGAGCUUUCGGUCACCUACAAUUAUGCAUAUGAUUUAAGCACACAAUUUAUUAUAAAUCAAACAAAAUUUAUGAAGAAUAAACUAAGAUGAAUGAUUAUGCAAAAAUAUAACAAAACUGCAAUGAAAACACAUCAUUUAUUCUCUAAGUGGUAUUGAUUUAAGUCUAAAUAGUGCUAUAAUAACUCUCAUUUCAUAGAGUUAUCAGGUGUGCUGCCAUGGGAGAAGAAGAUGGCGAUGACCUAGAUAAUUUUAAUGAUCAGGCCACCAUUGACAUGCAUGGAAGAGAUGAUGGAAGGGCAAGACAUAUAGAUCGUGACUUGGGGAGUAUCAAACUAAAAAUUCCUUCUUUUCAAGGUAAAAAUGAUCUGAAAGCUUAUUUGGAAUGGGAAAAAAAUGUGGAGCCAGUAUUUGAUUUCCACAACUACUCUGAGGAGAAAAAACUGCUGUUGAAUUUACUAAUUAUGCUAUUAUUUGGUGGGAUCAACUCAUUUUAAGUAGGAGACAAAAUUGUGAAAGGCCUAUAGACACUUAGGAGGAGAUGAAGGCCAUCAUGAGGAUGAGAUUUAUUCCUAAUUAUUAUUAUAGAGAGCUGAACCAAAGGCUUCAAAGUCUUACACAAGGUUUCUAGAAGUGUGGAAGAUUACCACAAGGAGAUGGAAAUAAUCAUGAUUCGAGCCAACAUUGCAGAAGAACGAGAGGCCACUAUGGCCAGAUUUUUACAUGGUUUAAAUCAAGAUAUUGCUAAUGUGGUUGACUUGCAAGUGGAACGAUAACCAAAAAAGAAAGGUUCAACUAGAGCCAAUUUGGGUUCAUCUUCCUCGUGGAAGUCAAAUUGGAGCAAAGAUGAAAAGGUUGUUUUAAAGCCUAAAAUUGAGCCAUUCAAGGAUCAUAAAGAGGGAGGCAACCAAACCAAAGGUAAAUCUGAUUCUUAACACUAUAGAAAUAGAAAUAUUAAGUAUUUUAAAUGUUUGGGGACAUGUCAUAUUGCAUCUCAAUGUCUAAAUAAGAGAGCAAUGAUCUUGAGGGAUGAUGGUGAUGUUGAAACCGAGAGUGAAUCAGAUGAUGAUCCUAUGCCACCUUCAGAGGAUGCUAAUGAUGGUGUUGAGUAUCAUGUUGAUGGUAAAUUGAUAGUUGCUAGGCGUGCUCUCAACAUGCAAGUAAAAGAAUAUGCAGAGGUACACGUGAUAACAUCUUUCAUACUAGAUGCCACAUCAAAGAUAAGGUAUGUAGUAUGAUAAUUGAUGGUGAAAGUUGUACAAAUGUAGCUAGCACUAGUUUAGUUGAAAAAUUAAAUUUGAAAACUUUGAAACAUCCUAGGCCAUAUAAGCUACAAUGGUUGAAUGAUUGAGGGGAAGUUAAAGUAAAUAAACAAGUGUUGAUUUCAUUCUCUAUUGGGUGAUACAAGGAUGAGGUUUUAUGUGAUGUAGUACCCAUGCAUACUGGACACAUUCUUUUAAGGGGACCUUGGCAAUAUGAUAGGCGUGUGACAAAUGAUGGUUACUUAAAUAGAAAUUCUUUCUAUGGUCAUUCUCUUUGGUCUCCACACUUUUGGCAAAGAUUUAAUAAUUUUCUUCACUUUUUCACUAUUAGUAAAUGUGAAAACACUUUCAUUGUAGAGAAAUCGGUUUUGGAGGAUAAACAGGACCUUUCUAAUGCACAAGAUCCUCAGGCUUGAGGCAAGUGCAGAGCAUACUCAGUUUAGAAGUUUUGAGGUGAGCGUAUCAUUUUUAAUUCGAAUAAUUUCUUCGAUUCCUAGAAGAGAGAGAGAGGUUUAGGGAAACAUGAUGUAUAAAACUUAAGCUUUUAUUUUUCAGAUUGGCUCCCUUACAACUGAGACCAAAGGUGCCUUUUAUAGACGAUCAUUGAGAACAGGACCUCUCGAAUGAUCAUAUCACAUAGCACACCUUUUUUGACAGCAAAACAUGCCGAUAGGGACUUUGACAAAAGGGAAAGCAUACUUACAAGGACUUUAACAAAAGUAAAGCACACCGACAAGGAUUUUAACAAAAGUAAAGCAUACCGACAAGGACUUUAGCAAAAGUAAAGCAUGCCAACAAGGACUUUAACAAAAGUAAAGCAAAAGACAAACGGGAGUCACAUGGGUUGUGCUAUCAAAACUCGUGCGACAAAGAUAAGGCGUUGUCAUGGAGUGGAGGGAUAACGAGAUGGUGACACAUCGCCUGUGUCUUUUUCAUAUUGGCGCUUGUGCCGACGCCUCUGCCUCUGGUCGAGAUACGCCUCAGCUUGCUGAUACUUUUCUUCAUCAACUUCAGACAUGUGCUGUGAGGUAGAUGGAGCAGGAGAGUUUGGGUUUGUGAUAGUAUAACGGGGAGUGUCAGUAUGGAGAAGGGACUGAAAGUCUUUCCAUGGGUCCUGAGCAUCUUGGAAUAAGACAUUAGUAUAGUCAGGACGUUGUUCCAUGACAAGGAUUCCGUGAGGACUUGAACUUGAACCUGGAGUACAGCCUUGUGUUUUUGGAAUUAUUUCAAGGGUGUGUGAUGGUCCAAUGGAGGUGUGGUGAAUAUCUGUGGCAGGUGGAGGAACAUUGUUAAGUUCCAUGAGAUAGGCUUUGAGAACGGAGGUGACCGAUGUAUCAUGGAUGAAGGUAUAAGGAUGAGGGUAAGUUCUCCAUUCAUAUGCCAUGUCCUCUGUCCAGUAGUCCCGUGUUUCUGGAUGCUGAAAAUAAGGCCUGUGGACAAUGAAGGCUAUAGUCCACACGUUAGCUUCUUGUUCUGGCAUUUUGUUUAAUCCAUGAAAGGUACACAAAUGUUGGAGUUGCUUGCGCCACCAAGUGAGGGGAGAAUACCAUUCAAAGAGAGUCCAAAGAAGGUCAGGUGAGAACUCUGGAGUAGUAAGGUGAGUCAGGACUGGUUUGAUGGGAAAAACUAGCUUUGUAGCAUACAAGGUGGUGAGACACCAUAUAUACCAAAGCUCAUCUUCAGAGAUGGACAGAGAGGACAAAGUGAGGCUUGUGAGAAACAGGUGGUCCAUGCAAAGAUUAGGAAAGCGGUCAGGGUUUUUGGUCUGAACAUUAAAGAAAAACCUGUAAAGGAAUUUCUUUGCAAAAUCUUGAAGUUGGUAAGCCGAUUGGAAAGAGAUGUUCAUGGGGAAAUUUCUUUGGUUGAGAGCUUUGAAAGGAAGUUGGCUAUUCAUGGCUAUAACUGGAAUGGUUUGAAUUGAGGAAAUGAGUGCGGGUUUAUUUAUAGCUGGACGGGUGAGGAAGUCUGGAAUGAGGUUUUGGUUGCCUUUUAUGUGUUGAACAGUGAAAUCAUACUGAGCAAACCAGGUUUUGAGGCUGAGUAAUUGCUUGUCUGGUAGCAAUUUGUUCUUGAAGUCAAAGAUGCAGGGAAAAGAAGAGUUAUCCAUGUUGAUAAGGAAUUUGUGGCUGAUGAGAUGGAAUUCAAAUUUCUUAAUUCCAUAUUUGACUGCCAAAAUCUCUUUGUAGAUCACAUGGUAGUUCUUUUCAGAGUCUUUGAAUUGUCCGCUUGCAUGUACACAGAAAUGAUGCACGCCAUUGAUGUCUUCAAGGAGAAUGGCACUCCAAUAAUCGUCGCUGGCAUCAGUCUGGAGGAUGCGUUGUCCACUUAUGGGAAUUCGAAGUGGAGGAGGUGCUUGUGCUAUCACCUUUAGCUGCUUGACAGCUUCUGUCUGAGCAGGGCCCCAUGGAGGGCACUAUUUCUUGAGCAUGCGUGACAACUGGCUAGUGUGGAUUGUAACUUUUGGGAUAAAAUCACGGACAUAAUUAACAAUCCCGAGGAAUUGUUGUAUCUGCUUUCUAUUGAGAUGUGUGUCCGGAUACUUGAGUAAUUCGAUUGCAAUAUGGGGACCAGGCUGAUACUGGCCGUCUUUAAUCACCAUGCCAAGAAAGUCAAUUGAUUCCUUUCCUAUGCUGCUUUUCUUUUCGGAAAGCAUGAUGCCAUGUGCCUGCACAAUGUGAAAGACAUCCAAAAGGAGCUUCUGGUGGCUCUCAUGGUCAGAAGAAAAUAACAAGAGAUCAUCAAUGUAGACCAAUGCAUGAUGGAAAAUAGGACUAAAGAUUUUUGUCAUGGCUUUUUUAAAUAAGGAGGGAGCGACUUUGAGACCAAAAGGCAUAACCGUCCAUUGGUAAUGGGCAUCAGGG